AGUUUCAAACUCAAACGAUGCUUAAUGCUCAAGUUCAACUCCUAAGGGUUAAUAGGAUUGACAACUUAGUAUUGUCAAGAAAACAACAAGUGCAGACUUGGAAACUAGGGGGAAUAGAACUCGAAAGUUAAGCGUGCUCAGACUGAAGUAGUGAGGGGAUGGGCUUUAGUCUCGACCAUUUAGUCCCGGUUCUAAAGGCCCUCUGGAACCGGGACUAAAGGCCCGUUUUUCUACUAGUGUCGGGCGGAGUCGUGGGGCUAACAUGGGUCUCCUCGGCGUGGCGGCGUCGGCAGUGCGGUGGCAUGUUGCUGCAUGUCCAAGGCGCAACGGCUGCUGUCGGUGUCAAAACUGGCGGAUCUCGGGUAGGGGGUCCCAAGCAGUGCGUCUCAGGAUCAAUGGUAACAGGAGGUAAACCUGGGCAAACGUCGGGCCGGGCCGGGUUUCGGGUCGGGCUUGUAAAAGCCCGACCUUCAUUUCUCAAGCCCGAGCCCGGCCCGAAGCCCAAAAUACUCCCUGAAAUCAAGCCCGAGCCCGGCCCGAAAUCAAGCCCCAAGCCCGAAAGCCCGGCCCGAACGCUGUUUUUUAGUACGUGUACGUGCAAGCCCGGGUCGAAGCCCGAAAGCCCGGCCCGAAAAAUAGAAAAAGAGAAGCCCGAGCCUGGCCCGAACUACCUUUCGGGCUGCAAAACAAAGCCCGAGCCCGGCCCGAGUGUCAAGCCCGGCCCGGCCCGGCCCGGGUUUUUCGGGCCGGGCUCGGGCCGGGUCGUCGGGCCGGGCUGCCCAUGCCCGGGUUUAACAGGAGGUAAGGGAUACAAUGUUUACCCAGGUUCGGGUCCUCUCGAUGGAGGUAAAACCCUACUCCUGCUUGAUUAAUAUUGAUGAUAUGGGUAGUACAAGAGUUGAUCUACCACCAUAUCAGAGAGGCUAAACCCUAGAAGCUAGCCUAUGGUAUGAUUGUUGUAUAUGUCUAUCGACUAGCCUAGCCCCGGUUUAUAUAAUGCACCAGAGGCCUAGGAUAACAAGAGUCCUAGCCGAAUGCGCCGGUGGGGGAGGAGUCCUUGUCUUGAUCGCCAAGUCUUGUUGAUUCUUCCUUGUAUGCGGCAGCUGUCCAGACUGGCCCAUGAGUAUACGGCCAUGGGGGUCCUCGGCCCAAUCCAACUGAUCGGGGGACGGCGCGUUGAGUACCCCCUAGUCGAGGACACCGUCAGUAGCCCCCUAAACCGGUCUUCAAGUUAGGGACGCUCCUCGAUUCUUCCGAACUGUUCUUCAUCUUCGGUUGCCGGUCUUGAAAACUGGUUCAACAAAUCUUCUCAUCUUCUAUCUUGAGGAUCGCCGAAAUGCAUUCGACGAGUUUACACGUCGGGUAUCCGAGGAGCCCCUUUAAGUUUCCGGCCUUUAUCAAUGCCUUGUUAUUUUUAUGCCACACCUCGGGUUUGAAGUUGUUCCCGGGUGGCAACGUCCUCUUGCGUCCGAGCUCCAACGCCGGACUGCAUUCGAGGUAUCUUUUGCAGCCGAGCACCAACGCCGGACUGCUUCCCAGCUCUAAUGCCGGACUAUGUAUCCGAGCUCCAACGCCGGACUGUAUUCGAGAUCCAACGUCGGACUGUAUCCGAGCUCCAACGCCGGACUAUGUAUCCGAGCUCCAACGCCGGACUGUAACCGAGGUGUCGUAAAUCACCUUGGUUCAAAGAAGUUUGAAGGAGUUUUGCCGAGCUUAACACCGGAAAUGCCCUCUAUGGAGCCAGCAACUAGCGCCCGAGCUUUAUGCCGGACUGCUUCCCAGGUGGUGCACCACCCCAAAUGUGGGCCGAUUUUUGUCAAUAUUUUUUGUUGGUGCAAUUUAUUCUCUGCCGAGAUACAUAGCCAGUAGCCCUCAAGGUGGGUAUCGGUCUAAAACCCGAGAUGCCCAUGAAGGAUGACAUAAGACCGCUGAUCCCCGUAGCUGCUGAGACUCAGGUUGAUUUGCAAAAUCGGUCUGAGGAUCAAGUCCUAACUUGGCAGAAUACUUCGGGACACAAAAAGCGGCAUGCUCAGUCCUCGAGACUCAGGUUGGGUGCGGCCGACCAACUUGAGGAUCAAAAUCUCCUCGGAAACUGUAUUGCACUUAAAAUUUUCUGCAUAGAACAGGCAAUGCAGUAGCCCCCGAGACACUGGUCGGGUGGCAACACCAGAUCAGGGGAUUGAUGUGCCCAUUUAAUAUUUGUAAAUAAUAAGCCCGAAGCCCAGUAGCCCCCGAGCCUUAAUGCGGGCACGGGAGGCCGAAUUAAGGAUCGAUAUCCAUAGUAAAAUCACAAAUUAUGUGUAAUGACUCUAUGUAUCCAAGUACUUUACGUCAUUAAUGCUCGGAUCCGCAUUGUACAAAACUUUGUUGACCGACCAUCGGCUUCCACCUCCUCGUCCAAUAGCCGAGGAGUGUUUGUCCUACUUUAUAAAGCCUUUAUGAGGAUAAAGACUUACAACAAACAAGGCAAUCUGGCCAUACGGUUUUAUAAACAAAGGUACGCGAAGAGACAUGUUAUAUUACUGUUUAAUAGAAGAAAUGUCUUCCAAAGAAAAUAGUCCCGCUAUCGGUUCCUUUCUUUGGGUUGUCGUGCUAAGCAUGAUCAUGAAACCUCAGCUCCAAUGUAAGAGCAAAAUAUCGAGGAUUUAGUUUGGGAGGCUAGUUACUAGCCCCCGGUAGUGUUCGGCGACAGUCGAUGUCAAGCUGGAAACACUUCGACCAAUGUUAUGAAUGGCCCGUCAUUUAAUAUAGUCAUCGGAUCGCUGACCAGUUUACACCUAUUGUGAAAGUCAGUUUUCGGCUUUCUUCACUGAGGUGCUUGACCAUGCGAGCUGGAAGCACAAUCGCAGUGGUUCUCCCUUUGCACACCUAGCUGAACAAAGCGGAACAUAGGGGGCAAGCGCGGGAGCCGGGCAACCCAACUAUUGACCGAAGACACAAUUCGAAACUGAUGCAUAUAUAGCAAUAUCCGAGAAUGUCUUUUGCCGAAUCUCUAAAGGUGUCCGGCGUUGCACUGCGAGACUUGUGCUGAAAACACACAAAUAGUUUAAAAGUGCCAUGGGCUCGAAAAGCCAAAAAACUUAUUCAAAAGAUUAAUGUCCGAACUAGAUCAAGUGUUCGGCGCCAAUCCGAAAAUUGGACUUUAGAAAAGAAAAAAAAGGUGUUUCUGCCGUGCUUUAACAUGACACAUCCUAUCUCAAAACUUCAAGCGGGUCAGCCUACGGCUUCCGGCUAGUGACCGCACACUUGUGUCGAAAAAAGGAGUGAUAAAUAAUAAUAAAAACUUUGCAACGACUAAGAAGAAAAACACUUAUCAUAAAACUGCUCAUACAAAUUUAAGAGCCCCCAAGUGACUUGGGUAAAAGAAUGAUUGCAUGUAUCGAAGUACUUAUAUCAUAUCUAUGUUCAACCGAACUUUAAACGCAUCUUAACCGACCGUCGGCUUCUCCCUCUUCGGUCAAGGACCGAAAAGUGUUAUGUACUCCAUCUGUCGAGAAUAUCGACGGUGUUUCCAAUAACCACACAAUCAGGCCAUAAGGCUGUAACAGACAAAGUGCGCUCAGGGAACUUAUGCUAUAUUACUGCGAAGAGUAAGAAGCAUCUUCGAAGAAAAUAGUCCCCCCACCGAUACCUUUCUUCGGUGCUCAUUGUUAUUAUGAGAUUUGUGCAAUAUAUUUUUUGUACUCAUGAGUUCCAUUGUGUGCCGACCAUGAUUGAAAACAAUAAGAGCGCUAGCUUUCGGCUUCACCCAGUCUGAGGUCUGGCUGGGUUGACCCGAUCGUCACAAUCGCAGAGGUGCUCCCUUUACUCCCUAGCCGGACAAUCGGGAACGUAGGGGUAAGCACAGGAGACAAGCAACCCAGCUUGCAAAUUGCUUAAGUCAAUAUGGUGCAUAUUAUGGCGUAAUACACGAACAAGGAACGAAGCCGUACAAGUGUAACCAUAUGCAAGAGGAAAAAGCUUCAUGAAGAAAGCCCCCAAGCAAACGGGGUAUUUGAAUUUGCGUGUCACAAACAAAGUUUGGACAAGGAAAUUUUAACAAGCAACUUUUUUUCAAAAAAGUAUAAUGCUUGGAUGAGCCGAACACAAGUUAAAAAUUUAAAACUUUGAGCAUGAAGACAACUUAGCUAGUUAAUGUGUUCGAUAUUGAUGACACGGUCCGAGCUUGAUGCGGGACAAGGUUCCAUCCCCGAGCCGGUCCCGAGGUGGCGGAGCAAAGAGCUCGGCACUCCGAAGUGGUGACAUAGCACGGUCAAUGCAGGACGGCAGGGUGAUGCCGAAGUCCCCGGCAUGGGGUAAUGAAGUGUUGACGAAGCCCCCCGUCCAGCCGAGGUGACGCCGAAGGAUAUAGUCUGGCUGGAUCAUUUUCCUAUGCACAAAAAAUAGUGCAAACCGGAGAUAAUAGUAAUAAUAAUAAAAAUAAAAAAUUUGUUGCAUAACAAAUAAUUUAUGCAAAGUGAGUAAUAAAAGAAAUAUGGCAUGGCGCCGAAGUCAAUGUCGAUGCAGGGCGGCGGCGUGAUGCGGUAAAGGCAUGGCAAGACCUGAAUUCACAGGUCGGUUCGAGUUCCGGAUGCGGCGUUUGCCGGACUAUGUACGGAAACUGACCGAACCACCAUGCGACCGUUGUUAAUGCGGCCACCAUUUGAUAGACCUGCGUACAUAUGACGGACAAACCAGAGUAAUAAUUCAUUGGAAAAAAUGAACCCUAACAAGCAAAAAAUACUAGGAUUAAUAGCACCUGGCUUAUUUGUUGUAGCAAUCCGAAGAAAGGUGAUUCCCAAAAUUGAGACUCGAUCCGCACACCUAUCGCCUGAUGGGCGAUAAAGCAACAGCAUGGCGAUGCUGGCAAAGGUUGGCUCGCCGAGGCAAAGCCCUCGGUCAGCUAACGUGACGGAGCUGGUCGGCCAGCGACGCCGAAGUCUCCGGAGUAGGUUGAUGAAGAGAUGAUGAAGCCCCCGGUCCAGCGAUGCAGGUCGAUACGUGGUCGAUGCCGGCUUGAUGAAGUGACCGUGUGGCGAUACAGGUGUGCCCGCUCCGUGUAAUCCAUGGGGCGGCGAUGUUGGUGACGAUUUAUCCUUCGCGAUGCCGAACUAUUGUUCGGCUGGCCGAGAUGAUGAUCCGAAGAAAUUGAGCUCGGCUCAACAAAGCGAUGACGUGUCUAACGCAGGUCGGCCGCCGUGGAGUGAUGUUGUCGGGCUGGUUUGACACCGGCGCGACGGUGAAGUUCGUAUUGUAAGAAUACUUUUAAUACUAUUGGGAUGUGUUUGAGAAUAAAACAUAACACCCCAUACGAAACUUCCUUCAAAAAGGAUGUCCGAGAUCCCGUUCAUAAAGAAGAUGAAUUCGGGUCGGAUUCGUUCUCGCGCAGAAAACAGAUCCAAAAAGUGAUGCACUAAUCGGAAGUUUCCCGGAGUUUGGACGGUCGGAUCGAGCUGAAUUUUUGGCAGAUGAUAGAUAUGGGAAUUCCACAGCAAAUCAACGGUUGGAUCCUCCAAAGGAAAUCCGAGCUAGAUGCUGGAUACCACGCCCUAAACUCGUCCGGAUUCUCAUCCAGAUUCAACAGGGCUCUGGUAUAUCGGAGAUUGCCGGAGAUUCCUCCAUCGGAACUCGACGAAAUUUUUGCAGGGUUGUUGUAGACUUAAUUCCGCAUAAUUUCACCAAAGUAAUCGUUUAAGCGACACUCGAGAAGGCGAUGGCGGCGGAUACAAGUUUGCUGUCCAGAAAAACAGCACGGUCGCCUGAGGGCAAUGUUGACGUUGAGCCCUCGAGCUCCAUGGAUGACUCCCCCAUGAUCUUGAUAGAGAUCGGAGUUGAUGUUGAUGAAGGCCCUCAUCCGAACAUGACGAUCGGAGGUAGGAAGCAGUCCUUGGUCGAACCAAGGUGACCAGUCGAGCUGGUGACGAAGCAGCCGACAUCGCAGUUGACCUGCAGUCGAGCCAUUGAUCCUUUCGCCGAUCACACAGCGGAACUCUCAAUGAAAGCACCAAUGUUGGUGUCAAAACCGGCGGAUCUCGGGUAGGGGGUCCCAAGAAGUGCGUCUCAGGAUCAAUGGUAACAGGAGGUAAGGGACACAAUGUUUACCCAGGUUCGGACCCUCUCGAUGGAGGUAAAACCCUACUCCUGCUUGAUUAAUAUUGAUGAUAUGGGUAGUACAAGAGUUGAUCUACCACCAGAUCAGAGAGGCUAAACCCUAGAAGCUAGCUUAUGGUAUGAUUGUUGUAUAUGUCUAUCGACUAGCCUGGCCCCGGUUUAUAUAAUGCACCAGAGGCCUAGGAUAACAAGAGUCCUAGCCGAAUACGCCGGUGGGGGAGGAGUCCUUGUCUUGAUCGCCAAGUCUUGUUGAUUCUUCCUUGUAUGCGGCAGCUGUCCGGACUGGCCCAUGUGUAUACGACCAUGGGGGUCCUUGGCCCAAUCCAACUGAUCGGGGGACGACGCGUUGAGUACCCCCUAGUACAGGACACUGUCAGCUGCAGAGGGUCCUUCUCUGGCCGACGCGUGCGGGAGGUGCCUUGGCUAGGUCCGGCCAGAUCUAGUGCCAGUGGCCUGGAGCACGGCGCGGGUGGUGACCGGAGCCUGACUGAGUCUCUAUAGGAGGUGGGCACGGUGUCCUGGAGUGCGCGGGUGGUGACUGGAGGCCCGACCGAGUCUCUACAGGAGGUGGGCGCGGUGGCCUGGGCACGCCAGGGUUCCGGAUGUGGUGGCGGCAGGAAGCUGGGUCUCGGCCCAGAUCCGGUUUGUCUUGUGCCUCGAGGGCCUUGUUUGGCGUUCGACCGUCGCGUAGUGAUGGCACUCUGGUUGUCCAUGCGGCCACAUCUUCUUGGGCAGCGAUGGUUGGUGCUCAACGGCGGGGUGCAUGUGGUGGUGGCGAAACCCUUCUCCUAGUUCUGGGCCAGCGGCACAGGCUUCUCGUGCAAUGGAGAUGGUACGGACGUGGGGCUUGUGCUCGGGAAGAUUUGGUUGGGCAUGAGGUGGGUCGGGGCUACCACUCCUGGUAGGUGAUGUUGGGGCUUGGUCUGGGUGGUGCCCGCGGGCGAUGAGGUCCCUCUCGUCGUGGGUGAGGUGGCCGGGAACCCGCUACUUUGCUGGGAAGAUCAUCGUCGAAGACCUUGGGCAUGGCGUCAUGAGAGUGGACUCGGUGACGGACGUAGGUAGUCACGGGAUUGUGUGUCCCCCGGUCCACCAGGACUGGCUGGAGAUGCAGGCUUGGGCGCCUCCUGCCGUGGAGGCGUCGACCUAGAUGAUAUAUCCCAAAUGUAUCUACUUUUCCAAACACUUUUGCUUUUGUUUUGGACUCUAAUUUGCAUAAUUUGAAUGGAACUAACCCGGACUGACAUUGUUUUCAGCUGAAUUGCCAUGGUGUUAUUUUUGUGCAGAAAUAAAAAUUCUCGGAUUAGGUUGAAACUUCAUGGAGAUUAUUUCCAGAAUAUAUAAAAAAUACUGGUGAAGAGAACUACCGAAGGGGGGCCACCCAGGGGCCACAAGCUCAGGGGGUGUGCCAACCCCCAGGUCGUGCCUAGUGAGCUUGUGGGCCCCUGAAGACUCCGGCAACCCUAAGUCCAACUCCAUAAGUACCGUCUCGCGGAGAAAAAAAUCAGAGAGAAGGAAUCAUCACGUUUUACAAUACGGAGCCGCAGCCACCUCCUGAUUUUCAUCGGGAGGGUUGAUCUGGAGUCUGUUUAGGGCUCUAGAGGGUGGAAUCCGUCGUUGUCAUCAUCAUCAACCCUUCUCCAUCAACAAUUCCAUGAUUCUCACCAUUGGGAGUGAUUAAUUCCUUUGUAGGCUUGCUGUACGAUGAUGGAGUUGGAUGAGAUUUUUCAUGUAAUCGAGUCAAUUUGUUAGGGCUUGAUCCCUAGUAUCCACUAUGUUCUAAGAUUGAUGUUGCUAUGACUUUGCUACACUUAAUGCUUGUCACUAGGGCCCAAGUGCCAUGAUUUCAGAUCUGAACCCUUUACGUUUUCAUGAAUAUAUUUGAGUUCUUGACCCUAUCUUGCAAGUUGUAUGCAUCUAUUACGUGUUAUGAUCCGCACACCCAAGAGGACAAAAAUUGGGAUUCUUUUCGGUGAUUACCGUAGUAUGAGGAGUUCAUGUAUUCACUAAGUGCUAAUGCUUUAUUCCGGUUCACUAUUAAAAGGAGGCCUUAAUAUCCCUUAAAUUUCCUUAUGGACCUCGCUGCCACGGGAGGGUAGGACAAAAGAUGCCAUGCAAGUUCUUAUUAUAAAGCACGUAUGACUAUAUACGAAAUACAUGCCUACAUUACAUUGAUGAAUUAGAGCUAUUGUGUAUCACUCUAGGUUAUCACUAUUACAUGACGAAUAUCAUCCAACAUAAUUAUCCAUCGUUGAUCCAAUGCCUACGUUUUUUCUCAUAUCGGUCUUUCCUAAGUUACUUUAGUUCUUGCUGCUAUUACAAUCACUACAAAAUUGCUUCUGUUACUAUUACUGUUACUAUUGGUACUGUUACUACUGCUAUCAAACUAUCAUAUACUGUGCUACUAAACACUUUGCUGCAUAUAAUAUCCUAGGUGUGGUUGUAUUGACAACUCAACUACUAAGUCUCAUAAAUAUUCUUUGGCUCCCCUUGUGUCUAACCAAUAAAUUUGGGUGAAAUAUUACCUUCGAAGACUGUCGGAUCUCCUAUACUUGUAGGUUAUUAGUAGACUCUGUGGCCGAUGUCGGGCUAGGAGUGAAAGGAGACGCCUUUUACUCCUACUAUCUUAGUGGGUGCAUUGCGAUGUGAGGGAGUGAUGGUGUCUCGGACAUGGAUGCCGGGGCGACGGCCCUAGAUGGUCGUCCGCAUGGUUGGAUCUCCGGGGAGCACCAUUGUGGCAGUGUUUGCUUUUNNNNNNNNNNNNNNNNNNNNNNNNNNNNNNNNNNNNNNNNNNNNNNNNNNNNNNNNNNNNNNNNNNNNNNNNNNNNNNNNNNNNNNNNNNNNNNNNNNNNNNNNNNNNNNNNNNNNNNNNNNNNNNNNNNNNNNNNNNNNNNNNNNNNNNNNNNNNNNNNNNNNNNNNNNNNNNNNNNNNNNNNNNNNNNNNNNNNNNNNNNNNNNNNNNNNNNNNNNNNNNNNNNNNNNNNNNNNNNNNNNNNNNNNNNNNNNNNNNNNNNNNNNNNNNNNNNNNNNNNNNNNNNNNNNNNNNNNNNNNNNNNNNNNNNNNNNNNNNNNNNNNNNNNCUCUCUGUAACUGGCAGUGGAGGCUCCCCGGUCUGGAUCUAGAGUUCUGAACUCACCAAUAGGGUACCAAGGUAUGAAAUUAUCUUGAGUAAUCCCCCAGCGAUUAACAAUGCACUCCCUCUGUCCCAUAAUUUAAGAGCGUGUGUCAAAAAUGCUCUUAUAUUAUGGGAUGGAGAGAAUAGUAAAAAGGCAACAUCCAACCACAACAUUAUGAAGCAACAACAUUGCACACCUUUGCGGGACAUUGGCAGCAUCAAUGGGUGUGUUCCCACUCAUUUCAAGUUUUUAGCAAACAUCUUCCUUGAGGGGCUGGUUGUGCACCUUUUCUAUCCGUCGCCAUGCGGUUGACAAAAUUCAUGAUUCUCCACAACAUGGUAGGACGGGUCAAGAACAUGCAUAGAAGAAAAGAAAGAGAAAACAAUAGGAGCAUCAGAGCGAUGAAGGGGGUUAAACAAUGAUAAAAACAAAUAGAACCAAGAAUUUUCGACCACCCUUAGAAGGUUGCUUUGAGUUACAUGGAUAGUCAUCAUCGUUGAAGAGAUUCGGGUGCUCGUAAUUCAGAGUGACAAACUCCACUUCCCGUGAAAGCUCUUCGCCACUCCACAUUUCCGGCACCGUUUAGCUCAUACGCAACAUCUCUAGGCUAUUGUGCUCCUCUGGCGGUUCUUUUUUUGGUGAAAUGAUGCUCACUGUCACCCUAUUCAAGCAUGAGCUCCCGACCAACAGUUCCGAUGAUAUGGGGCAAUUUUGGCUGCAAAGUAUGCCGAUAAGGAAAUUCAAGGUGGACUAAGAGGUCAGCGAGGUUACAGGAUGUCGGUGGGGUGGAGGCUGCCGAGAGAGAGAGGGAGCAGCAGCCCAAAGGGAAUCUUUUUUUGAGAACUCAUUUCCGCUGCUCAAAUUUUAGAGCCGGUGUAGGCUUCUCCUAUUCUUUUGGAUACGAUUUACAUUUUGAGAGUUUGUCUAGGUGCGACUUAACUCCUCAAAAGGGAAUCUUUUGUGGAGUUAAGCUCUUUUUGGAAGUUGGCUAGAGUUCCUCUUAGAUCCUGAAUUAACUUUCAGUCUACUUUCUUUCCUUAAGUCUGUCCUUGAGCAAUGUUAUGGAUGGUGCAUUGGUUGAGAAAAUAACUGGCCCUCGUAUAACAACAAAACCCAAUCUCCAUCUCAUCAACGUGCAUGACUUUCAUGUCCAGCGAAACUCAUGCCAGGUUCAUUGUGAAUUGACUACUACGCUUGGCCAUAGGUGCGGGCAAAGAAUGCUCAAAGGUGCUCCGAUAGGGCAAUCAUUAGCACGUGCGAGAACCUAUUACUUAGAACAACUCUAGCAGAGUUGCCAUAUUGGUAGCCACUCCACAUGCAUUAUGGAGGUUGUUGAGGUGAUGUGCAAAGUUGUGCCUCCGUAUUUGCUGCCUCUAUAAUUGUGGGGCCCACUCGAUAGUGGUGCAUCUUUUUCCCAAUCUCCCUGCCAUCCCAGGUGAGGUGAGGGACCACAUGAAGUUUCCUUCAUACCACAUGCAAAUGUCAUACAGACUGCGCUCCAAAAGGCAGGCCCGAGUUGCCAAUUGUGGAGGCUGGUAGGCUAGAUAUGGAGGGAGAUCCAUAAAUUAUGGUGAUAUAGAGGCAUAUGUGCUGGAAAUAUGUACUAGAGGCAAUAAUAAUUCAUGAUUAAUGUUUACAUUAUAUGCUGUAACUGUUGUGGUUCUCGAUCCUGCAAAAACCAAGAGGAUCAGAGGAAAACUCAUCUACACAUGUAGAGUUAUAAAUGGUAAAAUAAGAUUCCUAGUCUUGCAUUUAAGACUAGCUUAGUUGUUGUAUGAUGGUUGAUCAUGGGCAUAGUUAAGUGUAAUGAUGAUGCAGACAACAUUUGAGAGAAUGAUGUUGGAAGAACACUCGUAUUUUCUUGACCCAAGUUGUAUCUUUUACUAAGAGAUGAAAUCAUCACAAGUCUAUAGUCUAUAAUACGAUAAAUUAACAUAUGCACAAUUCGUUAGACCAUGAGAGUAUAGAGUCACUCCAUAUCGGAUGAUGCUCUUUGGAGUUAUUCUAAUGUCUGUUGUAAUAGGGUGGUCAUAACAGCAAGUUACAUGUUCAUCGGAAACAUAUGAUGGGGGACUAGAUAGCUCGAGACUCGGAUUUUGUUCAUGUGACGAUGGAGAGAUUUUGUAGGGCCCUUCGGUGUGUCGACAUCCAUCGUCGUCAGGUAUAGUGAGAAUGUAUUUGACUCACGGGGAUACUGAUAUAUAUCACCUCGGGUUUUGUAAAUUAUCGCAAAGCAAAAUGAAUAUCAUAUGGUAGCUACAGGUUCAGUCGAUAAACAUUUGUGUGGGUAUAGCCGUAUAAGCAUCAAUAUGGAUGUCCACAGCUCCGCUAUUGAUCAUUGACCGAAAGUUUUUCUUGGUCAUGUCUAUAUUUCACCGAACCUACAAGGUCACAUACUUAAGAACCUUUGAUCCGUUGACUUCUAAAUGAGUUUGGAGUGUUGGAGUAUAUCACCAAAAAAGUUUUGGAGAUAACAUAAAUUGUUGCGGGAGAGAACCGGAAGUGUUUCGGGGAAACUAGAAGCAGCUCGGAGAAAACCAAAUAAAACUGGAUGGGUGGAAAAGUUCUGGAGGAUGUAAUAGUAGUAUAUGAGGGCUCCGGUAUUUAUAGAGAGCUCCUCGGGAUUAUUCUAGGCACCAUGGGCUGCCCAAAUAAACUAAAGCCUAUUAGGGCGCAUCCACAUAGGCCUUGAGGCCCAUAUAUGUGUUGCCCUCCCUUAGCCUCGCCCCCCAAGCUAGGGGGUGGUGGGCUGGUGGGGCGCCACCCCCUUGGUCAUCGCCACAAGGGAAGCCCCCUCCUACAAGUUGGUCUCGCCCCUCCACCUAUAUAUACCCAUGGGGGCGCCCGCUAUUGAGACACAAGUUCUCUCGUGAUCUGGGGUGCCCCCCCUCUCUAGCUCUCCACCAUAGCUCUUCUUGCGAAGGGCUGCUCCUCCCUCUUUUUUCUAUUCCGGCAUCGUCAAGGCCUAGACAAGGAAGCACUGCCGGAUCUCUGGUCUUGAACGCGUGCGAUGCACAGAGGGCCCGUACGUUUGGUUCUUGUUCAAGGGAUCUGUUCGUGGGACUUCAAGAACACGAUCUUCACAAACUCUUUUUCCGCUGCAACUCGUUGUUGGUAAAGAUCAGAUCUAACCUUGUAUGUAUGUCUUCAUAGUGAUCCUGGUUUUGUUCGUAGGACAUUUUAUUUUCUAAAUUACAAUUCCCAACAAUAUGAUGACCAUGCCAGAGUGCAUUUUUUUGGCAACAAUCAUAAUCAUUGGAAGUUAUUAUGGCAACUGUGCUCAGACGUGUGCAGGUAGUAAUCGACAUGUACGGCCACACAGGUUUUCCCACUAGACAAUCACAUUGUGGGUCUCACAUAGGAUGUAAAUUUUCUAUUUUUUCUGAAAUUUUCCAAAAUCCUACAAUUUCAAUAUUUUGAAAGAUUUUUUGAAGUUCAAAAUUCUGUAAGUUCGAAGUAUUCUAAAAGAUCAAAUUUUGAAAUUGAAACAUUUGAAAAUGAUUUAAAAAUAAAUAAAUUACUAUUGUCAAAAUUUUGAAAGUUGACAGACUUGGAGCAGCCGCGACGUCCAUGAUCGAGCUCGGCCGUUGGUCGUCCGCCUCUUGCACGCGGCUCCAACGCACAUCCGCUCUGGUGCUCACCUCCACGUCGGCCCCACGCUACCUCGCAUGUGAUUCGAACCGCCGCGUCAUCGGUGGAAGCACCUCGCGACACCAAUGGCCACUACGCCAGAUCAUGCGCCAGCUCCACCACAUCCCGCAUGGCACGGCAUGGAAAAAAUCUUACCAUCGCACGAGUUUUGCCUGACUAUGUCCUACAGGGACGACAAGAGAGGAAUGAAGGAGCCGGUUGUACGGGUGAGUUGGUAGGUUGGGGCGCCAAAUUAGGGUAUCUUUUCUCAAAACGAGGGAAAUAUAAAUAUGAAGGAUUUUAGUGACAUGUCCUCUUAAAUCCUACAGGAUUAGAAAACUACAGGAAUUCAGAUAAAAGAGUGUUUGAUGGAGUGAGGCGUUUUGGAGGCCGAGCUCCAUGGAGCCUUUUAUUUUUGAAUCUUUUCUUCAAAAAUUGAACUUUUCGGUUUAAAUCUGAAAAAAUUUAUGCAAGUAUACAAAGAUGAAAUGUAUAUGUGUGUAAAAAUUCAGGAUGAAAAACCUUGAAAUGCGACCUGUGCGACAAAUUCAUUGUGUUUGAGGCUUAAUAGUAUCUUGUGUUGAAAAACCUCAGAUUUGUUUUUUUAGAGGCCUCAUUUCAACGUAUUUUGUCCUGAAUAUUUACACACAUGUAUAUUAUGCCUUCAUGUAUAUGUGUAUUUUUUCAUAAUUUUUUAAAAUCUAGAAAUAUGAAUUUUGAUGAAAUUUCAAAAAUGCUUUUGGACUCCUCCAUGGAGCUCGGCCUCCAAAAGGCAUUUUUGUGUUUGAUAUCACUAUAAAGAAAAUGAAUUAUACAAAGAGAUUUGAGUGGAUGCACAUUUUUCUCCAAAAUAAAGUGCAAAUGAAUUCUAAGAAAACUUACUAACAUUUCAAUAUACUAUGAAUCAAACAGCCAACACGGAAAAAAAAUUCCUACGAUCUAAAUUCUCUAAAAAUCCUACAAAACUCUUUUGGAUCAAACCCCCAGCUCAGCCUGUCAUAUGCUUCGAGUACUUACUUUCGUUCUCGUCACAUGUCGACACUUUCGAUCCGCUAAGCAAUACCAUUUUUGCAAACGAAAAGAAGAAUGAUCAGAUGUUUCUGGGGAAGUGUCUUCUUCACUCUAGUCGGCAGCCACCUGCCGACCCACUCAUGCGAGCACACGUAGCGCCCUGCCCGGCGAUUCGUCCGUCUGACCACCCCUCUUUAUGGGCUAGUCGGCACUCACCUGCCCAUCCACUCACGAGAGCACACCUGGAGCUUCGUCCACCCUCGAACGGCCUAUAAAUAGUGCCUCAUGCUGCACCUGCUUUACACAACCACGUUCUUCACACAACCAAGACAAGUAAACAGCAGCACUAGCUAGUAGAUUUCCCGAGUGACAGGUUGAGCGCAAGAUGGAGCACCAGGGACACGGCACCGGCGAGAAGAAAGGCAUCAUGGAGAACAUCAAGGAGAAGCUCCCCGGUGGCCACCAGCAGACCGCUGGCACCCACGGGCAGCAGGGACACACUGGAAUGACCGGCACGGAGAUGCAUGACACCACGGCCACCGGCGGCACCUUUGGGCAGCAGGGACACACCGGAACGACUGGCACUGGGACACACGGCACAGCCGGGACCGGCGAGAAGAAGAGCCUCAUGGACAAGGUCAAGGAGAAGCUGCCUGGACAGCACUAAGCCCGGUGUGCCCACGACCGCUACCUUCGCAGAAUAAUACUCCACCGUAUAUGAAUUGAUCGAGUCUAGUUCACCUAGCUCACUUGGUCAUUGGAGGAGCGAAUGUAUCUUUGCUUUAAGUUUUCACGGAAAUGUGUUCACUGUUUACGUUUGUUUACACUCUCUGUCGUGCAAAUUUCCUUUUUGUUCUUUUUUUUGGGCUAUCUAUUUUUUGACUAUCAGGAGGGCCAAAGCCACCCGGUUCCAUUAUCAAAUAACGAAACCAGAGUGAGUUCAACAUCAUGCAUAAAGGCAUGUUCAGGAGGGGGUAUACAGCGUGACCAGCAUAUCCCUCCGUUCCCCUAGGGUUUCCCUAGGGUCUACCUCUUCCUUCGGCGGCGCCGCCGAAGUCCACAAAUUCCCACGUGAAAAUCGGCCGGAUUGCUACACGCUUGCUGGUGAUCGGGUCGUCCCGAGGCAAUCGUCUUGGCACAUCGUUUGCAUGGAGUUAGGGGAUGGAGUUCGAGGAGCAGGAGGGUCGAAGGGAGCGCAGGCGGAGGAUUUAGGGCGGAAGGCUUUGGGAGCUGGAGAGGAGCAACUCCCGUCAUCAUCGGCGGCGGGGAUGGCUGCGGGAGGGGCGGAUGAAGCGAGGCGUAUGGAGGAGGAUCGGGAGGAUGGGGAUGAGGAGGAAAAUUGGGAUCACCAUGGCCCAGAUCCGAAUUUGGAAGACGUGUUUGAAGGACUAAAUUUGCAGGGGGAGGAGGUGGAUGAUCUCGAUCUGUCAGGAGAGGUUGAUGAGUUGAUCAAGGAUGUGAGGUGGCUGGCUCUUUUUAGGGUUCAUACCCUACGUCCGUUCGGUCAUGCGGCGCUGUUAAACUCUAUGAGGAAUGCAUGGGCGUGUGCUCAAGGUGUGACGUUCAAUAUAAAGGGACCUAAUUUGUUCUUGGCGCAAUGCCAUUGUUUGGGAGAUUGGAAGAGGGUCAUGGAAGGAGGACCAUGGCAGUUUAGAAGAGAUCCGGUGGUUUUGGUUGAAUAUGAUGGGUUUACUAAUGUCUCUGACUAUACGUUGGACAUGUACCCACUUUGGGCAAGGAUCAAAGGCCUGCCUGACGGUCUAACGAGGAAGAAAGAACUGGCUGAGAAGGUGGCAAAGAAGGUAGGGGAGCCUCCGUUUACGGUGAUUGUCAAUGAAGGCAAGAUCAAUCCUUCGAGCUACUUGAGAGUUAGGGUGUUCGUUAAUGUUAAUAAGACGCUGGUGAGAUUUGUGCCAAUAACCUAGAAGGAGAGGAAGAAAUACCCAGUUUACUACGAAAAGCUGCCUGAUUUCUGUUUGUUUUGUGGAUGUAUGGGACAUGUGGUCGAGGAACGUGGAGAUGGGAUACAUGAUCCGUCAUCGUGUGAAUGGGGUGACUAUUUGCAUUGGAGUGGAGAACCAAUAAACAAUGGUGCAAGGGGAGGUCGAGGUGCCUGGUCUGAGUCACGUAGAGAUAAUGCGGCUGGGGAAGGAGUACGGGGCGGUAGAAGAGGAGGUGGAGGUAGGGGUGACAGAGGAGGGAGAAGCUUUGGGACUGGAGGAAGGGGUGCUGGAGUGCAUCCGAGUGUACCUGAGGGGGUUGUUGAGGAAGGCGAGCAGGGCGGGCUAGAUCAGGAACGCUCGGCUCGUAAAAGACUCGUCAGAGAUGAUGGUACAGUUAAUCUACGUGGGCAGUUGGUUCCUAACCUGGGAGGGAAGGUGGCUGAUACUGUGCUUUUUAUUGAGUCCGGCGCCGGGAUUGGAAUGCCGAGCCCGAGUGCAGCGGCCUCCACACUGGGAAAGAACCCCAUAGUGAAAAGGUUGCGUCACAGCGGAAGUGGGGACCAGAUGAUUGUCAUUGAGGAUAUGGGUACCUCUUAUGCGGCGGCCUCCGAGUCGGAGGACCGCCAGGUCCAAUGAAUUGCUUAAGCUGGAACUGCCGGGGAGGGGGGAAUUCCCGGACAGUUCGUGAGCUGACGACCCUUUGUAGGUCAUAUUCCCACAUGUUUGUGUUCCUGUGUGAGACGAGACAGAAGGAAGCGAAGAUGAAGAGAUUAAGAGGCCGGUUUGGCUUGAAGGGCUUUUGUGGCGUUGAUAGUUCAGGCAUGAGUGGUGGCCUGGCGGUAUAUUGGCAUGAAAAUUGUGUGGUUGAAGUGCUUGACAAAGAUGAUCGUCAUGUUGAUGCCCUAGUUCAGGUGCAGGAAGGGGCGGAUCAGUGGAGAAUUACGUUUGUAUAUGGAGAACCGCGGGUAGAAAACCGGCAUCUCAUGUGGGCAAAAAUACAGAAUUUGAAAACUGUCAAUGAUCUUCCGUGGUUGGUUUUGGGGGACUUUAACGAAGCAAUGUGGGAUUUUGAACACUUUUCAGCUACUCCAAGACCAGAGCCGCAGAUGAUAGCAUUCAGGGAUGUGUUGGAAGUUUGUAGUUUAGUAGACUUGGGAUUUUUGGGGGUUCCUUUCACCUAUGACAAUAAAAGAAGUGGCUCGAGCAAUGUUAGGGUGAGGCUGGAUAGGGCCGUUGCAACAAAUGAUUGGAGGAAUAUAUUCCCCUUUGCCUCUGUACAACAUAUUCUAAGUCCUUGUUCGGAUCAUGUGGAUGUACUUCUCAAGGGCGAGGCGGAUUCUGGACCGGUUGGGCCGAAACAUCGCCGAUAUGAGAUCUUCUGGGAGCGGGACUCCACGCUGCCGGAGGUCGUCAAGAACGCGUGGGAAUCUGUUGGCAAUGUCCAAAAUUUGGAGCAGUUGCGAGAGGCGCUAACCAAGACAAUGGUGUCGUUGGGUUCUUGGUCCAGGAAGUUCGGGAAUGUUACAAAGGAGUUAGCUAAGUCCCGUUCACAGUUAGAAGAGCUCAUGCAUAUGAAUGCGGAUCGACAAGAAAUAAGGAAAGUGACAGACAGGAUGAAUGAUCUUUUGUACCAAGAGGAGAUGAUUUGGCUUCAAAGAUCGAGAAUUUCAUGGCUUAAGGAGGGGGACCGCAACACAAAGUUUUUUCAUAGUAAGGUAGUGUGGAGGGCUCGUAGAAACAAAAUCAGGCAGUUAACGGAUAGUAUUGGAGUGGUCCAUUCAGAUUUGGUGUCUAUGGGUAAGCUAGUGAAUGAGUAUUUUCGGGAUGUCUUCACUGCGGAUGUUAACCUUGAUGCAGGCCAUGUGGUUGAUCUCUUUGAAGUACUUUGUCACGGAGGAGGACAAUAUUAAGCUAUGUGCUCCGUUUAGUGAUAAGGAAAUCUCUGACGCACUUUUUCAGAUAGGGCCACUUAAGGCGCCGGGCCCUGAUGGAUUUCCAGCCAGGUUUUUCCAGAGGAAUUGGGCGACUCUCAAGGACAGUGUGAUUGCGGCUGUCAAGGAUUUCUUCAGAUCCGGGGUGAUGCGAGAGGGAGUAAAUUCCACGACGAUUGUCCUCAUUCCGAAAGUUGCUAAUCCUACAAAGCUGACUGAGUAUAGGCCAAUCAGCUUGUGCAAUGUGAUUUACAAGGUCAUAUCUAAAUGUUUGGUUAAUAGGCUCCGUCCUCUCUUGGAUAACCUAAUCUCUGAUGAGCAGAGUGCGUUCAUUCCGGGUAGGAUGAUUACUUACAAUGCGCUGAUUGCCUUUGAGUGCCUACACUACAUCAAACAGGAAAAGUAUCCAACAAAAAGCUUUUGUGCUUAUAAGCUUGAUCUCUCCAAAGCUUAUGAUAGGGUGGACAGGGGUUUCUUGAAGCAAGUGAUGCAAAAGUUGGGGUUCUCUCAGCGAUGGAUAGACUGGAUUAUGACUUGUGUCACAUCGGUGAGAUAUUCUGUCAAAUUAAACGGAACUCUCUUGGAUUCAUUUGCACCGACGCGUGGGCUUCGGCAAGGUGAUCCCCUUUCACCAUUUUUAUUCUUGUUUGUGGCGGAUGGUCUUUUGGCGAUCCUAAAAAAGAAAGUGGCAUCUGGUCAUAUUACUCCUGUAAGAGUAUGCAGGCGAGCACCGGGCAUAUCCCAUUUGUUAUUUGCUGACGAUACCAUGUUGUUUUUUGAGGCAACUAGAGAUCAGGCUAAGAGCGUUAAGGAAGCUCUAGACUUGUAUGGUGCGGCCACUGGGCAAAGUCUCAAUUAUGGAAAAUGUUCUAUGUUCUUUGGUUCUUCUUGUCCGAACACAAUUCAAGAUGAGGUUCGACAGGUGCUGCGUGUGCAAAGUCUGGUUUUUGAGGAAAAAUAUUUGGGUUUGCCUACCCCUGAGGGUCGCAUGUCUAAGGGGAAGUUCCAAAACCUUCAAACAAGCUUGAUAAAACGCCUUAUUCAGUGGGGAGAUGGUCAACUUGCCCAGCCUGGUAGGGAGGUAUUAGUGAAAGCUGUUGCACAGGCGUUGCCAACCUAUAUCAUGGGGGUUUUCAAAUUGCCAUUUUCAGUUUGCGGUGAUCUUACAAGAAUGGUUAGAAACUUUUAUUGGGGCUCGGCAAAAGGAAAAAGAAAGGUCCAUUGGAGGGGGUGGGACCAUCUCAUGCAGCCAAAGGAUAGAGGUGGUGCAGGUUUUCGUGAUUUUCAGCUGUUUAACCAGGCGCUUCUGGCUCGGCAGGCGUGGAGAUUGAUUUCUAGGCCGAACAGUUUAUGUGCACUGGUUCUGAAAGCAAGAUACUAUCCGGAGGGCAAGCUUGAAGACACGGUGUUUUCUGGCAACGCUUCCUCCUCCUGGCAAGCAAUAAGCCAUGGGUUAGACUUACUAAAGAAGGGUCUGAUUUGGCGUGUGGGCAAUGGCAGGAGCAUACGAGUUUGGCGCGACAACUGGAUCCCAAGGCCUUUCUCAUAUAAACCCAUCUCACUGCAGGGCAGAUGUCGUAUUCGCUAUGUUUUCGACUUCCUGAAUGAGAAUGGAUCCUGGAAGGGGCAGUUACUGUCAGAGUAUUUCCUUGCUGCGGAUGUUGAUGAAAUACUAAAGAUUAGAGCUUCUCCGAGGCAGGCCGAAGAUGUUAUUGCAUGGGGUCCCAAUAAGCUGGGUGUGUUCACAGUAAAAAGUGCUUAUAUGUUGGCGUUUGAAGAAGCACAUAGAGAGAGGGCAUCCUCGUCUAGUUCUUCUCCAGAUGGGAGUAGAGCUUGCUGGUCUUACAUAUGGAAGAGCUUGGCGCCUCCGACCGUCAAGAACUUUGCUUGGCGUAUGGCGACUGAUGGGCUACCUACCUGGCGGAACAAGCAUAAAAUCGGAUUAGAAGUAUCAAGUACCUGUCCAGUUUGUGGUGUUGAAGAGGAAGAUAAUUUUCACCCCUUUGUGCGCUGCCAAUUUGGGAGAGACUUGUAUCUAGAGAUGGCCAAGGUUUGGAGGUUACCUAGUAUUGAUAAUCUGAUAAACAGUGGGAAGGAGUGGCUGCUUAUUGCCUUAUCUUCAUUAAGUGAUAUUGAGCGAUGCAUGAUGCUUAUGACCUUUUGGCGGAGCUGGUUCGUCCGAAAUGAGAUUACACAUCAAAAACCAGCUCCACCACUUGAAGUUUCGGUUCGGUUCCUGCAAAGCUACCUGGAGUCGCUGGUGGCGAUCAAACUGAAUUCCAACAUGGACCCGAUCAAGGGCAAUCCGUUGUGAUCCUAGACUCGUUGCCUUCACCGUGCAGGGCGGUUUCCCCAGAGAGUAGAUGGUCUAAACCAAGCAGGGAUUGUGUUAAACUAAACACUGAUGGGUCCUAUGAUUCUUCGAGAGCAGCGGGAGCUGGAAUGAUCCUUCGGGAUUCUAAUGGCGAAAUUAUAUUCUCAGCCUGCCGAGUUUUAUUUUCCUGCAGAGAUGCUCUGGAAGCGGAGUUAUGUGCAUGCAUGGAGGGGCUUUCGAUUUCUAUUCAGAGGUCAAAUCUUCCUAUUGUGGUUGAGAUGGAUUCGUCGGAGGCGGUGGCCAUGAUCAACUGUGUUGGCAAGGAUCGAUCGGUCUAUGCUGCUCUUAUUGAUGAGAUAAGAUAUCUUGUUAGUCUUCGUUCUACUUGCAUUACUCACGUUUCGCGAACUCAAAAUAAAGCUAGUGAUUGCCUAGCUACCUUCAGGAGAGUUGAGAGUAGAAUUAUGACCUGGAUUGGGUCAGGCCCCCCGGAGGUGGUACAGAUUGCUAAGGAUGAUUGUAAAGACUUGAUUAUUGAGUAAUACAAGUAUUUCUCCCCGCAAAAAAAAGGCAUGUUCAGGAAGGUAAAAGGUUACAUAAAACGCUCAGGAAAAAGUGAAAGGUGCAAACUUAUUACAACACGGGUAUCUUCAGAGUGUCGAAUACAUUCCGCUUUUCUCCCAUUCUAUGGUUUACAAUGUUUUAAAUAACUCAACUAUAGCCUUUGAGACCUCUCUCGCUAAAGCUAUGCACUUUUAAUGCUAAAUUAAUAUGACGGUAAUAGCCCGCAAUUUCCCGUUAUAAUGCUACCUUUGGAGUUAUUUAGCCCGCUAAGCCGCAAUACAAAACCAUCCUUUUGCAUUAUUUUUUGUUCUUGUUUAUGAUAUAUUUGACACAUUGAUGCGAAGCUUGGUUAUUGAAUUAGGACACCAGAUUGGUGCUAGGGUUUCGAUGUGCGAACAUGUGUAUAUAUCGAGUAUAUGCAAUAUAUCAUAUAUGAUGUUCAUUUUAUAAUUAUUUUUUUUUCAAUUUUGCAUGAAUAAAGGAAAACAAAAAACGGGGCUUAGCUUCGCUAUAGCUUUUCAUAGCAACGGGCCAAUCCGCCGCUAAAUGGCAUAGCCCGCUAUUUAAAACAUAGGGUUUUCAGCACGAUCCUCCAGACUGCAGUACCAGGGGCCACCCCCACUCCAGGCCGCUUGAGCUUCUUUGCAGGUUGAGCUGGAGAACUAGGUAGAUCCAGUGGUGUGACUGGGCUCGGUAGGGAGUGUUUGCAGGGGGCAUUGCCAGGACUCCUGGGACGUGAUGAUAGAGUAACCCGAUUCAGUUUGGCAAUGAGCACUUGAGAAAAAGCACCUUCAGCAUUUUGGUGAAGCUCCACUACCCACUGUGAUCUGAAAAGGGGUGUUUAGGAUCAAGGAAAUUUUGAGACAAAAUUCCUCUAUCUUCAACAGUGAGGCAUCCAUAAAUAAUAUCACCCGUCUCCUCAUGAGCCCUAGUGUCAAGUUCGAAACUUGUUUCAAAAUCAAUCCAGACAGUAUUAUAAAGAAUACAUGAAUUCCUAUGUUUCCACAUAGCCCACAACACACAAGCACAUGUAGAAUUUAAAUCACUGUGUUUCUUGUGGGCUAGCAAGAAUUUGGCAAUGGAGAGGUAAAUUUUUCCUAGUUCAUAGGAGAAGAAUUUUGAUACAGAAGCCCAAACUUGUUUUGCAACAACACAAUCAAAGAAUAAAUGGUGUAUGGAUUCCUACUCAGAACAAUAAACACAUUCUAGAGAUUUUCUACCACUACUAGGGAAAACGUUAUACACAGAACUUUAGCAGUAGCGCUUGUCAAAAAAGCUCGCUACUGCUAGACAGCAGUAGCGCGUGCCAAAUAAGCGCGAUGCAGAUGCAUAUAUAGCAGUAGCGCGUCUCGCUGAAAACUCUCUACUACUAAAAUUUCGACCACUAAGCCGAUGGGCUACACAUAGUAGUAGCGAUCUUUCAGAAACCGCGCUGCCGCUAAUAUUCUUAUAGCAGCGCGUUUACGUGCAAAGCGCUACUGCUAACGAAAAUAAAAUAAAAUGAAAAACAAAUAGAAAAGUAAAUGAAAAAUGAAAGAAAUAGAAAAAGGAGAAAGGAAAAAUAUAAAAUGUAAAGAAAAAUAAACGAAAAAGGGAAAAAAGGAUGAAGGAAUAGCAGUAGCGCGUUUGCGAAAACGCGCUAUAGCUAACUUAGCUAUAGCGCGUUUUCCCUAACGCGCUACCGUUAUUAUUGACUUAACCCAAAAAAUGGUUUCCCCCCGGCCACCACUUCUCCCCCAAAUCCCUCGCCCCACUCUUCGCCGCCGUCUCCCCCACCUCACCGUCUCCCCCACUUCGCCGCCGUCUCCUGCCGGCGUCGACGCCGCGCUCAUCCUCACCGCCGCCGCCCGAGGCCGCCCAACCUCACCGCCGCCGUCUCUCGGGCCGCCCUCGACCUCACUGUCACCGCCCUCGACCUCUCCGCCGCCGNNNNNNNNNNNNNNNNNNNNNNNNNNNNNNNNNNNNNNNNNNNNNNNNNNNNNNNNNNNNNNNNNNNNNNNNNNNNNNNNNNNNNNNNNNNNNNNNNNNNNNNNNNNNNNNNNNNNNNNNNNNNNNNNNNNNNNNNNNNNNNNNNNNNNNNNNNNNNNNNNNNNNNNNNNNNNNNNNNNNNNNNNNNNNNNNNNNNNNNNNNNNNNNNNNNNNNNNNNNNNNNNNNNNNNNNNNNNNNNNNNNNNNNNNNNNNNNNNNNNNNNNNNNNNNNNNNNNNNNNNNNNNNNNNNNNNNNNNNNNNNNNNNNNNNNNNNNNNNNNNNNNNNNUUUCUCUUAGCUUUUUCUUCCUCUGCCAUGUUAAUUAGCAGUAGUAGUAGAUGUUAAUUAGUACUAGGGUUCAUACAUAAUGAUUUUUAGUAGUAGUAGUAGAUGUUAAUUAGUAGUAGUGAUGGUACUAGUUAACUAGGGCAGUAUGUUUAAUAGUAGAUGUUUUUAGUUAGGGUAAUAAUAGAUGUUAAGUAGUAGAUAAUGUUGAUGUUAAUUAGUUCAGUAGGGUUUAGUUUUUGAAUUGAGUUUGUUUAACUAGAUGUUACUUAGGGCAGUAGGGUUUAGUUUAGAGUAAAGUAAUUUAGUUCAGUAGUUAAGUAAAUAUAAUCUAUAUUUGGUUUUUGAAUUGAGUUUGAGAGAGCAUGAGAUUUGUGUAGAUUUUCUUGUAGUGUCAAACGCUAGGACAUGCAAAUUUGAAGUGGUCAGGAUAUAUGCAAAUUCCUUAAUUAUGUUUACACAUGCAUGUUUCGAUUGUGCCCAAGUGGCCUUUUGUUGUUUCCAGGGAAUGAAGCCGAGUGGCCUAUGUUUUGCCGGAAUGUUGAUUCAUUUCCAUUCCGGCAAAUUUUAGACUCUCGAUUUGUCCACUUUUUAGGAAAGGUCAUGCCGAAAUUUUCCGUGAAUUUCGGCAUGACUUGUGCUACAAACUAGGACAUAUCGAGUGCCCGGGAUUUGCCGCACCAGGAAGGAGUCAACGUUCUUGCAAAACAUUAGGCUUUUUUAUGUCAUUAUUCAUUUUAUUAGGUCUAAAAUUAAUUGACUAGAUUUAAUCGUAGGAAACAUGGCUAGCAAUGAUGAAGGACAGGGUUCUGGUGAUUGCGACAACGUCUACCGGGCGGCAGACGAAUUUUUGAGCCUUGCUGACGAUCAACCGAUGUUGUUGCUGGGCCCACCGGUGGCAUCGGGGACUGAGACCGACACAUAGACCUGUGCUGAGACUGAGACCGGCGCUGAGACUCAGACCGGCAUCGAGACCGGCGCUGAGACUGAGACUGGCGCUGCCUCGAGGAGCGGAGCCGGUGUAGAACUGAAAGCAAAGAGGCAACGGCUUCCUAACAAACUCAGGACUACUAGACUGAUGGUCACGGAGGUGGACGACAGCAAUUUUGAGCUAAAUGCGCCCGAGGAAGCGCGCGCAUGCUACGGCAAUCAAAUAGGCUGCAUCGUACGGACAACCGCCACCAUCAACGAUGAGAAACUAUAGAAGAUAGAUAAUAUGAGGCCCUCCCUCCUAAAGAAGUUUCACCAGAUAUUCUUGUUCCCGGGCCGGAAUGAAAAGGAUUAUGAAGAUCCAGGUAAGGACCCGCUAAUGAAGAAGAUACAGAAACACACCAUGACCAAGUUUAGCGACGCGUUGGCCGCCUGGAAAACAAGGGUGAAAGCAAGGAUCAUCGACAAGAAGGAACCCUACUCCGACAUUGUAAAGUAUAAUCCGACAAUCACAGAAGAGUAGUUUCAAAUAUUCAAGGUGGCUUGCGAGGCCGAAGCUGGCAAAAAAAGUCUAAGUACAUGAAGGGGCUUCAAGAGAGGAACAUUGGGAGCCACCACCUAGAAAGCCGUGGUUACGGCGGGAAGAGGUCCAAAUGGGCCAAGGAGGACGCGGAAGCCGCGAGUCUGGGCAUCCCAGACCCCUUGGCGGAGUUCACCAUCUCGCAUGAGCGUGACAUCCUCAGGGCCCGGCACCGUUGGGACCCAGUGAAGAAGGUUUACGAGACAAAUGCGGUCACGACGGAGUUCAUUAGACUGCUGGUAAUUUUAGUUUUUGAUCAAUUCGACUGCACAUGUUAGUCAUAUUUAUAAACGAUCCUUGUGCCUUUUUGAUGUCUACUACGCAACCUUCUCCUUGUAGACGUUGUUGGGCCUGCAAGUGCACAGGUUUGUAGGACAGUAGCAAAUUUCCCUCAAGUGGGUGACCUAAGGUUUAUCGAUCCAUAGGAGGCGUAGGAUGAAGAUGGCCUCUCUCAAGUAACUCUGCAACCAAAUAACAAAGAGUCUCUUGUGUCCCCAACACACCCAAUACAAUGAUAAAUUGUAUAGGUGCACUAGUUCGGCGAAGAGAUGAAGAUACAAGUGCAAAAUAGAUAGUAGAUAUAGGUUUUUGUAAUCUGAAAUAAUAAAAACAGCAAGGUAACAAGCGAUAAAAGUGAGCGUAAACGGUAUUGCCAUGAUAGGAAACAAGGCCUAGGGUUCAUACUUUCACUAGUGUAAGUUCUCUCAACAAUAAUAACAUAGAUAGAACAUAUGACAAGCCCUCAACAUGCAACAAAGAGUCACUCCAAAGCCACUAAUAGCGGAUAACAAACGUAGAGAUUAUGGUCGAGUACGAAACCACCACAAAGCUAUUCUUUCAGAUCAAUCUAUAAAAGAGUUUGUACUAGAAUAACACCUUAAGAUACAAAUCAACCAAAACCCUAAUGUCACCUAGAUACUCCAUUGUCACCUCAAGUAUCCGUGGGCAUGAUUAUACGAUAUGCAUCACACAAUCUCAGAUUCAUCCAACCAACAUAAAAGUACUUCAAAGAGUGCCCCAAAGCUACUACCGGAGAGUCAAGAACGUGUGCCAACCCCUAUGCAUAGGUUCCCAAGUGUCACGAAACCCGCAAGUUGAUCACCAAAACAUACAUCAAGUGGAUCAAUAGAAUAACCCAUUGUCACCACAGUUAUCCCACGCAAGACAUACAUCAAGUGUUCAUAAAAGACUCAAUCCGAUAAGAUAACUUCAAAAGGGGAAACUCAAUUCAUCACAAGAGAGUAGAGGGGGAGAAACAUGAUAAGAUCCAACUAAAAUAGAAAAGCUCGGGAUACAUCAAGAUCGUGCCAUAGAGGAACACGAGAGAGAACACGAGAGAGAGAGAUCAAACACAUAGCUACUGGUACAUACCCUCAGCCCCGAGGGUGAACUACUCCCUCCUCGUCAUGGAUAGCGCCGGGAUGAUGAAGAUGGCCUCCGGUGAUGGGAUCCCCCUCCGGCAGGGUGCCGGAACGGGGUCCCGAUUGGUUUUUGGUGGCUACAGAGGCUUGCGGCGGCGGAACUCCCGAUCUAUCUUCUGUUCUGGAAGUUUUAGGGUACGUAGGUAUAUAUGGGUGCAGGGAGAACGUCGGUGGAGCUACGGAGGCCCCACGAGGCUGGGGGGCGCACCCAAGGGGAAGGGCGCCCCCCACCCUCAUGAGCACCUCCCAUAUCUUCUGACGUGGGGUCCAAGUCCAUCAGGUGGGUUUCCUUCCAAAAAUAACUUCUCUAGUUGAUUUCGUUCCGUUUUGACUCCGUCUGAUAUUCCUUUUCCUCGAAACACUAAAAUAGGCAUAAAACAACAAAUCUGGGUUGGGCCUCCGGUUAAUAGGUUAGUCCCAAAAGUAAAGUGGAUAAUAAAGCCCAAUAUUACCUAAAACAAUAGAUAAAGUAGCAUGGAGCAAUCAAAAAUUAUAGAUACGUUGGAGACGUAUCACUUUUGCAGAGAGAGCAGCAAAGGAGUGCGGCCGAAAGCGACUCGCCGUUUGAGGCAUUGGCGAGGCCCAAGUGGGACACUCCAUUCAACCGGUCGUUGAACAUAUUGAAACGACUCCCGGUGGAGACUCGACCGCCGUAUGGACGCGUGCACAGUGUCGGAGACGGCGCCACAUGGAAGAAGUACUACCGUGUGACCACGGAGGAGAGAAAGGAAAGACGGAGGUUAACUGAAGAAAACAUCGAUAAGAAGGUUGAGAUUGCGGUUGAGAAGAAAUCAUCUCGGACAGUCGCAACAGCGGUAAUCCUCUACCCCGAUACUCCCACGCUCUUUACUUGGACUCAUCGAAGAACAUUCACAAAAAGGAUUACACCCACAUCAAGGAUGUUCUCGACAGUGCUAUGUUUUACUACCAAGCAUGGGGUGGAGAGGUCAAGGACAAGAAGAGAAGGGGCGGCAGGCUCGCCUUCGGCCAUAAGACCGACUUCUGCUGCAUCCAGCAACCGAGUGAUUCUCUUAAUGAUGGAUUCUAUGUCCUACACCACAUGCUGGAGUACAGACGGGAUCACCAGAACCUUCGCAUGUCACCUAGAUCCGGCGAUGCCCAUAUUCUGCAAUGGGCAAAGAACGUAGGAGAUAUCGAGGAUCAUCGACUUUGAGCUGAGUUCUAUAACAUCCAGCGCGAACUUGCCCAAAUCAUCAUGAAGGAAGUCGUCGGAAAAACAGGGAUGUUCUACGAAGAAGGACAAAUGUCGCGGGAAGACGUCCGAACAUGGGUAUCCUCUCAGCGUCUCGACAUGAAGCCUUUCACUAAACUCGGGGACUAUCUCCCUGACAUCGAUGGAUGGCACGACAUGUUGGAGUGAUUGUUGAUAUAUGACAAUGUGUCCGUUUAGUCCAUACUUUCUGUACGACAAAACUUUGAGUUAUGCACGGCAAAACUUUAUUUGUGAUGUAAUUAAACCGUCCUCCUCCUCGAGUAGCGAAGAUCACUCUAGUUAGGGCAUUUUAGGUAUGAUGAACUUUGUUAUUUAUGCUUAUGAUAUGUUGUUUCUAUUUUGCCAAGUCUGUCUCUUUAUGUUGCUCAACUAUAUAUGUUGCAUAUCAUCGACUAAUGUGACGAUGCAGGUGCAUAGAUCAUCGAUGGAGAAGAAGUGCUACGCCAGGAGUAUAUAUACGAUGAGUGGCUGGAGUGUCAGGCAUAGGUGUACCGGUUUCCGGUUUUCGAGCGAUAGGCAGUAGUUAGUUUAGGUUCACGCUAAUGCGAGAGAGGGAUACGAACUCAUGUACUGCAUAGUUCCGCUCUCACUCAAAGUGAUAUCUCUUCUCGUGUAUAUCACUGUUUAGAUGGAUGACGAUGUAUUUGCAUGUAAUCGAGACUUGUAUCGCUAUUUUCGAGAUGAUGACGAGAGACCACUUUGUGUUGGAUGAUGAUUAUGAUCAUGACAUGAUUUGAUGAGACUAGUUGUAUGUAUAUGCUAUGAUUACAUUUGUAUGUGUAUGAUAUGCUAAAGAUUAUUGUAUAAAGCCUAUUCAAAUACAAAACAAAUAUGCAAAAAAAAUAAUAAAACUAGUAGUAGCGAGGGGGGAAAGUUAGCAGUAGCGCCGCCUUACCAGUAGCGCUUCCCUGUAAAAAGCGCUGCAGAUAAUAUCAUUAGUGCUCUUCAGUGAAGCGCGGUACAACUAUCCAUGUAUAGCAGUAGCGCCUUAUCAGUAGUGCAUCUUCCCGCGCUAUUGAUUGGCCUAAAAUCCGCGCUGCUGCUAGGCUUUUCCCUAGUAGUGUACCCCUCUUUUACACUACCAGGGAAAUGCUUAUAGGUAGGACAUCAGUAGUAGCGCUGGAAAAAAAGGAAUCGCUGCUGCUAAUUAGCAGCAGCGCUUGUCCGGGUACGCACUACAAUUAAUGCUUUAGAAGUAGCGUUGGAAACAGAAAAGCGCUACUACUAAGUGGGACCCAACGCUCCCACCGACGCUAGUUGUAGUAGCAACGCUGUCCAGAAAACAACGCCACUACUAAUAUUUUAGCAGUAGUGCUUUAUUUUACAGCACCGCUACUACUAACAGGCCUCACUUUGUAGUAACGCUGCUUCCUGAAAAGCGUUGCUGCUAAGUAGCAUAGCAGCAACGCUUUCUGGGAAGCAGCGCUACUGCUAGUUGCGGCUGGUGCCACGUUUUCACCCCCUCCUCCUCCCCCUCCUUUCCCCACUUCUUUCCCCCCUCUCCACCAUUGUUGCCCUUCUUCUCUCUUCCUCCUACCUCUCUUCUAUCCUCAUUAAUGUCCCCCUCCAUCAUAACUCUCCUCCAUAAAUGGUCUUCUCAUCUCUCUCUUCCUCGUACCUCUCUUCUUUCCCCAUUAAUGCCCCCUCCACCAUAACUCCCUCUCUAUUAGUUAGCUAGAGUCAUUUCUCCUCCCCAACAACUAGAUCUAGCUAGCUAUUUAGCCAUCCACACUUUCGAUCCCUAUAGGUAGCGAAAGGCCUCAUCUAACCGUGCUCGGUCUCUCUCGGGAGAUAUAUAGGUGAGUAAAAAGUUGUUCAUUUCAAGAAUGGGAAUAUGUGUGUUUGGGGUAUGGAGAGAUUUGUGCGAGUGACAUGCCCCCGAGUUGCUUAUGUUUUGCCAAAAUGUCUAUUUAUUUCCGUUUCGGUGAAUUUCAAGCAAAAUCGACAUGUCCUACUUUUAGGCAAGGCCAUGCCAAAUUUUUAUAUGACUUUGAUGCAUGGAUGCAUUUUGUUUAUAACCCUUUUGCUUGUUAUACCGUGCAGUCGGUCAUGAAGGUGAGUGGAUGGAACAUGGAGCGAUACAUGCAAUCCGCGGUGAUGGACAUGUAUGCAAAUAAUCGGACUAGGAUUAGAUGUUCGUGUGCAAGAUGCAAAGAAGGAGUCCUUUUGGACCCUUUUGAUCGUGGCACUUUGAAGGCGCACCUGCUGAUGAAUGGUUUUAUGGAUGGCUAUACUCGAUGGAUAAGUGAAGAAGAUGAUGAUGAUGACGAGGACGUCCACAUGGCAGGGAAUAACGACAUGGGGCUAGAUGAAGAGAUGACCGAUUGACACGAAGACGAUGAUGGCGCCGGACAUGGCGGUGGGGAAGAGUCCGGAAAUGAUGGCGGCAGAGAAGAUUCUGGACACGCGAAGAAGAGUCCGGACAUGGCGGAGAAGAGGCAGACGUCAUGCUGCAGUCUUCGACGCUACUAAGUGCAGUCGUGCAAGACCCUCAUGUUCGAGACCUCCUAGCAAGAGUACGACUAGCGAGAGAGUUGCUUCUAGAGAGUAGGCAAAGCUGGUGCAACUUAAAGUAGACUCGAAGACUCCAUUGUAUGACGGUUGCGACCCGACAUGACCCGCUUGAGUUUCACGCUCGAACUUCUAAAGACGAAGGCCAACAAAUGGACAGACAAAAGCCUCGAUGAGCAUUUGAAGUAUCUACAUAAUAAAGUUCUUCCCGCGGGGAAACUAUGUCGUAAUAGUGUUCAGGAGGCCAAGAAAAUCAUUUGCCAUUUUGAUUUGCCGCACAUUAGGUACCAUGCAUGCAUCAACAAUUGCAUCAUUUAUCCGGGGAAGCACACGAAAAAAACCAGCAGUCCAGUGUGCAAUGCUUCUCGAUACAAGAAGGCAGGAAAGAAAGCUCCUCAGAAAGUUGUAUGGUACUUUCUGAUCACUCCCCGUCUGCAGUGGUAUUUAGUAGAUCCUAAGGAAGCAAAGCUCAUGCGCUGGCACACGGAGAGGAAGAAGCCCGACGAUGGAGAUGAUCCGAAGCUGAGACACCUCAUAGAUGGUAGCCAGUGGAGAGUGACGGUGUCCUGGACUAGGGGGUACUCAACACGUCGUCUCCCGAUCAGUUGGAUUGGGCCCAGGACCCCCAUGGCCGUAUACUCAUGGGCCAGUCCGGACAGCUGCCGCAUACAAGGAAGAAUCCACAAGACUUGGCGAUCAAGACAAGGACUCCUCCCCCACCGGCGUAUUCGGCUAGGACUCAUGUUAUCCUAGGCCUCUGGUGCAUUAUAUAAACCAAGGCCAGGCUAGUCGAUAGAGAUAUACAACAAUCAUACCAUAGGCUAGCUUCUAGGGUUUAGCCUCCUUGAUCUCGUGGUAGAUCUACUCUUGUACUACCCAUAUCAUCAAUAUUAAUCAAGCAGGACGUAGGGUUUUACCUCCAUCGAGAGGGCCCGAACCUGGGUAAACAUUGUGUCCCUUGCUUCCUGUUACCAUUGAUCCUAAGACGCACUGCUUGGGACCCCCUACCCGAGAUCCGCCGGUUUUGACACCGACAUUGGUGCUUUCAUUGAGAGUUCUGCUGUGUGAUCGGCGAAAGGAUCAAUGGCUCGACAGUAGGUUAACUGCGACGUUGGCUUCUUCAUCACCAGCUCGACUGGUCACCUUGGCUUCACCGAGGACUGCACCCUACCUCCGACCGUCAUGUUCGGAAGAGGGCCUUCAUCAACACCAACUCUGAUCUCUAUCAAGAUCAUGGAGGAGUCAUCCAGGGAGCUCGGGGGCUCAACAUCAACAUUGCCCUCAGGCGACCGUGCUAUGUCACCACUUCGGAGUGCCGAGCUCUUUGCUCCGCCACCUCGGGACCGGCUCUGGGAUGGAACCUUGUCCAGCAUCAAGCUCGGACCGCGUCAUCAGUACCGAACACAUUAACCAGCUAAGUUGUCUUCAUGCUCAAAGUUUUAAACUUGUGUUCGGCUCGGCCAAGCAUUAUACUUUUUUGGAAAAAAGUUGCUUGUAAAAAUUUCCUUGUCCAAACUUUGUUUGUGACGCGCAAAUUCAAAUACCCCGUUUACUUGGGGGGCUUCCUUCAUGAAGCUUUUUCCUCUCGCAUAUGGUUAUACUUGUACGGCUUCGUUCCUUGUUCGUGUAUUACGCCACAAUAUGCACCAUAUUGACUUAAGCGAUUUGCAAGCUGGGUUGCCUGGCUCCUGUGCUUACCCCUACGUUCCCGAUUGUUCGGCUAGGGAGUAAAGGGAGCACCUCUGCGAUUGUCACGAUCGGGUCACCCGAGCCGGACCUCAGACUGGGUGAAGCCGAAAGCUAGCGCUCUUAUUGUUUUCAAUCAUGGUCGGCACACAACGGAACUCAUGAGUACAAAAAAUCUGUUGCUCAAGUCUCAUAAUAAUAAUGAGCACCGAAGAAAGGUAUCGGUGGGGGUACUAUUUUCUUCGAAGAUGCUUCUUACACUUUGCAGUAAUAUAGCAUAAGUUCCCUGAGCGCGCUUUGUCUGUUACAGCCUUAUGGCCUAUUGCCUGGUUAUUGGAAACACCGUCGAUAUUCUCGACAGAUGGAGUACAUAACACUUUUCGGUCCUUGACCGAAGAGGGAGAAGCCGACGGUCGGUUAAGACGCGUUUAAAGUUCGGUUGAACAUAGAUAUGAUAUAAGUACUUCGGUACAUGCAAUCAUUCUUUUACCCAAGUCACUUGGGGGCUCUUAAAUUUAUAUGAGCCGUUUUAUGAUAAGUGUUUUUCUUCUUAGUCGUUGCAAAGUUUUUAUUAUUAUUUAUCACUCCUUUUUUCGACACAAGUGUGUGGUCACUAGCCGGGGAGCCUAAUUUGUCUCUCAAAGAAGCCGUAGGCUGACCCACUUGAAGUUUUGAGAUAGGAUGUGUCAUGUUAAAGCACGGCAAAAGCACCUUUUUUUAAAGUCCAAUUUUCGGAUUGGCACCGAACACUUGAUCUAGUUCGGACAUUAACCUUUUGAAUAAGUUUUUUGGCUUUUCGAGCCCAUGGCACUUUUAAACUAUUUGUGUGUUUUUAGCACAAGUCUCGCAGUGCAACGCCGGACACCUUUAGAGAAUCGGCAAAAACAUUCUCGGAUAUUGCUAUAUAUGCAUCGGUUUCGAAUUGUGUCUUCGGUCAAUAGUUGGGUUGCCCGGCUCCUGCGCUUGCCUCCUAUAUUCCGCUUUGUUCGGCUAGGUGUGCAAAGAGAGAACCACUGCGAUUGUGCUUUCAGCUCACAUGGUUAAGCACCUCAGUGGAGAAAGCCGAAAAAAAACUGUCACAAUAAGCGUAAACUGGUCGGCGAUCCGAUGACGGUGUUAAACGACGGGCCAUUCAUAACCAUAGCCGAAGUGUUUACGGCUUGACCUCGACUAUCGCCGAACACUACCGGGGGCUAUUAACUGGCCUCCCAAACUAAAUCCUCGAUAUUUUGCUCUUACACUGGAGCUGAGGUUUCAUGAUCAUGCUUAGCAUGACAACCCAAAGAAAGGAACCGAUAGCGGGACUAUUUUCUUUGGAAGACAUUUCUUCUGUUAAACAGUAAUAUAACAUGUCUCUCCGCGUACCUUUGUUUAUAAAACCGUAUGGCCAGAUUGCCUCGUUUGUUGUAAAUCUUUGCCCUCAUAAAGGCUUUAUAAAGUAGGACAAACACUCCUCGGCUAUUGGCCGAGGAGGUAGAAGCUGAUGGUCGGUCAACAAAGUUUUAUACAAUGCGGAUCCGAGCAUUAAUGACGUAAAGUACUUGGAUACAUAGAGUCAUUACACAUAAUUUGUGAUUUUACUAUGGAUAUCGAUCCUUAAUUCGGCCUCCCGUGCCUGCAUUAAGGCUCGGGGGCUACUGGGCUUCGGGCUUGUUAUUUACAAAUAUUAAAGGGGCACAUCAAUCCCCUGAUCUAGUGUUACCACCCGACCAGUGUCUUGGGGGCUACUGCAUUGCCUGUUCUAUGCAGAAAAUUUUAAGUGCAAUACAGUUUCCGAGGAGAUUUUGAUCCUCAGGUUGGUCGGCCACACCCAACCCGAGUCUUGAGGACUGAGCACGCCGCUUUUUGUGUCCCGAAGUAUUCUGCCGAGCUAGGACUUGAUCCUCAAACCGAUUUUGCAAAUCAACCUGAGUCUCAGCAGCUACGGGGAUCAGCGGUCUUAUGUCAUCCUUCAUGGGCAUCUCGGGUUUUAGACCGAUACCCACCUUGAGGGCUACUGGCUAUGUAUCUCGGCAGAGAAUAAAUUACACCAAUCAAAAAUAUUGGCAAAAAUCAGCCCACAUUCGGGGUGGUGCACCACCUGGGAAGCUGUCCGGCAUAAAGCUCGGGCACUAGUGGCUGGCUCCAUAGAGAGCAUUUCCGGCGUUAAGCUCGGCUAAACUCCUUCAAACUUCUUUGAACCAAGGUGAUUUACGACACCUCGGAUAUAGUCCGGCGUUGGAGCUCGGAUACAUAGUCUGGCGUUGGAGUUCGGAUACAGUCCGGUGUUGGAGCUCGGAUACAGUCCGGCGUUGGAGCUCGGAUACAUAGUCCGGCGUUAGAGCUGGUAAGCAGUCCGACAUUGGUGCUCGACUGCAAAAGAUACCUCGAAUGCAGUCCGGCGUUAGAGCUGGUAAGCAGUCCGACAUUGGUGCUCGACUGCAAAAGAUACCUCGAAUGCAGUCCGGCGUUGGAGCUCGGAUGCAAGAGGACGUUGCCGCCCGGGAACAACUUCAAACCCGAGGUGUGGCAUAAAAAUAACAAGGCAUUGAUAAAGGCCGGAAACUUAAAGGGGCUCCUCGGAUACCCGACGUAUAAACUUGUCGAAUGCAUUUCGGUAAUCCUCAAGAUCGAAGAUGAGAAGAUUUGUUGAACCAGUUUUCAAGACCGGCAACCGAAGAUGAAGAACAGUUCGGAAGAAUCGAGGAGCGUCCCUAACUUGAAGACCGGUUCAGGGGCUACUGACGGUGUCCUGGACUAGGGGGUACUCAACGCGUCGUCUCCCGAUCAGUUGGAUUGGGCCGAGGACCCCCAUGGCCGUAUACUCAUGGGCCAGUCCGGACAGCUGCCGCAUACAAGGAAGAAUCCACAAGACUUGGCGAUCAAGACAAGGACUCCUUCCCCACCGGCGUAUUCGGCUAGGACUCAUGUUAUCCUAGGCCUCUGGUGCAUUAUAUAAACCGAGGCCAGGCUAGUCGAUAGAGAUAUACAACAAUCAUGCCAUAGGCUAGCUUCUAGGGUUUAGCCUCCUUGAUCUCGUGGUAGAUCUACUCUUGUACUACCCAUAUCAUCAAUAUUAAUCAAGCAGGACGUAGGGUUUUACCUCCAUCGAGAGGGCCCGAACCUGGGUAAACAUUGUGUCCCUUGCUUCCUGUUACCAUUGAUCCUAAGACGCACUGCUUGGGACCCCCUACCCGAGAUCCGCCGGUUUUGACACCGACAGAGAGAAUUCAACACUUUAUAUGGAUUUGAUGUAGAAGAUCCAAGGAACAUCGUGCUUGGUGCGAGUACCGAUGGCAUGAAUCCGUUUGGAAACCAGAACACCAACCACAACACAUGGCUCGUCUUUGUAUGGAUGUACAACAUCCCCCCAUGUAAGUGCAUGAAGACAAAGUACAUACACAUGAGCAUGCUGUUUCAAGGGUCGAAACAACCGGGAAAUAAUAUUAACCUGUAUGUGGGGCUUCUGAAAGAGGAGCUAGACACGUUAUGGGAAACACCGGCAUGGACAUGGGAUGCCAACAAAGGAGAGUAUUUCUAUAUGAGAGCCACGCUGAUGAUGACGGUGCACGACUAUCUCGGUUACGGUACACCUCAGGCCAGGUGUGCCACAGAUACUGCGGAUGCACGAGGUGCAUGGAUGAUACAACGUCUCAGCAGCUUAGGUCAAUGAAAGAUGUCGGGUCUGGGAAAAUUGUGUACAUGGGGCAUCGUAGAUGGCUCGAGAAGGAUGACCCGUGGAGAAAGCAUAGAUAUCUAUUCAAUGGGUUGGCUGAGCAUCGAGGACCUCCACAUAAGUGGAGCGACGCCGCAAAUCAACGAGCUAUUGAAAAACUGGGAAUAGUGCCCCGCGCCGGGAAAGAUGAAAAAGGCACAGGAGCCGCUGCUGAAGGUAUGGAAAACUAGGUCUGUUUUCUGGGACUUGGAGUACUGGCCCAAUCACGACACGCCUCAUCAAAUGCAUAUCACGAAGAAUGUCCUCGAGAGCUUGCUUGCCACACUGAUGAACAUGCUGGAGAAGACCAAGGACAGGCUGAAGGCAAGGAAAGACUUGGAAGAUUUGAAGACUAGGAAAUAUCUCCACCGCAAAAGUCGAUGGAGGAGACGAAGAUGGAGACGGAGGAGGGGGAAAGGGGCAGAAAAUUCAACAAGAAGGAGGAGAAUUAUUGCCCCCCUUCUUGCUUCACCUUAAGUGCGAAAGAUAUCGAUCAAUUCAUCAAGUGCCUUAUGGGAAUCAAAAUCAGCUCCGGUUACUGUGGAAGAUAAUAAGAUUUCUAGACCCCAAGAAGAAAAAGGUUCAGCGGGAUGAAGUAUCAUGACUAUCACGUGAUGAUGACGCAGAUACUCCUGGUUGCCAUUAGAGGGAUAAUGGACAAGCACGUCCGUGACACGCUUACUGGUCUCUGCAACUUCUUUGACGUUAUUUCUCGAAAGUCCAUAAGUGUGAAGCAGCUCCCAAGGCUACAGGAAGAGAUCGUUGUCAUACUAUGUGAGCUUGAGAUGUACUUCUGCUACGUCUUGAGCUUGUGUUGGUUUUCCUUGAGGAGGAAAGGGUGAUGUAGCAAUAGUAGCAUAAGUAUUUCCCUCAGUUUUUGAGAACCAAGGUAUUAAUCUAGUAGGAGGCUCCUCAAAAGUCCCACGCACCUACACAAACAAACAAAGAACUCGCAACCAACGCAAUAAAGGGGUUGUCAAUCCCUUCACGGCCACUUGCGAAAGUGAGAUCUGAUAAAGAUAGUAUGAUAAGAUAAAUAUAUUUUUGGUAUUUUAUAAUAUAGAUGCAAAAAGUAAAGAUGCAAAUAAAAGUAGAUUGAAAGCUUAUAUGAUAAAAGAUAGACCCGGGGGCCAUAGGUUUCACUAGUGGCUUCUCUCAAGAUAGCAUAAGUAUUACGGUGGGUGAACAAAUUACUAUCGAGCAAUUGAUAGAAAAGCUAAUAAUUAUGAGAUUAUCUAGGCAUGACCAUGUAUAUAGGCAUCACAUCCAUGACAAGUAGACCGACUCCUGCCUGCAUCUACCACUAUUACUCCACACAUCGACCGCUAUCCAACAUGCAUCUAGAGUAUUAAGUUCAUAAGAACAGAGUAACACUUUAAGAAAGAUGACAUGAUGUAGAGGGAUAAACUCAAGCAAUAUGAUAUAAACCCCAUCUUUUUAUCCUCGAUGGCAGCAAUACAAUACGUGCCUUGCAACCCUUUCUGUCACUGGGUAAGGACACCGCAAGAUUGAACCCAAAGCUAAGCACUUCUCCCAUGGCAAGAAAGAUCAAUCUAGUAGGCCAAACCAAACUGAUAAUUCGAAGAGACUUGCAAAGAUAACUCAAUCAUACAUAAAAGAAUUCAGAGGAGAUUCAAAUAUUUCUCAUAGAUAAACUUGAUCAUAAACCCACAAUUCAUCGGAUCUCGACAAACACACCACAAAAAGAGUUUACAUCGAAUAGAUCUCCACAAGAGAGGGGGAGAACAUGGUAUUGAGAUCCAAAAAGAGAGAAGAAGCCAUCUAGCUAAUAACUAUAGACCCGAAGGUCUGUGGUAAACUACUCACAACUCAACGAAGGGGCUAUGGUGUUGAUGUAGAAGCCCUCCAUGGCCGAUUCCCCCUCCGGCAGAGCACCGGCGAAGGCUCCAAGAUGGGAUCUCGCGGAUACAAAAGGUUACGGUGGUGGAAAUUGUUUUUCGUUGGCUCCCUGGAUGUUUUCAGGGUACGUAGGUAUAUAUAAGAGGAAGAAGUACAUCGGUGGCUGCUCGAGGGGCCCAGGAGACAGGGGAGCACGCCCAGGAGGGGUGGGCGCGCCAUCCUAUCUCCUGGCCACCUCGUUUGCUUCUUGACUUGCACUCCAAGUUCUCUGGAUCACGUUCAUUCCAAAAAUCAUGCUCCCGAAGGUUUCAUUCCGUUUGGACUCCGUUUGAUAUUCCUUUUCUUCGAAAUACUAAAAUAGGCAAAAAUCAGCAAUACGGGCUGGGCCUCCGAUUAGUAGGUUAGUCCCAAAAAUGAUAUAAAUGUGUAAAAUAAAUCCCAUAAACAUCCAAAAGGGGUAAUAUAAUAGCAUGGAACAAUCAAAAGUUAUAGAUAAGUUGGAGACGUAUCAAGCACCCCCAAGCUUAAUUCCUGCUCGUCCUCAAGUAGGUAAAUGAUAAAAACAGAAUUUUUGAUGUGGAAUGCUACCUAGCAUAAUAUGUAAUUUUCUUUAUUGUGGCAUGAAUGUUCAGAUCCAAAUGAUUCAAGAUAAAAGCUUAUAAAACAUAAAAAAUAAUAAUGCUUCGAAGCAUACUAACAAAUAAUCAUGUCCUAUCAAAAUAGCAUAGCCAAAGAAAGCUUAUCCCUACAAAAUCAUAUAGUUAGGCCAUGCUUCAUUUUCAUUACACAAAAUACUCCCAUCAUGCACAACCCCGGUUUCAGCCAAGCAAUUGGUUCAUACUUUUUAACGCGCUUCAGCUUUUUCAACUCUUACGCAAUACAUGAGCGCAAGCCAUGGACAUAGCACUAUGGUGGUAUAUGGUGGUGGUUGUGAGGACAAAAAGGGAGAAGAUAGUCUCACAUCAACUAGGCGUAUUAACGGGCUAUGGAGAUGCCCAUCAAUAGAUAUCAAUGUGAGUGAGUAGGGAUUGCCAUGCAACGGAUGCACUAGAGCUAUAAAUAUAUGAAAGCUCAACAAAAGAAACUAAGUGGGUAUGCAUCCAACUUGCUUGCUCACGAAGACCUAGGGCAUUUUGAGGAAGCCCAUCAUUGCAAUAUACAAGCCAAGUUCUAUAAUGAAAAAUUCCCACUCAGUAUAUGAAAGUGACAACAUAGGAAACUCUCUAUCAUGAAGACCAUGGUGCUACUUUGAAGCACAAGUAUGGAAAAAAAUAGUAGCAUUGUCCCUUCUCUCUUUUUCUCUCAUCUUAAUUUUUUUCUCUCUUUUUUUCUCUCUUUUUUUCUCUCUUUUUUUUCUUUUUUUUUCUUUUUUUUCUUUUUUUCUUUUUUUCUUUUUUUUUCUUUUUGGCCUUUCUCCUUUUUUUUGGCCUUUCCUUUUUUUAAAGCCCGAAGUCUCACCCCGACUUGUGGGGGAAUCAUAUCUUCAUCAUCCUUUCCUCACUGAGACAAUGCUCUAAUAAUGAAGAUCAUCACACUUUUAUUGAUUUACAACUCAAGAAUUACAACUCAAAACUAGAACAAGAUAUGCCUCUAUAUGAAUGCCUCCGGCGGUGUACCGGGAUAUGCAAUGAAUCAAGAGCGACAUGUAUGAAAAUUAUGAAGGUGGCCUUGCCACAAAUACGAUGUCAACUACAUGAUCAUGCAAAGAGCAAUAUGACAAUGAUGAGGUAUAUCAUAAUAAACGGAAUGGUUGAAAGUUGCAUGGCAAUAUAUCUCGGAAUGGCUAUGGAAAUGCCAUAAUAGGUAGGUAUGGUGGAUGUUUUGAGGAAGGUAAAUAAUGGGUGCAUGAUACCGGCGUAAGUUGUGCGGUAUAAUAGAGGCUAGCAAAGUGAAGGAUGAGUGUGCGUAUAUCCAUGGACUCACAUUAGUCAUAAAGAACUCAUAUACUUAUUGCAAAAGUCUACUUGCCCUCAAAGCAAAGUACUACUACGCAUGCUCCUAGGGGAAGGGUUGGUAGGAGUUAACCAUCGCGCAAUCCCGACCUCCACUCAUAAGGAAGGCAAUUAAAAGAGCACCUCAUGCAACAAAUUUGUCACACAACUUUUACCAUAUGUGCAUGCUACGGGACUUGCCAACUUCAACACAAGUAUUUCUCAAUUUCAUAAUUACCCACUAGAAUGACUCUAACAUUACUACCUCUAUAUCUCAAAACAAUUAUCAAGCAUCAAAUUGAUCAUAGCAUCCAAUUCACUUCCUAUGAUAGUUUUUAUUAUACCCAACUUGGAUGCCUACCAUUCUAGGACCAAUUUUAUAAGCAUAGCAAAUACCAUAAUGUUCUAAAAGACUCUCAAAAUAAUAUAAGUGAAGCAUGAGAGACUAGAAAUUUCUUCAAAAUUAAGCCACCGCCGUGCUCUAAAAGAUAUAAGUGAAGCACUAGAGCAAAAACUAUCAAGCUCAAAAGAUAUAAGUGAAGCACAUAGAGUAUUCUAGCAAAUUCUAAUCAAGUAUGCUUCUCCCAAAAGGUGUGUACAGCAAGGAUGAUCGUGGUAAACUAAAAAGCAAAUACUAAUAUAAUACACGACGCUCCAAGCAAAACACAUAUAAUGUGGCGAAUAAAAAUAUAGUUCCAAGUAAAGUUACCAAUGAACGAAGACGAAAGAGGGGAUGCCUUCCCGGGGCAUCCCCAAGCUUAGGCUUUUAGCUAUCCUUGAAUAUAUUAGGGUGUCAUGGCAUCCCCAAGCUUAGGCUCUUGCCACUCCUUAUUCCAUAGUCCAUCAAUGCUUUACCCAAAACUUGAAAACUUCACAACACAAAACUCAACAGGAAAUCUUAUAAGCUCCGUUAGUGAAAGGAAAACAAAAUCACCACAUAAGGUACUGUAAUGAACUCAUUCUUUAUUUAUUUUGGUGUUAAACCUACUGUAUUCCAAGUUCUCUAUGGUUCAUACCACUUAAUACUAGCCAUAGAUGCAUCAAAAUAAGCAAACAACACACGUAAAACAGAAUCUGUCAAAAAUAGAACAGUCUGUAGCAAUCUGUAACUAACGCAAACUUAUGGAACUUUAAAAAUCCUACCAAAAUAGGAAGUCCUGGACAAUUUAUGUAUUGAUCAGCAGCAAAAAUAAUCAAUGCAAAAUCAUGUUUCUGUGAUUUAACAAAACUAAUUUCGUGCGUGCGAAGUUUGUGUUUUUCAGCAGAAUCAAAUCAACUAUCAUCAUAGGUUGUCCUAUAGGUUCUACUUGGCACAAACACUAAUUAAGAGAUAAAAACACAUCUAAACAGAAGGUAGAUGAAAAAUUUAUUACUAAACAGGAACAAAAACAAAAAACACAAAUAAAAUUGGGUUGCCUCCCAACUAGCGCUAUCGUUUGACGCCCCUAGCUAGGCAUAAAAGCGAAGAUAGAUCUAAGUAGUGCCAUCUUUGGCACUCAAAUCAUAAGUAGCUCGCAUGAUAGAUUCAUAAGGUAAUUUGACUUUCUUUCUUGGAAAGUGCUCCAUGCCUUUCCUUAAUGGAAAUUGGAAUCUAAUAUUCCCUUCCUUCAUAUCAAUAAUCGCGCCAAUCAUUCUAAGGAAAGGUCUACCAAGAAUAAUAGGGCAAAAAAGAUUGCAAUCUAUAUCAAGAACGAUAAAAUCUAUGGGCACCAAAUUUCUAUUUCAACAAUGAGAACAUCAUUGACCCUUCCCAUUGGCUUUUUAAUGGUGGAAUCCGCAAGGUGCAAAUUUAAAGAGCAAUCAUCAAGAUCAUGGAAACCUAGAAUAUCACAUAAAGUUUUCAUAAUCAUGGAAACACUAGCACCCAAAUCACACAAAGCAAAACACUCAUGAUCUUUAAUUCUAAUUUUUGUAGUAGGUUCCCACUCAUCAUUAAGUUUUCUAGGUAUAGAAACUUCCAAAUUAAGUUUUUCAUCAAAAGAUUGCAUCAAGGCAUCAACAAUAUGUUUGGUAAAAGCUUUAUUUUGACUAUAAGCAUGAGGAGAAUUAACAACGGAUUGCAACAAGGAAACACAACCUUCUAAAGAACAAUUGUCAUAAUCAAAUUCCUUGAAAUCCGAGAUAGUGGGUUCAAUGCUAUUUAAAGUCAUGACCUCUCCAAUCCUACUUUUACAAAAUUUAGCAUCAAGAUCUAAAAACUCUGAAUUCUUGGGACGCCUUCUAACUAAAGUUGACUCAUCUCCAGUCCCAUUAUUAUCAAGAUUCAUAUUGCAAAACAAAGAUCUAAUAGGAGACACAUCAAUAACUUUAAGAUCUCCAUCAUUAUUUUCAUCUAACUUUUCUGGUUUGGCAGCCAUCUUAUUGACUAAGGUAGCUUGCUUAUCAAAAAUUUGGGCUAUAGCAUUCUCAAGCCAGGUAAUUUGAGAGUUCACACCAUAAAAUUCCUUAUUCAUAUCAUCGAGCUCCUUAUUCAUAAACCCCAAAAAACCUUUUUUUUCUUUAAGCUCUUUUCUGAAGAAAUUAUUAUGCUCAAAUUGCAAAGUCAUAAAGCUUCUAAUAUUUGAUUCAAUCUCUCCCAACCUUCUAAGAAGGAGGUCGGUACUCUUAGGCAAGGCCAUAAGUACAAACAGGCACACAAGCAAACAGAAAAAGGCAAGCGAAAAAGAGAGGAGAAGAUUGGGAAAGAGAGGGCGAAUAAAACGACAAGGGUGAAGUGGGGGAGAGGAAAACGAGAGGCGAAUGACAAAUAAUGUAAAUGCGAGGGAGAUGAGUUUGUGAUGGGUACUUGGUAUGUCUUGACUUGAGUGAAGACCUCCCCGGCAACGGCGCCAGAAAUCCUUCUUGCUACGUCUUGAGCUUGGGUUGGUUUUCCUUGAAGAGGAAAGGGUGAUGCAACAAUAGUAGCGUAAGUAUUUCCCUCAGUUUUUGAGAACCAAGGUAUCAAUCCAGUAUGAGGCUCCUCAAAAGUCCCACGCACCUACACAAACAAACAAAGAACUCGCAACCAACACAAUAAAGGGGUUGUCAAUCCCUUCACGACCACUUGCGAAAGUGAGAUCUGAUAAAGAUAGUAUGAUAAGAUAAAUAUAUUUUUGGUAUUUUAUAAUAUAGAUGCAAAAAGUAAAGAUGCAAAUAAAAGUAGAUUGAAAGCUUAUAUGAUAAAAGAUAGACCCGGGGGCCAUAGGUUUCACUAGUGGCUUCUCUCAAGAUAGCAUAAGUAUUACGGUGGGUGAACAAAUUACUAUCGAGCAAUUGAUAGAAAAGUGAAUAAUUAUGAGAUUAUCUAGGCAUGACCUUGUAUAUAGGCAUCACGUCCAUGACAAGUAGACCGACUCCUGCCUGCAUCUACUACUAUUACUCCACACAUCGACCGCUAUCCAACAUGCAUCUAGAGUAUUAAGUUCAUAAUAACAGAGUAACGCAUUAAGAAAGAUGACAUGAUGUAGAGGGAUAAACUCAAGCAAUAUGAUAUAAACCCCAUCUUUUUAUCCUCAAUGGCAACAAUACAAUACGUGCCUUGCAACCCUUUCUGUCACUGGGUAAGGACACCGCAAGAUUGAACCCAAAUCUAAGCACUUCUCCCAUGGCAAGAAAGAUCAAUCUAGUAGGCCAAACCAAACUGAUAACUCAAAGAGACUUGCGAAGAUAACUCAAUCAUACAUAAAAGAAUUCAGAGGAGAUUCAAAUAAUUCUCAUAGAUAAACUUGAUCAUAAACCCACAAUUCAUCGGAGCUCGACAAACACACCGCAAAAAGAGUUUACACCGAAUAGAUCUCCACAAGAGAGGGGGAGAACAUGGUAUUGAGAUCCAAAAGGAGAGAAGAAGCCAUCUAGCUAAUAACUAUAAACCCGAAAGUCUGUGGUAAACUACUCACAACUCAUCGGAGGGGCUAUGGUGUUGAUGUAGAAGCCCUCCAUGGUCUAUUCCCCCUCCGGCGAAGCACCGGCGAAGGCUCCAAGAUGGGAUCUCGCGGAUACAGAAGGUUACAGCGGUGGAAAUUGUUUUUCGUUGGCUCCCUGGAUGUUUUCGGGGUACAUAGGUAUAUAUAGGAGGAAGAAGUACGUCGGUGGCCGCUCGAGGGGCCCAGGAGACAGGGGGCGCGCCCAGGAGGGGUGGGUGCGCCCUCCUAUCUCAUGGCCGCCUCGUUUGCUUCUUGACUUGCACUCCAAGUUCUCUGGAUCACGUUCAUUCCAAAAAUCACGCUCCCGAAGGUUUCAUUCUCUUUGGACUCCGUUUGAUAUUCCUUUUCUUCGAAAUACUAAAAUAGGCAAAAAUCAGCAAUACGGGGUGGGCCUCCGGUUAGUAGGUUAGUCCCAAAAAUGAUAUAAAUGUGUAAAAUAAAGCCCAUAAACAUCCAAAAGGGGUAAUAUAAUAGCAUCAAACAAUCAAAAAUUAUAGAUACGUUGGAGACGUACCAACUUCCUGCCCGCGUUCUUUGACGUCAUGGUGCAUCUGUGUGUCCACGUCAUGGACGACCUCAUCGACCUCGGGUCGACAUUCGUUCAUAGCAUGAUGUCGUUCGAGAGGAUGAAUGGGGUCAUCAAAGGAUUCGUUCAUAACAUGUCCCAUCCCGAUGGGAGCAUCGUCCAGGGGUAUCUGACGCAUGAGUGGAUCUCCUUUUGCGAGAAUUGUAUAGGCACCGGAGACCCUGUUGUUGGUUUGCCCGUCAAGAAGCACGAUGGGAGGCUCGAAGGAGAAGGUGACAACAAUAGCCGGAGGGAAUUGCACGUGGACUACUCGGAUUGACGGAACGACUUUGACAGGGCUAACUUAGUAGUGCUACAACACCUACAUGUGGUAGAUGAUUAUGUGGCAUGGCACAAAGAAAGCAUCGCAAAGAAGUACCGUGAUAAGGGGAUGCUCAAGACGGACGACGAAGUUACUGUAGAGCACAAUGCUACAUUCUUGCGUUGGUUCAAAGAGCAAGUUCUUAAAAAUCCCCCGGAAGAGGUCAGUUUGGAUGGAUUGCUCAUACACACCUUAGCACAUGGCCCAACGCCCAAAACCACGACCUAUCAGUCAUACGAUAUCAACGGGUACAUGUUCUACACGGAGGCCAAAGACAUGGACAGUGAUUACCAGAACUCCGGCGUGACAAUUGAAUGUGUGACCGAUGCCAACGGCACAACUGGAAGAUUCUACGGAAGGGUCGAAGAGAUCUGGGAGCUUGACUAUGCUGGAAUGCUUGAUGCGACGAUGUUUCGUAUCAGAUGGGCUAAGGACGUCGUAAGAGAAAAUAAGUAUUUCACUACCAUGUGUAUACCCGACACGAAGAGCACUCCCGUGAACAUUAACGUCAUUGCCAAAAAUGAGGCAUGAGUACACGCUAAGCAUGUGACACAAUGCUUCUUCAUAACCGACCCGGCCAAUCCCAGCCGCUUUGUCGUGAGGAGAGGCAAAAGGAGCAUGGCUGAAGUCUCUUCUUCGUCUCGAGGCGCCCAGUAUCACACCAAUGCCACCUUCUCAAGAAGGUAUGAACACCACCCCACCUACCAAAUUACCUACACCUGUCGUGGCGGGUGAUAGCAGACAACGCAAGGGAGAGCCUCCAUUAGUGCCAGAUGAUGUCGCCCCCAUUGUCGAAGAAGCAAAUGUUGAUGAUGACAUGGAGGAGGAUGAUGAUGACCCAGACAAGUAUUUCAAUACCGCCUAUGAUGAUGGAGGAUUGAUGGCUCAGGAGGACGAAGACUCGGGCUAUAAUCAUGGAGACGAUGACUUGAUGCUGCCUGAUUUGCCAGAGCCGGAAUGUCCUAAGGCAGAAUGCAAAAAGUCUCUCUUCAAGCGAUCCUCACAGGAGACGCCUCCAGAUUCCGCCUCUACCCAGCAACAACCCGAGGGACAUCCACUGAUUAGCCCAAUGACACUAGGGGGUGGUUAGGGAAGGUAUGGUGGGCUCACUACCGCCACUCACCAAGAAGAAAACGAGGAGACCCGACAGGAAAGGCCCUAAAGGCGCCAGAGUUGCUUCAAGUAGCCAACCGCCUCUGAAGCCUCGGGUGGUAGACAGAAUACCCGUCGAAGGUGCGAAUCGUUUCCAUGUCACCGGCGAACCGAUCCUACCUACGAAAGCGCUAGAGCACAUACUGAACAAUGAUCUAGGAGAUUCCAUGAAGAUCUGCCGGCCAGAGAGAAAAGUCUUCUCAUCUUGGAAAAACCAGGAUACCCGCUUUACGCAGCUCAGGUGCCGGGUGGGAAGUUGUACGUUGAGAGAUGGCCCGCGGAUAAGUUCAUCCUAUGAUUUGACUACAUCUACGACAUGUUCCACAUGACCAAGCUAGAUUUCUAGUUCAUCCGCAUGUAUUCGCCGUAUCUCAACUACUUCAUCAGGAUCGAGAACAUAAAAUAUUUGCAUCGCGGACCCAUACUAUAUGCACGAGAGCUUCUUCGAAGUAUGCAAAGAGCACCGUGACUAUGCGAGCAGGUACAUCACGGACUUCAUGAUUGCUAAUAAGGACAAGGAAGCGAUGCUCCUGCCUUAUCAUCCCACGUAAGUCAUCCACGCAUAUCCUUUCAUAAGUGUGAAUCAUUCCUUUGCAAUCAUGGAGGCUAAUUUGAGGUGUACUUCAUUUGCGCAGUGGGGGGAGUGUCCUCAUCGUUUUGUACUCAGAAUACUCCCAUGCUAUGUACUUGGAAUCAUCGAACAACAUCAAGAAAAAGGAUUACAAGCACAUAAAGAGUGUUCUCGAUAGGGCCCUAUUAACCUUCAGCCUAUCUGGUGGAUAUAUCAAGCUGAAAAAGUACAGGAAGAACGGGGUGGUUUUCGGCCAUAAGACUGACUUCUGCUGCAUCUAGCAACCGCACACCAGUAAGGCUAAUGGAUUCUACCUCAUGCAUCACCUGCUCGAGUACAGAAGGGAUAAUCAACGCCUUCGCAUGUCAGCUACUACCAACAAUGACAAGAUUGUCAACUGGGCCACAAGCAUAGGAAAGACACCGGAUCAUCGAAUCCGAGUUGAGUUUUAUCAUGUACAGUGUGAACUUGCCCGAGUGAUCAUGAAGAAGGUCCUCGAACCAAUAGGGAUAUUCUACCAUGGGCCAAUCACGCAGGAUGAUGUCCGAGCACUGCUUGACGCUUAGUGUCUGGACCUGAAGCCUUUCAAGAAGCUUGGGUGCUUCCUCCCUGACUAUGAAGAUUGGAACGCCGACAUGGAGGACUAAUUGUCGAUGACAAUGUGUCACUACUGUCUUUCUACCGCAAAACUUUGAAUUUAUGCACGGCGAAACUACGUGAUGUAAUUAAAUCGUGGUCCUGAGCUAGCGUAGAUCGCUCUAGUUAAUUAGUUUGGGUAUGAGGAACUUCGUCAUUUAUGUUUACUAUAGCUUGCUUGUAUUUUUCUAAUUAUGCCUCUUUGUUUCCUUAAGUACAUUAUGUUGCAUAUUAUCGUUCAAUUCAUCAACUGAUGAUGCAGGUACAUAGAUCAGAGAUGGUGAAGGACUGCUACACCGUGUUCGUCUGGAGGGUUCCAGGAGUCUACGACCACUGGCCAGACGCUCAGGCCUAGGUGGACAACUACCCGGGUGCUAGCCACAAAGGGUUUGACAGCAAAGCUGAAGCAAAGUAGUUACUUGACGUGGACGCUCCGGCAAGAGCGAGGGCGGGACGCCGGUGCCUCAAGUACUACAUAGUCGCGGUCUUGCUCAUGCUGAUCGCUCUUCUCUUCUACAUCAUGAUUUAGAUAGAGAUGAUGAAACUUGUGCGUGUGACAUGACCAUGCAGUUGCACUUAUUCGAGACAUGACAUGACUUGUGUAUCGCUAUUUUUGAGAUGUGAUGAUAUUUUUGUUGAAUGAUGAUGAUGAUGACGGUAUGACGAGACUAUUGUAUGUGUAUGAUAUGAUGAGAAUAGUGUAUGUUUAUUGUGAUCUGAUGAAACUACUGUAUAAAGCCUAUACAAAUACAUCACAAAUACGUAGAGGAGGUAUGAGUCUAUGAAAGCAGGAGUAUUAGCAGUAGCGCUUGACUUUCUACAGCGAGAUAGUUAGCAGUAGCACUGGUUAGUGCAGCGCUACUGGUAACCAUACUUUGCAGCAGCACUGCACCAACCAGUGCUACUACUACAACUUAGCUGUAGCGUGUUAGCAGUAGCGCUGGACCUAGCGCUACUGAUAUAUGUAUUUCAAGCGCUACUACUGGGUUUUCCCUAGUUGUGUUAGCAAGGUUAUCUCUAGUCAUGAAUUUGUUGUGUGAGAGAAGCCAUAGAAAAACUUGCACCCUAGAGGAACCACAAUAGACCAAACAGAGGGUAUGUAUAUAUCCCCUAAAGUUUAUUAUACUAUACAAAGAUCUAGUGGUGUAUUUUCCCUUGGAAUCAUGUUGCCAGACAAGGUCAUCUUCAUCGCAUAGGAAGUUGGUACUCAAAAUGAUUUGCUCAUGGUGUUGGAAGUAUGCCCUAGAGGCUAAUUUAGAGUUAAUAUUCUAUGCCAUAACUGCUAUGAUCCUUGAAUAUGCGAUUCAGUGGAAAACUCAUAUGCACGUAUAUAAUGAUAAAUGGUAAAAUAAGAUUCCUAGUCACGCCUCUAAGACUUGCUCAAGUGUUGUUGGUGAUCACGUUUCCUAGAUCUUGAGAUAUUGUUAAGUGUGUAAGGAUAUUCUCAAAACAAUCUUGAGGGUAUGCCGUAAGAAGAACGAUCAUAUUGAAUCGACCCAAACUUGUUUGUUAUACUUUGAGAUAAUAUAGUCAUAAGUCAAUUGCUAUAACUCGGACUGUUAACUUGCGAUUUUAGUUCCCUAGACCAUGAGAGUAUCGUAGUCACUUCUUAUCGUACGAUGAGCUUUGGGGUUGCUCAAACGUCAUCAGUAAUUUGGUGAUCAUAAUGACAACUUACAGGUUCAUCAGAAAGUAUGACAAGUGAAAUGAUAGCUCAAGAGUGGAAUUUGCUCCGCUGACGAUGGAGAGAUAUUCUUAGGUCCCUCUCGAUGUAACAACAUCCAUCAUCGUCUGGCCAAACACAUGUCACUUCCUCACGGGGAUGCCGGAACACGAUAAGAAGAAGGAAGAACAAAACCGGCAAUGUGGAGACCGGUAUAGUGAGCAUGUGUAUGACUCAAGAGUAUAACAAUAUAUCUCUCGGGUUUUGUAAAGUAUAGAGAAGCAAAGGAAACAUCGUGCGAUAACCAAAGGUUCAAUUCAAUGUCAUUCGUGUAAUCAUAGGGAUCGAUAUGGACGUCCACGGUUCCGCUAUCAGUCAUUGAACAAAGGGGUUUCAUUAAUGUCUAUGGUUUACGGAACCUAUAGGGUCACAAGCUUAAGGUAAUCACGAUCCGAUGAGUGUUAGUAGGACAAGAGUAUCGGGGAUUUAAUUGUGAAAUAGUUUCUUUAAUAUCCGGAAUAGUUCCUAGAGGAACCGGAAGCAUUUCGGGGUCAUCGGAAGAGUUUCAGAGUUUAUUGGGCAAUACCGGUAUUACUCAUAUAUAAUAUGUAGGUGGAAAAUGUUCCUACUGAUGUUAAAUUAUAUAUAAAAGGCUCUAGUAAUUUUUGGAGGGCUUUAUAAUUAUUUAAAUAUCAACGNNNNNNNNNNNNNNNNNNNNNNNNNNNNNNNNNNNNNNNNNNNNNNNNNNNNNNNNNNNNNNNNNNNNNNNNNNNNNNNNNNNNNNNNNNNNNNNNNNNNNNNNNNNNNNNNNNNNNNNNNNNNNNNNNNNNNNNNNNNNNNNNNNNNNNNNNNNNNNNNNNNNNNNNNNNNNNNNNNNNNNNNNNNNNNNNNNNNNNNNNNNNNNNNNNNNNNNNNNNNNNNNNNNNNNNNNNNNNNGGAACCCAACUCCUCCUUCCCUUGGUCGGCUCCCCAAGGAGGCUUUCCCUCCUUGCUGGCUGCCCUUCUCUCUCCCCCACUAGUGGAGGUAUUGCCCCUUUUCUUCAUACAAGUUUUACCUGCCUCCCUAGCCCAAUACUACUAGUUCUAAUUCAGAUAAUUAGAGCUAGAUCUAGUUCCUCUAAUCCUUAUAAUUAGAAGCCUUGAGUGGCUCUAAUCUUCUCUAAUUCUCUGGCGGCAAUUAGUUCUGGACGGUGAAGCGCUGCCGGAUCGUGAAGGUCGUAUGCUUGCAAACUGUAGAGGGGUCGUGCUUUCGGUCUUCAGUUCGAGGCGGUUCGCGGGAUCGUUCAUUAAUAGUUCGAGGGACUCCAAGUACAAUCUACACCGACUCGUCUGGUUCCGCUGCAUACUUGGAGUUGGUAAUGAUCAUGAUUCAAUUCCCUAAUGCACCUUCAUAUUGUUCCCGGGUGUCGGAAGGCCAAUUUGUUUUAUACUACGUUCCCCAACACAAGGCACAACUUUCCAUCAUGACAGCGUGAAGACCCACCCCUCCCCCACCCACCCACCCCCCGUGCGCGAAGUCAACCUGAUGGUAUUUUUAUCCUAGGCAUGUACUAGGGUCACACCAUGUUGAUGACAAAUUAAAGGGGCCAGAAUUGUACUGAUAAUGCAGAUGUGCCAAAGCAUAUAUCUUCCCAAAAUCCGAUUAUCCUACCAUCUCAAACCACCCAUGUGUAGCCUUGUUUAAGUGAUUUGGCAGCCCACAUGACUCCUUGUCAAAAUUUAGAGGGGUUUUGUGUGGUACAAGAAAACAUAUUAGGCGUGUUCCUUAUGUACUUAACAUCUACUAUUCAUCUCCAAUUUCCCCCCUCAUCUUUUAUUUAUCUCUUGACCCAGCUUCCAAGGAGGCAGAGAUUUACAUGUCUGAUGUUUGGCACUCCUAAUCGUCCAUAUUUUUAUUUCAUACAAACUAAGUUCCAAUUGGAAAUGUAUAAUUUUCUAUUUCCUUCAAAGUCACUCCAAAGGCACUGAGCUAGUUGGCUAUUUAUUAGCUUCGAAGCCCACUUGGGGAACUUUUUGGGCCAUCUUAUCUGACAAAUAGACCCAACGACAUUGUCAGAUCAAACUCCGGAUUAAUCCUACAUGACCACAUUAUAGAUCAACCCUACUAUAGGUCCACUAUCGAGUCACGGGCUUGCAGCACAACCUCAAUCAAAAGUGCUUUAGCUUGUUGUACCUUGUUACAGCGCCGCCGUCUCAGCACCUUCCGGAAAACCUGCAGCAACAUCUCAAAAAUAUUUGUUUUGAAAGUUGUCGAUAGAACUUGAAGAGCUUGCCAACAAAGAGGACCACACGAGUCCUAGUAUCAGGUGACACUUAGUGUUUAAUGGAUCCGAAUAGCAAUUAGUGUUUAGUGGGUCCGACAAAAUAAUAGCUUUUAUUAAAAAUAUAUAUUAAAUGUAUGUAUCUACCGUAUAAUAAAUAAAUAGGACAUCAAAUGAGCUCUGAAUUAGAUGAAAUUUUAGGUGUAGCCUCUCUAGGCUAUAAUGAGACCACACAGAAAAUAAUCAAACCAUUUGGAGAAUUUUUAAUUUUUGUUUGAAAUUAAAUUACAAAAAUGACAUAAAUGUGAUUUGAACUAGGGCUGUGUGCAAGACUUGUGCAAAAAUUGUGAAAUAUUUUCUGGGGCUUUCAAAUAUUAUACAAAGUCCAUGUGAAAAGUUGGGACUCUUAUCUUAAUGUACAAGGACAAAAGGGAAAAUGGUUUUGGUAAAACCCAAAUAAAUUAAACGGUAAAAUAAUUUGCUUUUAUGUGUUUGAUAUUUUUGUUAUGCGUGUUGAGAAUAAUGCAUAGUGAAAUGAUGGCAUCAUGUCAUGAUGAUGCAAAAUAAAAUAACAGACAUUUAUUUUAGUUAAGGAAUUAGUCUAUUCUAUUACAACCAUCUAAAAAUUUCUCUAUGGAUGGCGCAUUAGCUGCAAAAGUACCCUUCUACUCCCGAGCUCAAAUAGCUCGGGAUGAACAGUAAAUUCUGAAACCAAAAAAAAUCUCAAAGUUUUUUGGUGCAAACUUUCACAAAUGUUCUCAGUGCAUGGAAAUUUUCAGCUCGAAACAACACUUGUAGAACGCGUGGCAAAAGAAAAAAAAAUCAGCACCCCAAAAUGCUUUCAAAAAUAUCAUUUUUGGAGAUUCGAUUUUGUUUUUUACCACGACUUCUAGGAUUGUUGUUUUAUAAUAAUUUUUUGCAAGCACAUUUGUCAAAGUUUGCACUAAAAAAACAGUUUUUUUAUUUUUUUUGUACUAUUUUUUUGAUUUUACUGUUUAUCAGGGUGCAUUUGAGCUCGGGUGUAGAUACUUCGUGUCCCAUUAGCUGAGAAAAUAACUAGCCCUCUUCUAGCGCAACAAAACUCAAUCUUCCUUUCAUGUACGUGCAUGACUUUAAUGUAAAACUGGUAACUCCUUCAAGGUUGACUAUGAAUCGACUCCUACGCACGGUAGCUCGUGGGAGCGGGCAACACAUGCUCGAAGGCGCUCCUAUAGGUCCAAGGUUGCCAGAAUCAUGAUUUAGAAUCGGAUAGGAACUCCGAUGGUAGGAUUGUAAAUCAUAGAAGCUGAACUAUCAUCAUCGUAGAAACGUAGAUUCCAUGAACUAGAAUCGCAAAAUUGGAUGGGUUAAUUUGGAUCGUAAAAUCGUAUAAUAGAAUCGCGAUUCUCACAACCUUGGAUAGGUCUACUGGCUACCGCAUGCAAGCGCAUUUUUCUUAGACAAACUCUAGCAAAGUAGUCAUAUUUGGAGCCUCUAUAUCCAUAGCGCGCUCCAUAUGGAUUAUGGAGGUCACCAAGGAAAAUCGCACAAAGUCAGAAUCCUCAUAUUUGUUGCCUCUAUAACCAUGGGACCCACUCAUCUAUGGGACAUUCCUUUUUUCCCAAGCUUCUUGCAAUCCCACGUGAGGUGGGGAGCACCUAAAGUUUCCUUCCCAUCACACGGAACGAGAGGUAAUUUUCAUAUGGAGCACGCUCCAAAAGGCAGCCCCGAGACACCAUAUAUGACAUGCUAGAUAUGGAGGGUACUCCAUAAAAUAUAAAUGAUCCCUGACAAGAUGGAAACUUUGCCAGAGGGCCUUUUUGACCAAAGUUUCCAUAAUAGAGAUUAUUAUGGCGAUCGGUCAUAUAUAGCCACUCUCAUAGAAUUUCUCUUAAAGGUGCCACGUGAGUCUCUCACGUUCUGUGGCAUGUAGAACUGGUAACCGACAUGUUAGGCUACACAUGUUUUCCCACUGCACAAUGUGCUUCAGUUGUCUGUCACAUGGUGGUGCUGGAUUGUGGGUUAUGCGGUCUACCCUUAAAUUCACCAUAUUUGUGGUACCGCUAACAAUUGCAUAUUAAGCCGAGAGGGUAGGAACCUAUUUAUGGACUAUAUUUGCGCCACAAAAGUACGGAUGCCAUGAGUUAUGUCAUGGAUCAUGAUUAAACACGACAGUUCUAUGAGUCUAAUAUUAUAGUCUCUAGCAUACCUGUGCGAGUUAUGUUCAUGAUCACUUUGCGUAUAUGAGAUUAAGUUCCAAUCCAAGCAUGUGGGUCAACACCUUGCAGAACUAACCCUGCAAAACGAACCCAACUCUUCCACCAUGAUUGUAAACGUAUAUACAUAUUAAUUUCACUAGAGUCAACCUCAAGUAAUUCCUCUAUUGUAUUCCAGCACAGUUCUCCUCGACACCUCCAGUAUUGCUUCCACAAAUAAAAUUACAUCUACAUCGGCACCUCAAGUAUUACUUGUCGAGUAUAAUUUUGCAUCUAUUAUUCUCCAUCAUGUACAUCAAUAAUAUGAACAAUCCAAAUCGAGUUUAAUAAAUAAUAACCAUGUUGAAUCAAUGUUGGAAGUCACAAAAAUACCCCACAAAGGAUGCUGUUUUUCUAGUCUUUCUUCGCAUGAUAGUUUACAAAAUUAUAUAAGUUUGAAAUUUCAAAAUAAUUUUGAAAGUUGAAAGUGUUUUAAAAGAAAAUAAAAUGAAAGUCAAGAUUUCUGAAAUUUAUUUUUGAAAGUACAAAUUUGGAAUGCAAUUUUUUUGAAAUUUCAAAGAUCCGGAGCAGACACACCGUCCACGAUCUAGCUCACAUUGUUGUGGUCGUCCUCCUCUUGCACGCAGCUCCAACAAGUAAUCGCUCAUGUAGUCACGUCCAUGUUGGUCAUGCACUAGCUCGCAUGUGUCGCCGCGUCAUCAGGGAAAGUAUCCCGCAACAACGAUGGCCACCAGACCAUAUCCCACACCAAUUUGACCACAUACCGCAUGCGACGCCAUGAAAAAACCAUGGCACCCAUGGGUUUUGCCUCACAGCGUCCUACGGCGAUGGGAAGGAGGAGAAGCAGUGGGACGGGUGAAUUGCUAGGUUGGGGCGCCAAAUCAAUGCCUCUUUGAUACUCAAAACGCCGGGAUAGAAAAAAAAUCAAGGAUUGUAGUGACAUGUCAUCUUGAAUCCCGCCGAAUUAGAAAACUAGGAGAAUUCGGAUAAAAUAGUGUUUGAUGCCACCAUAAAAGCAAAGGAAAUAUACCAAGAGAUUUUAGUGGAUGCGUAUUUUUCUCCAAAAUAAAGUGCUAAUGAAUUCUAAGGAAAAUUACUACGCAUUUCAAUCCUAUGAAUCGAGUAGCCAACAGAGAAAAAAAAUCCUAUAAAAUUCUUUGAAUGAAAGCACUUGCCCUCUCGUAUGCUUGGUCUAGUUACGUUCGUUGUCGUCACAUGCCGACACUUUCGAUCUGCAUCUCCUUAAGGCUUAAGCAAACAAUACCAUUUUUGCAAGUGAAAAAAAGGAUCACAUGUUUUUGGGGGAAUCAUCUUCUUCCCGGACGAGGACGAAUGAGGUGGGACGUGGAGACCGGGACGCGCCCGCUGCCUUCCGAGGCCCGGCUCCUCUAGUCGGCAGCCACCUGCCGACCAACUCAUGCAAGCACACGUAGCGCCCCUGCCACGGCGAUUCGUCCAUCUGACCACCCCUCAUUAUGGGCUAGUCGGCAGUCACCUGCCCAUCCACUCACGAGAGAACACGUCGUGCUUCAUCUAUCCUCUGACGGCCUAUAAAUAGUGCCUCGUGGAGCACCUGCUUCACAGUUCACACAACACCACCUGCUCCAAGUAAACACUAAACAGCAGCACUAGUAGAUUUCCCGAGUGACAAGUUUGGCGCAGGAUGGAGCACCAGGGACACGGCACCGGCGAGAAGAAGAGCAUCAUGAGCAAGAUCAAGGAGAAGCUCUCCAGCAGCCACGGUGAUCACCAGCAGGCCGCUGCCACCCACGGGCAGCAGGGACACACCACUACGGCCAUCGAUGGUGCCUACGGGCAGCACGGACACACCGGAGCCACCGGCACUGGGAUGCACGGCGCCGACACGGGCGAGCAGAAGAGCGUCGCGGAGAACAUCAAUGACAAUCUCCCUGUCGGCCAUGGGGACCACCAGCAGACUGGUGGCACCGACGGGCAACAGGGACACACCGCCGCGGCGACGCAUGGUGCCUCAGCCAUCGGCGGCACCUAUGGCCAGCAGGGUAACACCGGUAUGGGGACACUUGGCGCCCCGGCCGCUGAUGGUGCGUACGGGCAGCAGGGACACACUGGGGCCACCGGCACGGCGAUGCACGGCGGCGGCACGGGCGAGAAGAAGGGCGUCAUGGAGAACAUCAAUGACAAGCUCCAUGGUGGUCAUGAGGACCACCAGCAGACUAGUGGCACCUACGGGCAGGAGGGACACACUGAUGCGGCGACGCAUGGCGCCUCAGCCACCAGCGGCACCUAUGGGCAGCAGGAAAACACCGGUAUGGGGACACAUGGCGCCCCUGCCACUGAUGGUGCCUAAGGGCACCACGGACACACCGGGGCCAUCCGGACGGAGAUGCACGGCGCCAACACAUGCGAGAAGAAGGGCGUCAUGGAGAACAUCAAUGACAAGCUCCCUAGUGGCCAUGGGGACCACCAGCAGACUGGUGGCACCUACGGGCAACAGGGAUACACCAAUGCGGCGACGCAUGGCGCCUUACCCACUGGUGGCACCCAUGUGCAGCAAGGAAACACUGGUACGGGGACAUAUGGCGCCCCGGCCACCGAUGGUGCCUACAGGCAGCACGGACACACAGGGGCCACUGGCACGAGGAUGCACGACACCGACACCGGGGAGAAGAAGGGCAUCAUGGAGAACAUCAACGACAAGCUUCCUAGUGGCGACGAAGACCACCAGCACACCGCUGGCACUUACGGGCAGCAGGGACAAACAGGCACGACAAUGCAUGGUGCCUCAGCCACGGGCGACACCUAUGGCCAGCAGGGACACACCGAAAUGUCCGGCACGGGGACGCACGCAUCAGCCAGAAAAAGGACGUGAUGGAGGACAUCAAGGCCAAGCUCCCAGGUGGCCAUGAUGAUCGCCAUCAGACCGGUGACACCUAUGGGCAGCAUGGACACACCAACACUGCAAUACAUGUCACCCUUGCCACCGGCGACACCUAUGGGCGGCAGGGACACACCAGGAUAACCGACAUGGGAACAUACGGCACCGGCGAGAAGAAGGGCGCCAUGGAGAAGACCAAGGAGAAGCUCCCCAGUGGCCACGGUGACCACCAACAGACUGGUGGCACCUACGGGAGCCAGGAAGACACCGAAAUGACUGGAAUGGGGAUGCAUAGCACCAAGGCCACAGAUGGCACAGAUGGUCAGCAGGGACACACCGGAAUGACUGGGAUGGCGUCACACGACACCGACGAGACGAAGGGUGUCAUGGAGAACCUCAAGGGGUGUUAGACUAGGUAUAUUGUAGAUCUACGUGUUGUAACACAAUACAUGUACCUGUACGUUCUUUCUUAUAUAUACAUGACAGUCGUACCCGUUUAGGGUAUCGAGCAUUGUUCCAAACCCUAGCUUUGUCUAACAUGGUAUCAGACGACGCGUUCGAUCCGCGCCGUGCUUUCGCCUCCUCUGCCGCCGUCGCGUCGGCCUCCGCCGCCGUGCCGCCUCCGUCAACCCUGGCGAUGGACUCGCCGUUCAUGGCGUCCGCACCACUCGCCUGGGCCCGUCCGGGAUCGCAGCACCCGCCUGCGUCCCGAUCGCCCGCGCCCCGAUCGGGCGAGAUUCCAUCUGGCGAUCCAGCUGGUGCUCCUGUGCAGUCGAUGUACGCCGGGACUCAGCUCCCCCCUCGAUGCAUCUGGCGCUCGGACUACGUCGCGGCUGCCCUAUGUUGCGUCCCAGUUGCAUGCUGCGGCGCCUCCGUUGCAUGAUGCGUCGGCCGCCUCCGGUUCCCAUGCAACAUCGCUACACUCUGGGCCUGCAUUGCAUGCUGUGGCGCCCGCCUCCGGUUCCCAUGGUGCCCCCGUACAGAUGCCCUACGGUGGCCCAUAUCCAGCACCGUACGUCGCGCCGUCGCCGUCGCCGUACGUCGCGCCGGUGCCGUAUGAUUCGUCCUCCGCGGUGCCCUACGAGGUUCCGUAUGGAGCGCCCUAUGCUGCCCCGGUGCCGUACGUUGCGUCGCUGCAGCCCUACGGCGUACCUCCUACGGCGCCCUACGGUCAUCACCAACACUACCGUACACCUCCGUUGGCCGAUGCGCUGAUUUCGUACAGUGCUCCGCCGACGUACGACUCGUAGCUCUCCGCACCGGUGGCUGAACCAGGACCGUUCCACUUAGCUCUCUGCCGACAACUACCUCCUGUGGCGUGCUCAGGUGUUGCCGCUGCUGCGUAGUCACUACCUUGAGGGGUAUGUCGACGGUACACUGCCGUGUCCCCCGGCCAUGGUUCCGGUGCCCUCAGCCGCUGGUGUCUCCGUCAUGGUGUCCAACCCUGCUCAUCGUCGGUGGAUCGCUCAGGAUCAAGCUAUUCUUGGUGCCAUUCAGUCCUCGCUCACUCCCUCCGUGGCCGGCAUGGUGGUCUUUGCCGCGACGUCGAGGGAUGCAUGGGCCACGCUCGACUCCAGCUUCUCCUCGCAGUCGCUGGCCCGUUCCUCUGCCAUUCGUAAUCAGCUGGGCGAGGUCAAGAAAAAUGAUCUCUCCGUCACGGUCUUCUUCAACAAGGUCAAAAGUUUGGCUGAUACACUGUCGUCUAUUGGAAAGCCUCUCCGUGACGAGGAGUUUACUUCGUUCAUUCUCAAUGGACUUGAUGAGGACUACGACUCUCUUAUUGAAAAUAUCAAUGGACGUGACAUGCCGAUGCCGCCUCGCGACCUCUACGUGCGCCUCCUCAACACCGAACAACGCCUAGCUGCUCGCCGCUCCGUCGGCGUCUACACAGAGGGCCCUUCUGCGAACGCUGCACUUCGCGGGGGUGCCCGUGGUGCCAAGCAGAAGGCGCCGCCGUCCGUGGGCAAUCAGCCCCGUUCGUCGGCUCCACCUCCUCCGACGGCUGGUCGCAAGAGGUUGGCGCUGCGAGUCAUGCGGUGGUGACGUUGAGUGUCAACUCUGCAGCAUCGAGGGGCAUUUGGCGUCUCGCUGCCAUCGCCGCUUCAAACGCGACUUCCUUGGCAUUGGGAACAACGGGAAAGGCAAUGAGAAACAAGCUGCUCUCGCUACACAGGAGCCUGGGUUCACUCCUUCUUAUUCUGUGGAUCCGUCCUGGUACAUGGACACCGGUGCCACCAAUCAUCUGACGAGCCAGCUCGACAAGCUGGCUACUCGCCAGCACUACACUGGUCAUGACCAGGUCCGUACUGCCAGUGGAUCAAGUAUGCCCAUCUCACAUGUUGGUCAGGCAUCUCUUCUUUCACGUACCACUAAAACCUUGUGUCUCCUUGAUGUUCUUCGUGUUCCUUCAGUCACACGUAGUUUGCUCUCGGUUCCUAAAUUAACUCGUGACAACAAUGUGCUUGUUGAGUUUCACCCUUUUUAUUUUUUUGUUAAGGACCGGGACACGAGGGACGUUCUUCUUAGUGGUCGAGCUCGCCAUGGCCUAUAUGCUCUUGAUGUGCCGCCUGUUUCUGAAGUUUUCAGUGGUGUUCGGGUGUCGUCGUCGCAGUGGCAUUCUCGCCUCGGUCAUCCUGCCACUCCCAUUGUGUGACAUUUGCUUCAUCGCCAUAGUCUUCCAGUUGAGUCCAGUAAUAAGGAGUUUCUAGUGUGUGAUGCCUGUCAACAGGGCAAGAGUCAUCAGCUACCUUUCUCUGUAUCGAGUCGUGUUGUCAAGGCUCCUCUUGAACUUGUGUUUUCGGAUGUGUGGGGCUAUGCCCAAACUUCUGUUAGUGGUCACAACUAUUAUGUUAGUUUCAUUGAUGCCUUUAGUCGCUUUACUUGGAUUUAUCUCAUUAAGUGCAAAUCUGAUGUGUUUCAUGUUUUUAUGCAAUUUCAAGCCCAUGUUGAGAGGUUUCUUAAGUGCAAAAUUAUUCAUGUUCAGUCUGAUUGGGGGGGGGCGAAUAUCGCAACCUUAAUACUUUCUUCACGAAACUUGGCAUCUCGCAUCAUGUGUCUUGUCCUCAUACACACCAGCAGAACGGUGCAGCUGAGCGCAAGCACCGUCACAUAGUUGAAACUGGCUUAACACUGCUCGCACAUGCCUCUGUUCCAUUCCGGUUCUGGAGUGAUGCUUUUGUUACUGCUUGUUUUUUGAUCAACAGGCUACCCACACGACUUCUUCACAUGAAAUCUCCCCUAGAGGUUUUACUUCAUGAGACUCCAGAUUACUCUCUUCUCAAAGUGUUUGGUUGUGCGUGCUGGCCACAUCUUCGGCCGUACAACAAGCACAAACUCGAGUAUCGAUCUAAGAAGUGUGUGUUUCUCGGAUACAGUCCUCUUCACAAAGGUUAUAAGUGUCUCCACAUUCCGACGAAUCGUGUUUACAUUUCUCGUGAUGUUGUAUUCGAUGAGACUGUUUUUCCUUUUUCCACACUGUCACCUUCCACCGAUACCACCGCUACUGAGCUGCACUCCUUUCCAGUUUUGCCUGACCAAUUUGUAGAUGCUGCAUAUUCUCCUCUGUUGUUGCCUAACCAUGGUGCAGGAACUGGACGGGGUGCUCGCCUUGAGCUUCUUCAUGACGACGUGGUUGCUACGGCACCAACUGCAGUUUUGCCGCCGGACGGGUCGCUUGACUCUGCGCUUGAUGACGACCACCACGAUGAUUGCACGUGCAUGCCCCAUGCACGUGGAUCAGGUGGUGUGGCCACCUCACCUAGCCCGGCUGCUAGCCCGGCUGGGUCUCCAGUUCGGCCACCCGAGCCGGCUGCUACCGCAGUUCGGCCGCUCGAGCCGCCAACCUCCACGGCCUCUGCCCCGCGUGGGUCGUCCUCGCCUGGUCCGCCUUCACCGACCACUCCGGGCCCAACACCGCCGCGCCCGUCUUCGCCGGUCUCUCCGGCGCAUGCAGACCCUGUGGCAUCUCCUUCGGUAGAGUCUGUGGACUCGCCUACUGCUGUGGCUUCUCCAACACCUCCGCCGCCUGUCGUACUGCGCCCUCAUACGUGCAGCAAGAGUGGCAUUGUCAAGCCUGUCCAACGCACAGAUGGUACGGUCGCAUGGCUUGCGGCCUGUGUUGCUCGUGCUGAGGCCGAUCCUACGGUGGAACCGCGACAUUUUCAGGCAGCGCUUGGCAUUCCACACUGGCACGCUGCUAUGGAACAGGAGAUCCAUGCUCUUCGGAAGAAUAAUACUUGGCGUCUGGUUCCUCCUCCUUCCAGUGUCAAUGUUAUUGAUUCCAAAUGGGUGUUCAAGGUGAAGAAACAUGCUGACGGGUCCAUUGAGAGGUACACGGCACGACUGGUGGCCAAAGGAUUUAAACAAAGGUAUGGCCUUGAUUAUAAAGAUACGUUUAGUCCUGUUAUCAAGCCCACGACUAUUCGUGUUCUUCUUUCGCUGGCUGUUACUCGAGGAUGGUCGCUUCGUCAGCUCGAUGUCCAGAAUGCCUUCCUUCAUGGAGUUCUGGAAGAAGAGGUAUAUAUGCGUUAGCCCCCGGUUUUGUUGACCCUGCUCAGCCACAUCAUCUGUGUCGCCUCGACAAGGCUCUUUAUGAUCUGAAGCAGGCUCCUCGUGCGUGGCAUGCACGUCUUGGCGCUGCUCUUCGUGCACAUGGGUUUGUACCGUCUACAGCAGACACAUCUCUUUUCAUUCUUCAGCGACCUGAGGUGACUAUGUACAUUCUGGUCUAUGUUGAUGACAUCAUACUUGUCAGUUCAUCAGUCACUGCUGCAGAUCGGCUUGUGGCUUCUCUAGGGGCUGUUUUUGCUGUUAAGGAUCUUGGGAGACUGCACUAUUUUUUGGGUUUGGAGGUUCUUCAUUCUGACAGUGGCUUGACUCUCACUCAGCAGAAGUACUCUCAGGAUCUGUUGCGACGUGCAGGUCUGAUGCAGUGUAAACCUGCUACGACUCCUAUGUCCUCCACAGACAAAUUAUCAGCUUUUGAUGGGGACUUGCUCUCUUCUGAGGAUGCCACUGAGUACCGCAGCAUCGUUGGUGGACUGCAAUACUUGCUCGUCACUCGGCCAGAUAUUUCAUUUGCAGUUAACCGUGUGUGUCAAUACCUUCAUGCACCGCGUGAUCCUCAUUGGACGGCGGUUAAGCGCAUUUUGCGCUAUGUUCGACACACAGCUUCGUAUGGUCUCCAUUUGCAGCCUGCGGCUUCUGGUUUGAUCUCAGCCUUCUCUGAUGCUGAUUGGGCUGGUAGUCCCGAUGAUAGGCGAUCCACUGGGGGACAUGCUGUGUUCCUUGGUCCUAAUUUGAUCGCCUGGCAAGCUCGAAAGCAAGCUACCGUGUCUCGGAGUAGCACUGAAGCUGAGUACAAAGCAGUUGCUAAUGCCACAGCUGAGAUCAUAUGGGUUCAGUCAUUGCUUCGAGAGUUGAAGGUCUUUCAAGCCCAGCCGCCUGUUCUUUGGUGUGAUAACAUCGGUGCUACAUAUCUUUCAUCCAAUCCGGUAUUUCAUGCCCGAACGAAACACAUUGAAGUUGACUAUCAUUUUGUGAGAGAACGUGUUGCACAGAAGCUACUUCAAAUCAAGUUUGUUUCUUCUAAGGAUCAGCUUGCUGACAUUUUCACUAAACCCUUGUCCUUGCCCUCUUUUGAAGGAUGUCGACGCAAUCUUAACCUCAUGAAUGUUUCAGGACAUAGUUAAGAUUGAGGGAGGGUGUUAGACUAGGUAUAUUGUAGAUAUACGUGUUGUAACACAAUACAUGUACCUGUACGUUCUUUCUUAUAUACAUGACAGCCGUACCCGUUUAGGAUAUGGAGCAUUGUUCCAAACCCUAGCUUUGUCUAACAAGGGGAAGCUCCCCGGCGGCCAUGAUGACCACCAGCAGACUACUCGCACCAACGGGCACCAUGUUGGCACGGGGACGCAUGACAACCCUGCCACCGAUGACACCUAUGGGCAACAUGAACACCCCGGAGUGACCGGCACAGAGGCAUACAGCACCGGCGGCACAGGCGAGAAGAAGGGCAUUGUGGAGAAUACGAAGGAGAAGCUCCCCGGUGGCUACAAUGACCGCCAGCAAACCGGUGACACCUACGGGCAGCAGGGACACACCGGCACUAUGACGCAUGGCACCCCGUCCACCUGUGGCACCUACGGGCAGCACGGACACGCCGGACUGACCGACAUGGGAACCCAGGGCACCGGCAGCACCGACAAGAAGGAUGUCAUGGACAACAUCAAGGAGAAGCUCCCUGGUGGCCACGGUGACCACCAGCAGACCGCUGUCACCUACGGGCAGCAUGGACACACUGGAAUGACUGGCACGGAGACGCAUGGCACCACGGCCACCGACGACGGGAAGCAAGGACACAACGGAACAACUGGCACUGGGACACACGGCACCGACGGGACCGGUGAGAAGAAGAGCCUCAUGGAAAAGAUCAAGGAGAAGCUGCCUGGACUGAACUAAGCCCGGUAUGCCUAAGGCCGCUACCUUUGCAGAAUAAUACUCCACUGCAUAUAAAUUGAUUGAUUCUAGUUCACCUAGCUCACUUGGUCGCUGGAGAAGCGAAUGUAUCUUGGUUUAAGUUUUCAAGGACAAUAUGUGUUCACAUUUUUUUUUCUUUCUAACAUUGUCGUGCAAAUUUCCUUCUGGUUCAACCCAUGUAUGUAUGUUAUGAGGCCUAUGGCAUCUAAUAUAUCAAUAUAAUAAUAAAGUUACUAAGCUCCCAGGAAUUAGAGCCUUGUGGUCGAACAUGGCUGAUGGGACCACCUAUCAUCUAAUUUUCAGUCGGUAAGAGCAUCUGUAGCAGAUCCCGCAAACCGUCGUCCCGAAAAAAUCGUUUAGGGUAUGACGCCGAGCGUGCUGCAAAAACAGAUCCUGCAUAUGACACAAAUUUAAACAAACUACUUCGCGCUAAAAACGUCUCGCCGGAGUUCAUCAAACCAGCAUAGUUCAUCACACAUGGCAUAUGCGAGUUUUUAGUAAAAACCAUAAUUAAACAUAACCGAAACAUAGCAUAGGGGAUCUACUCGUCGCUGGAGUCCUCGCCGAAGCCAUUGUCGCUGUCAUCGCCCUUGUCGUCCUCGUCGCUAAAGAUGACCUUGGCGGGCAGCGGCUUCCCUCUGUAAAGCGUAUCGUAGAUCAGCAAAUCGGAGAUCCGGUUUUGGAGCUGGUACUCCUCCCAAAGCGUCGGCAGCUGCGCAGCCGCAACCACAUCUCCGGCGUCGGCGGCGGUCCUUGCCGCAAUCCGUGCUCCAAUUUUGAUAAUUUCCUAUUAGUAAAUAGUAAGCGUUAUUAAAAAUUCAGUUAUUGAUGAUGUAUAUUACGCUAGUGGUAAAUGAUGGAUCUCGCUUAUUGUCCAUAGUUGUUUGGUUGUUAUCAAUGCUUUGAGUGUCACCAUAUUUCAUAGCUGUAGAAAUUCUAAUAAUUUGACAUACAUGAAUUUAGAGUACUCCAGGUGUUAUAUUUGGCAUUACAUCUCCCAAACAACAGACCGGUUGAUAAAGUGUUCUAUACAUGGGCUGACCAAAAAAACUGCAUGUUGGAUGCAGUUGAUUUUGAUAUUGAUAGAAAUUAUGUUUUACCAGGUUACCGUUAGUAUAGAUUUACCAAAAUGAUAAUUGUCACACGUGUGGCCCGAAGCAGUCCCGCCUUGACAUUUUUUACAACUAAAUUGCCAUCCGAAAAGAAAAAACAAACACAAAGACUAAAAACUUGUUAUCCGAAAAAAGGUGUCGUGCUUGACAACUAAAGUCGUCAUUCUCGCGUCACUAAUUUUGCCAUAAAAAAUGUUCGGAGGUGCCAUGUGUUUGUGCCACACGUGUGGCACUUAUCAGGGUCCUAGAUUUAACCCUAUACAUUUACGAUUGUUUUCUUCUUAGAUAGAUAGAUUUAAAGACUUUGUUGUUUAUCCAUGCUUUCUUAAGCCGAAAUGAACUUUUGCUGAUGUACUAUGCAAAUGGGGAAUAGUGGACACUAGGGAUGGAGUUUAUUUGCACUAGAUACAUGUCAUGGUUUUAAUCCACACAGGAUAUGGCCAGAAGGGACACUGUCAAGUUUUUAUUUAAUGAUUAGAAAGUUAAUUUGUAUGAUAAUAUUUCAUAUACUUAAUAUCAACUCUCUCUGUCCCAAGAACCGAGGGGGCGAUUGCAAAUUUGCAGUAUGAGAUCUUUCCAUUUGCUUUCUAUGAAAGAUCCACUUGUUUUUUUAUUACCAUACAGGAUGUUAUUUCAUUUGUUCACUCAAUUUUUUGUGUUAAUCCAUUACAUGGUUUACUUCAUCGAUUUAUGUCCUCCUUAUAAGUAUGGCACUAAAGGAUGGGCGCAAACGUUUCUUAGGCAUUUCUAUUGGUGUUAACUGUGUUUGACGAUAAACAUGGAUAUCUCCCAAACUAAAGUAUCAUGGAGUCUUCUUUUAAUUUUUUGUGGGCUGGAAAAAGUUUAGCAAUUAGCAGCUCCAACAGCAAGAAUUGUGGUUGCAUCAUGUAACUAUGGCAUGCCACUGGCAGUAACAGUGCACAAAUACCUAAUUUAUAUUGUUCUGUUUAAAGUUUAUUGUCAUUCCUCAGUUUUGGGUGGACCGGGGUGUCAUAGUCCUACGUAGCGAAGGUCCGAACUCCUUCAAAGUCCCUCUGAUCUGCUUUCGAUUUGUUGAAAAAACGGGCACCCGGACACGUCUGUGGACAAAUAAGGGUUCAUGUAGGAUGGCUUGCGGGUGUUUGCGGCAGCGUCCAAACAUUCGGUCUGGAUGUUUGCGGACGUUUUGAGGGUUCACGUUGGAGAUUUCCUUAACAUGCCAAAAACUGCAUUACUAGAAUUAUACCAUAUGCAACCUCUUCCACUUAGUAAAUUCCUCGCUACAUAUCCCGCGAUACAUAUCGCGCAACCAUAAUUUCUUGCAUGCACUUCUUCCAAUGAACACCGAGCGAUAGAGUCAUGUCCGAACUCCUGCAAAGCCCCACUAAUUUGCUUCCGAUUUGUUGAAAAAAGGCACGCAGGCGCGUCUGCGGACAAAUACGGGUCCGCAUUAGAUGGCUUGCGGAUGUUUACGGCAACGUCCGCAAACAUCCAAACACUCGGUCCGGAUGUUUGCGGACGUUUUUGUUGACGCUGGAACGCGUCACACGAACACGUUGAUGUGUACCAGCGGCGCCGAGGGAGAUGCUCCGCAAUUCACACUGCGGGAGGCUGACUUCCAGCGCGAUACGCAAGACAGCAAGCCGGCGCUUUUGGGACCAGACGCCCCGCUCGCCCUGGAGGGACCCCGUCAGGGCUCGCGGCGACGAUUGGCUGCUCGAGGUCGGCCUUACCGCCCCUAGAGCCUCGUGGAUUCGCAGCCUCCAAUCUUGAAGAACGACGAAGAACGAGAAGAAAGAUACAAGGGGAGAGAUAAAAGUAGAUGAACACGAAAAAAUAGUAGAUGUAUUUGUUCGAUUGGUGUUGUUCAAUCGGCCGUCACCUCUCAUCUAUUUAUGAGGCGACUGGACUUCCCGUAUAAGAAAAGGACUAAAAAUUCCGUCCAAAACAUCAAAAACCCUAACCUAACUCGGACAGGAAUCUUUGGUAAUUUCUCGGACCAACUCGGUCUCACCGAUUGGUUCAUUUCGAUCCUACCGAGUCAACAUUGCCAUCUCUCUGGUAAAUUUUUGGACCAACUCGGUCUCACCGAUCAAAUCAACUCGGUCGGUCCGAAAUGACUCUGCAGCUUCUGUUUCUGACAUUGUUUUGCCUCCACAGGUUGCAUACGACCUCGGAUUAAGACGAUUUUAUAUCAAAAUCCACUGUUUCAACGAGACGGACAACUUUUCAGUUGUAAAUUUUUCCAUCCGAGGCCCUAUUAAUUAGGUUUCAUGCCAUUCUUCAAUCUGGUGUCAACACGGGUAUCUCCAAAAUUGUCAUAUCUUUUGCACUUGAGCUCCGUUUGAAGGAAAUAUGCCCUAGAGGCAAUAAUAAAGUUAUUAUUUGUUUCCUCAUAUCAUGAUAAAUGUUUAUUAUUCAUGCUAGAAUUGUAUUAACCGGAAACAUUAUACAUGUGUGAAUACAUAGACCAACAUAACGUCACUAGUAUGCCUCUACUUGACUAGCUCAUUAAUCAAAGAUGGUUAUGUUUCCUAACCAUAGACAUGUGUUGUCAUUUGAUUAAUGGGAUCACAUCAUUAGUAGAAUGAUGUGAUUGACAUGACCCAUUCCGUUAGCCUAGCACUUGAUCGUUUAGUAUAUUGCUAUUGCUUUCUUCAUGACUUAUACAUGUUCUUGUAACUAUGAGAUUAUGCAACUCCCGUUUACCGAAGGAACACUUUGGGUGCUACAAAAUGUCACAACGUAACUGGGUGAUUAUAAAGGAGUACUACAGAUGUCUCGGAAGGUACAUGUUGGGUUGGCGUAUUUCGAGAUUAGGUUUUGUCACUCCGAUUGUCGGAGAGGUAUCUCUGGGCCCUCUCGGUAAUGCACAUCACUAUAAGCCUUGCAAACAAUGUAGCUAAUGAGUUAGUUGCGGCAUGAUGUAUUACGGAACGAGUAAAGAGACUUGCCGGUAACGAGAUUGAACUAGGUAUUGGAUACCGAUGAUCGAAUCUCGGGCAAGUAACAUACCGAUGACAAAGGGAACAACGUAUGUUGUUAUGCGGUUUGACCGAUAAAGAUCUUCGUAGAAUAUGUAGGAGCCAAUAUGAGCAUCCAGGUUCCGCUAUUGGUUAUUGACCGAGAAUAGUUCUAGGUCAUGUCUACAUAGUUCUCAAACCCGUAGGGUCCGCACGCUUAACGUUACGAUGACAGUUUUAUUAUGAGUUUAUAAGUUUUGAUGUACCGAAGUUUGUUCGGAGUCCCAGAUGUGAUCACAGACAUGACGAGGAGUCUCGAAAUGGUCGAGACAUAAAGAUUGAUAUAUUGAAAGCCUAUGUUUGGACAUCGGAAGUGUUCCGGGUGAAAUCGGCAUUUUACCGGAGUACCGGGAGGUUACUGGAACCCCCCGGUGACCUAAUGGGCCUUAGUGGGCCUAGUGGAGGAAGAGGAGAAGGGGCCAAGGGGCAGCCGCGCGCCCCUCCCCCCCCCCCAAGUCCGAAUAGGACAAGGAGGGGGGCGCCCCCCUUUCCUUUCCCCCCUCUCCUCCUUCCCCCCAAGUCCUAGUCCAACUAGGGAAGGGGGGAGUCCUACUCCCGGUGGGAGUAGGACUCCUCCGGCGCGCCUCCUCCUAGGGCCGGCCGCACCCCCCCUUGCUCCUUUAUAUACAGGGGCAGGGGCACCCUAGACACACAAGUUGAUCUACGGAUCGUUCCUUAGCCGUGUGCGGUGCCCCCCUCCACCAUAUUCCACCUCGGUCAUAUCAUCACGGAGUUUAGGCGAAGCCCUGCGCCGGUAGAGCAUCAUCAUCGUCACCACACCGUCGUGCUGACGGAACUCAUCCCCGACACUUUGCUGGAUCGGAGUCCAGGGAUCAUCAUCGAGCUGAACGUGUGCUGAACUCGGAGGUGCCGUACGUUCAGUACUUGAAUCGGUCGGAUCGUGAAGACGUACGACUACAUCAACCGCGUUGUCAUAACGCUUCCGCUUACAGUCUACGAGGGUACGUGGACAACACUCUCCCCUCUCGUUGCUAUGCCAUCACCAUGAUCUUGCGUGUACGUAGGAAAAUUUUUGAAAUUACUACGUUCCCCAACAGUGGCAUCCGAGCCUGGUUUUAUGCCUAGAUGUCAUAUGCACGAGUAGAACACAAGUGAGUUGUGGGCGAUACAAGUCAUGCUGCUUACCAGCAUGUCAUACUUUGGUUCGGCGGUAUUGUGAGAUGAAGCGGCCCGGACCGACAUUACACGUACGCUUACGCGAGACUGGUUUCACAAUUACGAGCACUCGUGCUUAAAGGUGGCUGGCGGGUGUCUGUCUCUCUCACUUUAGCUGAAUCGAGUGUGGCUACGCCCGGUCCUUGCGAAGGUUAAAACAACACUAACUUGACGAACUAUCGUUGUGGUUUUGAUGCGUAGGUAAGAACGGUUCUUGCUAAGCCCGUAGCAGCCACGUAAAACUUGCAACAACAAAGUAGAGGACAUCUAACUUGUUUUUGCAGGGCAUGUUGUGAUGUGAUAUGGUCAAGACGUGAUGCUAUAUUUUAUUGUAUGAGAUGAUCAUGUUUUGUAACCGAAGUUAUCGGCAACUGGCAGGAGCCAUAUGGUUGUCGCUUUAUUGUAUGAAAUGAAAACGCCCUGUAAAUGCUUUACUUUGUCACUAAGCGGUAGCGAUAGUCGUAGAAGCAAUAGAUGGCUUAAACGACAACGAUGCUACGAUGGAGAUCAAGGUGUCGCGCCGGUGACGAUGGUGAUCACGACGGUGCUUCGGAGAUGGAGAUCACAAGCACAAGAUGAUGAUGGCCAUAUCAUAUCACUUAUAUUGAUUGCAUGUGAUGUUUAUCCUUUAUGCAUCUUAUCUUGCUUUGAUUGACGGUAGCAUUUUAAGAUGAUCUCUCACUAAAAAUUAUCAAGAAGUGUUCUCCCUGAGUAUGCACCGUUGCCAAAGUUCAUCGUGCCCAGACACCACGUGAUGAUCGGAUGUGAUAAGCUCUACGUCCAUCUACAACGAGUGCAAGCCAGUUUUGCACACGCAGAAUACUCAGGUUAAACUUGACGAGCCUAGCAUAUGCAGAUAUGGCCUCGGAACACGGAGACCGAAAGGUCGAGCAUGAAUCAUAUAGUAGAUAUGAUCAACAUAGUGAUGUUCACCAUUGAAAACUACUCCAUCUCACGUGAUGAUCGGUUAUGGUUUAGUUGAUUUGGAUCACGUGAUCACUUAGAUGACUCGAGAGAUGUCUGUCUAAGUGGGAGUUCUAAAGUAAUAUGAUUAAUUGAACUUAAAUUUAUCAUGAACUUAGUACCUGAUAGUAUUUUGCUUGUCUAUGUUUGUUGUAGAUAGAUGGCUCGUGCUGUUGUUCCAUUGAAUUUUAAUGCAUUCCUUGAGAAAGCAAAGUUGAAAGAUGAUGGUAGCAAUUACGCGGACUGGGUCCGUAACAUGAGGAUUAUCCUCAUUGCUGCACAGAAGAAUUACAUCCUGGAAGCACCGCUGGGUGCCAGGCCUGCUGCUGAUGCAACUGACGACGUUAAGAACGUCUGGCAGAGCAAAGCUGAUGACUACUCGAUAGUUCAAUGUGCCAUGCUUUACGGCUUAGAACCGGGUCUUCAACGGCGUCUUGAACGUCAUGGAGCAUAUGAGAUGUUCCAGGAGUUGAAGUUAAUAUUUCAAGCAAAUGCCCGGAUUGAGAGAUAUGAAGUCUCUAAUAAGUUCUACAGCUGCAAGAUGGAGGAGAAUAGUUCUGUCAGUGAGCAUAUACUCAAAAUGUCUGGGUAUAAUAAUCACUUAAUUCAACUGGGAGUUAAUCUUCUGGAUGAUAGCGUCAUUGACAGAAUUCUCCAAUCACUACCACCAAGCUACAAGAGCUUCGUGAGAACUAUAAUAUGCAAGGGAUGAACAAGACAAUUCCCGAGGUCUUCGCAAUGCUAAAAGCUGCGGAGGUAGAAAUCAAGAAGGAGCAUCAAGUAUUGAUGGUCAACAAGACCACUAGUUUCAAGAAAAAGGGCAAAGGGAAGAAGAAGGGGAACUUCAAGAAGAACAGCAAGCAAGUUGUUGCUCAAGAGAAGAAACCCAAGUUUGGACCUAAGCCUGAAACUGAGUGCUUCUACUGCAAGCAGACUGGACACUGGAAGCGGAACUGCCCCAAGUAUUUGGCGGAUAAGAAGGAUGGCAAGGUGAACAAAGGUAUAUGUGAUAUACAUGUUAUUGAUGUGUACCUUACUAGAGCUCGCAGUAGCACCUGGUUAUUUGAUACUGGUUCUGUUGCUAAUAUUUGCAACUCGAAACUGGGACUACGGAAUAAGCGAGCACUGGCCAAGGACGAGGUGACGAUGCGCGUGGGAAACGGUUCCAAAGUCGAUGUGAUCGCGGUCGGCACGCUACCUCUACAUCUACCUUCGGGAUUAGUUUUAGACCUGAAUAAUUGUUAUUUGGUGCCAGCGUUGAGCAUGAACAUUAUAUCUGGAUCUUGUUUGAUGCGAGACGGUUAUUCAUUUAAAUCAGAGAAUAAUGGUUGUUCUAUUUAUAAGAGUAAUAUCUUUUAUGGUCAUGCACCCUUGAAGAGUGGUCUAUUUUUAUUGAAUCUCAAUAGUAGUGAUAAACAUAUUCAUAAUGUCGAAGCCAAAAGAUGCAGAGUUGAUAAUGAUAGUGCAACUUAUUUGUGGCACUGCCAUUUAGGUCAUAUCGGUGUAAAGCGCAUGAAGAAACUCCAUACUGAUGGACUUUUGGAAUCACUUGAUUAUGAAUCACUUGGUACUUGUGAACCGUGCCUUAUGGGCAAGAUGACUAAAACACCGUUCUCCGGUACAAUGGAGAGAGCAAAAGAUUUGUUGGAAAUCAUACAUACAGAUGUAUGUGGUCCGAUGAAUGUUGAAGCUCGUGGCGGAUAUCGUUACUUUCUCACCUUCACAGAUGAUUUAAGCAGAUAUGGGUAUAUCUACUUAAUGAAACACAAGUCUGAAACAUUUGAAAAGUUCAAAGAAUUUCAGAGUGAAAAGUGGAAAAUCAUCGUAACAAGAAAAUAAAGUUUCUACGAUCUGAUCGUGGAGGAGAAUAUUUGAGUUACGAGUUUGGUUUACAUUUGAAACAAUGUGGAAUAGUUUCGCAACUCACGCCACCUGGAACACCACAAAGAAAUGGUGUGUCCGAACGUCGUAAUCAUACUUUACUAGAUAUGGUGCGAUCUAUGAUGUCUCUUACUGAUUUACCGCUAUCGUUCUGGGGUUAUGCUUUAGAGACGGCCGCAUUCACGUUGAAUAGGGCACCAUCAAAAUCCGUUGAGACGACGCCUUAUGAACUGUGGUUUGGCAAGAAACCAAAGUUGUCGUUUCUUAAAGUUUGGGGCUGCGAUGCUUAUGUGAAGAAACUUCAACCAGAUAAGCUCGAACCUAAAUCGGAGAAAUGUGUCUUCAUAGGAUACCCAAAGGAGACAGUUGGGUACACCUUCUAUCACAGAUCCGAAGGCAAGACAUUCGUUGCUAAGAAUGGAUCCUUUCUAGAGAAGGAGUUUCUCUCGAAAGAAGUGAGUGGGAGGAAAGUAGAACUUGAUGAGGUAACUGUACCUGCUCCCUUAUUGGAAAGUAGUUCAUCACAGAAAUCGGUUUCUGUGACACCUACACCAAUUAAUGAGGAAGCUAAUGAUAUUGAUCAUGAAACUUCAGAUCAAGUUUCUACUGAGCCUCGUAGGUCUACCAGAGUAAGAUCCGCACCAGAGUGGUACGGUAAUCCUAUUCUGGAAGUCAUGUUACUUGACCAUGAUGAACCUACGAACUAUGAGGAAGCGAUGAUGAGCCCAGAUUUCACAAAAUGGCUAGAGGCCAUGAAAUCUGAGAUGGGAUCCAUGUAUGAAAAAAAAGUAUGGACUUUGGUUGACUUGCCCGAUGAUCGGCAAGCCAUUGAGAAUAAAUGGAUCUUUAAGAAGAAGACUGACACUGAUGGUAAUGUAACUGUCUAUAAAGCUCGACUUGUUGCAAAAGGUUUUCGACAAGUUCAAGGGGUUGACUACGAUGAGACUUUCUCACCCGUAGCGAUGCUUAAGUCUGUCCGAAUCAUGUUAGCAAUUACCGCAUUUUAUGAUUAUGAAAUUUGGCAAAUGGAUGUCAAAACUGCAUUCUUGAAUGGAUUUCUGGAAGAGUUGUAUAUGAUGCAACCAGAAGGUUUUGUUGAUCCAAAAGGUGCUAACAAAGUGUGCAAGCUCCAGCGAUCCAUCUAUGGACUGGUGCAAGCAUCUCGGAGUUGGAAUAAACGCUUUGAUAGUGUGAUCAAAGCAUAUGGUUUUAUACAGACUUUUGGAGAAGCCUGUAUUUACAAGAAAGUGAGUGGGAGCUCUGUAGCAUUUCUGAUAUUAUAUGUAGAUGACAUAUUAUUAAUUGGAAAUGAUAUAGAAUUUCUGGAUAGCAUAAAGGGAUACUUGAAUAAAAGUUUUUCAAUGAAAGACCUCGGUGAAGCUGCUUACAUAUUGGGCAUCAAGAUUUAUAGAGAUAGAUCAAGACGCUUAAUAGGACUUUCACAAAGCACAUACCUUGAUAAAAUUUUGAAAAAUUUCAAAAUGGAUCAGGCAAAGAAAGGGUUCUUGCCCGUGCUACAAGGUGUGAAGUUGAGUCAGACUCAAUGCCCGACCACAGCAGAAGAUAGAGAGAAAAUGAAAGAUGUUCCCUAUGCUUCAGCCAUAGGCUCUAUUAUGUAUGCAAUGCUGUGUACCAGACCUGACGUAUGCUUAGCAAUAAGCUUGGCAAGAAGGUACCAAAGUAAUCCAGGAGUGGAUCACUGGACAGCGGUCAAGAACAUCCUGAAAUACCUGAAAAGGACUAAGGAUAUGUUUCUCGUAUAUGGAGGUGACAAAGAGCUAGUCGUAAAUGGUUACGUCGAUGCAAGCUUUGACACUGAUACGGACGAUUCUAAAUCGCAAAACGGAUACGUGUUUUUAUUAAACGGUGGAGCUGUAAGUUGGUGCAGUUCUAAACAAAGAGUCGUGGCGGGAUCUACGUGUAAAGCGGAGUACAUAGCUGCUUCGGAAGCAGCAAAUGAAGGAGUCUGGAUGAAGGAGUUCAUUUCCGAUCUAGGUGUCAUACCUAGUGCAUCGGGACCAAUGAAGAUCUUCUGUGACAAUACUGGUGCAAUUGCCUUGGCAAAGGAAUCCAGAUUUCACAAGAGGACCAAGCACAUCAAGAGACGCUUCAAUUCCAUCCGGGACCAAGUCCAGGUGGGAGACAUAGAGAUUUGCAAGAUACAUACGGAUCUGAAUGUUGCAGACCCAUUGACUAAGCCUCUCUCACGAGCAAAACAUGAUCAGCACCAAGACUCCAUGGGUGUUAGAAUCAUUACUGUGUAAUCUAGAUUAUUGACUCUAAUGCAAGUGGGAGACUGAAGGAAAUAUGCCCUAGAGGCAAUAAUAAGUUAUUAUUUAUUUCCUCAUAUCAUGAUAAAUGUUUAUUAUUCAUGCUAGAAUUGUAUUAACCGGAAACAUUAUACAUGUGUGAAUACAUAGACCAACAUAACGUCACUAGUAUGCCUCUACUUGACUAGCUCAUUAAUCAAAGAUGGUUAUGUUUCCUAACCAUAGACAUGUGUUGUCAUUUGAUUAAUGGGAUCACAUCAUUAGUAGAAUGAUGUGAUUGACAUGACCCAUUCCGUUAGCCUAGCACUUGAUCGUUUAGUAUAUUGCUAUUGCUUUCUUCAUGACUUAUACAUGUUCCUGUAACUAUGAGAUUAUGCAACUCCCGUUUACCGGAGGAACACUUUGGGUGCUACCAAACGUCACAAUGUAACUGGGUGAUUAUAAAGGAGUACUACAGGUGUCUCCGAAGGUACAUGUUGGGUUGGCGUAUUUCGAGAUUAGGUUUUGUCACUCCGAUUGUCGGAGAGGUAUCUCUGGGCCCUCUCGGUAAUGCACAUCACUAUAAGCCUUGCAAGCAAUGUAGCUAAUGAGUUAGUUGCGGGAUGAUGUAUUACGGAACGAGUAAAGAGACUUGCCGGUAACGAGAUUGAACUAGGUAUUGGAUACCGACGAUCGAAUCUCGGGCAAGUAACAUACCGAUGACAAAGGGAACAACGUAUAUUGUUAUGCGGUUUGACCGAUAAAGAUCUUCGUAGAAUAUGUAGGAGCCAAUAUGAGCAUCCAGGUUCCGCUAUUGGUUAUUGACCGAGAAUAGUUCUAGGUCAUGUCUACAUAGUUCUCGAACCCGUAGGGUCCGCACGCUUAACGUUACGAUGAUAGUUUUAUUAUGAGUUUAUAAGUUUUGAUGUACCGAAGUUUGUUCGGAGUCCCGGAUGUGAUCACGGACAUGACGAGGAGUCUUGAAAUGGUUGAGACAUAAAGAUUGAUAUAUUGGAAGCCUAUGUUUGGACAUCGAAAGUGUUCCGGGUGAAAUCGGCAUUUUACCGGAGUACCGGGAGGUUACCGGAACCCCCUGGUGACCUAAUGGGCCUUAGUGGGCCUAGUGGAGGAAGAGGAGAAGGGGCCAAGCGGUAGGCGCGCGCCCCUCCCCCCCCCUCCCAAGUCCGAAUAGGACAAGGAGGGGGGCGGCGCCCCCCCCCUUCCUUUCCCCCCUCNNNNNNNNNNNNNNNNNNNNNNNNNNNNNNNNNNNNNNNNNNNNNNNNNNNNNNNNNNNNNNNNNNNNNNNNNNNNNNNNNNNNNNNNNNNNNNNNNNNNNNNNNNNNNNNNNNNNNNNNNNNNNNNNNNNNNNNNNNNNNNNNNNNNNNNNNNNNNNNNNNNNNNNNNNNNNNNNNNNNNNNNNNNNNNCUCUUCCUUCCCCCCAAGUCCUAGUCCAACUAGGGAAGGGGCGCCUCCUCCUAGGGCCGGCCGCACCCCCCUUGCUCCUUUAUAUACGGGGGUAGGGGGGCACCCUAGACACACAAGUUGAUCUACGGAUCGUUCCUUACCCGUGUGCGGUGCCCCCCUCCACCAUAUUCCACCUCGAUCAUAUCGUCGCGGAGUUUAGGCGAAGCCCUGCGCCGGUAGAGCAUCAUCAUCAUCACCACGCCAUCGUUCUGACGGAACUCAUCCCCGACACUUUGCUGGAUCGGAGUCUGGGGAUCGUCAUCGAGCUGAACGUGUGCUGAACUCGGAGGUGCCGUACGUUCGGUACUUGAAUCGGUCGGAUCGUGAAGACGUAUGACUACAUCAACCGCGUUGUCAUUACGCUUCCGCUUACGGUCUACGAGGGUACGUGAACAACACUCUCCCCUCUCGUUGCUAUGCGAUCACCAUGAUCUUGCGUGUACAUAGGAUUUUUUUGAAAUUACUACGUUCCCCAACACCGUUUUGGUUCAUCUUCAUAUUUAUUUCGAUCAUCUUGAAGAGGGCCAUCAAAUGGUGACAUGCACUCAUAAUUUUAGCCUCAUCCCAUUAUAGACUCAAGUCACUCUUCACGAUCAUGCCAUUUUUUAGCGUCAACAGUUUUGAAAGUCCGCGUUGGAGAUUUCCUACCUUGCCAAAAUUUGCAAAUUAUUAAAACAACACCAUAUGUGAUCGCUUCCACUUAGUAAAGUCCUCAUACAUAUAUCCGGCGAGACAUAUCGGCAUACCACGCAACCAUAAUUUCUUGCAUGCAUUUCUUCCGAUGAACACUCAAAAUGUCCGAAACUACCGGAUUAACAACCACGUCUAUCUAUAGAGAUACUAAGCUCCCACGAUUUGAAGCGCUCUCGUGCUUCGGGGUUUGUGGAUCGUUGUGGGACCUGCAUGAAAGGUUGUCUGUUGCUUAGUUUUAUUUCCCCUUCUCUUUUUAUUUUCUUACAAGUUUAAUUAUGAGCGCUUAUUAAAAUUUGCAAACAUUAAAAAGAAAUAAUAAUAAUAAUUUAUAUCUUUAGCUUCAUUAAUAUUUAUUACAUUCAUGAGUAUUUUCAAGUUCAGGGUAUUUUUCAAGUUUGCGAACAUUUUUAAAAAUUGAAACUUGUUUAAUUCGCAAAUAUUUUUAAUCCAUGAAUAUAUUUUAAACUCAUAAACAUUUUCUACAAUUCAUGGUUUUGUAAAAUUCACAUAUUUUCAAAAAAUUCUUGAACAUAUUUUAAUUAAACUAACCUAUUUAUAUUUAAAAAAUAGUUCAUUUUUCUGAGCGAGCAGUGGGGCGAGCAGAAAAAAAGCUAACCGACUGAGAGGAAUAGGGAGUCAAACAAGCGAGCGAGAGCUCGUGGGCCGAUCCAUGUGAGUAUUAUAGCAACAAUUGCAUGAUUUUAGCGUGGGUAGGACCUCUCAAGAGGCUCAAACGACCACCUCCUACUGACACCGAGACGGACACGUGUAAAGACAUCACAAUGACACACCAAAAAACUUCAUUCUCCUUUAGAAAAUAUUAUCUCCAACAAAAUCCGACAUGAUAUAUAAAUGAAAAAACACACCUUCAUAAUGUAAUUAAAACACAAGACAACAUUGAUAAAAUCCAAACAAAACAACCGACCGUGGCUCUCUACUUAGAUAUAAAAGAAUUGGUCACACAAGUGAAGAACGGCACGGCGAAGCGCGUUAGCCUUUAGUCAUUCCACGAUUUGAAGCGCUCUGGUGCUUCGGGGUUUGUGGGUCGUUGUGGGACCUGCAUGAAAGGUUGUCUGUUGCUUAGUUUUAUUUCUCCUUCUCUUUUUAUUUUCUUACAUGUUUUAAUUAUGAGUGCUUAUUAAAAUUUGUGAACAUUAAAAAGAAAUAAUAAUAAUAAUUUAUAUAUUUAGCUUCAUUAAUAUUUAUUACAUUCAUGGGUAUUUUAAAGUUCAGGGUAUUUUUGAAGUUUGCGAACAUUUUUUUAAAUUUGAAAAUUGUUUAAUUUGCAAAUAUUUUUAAUCCAUGAAUAUAUUUUAAACUCAUAAACAUUUUCUACAAUUCAUGGUUUUGUAAAAUUCACAUAUUUUCAAAAAACUCUUGAACAUAUUUUAAUUAAACUAACCUAUUUAUAUUUAAAAAAUAGUCCAUUUUUCUGAGCGAGUAGUGGGGCGAGCAGAAAAAAAGCUAACCGACUGAGAGGAAUAGGGAGUCAAACAAGCGAGCGAGAGCUCGUGGGCCGAUCCAUAUGAGUAUUAUAGCAACAAUUGAAUGAUUUUAGCGUGGAUAGGACCUCUCAAGAGGCUCAAACGACCACCGCCUACUGGCACCGAGACGGACACGUGUAAAGACAUCACAAUGACACACCAAAAAACUUCAUCCUCCUUUAGAAAAUAUUGUGUCCAACAAAACAUGACAUGAUAUACAAAUGAAAAAACACACCUUCAUAAUGUAAUUAAAACACAAGACAACAUUGAUAAAAUCCAAACAAAACAACCGACUGUGGCUCUCUACUUAGAUAUAAAAGAAUUGGUCACACGAGUGAAAAACGGCGCGGCGAAGCGCGUUAGCCUCUAGUUAUUCCACGAUUUGAAGCGCUCUGGUGCUUCAGGGUUUGUGGGUCGUUGUGGGACCUGCAUGAAAGGUUGUCUGUUGCUUAGUUUUAUUUCUCCUUCUCUCUUUAUUUUCUUACAUGUUUUAAUUAUGAGCGCUUAUUAAAGUUUGUGAACAUUAAAAAGAAAUAAUAAUAAUAAUUUAUAUCUUUAACUUCAUUAAUAUUUAUUACAUUCAUGACUAUUUUGAAGUUCAGGGUAUUUUUGAAGUAUGCGAACAUUUUUUAAAUUUGAAACUUGUUUAAUUUGCAAAUAUUUUUAAUCCAUGAAUAUAUUUUAAACUCAUAAACAUUUUAUACAAUUCAUGGUUUUGUAAAAUUCACAUAUUUUCAAAAAAUCCUUGAACAUAUUUUAAUUAAACUAACCUGUUUAUAUUUAAAAAAUAGUCCAUUUUUCCUAGCGAGCAGUGGGGUGAGCAGAAAAAAAGCUAACCGACUAAGAGGAAUAGGGAGUCAAACAAGCGAGCGAGAGCUCGUGAGCCGAUCCAUGUGAGUAUUAUAGCAACAAUUGCAUGAUUUUAGCGUGGAUAGGACCUCUCAAGAGGCUCAAACGACCACCGCCUACUGGCACCGAGACGGACACGUGUAAAGACAUCACAACGACACACCAAAAAACUUCAUUCUCCUUUAGAAAAUAUUGUGUCCAACAAACCCCGACAUGAUAUACAAAUGAAAAAACACACCUUCACAAUGUAAUUAAAACACAAGACAACAUUGCUAAAAUCCAAACAAAACAACCGACCGUGGCUCUUUACUUAGAUAUAAAAGAAUUGGUCACACGAGUGAACAACGGCGCGGCGAAGCGCGUUAGCCUCUAGUCAUUCCAAGAUUUGAAGCGCUCUGGUGCUUCGGGGUUUGUGGGUCGUUGUGGGACCUGCAUGAAAGGUUGUCUGUUGCUUAGUUUUAUUUCUCCUUCUCUGUUUAUUUUCUUACAUGUUUUAAUUAUGAGCGCUUAUUAAAAUUUGCGAACAUUAAAAAGAAAUAAUAAUAAUAAUUUAUAUCUUUAGCUUCAUUAAUAUUUAUUACAUUCAUCAGUAUUUUGAAGUUCAUGAUAUUUUUGAAGUUUGCGAACAUUUCUUAAAUUUGAAACAUGUUUAAUUUGCAAAUAUUUUUAGUCCAUUAAUAUAUUUUAAACUCAUAAACAUUUUCUACAAUUCAUGGUUUUCUAAAAUUCACAUAUUUUCAAAAAAUCCUUGAACAUAUUUUAAUUAAACUAACCUAUUUAUAUUUAAAAAAUAGUCCAUUUUUCUGAGCGAGCAGUGGGGCGAUAAGAAAAAAAGCUAACCGACUGAGAGGAAUAGGGAGUCAAACAAGCGAGCGAGAGCUCGUGGGCCGGUCCAUGUGAGUAUUAUAGCAACAAUUGCAUGAUUUUAGCGUGGAUAGGACCUCUCAAGAGGCUCAAACGACCACCGCCUACUGGCACCGAGACGGACACGUGUAAAGACAUCACAACGACACACCAAAAAACUUCAUUCUCCUUUAGAAAAUAUUGUGUCCAACAAAACCCGACAUGAUAUACAAAUGAAAAAACACACCUUCAUAAUGUAAUUAAAACACAAGACAACAUUGAUAAAAUCCAAACAAAACAACCGACCGUGGCUCUCUACUUAGAUAUAAAAGAAUUGGUCACACGAGUGAAGAACGGCGCGGCGAAGCGCGUUAGCCUCUAGUCAUUCCAUGAUUUGAAGCGCUCUGGUGCUUCGGGGUUUGUGGGUCGUUGUGGGACCUGCAUGAAAGGUUGUUUGUUGCUUAGUUUUAUUUCUCCUUCUCUCUUUAUUUGCUUACAUGUUUUAAUUAUGAGCGCUUAUUAAAAUUUGCGAACAUUAAAAAGAAAUAAUAAUAAUAAUCUAUAUCUUUAGCUUCAUUAAUAUUUAUUACAUUCAUGAGUAUUUCGAAGUGCAGGGUAUUUUUGAAGUUUGCGAACAUUUUUUAAAUUUGAAACAUGUUUAAUUUGCAAAUAUUUUUAAUCCAUGAAUAUAUUUUAAAUUCAUAAACAUUUUCUACAAUUCAUGGUUUUCUAAAAUUCACAUAUUUUCAAAAAAUCCUUGAACAUAUUUUAAUUAAACUAACCUAUUUAUAUUUAAAAAAUAGUUCAUUUUUCUGAGCGAGCAGUGGGGCGAGCAUAAAAAAAGCUAACCGACUGAGAGGAAUAGGGAGUCAAACAAGCGAGCGAGAGCUCGUGGGCCGAUCCAUGUGAGUAUUAUAGCAACAAUUGCAUGAUUUUAGCGUGGAUAGGACCUCUCAAGAGGCUCAAACGACCACCGCCUACUGGCAUCGAGACGGACACGUGUAAAGACAUCACAACGACACACCAAAAAACUUCAUUCUCCUUUAGAAAAUAUUGUGUCCAACAAAACAUGACAUGAUAUACAAAUGAAAAAACACACCUUCAUAAUGUAAUUAAAACACAAGACAACAUUGAUAAAAUCCAAACAAAACAACCGACUGUGGCUCUCUACUUAGAUAUAAAAGAAUUGGUCACACGAGUGAAAAACGGCGUGGCGAAGCGCGUUAGCCUCUAGUUAUUCCACGAUUUGAAGCGCUCUGGUGCUUCAGGGUUUGUGGGUCAUUGUGGGACCUGCAUGAAAGGUUGUCUGUUGCUUAGUUUUAUUUCUCCUUCUCUCUUUUAUUUUCUUACAUGUUUUAAUUAUGAGCGCUUAUUAAAAUUUGCGAACAUUAAAAAGAAAUAAUAAUAAUAAUUUAUAUCUUUAACUUCAUUAAUAUUUAUUACAUUCAUGAGUAUUUUGAAGUUCAGGGUAUUUUUGAAGUAUGCGAACAUUUUUUAAAUUUGAAACUUGUUUAAUUUGCAAAUAUUUUUAAUCCAUGAAUAUAUUUUAAACUCAUAAACAUUUUAUACAAUUCAUGGUUUUGUAAAAUUCACAUAUUUUCAAAAAAUCCUUGAACAUAUUUUAAUUAAACUAACCUGUUUAUAUUUAAAAAAUAGUCCAUUUUUCCUAGCGAGCAGUGGGGUGAGCAGAAAAAAAGCUAACCGACUGAGAGGAAUAGGGAGUCAGACAAGCGAGCGAGAGCUCGUGAGCCGAUCCAUGUGAGUAUUAUAGCAACAAUUGCAUGAUUUUAGCGUGGAUAGGACCUCUCAAGAGGCUCAAACGACCACCGCCUACUGGCACCGAGACGGACACGUGUAAAGACAUCACAACGACACACCAAAAAACUUCAUUCUCCUUUAGAAAAUAUUGUGUCCAACAAAACCCGACAUGAUAUACAAAUGAAAAAACACACCUUCAUAAUGUAAUUAAAACACAAGACAACAUUGAUAAAAUCCAAACAAAACAACCGACCGUGGCUCUCUACUUAGAUAUAAAGAAUUGGUCACACGAGUCAAGAACGGCGCCGCGAAGCGCGUUAGCCUCUAGUCAUUCCACGAUUUGAAGCGCUCUGGUGCUUCGGGGUUUGUGGGUCGUUGUGGGACCUGUAUGAAAGGUUGUCUGUUGCUUAGUUUUAUUUCUCCUUCUCUCUUUAUUUUCUUAUAUGUUUUAAUUAUUAGCGCUUAUUAAAAUUUGCGAACAUUAAAAAGAAAUAAUAAUAAUAAUUUAUAUCUUUAGCUUCAUUAAUAUUUAUUACAUUCAUGAGUAUUUUGAAGUUCAGGGUAUUUUUGAAGUUUGCGAACAUUUUUUAAAUUUGAAACUUGUUUAAUUUGCAAAUAUUUUUAAUCCAUGAAUAUAUUUUAAACUCAUAAAUAUUUUCUACAAUUCAUGGUUUUGUAAAAUUCACAUAUUUCAAAAAAUACUUGAACAUAUUUUAAUUAAACUAACCUAUUUAUAUUUAAAAAAUAGUCCAUUUUUCUGAGUGAGCAGUGGGGCGAGCAGAAAAAAAAGCUAACCGACUGAGAGGAAUAGGGAGUUAAACAAGCGAGCGAGAGCUCGUGGGCCGAUCCAUGUGAGUAUUAUAGCAACAAUUGCAUGAUUUUAGUGUGGAUAGGACCCCUCAAGAGGCUCAAACGACCACCGUCUACUGGCACCGAGACGGACACGUGUAAAGACAUCACAACGACACACCAAAAAACUUCAUUCUCCGUUAGAAAUAUUGUCUCCAACAAAACCCGACAUGAUAUACAAAUGAAAAAACACACCUUCACAAUGUAAUUAAAACACAAGACAACAUUGAUAAAAUCCAAACAAAACAACCGACCGUGGCUCUUUACUUAGAUAUAAAAGAAUUGGUCACACGAGUGAAGAACAGCGCGGCGAAGCGCGUUAGCCUCUAGUCAUUCCACGAUUUGAAGCGCUCUGGUGCUUCGGGGUUUGUGGGUCGUUGUGGGACCUGCAUGAAAGGUUGUCUGGUGCUUAGUUUUAUUUUUCCUUCUCUCUUUAUUUUCUUACAUGUUUUAAUUAUGAGCGCUUAUUAAAUUUUGCGAACAUUAAAAAGAAAUAAUAAUAAUAAUUUAUAUCUUUAGCUUCAUUAAUAUUUAUUACAUUCAUGAGUAUUUUGAAGUUCAUGGUAUUUUUGAAGUUUGCGAACAUUUUUUAAAUUUGAAACAUGUUUAAUUUGCAAAUAUUUUUAAUCCAUGAAUAUAUUUUAAACUCAUAAACAUUUUCUACAAUUCAUGGUUUUCUAAAAUUCACAUAUUUUCAAAAAAUCCUUGAACAUAUUUUAAUUAAACUAACCUAUUUAUAUUUAAAAAAUAGUCCAUUUUUCUGAGCGAGCAGUGGGGCGAGCAGAAAAAAAGCUAACCGACUGAGAGGAAUAGGGAGUCAAACAAGCGAGCGAGAGCUCGUGGGCCGAUCCAUGUGAGUAUUAUAGCAACAAUUGCAUGAUUUUAGUGUGGAUAGGACCCCUCAAGAGGCUCAAACGACCAUCGUCUACUGGCACCGAGACGGACACGUGUAAAGACAUCAUAACGACACACCAAAAAACUUCAUUCUCCUUUAGAAAUAUUGUCUCCAACAAAACCCGACAUGAUAUACAAAUGAAAAAACACACCUUCAUAAUAUAAUUAAAACACAAGACAACAUUGAUAAAAUCCAAACAAAACAACCGACCGUGGCUCUUUACUUAGAUAUAAAAGAAUUGGUCACACGAGUGAAGAACGGCGCGGCGAAGCGCGUUAGCCUCUAGUCAUUCCACGACUUGAAGCGCUCUGGUGCUUCAGGGUUUGUGGGUCGUUGUGGGACCUGCAUGAAAGGUUGUCUGGUGCUUAGUUUUAUUUCUCCUUCUCUCUUUAUUUUCUUACAUGUUUUAAUUAUGAGCGCUUAUUAAAUUUUGCAAACAUUAAAAAGAAAUAAUAAUAAUAAUUUAUAUCUUUAGCUUCAUUAAUAUUUAUUACAUUCAUCAGUAUUUUGAAGUUCAUGGUAUUUUUGAAGUUUGCGAACAUUUUUAAAUUUGAAACAUGUUUAAUUUGCAAAUAUUUUUAAUCCAUGAAUAUAUUUUAAACUCAUAAACAUUUUCUACAAUUCAUGGUUUUCUAAAAUUCACAUAUUUUCAAAAAAUCCUUGAACAUAUUUUAAUUAAACUAACCUAUUUAUAUUUAAAAAUAGUCCAUUUUUCUGAGCGAGCAGUGGGGCGAGCAGAAAAAAAGCUAACCGGCUGAGAGAAAUAGGGAGUCAAACAAGCGAGCGAGAGCUCGUGGGCCGAUCCAUGUGAGUAUUAUAGCAACAGUGGCAUGAUUUUAGCGUGGAUAGGACCUCUCAAGAGGCUCAAACGACCACCGCCUACUGGCACCGAAACGGACACGUGUAAAGACAUCACAACGACACACCAAAAAACUUCAUUCUCCUUUAGAAAAUAUUGUGUCCAACAAAACCCGACAUGAUAUGCAAAUGAAAAAGCACACCUUCAUAAUGUAAUUAAAACACAAGACAACAUUGAUAAAAUCCAAACAAAACAACCGAACGUGGCUCUCUACUUAGAUAUAAAAGAAUUGGUCACACGAGUGAAGAACGGCGCGGCGAAGCGCGUUAGCCUCUAGUCAUUCCACGAUUUGAAGCGCUCUGGUGCUUCGGGGUUUGUGGGUCGUUGUGGGACCGGCAUGAAAGGUUGUCUGUUGCUUAGUUUUAUUUCUCCUUCUCUCUUUAUUUUCUUACAUGUUUUAAUUAUGAGCGCUUAUUAAAAUUUGCGAACAUUAAAAAGAAAUAAUAAUAAUAAUCUAUACCUUUAGCUUCAUUAAUAUUUAUUACAUUCAUGAGUAUUUCGAAGUUCAGGGUAUUUUUGAAGUUUGCGAACAAUUUUUAAAUUUGAAACAUGUUUAAUUUGCAAAUAUUUUUAAUCCAUGAAUAUAUUUUAAACUCAUAAACAUUUUCUACAAUUCAUGGUUUUCUAAAAUCACAUAUUUUCAAAAAAUCCUUGAACAUAUUUUAAUUAAACUAACCUAUUUAUAUUUAAAAAAUAGUCCAUUUUUCUGAGCGAGCAGUGCGGCGAGCAGAAAAAAAGCUAACCGACUGAGAGGAAUAGGGAGUCAAACAAGCGAGCGAGAGCUCGUGGGCCGAUCCAUGUGAGUAUUAUAGCAACAGUGGCAUGAUUUUAGCGUGGAUAGGACCUCUCAAGAGGCUCAAACGACCACCGCCUACUGGCACCGAGAUGGACACGUGUAAAGACAUCACAACGACACACCAAAAAACUUCAUUCUCCUUUAGAAAAUAUUGUGUCCAACAAAACCCGACAUGAUAUACAAAUGAAAAAACACACCUUCAUAAUGUAAUUAAAACACAAGACAACAUUGAUAAAAUCCAAACAAAACAACCGACCGUGGCUCUUUACUUAGAUAUAAAAGAAUUGGUCACACGAGUGAAGAACGGCGCGGCGAAGCGCGUUAGCCUCUAGUCAUUCCACGAUUUGAAGCGCUCUGGUGCUUCGGGGUUUGUGGGUCGUUGUGGGACCUGCAUGAAAGGUUGUUUGUUGCUUAGUUUUAUUUCUCCUUCUCUCUUUAUUUUCUUACAUGUUUUAAUUAUGAGCGCUUAUUAAAAUUUGCGAACAUUAAAAAGAAAUAAUAAUAAUAAUUUAUAUCUUUAACUUCAUUAAUAUUUAUUACAUUCAUGACUAUUUUGAAGUCCAGGGUAUUUUUGAAGUAUGCGAACAUUUUUUAAAUUUGAAACUUGUUUAAUUUGCAAAUAUUUUUAAUCCAUGAAUAUAUUUUAAACUCAUAAACAUUUUAUACAAUUCAUGGUUUUGUAAAAUUCACAUAUUUUCAAAAAAUCCUUGAACAUAUUUUAAUUAAACUAACCUGUUUAUAUUUAAAAAAUAGUCCAUUUUUCCUAGCGAGCAGUGGGGUGAGCAGAAAAAAAGCUAACCGACUGAGAGGAAUAGGGAGUCAGACAAGCGAGCGAGAGCUCGUGAGCCGAUCCAUGUGAGUAUUAUAGCAACAAUUGCAUGAUUUUAGCGUGGAUAGGUCCUCUUAAGAGGCUCAAACGACCACCGCCUACUGGCACCGAGACGGACACGUGUAAAGACAUCACAACGACACACCAAAAAACUUCAUUCUCCUUUAGAAAAUAUUGUGUCCAACAAAACCCGACAUGAUAUACAAAUGAAAAAACACACCUUCAUAAUGUAAUUAAAACACAAGACAACAUUGAUAAAAUCCAAACAAAACAACCGACCGUGGCUCUCUACUUAGAUAUAAAGAAUUGGUCACACGAGUCAAGAACGGCGCCGCGAAGCGCGUUAGCCUCUAGUCAUUCCACGAUUUGAAGCGCUCUGGUGCUUCGGGGUUUGUGGGUCGUUGUGGGACCUGCAUGAAAGGUUGUCUGUUGCUUAGUUUUAUUUCUCCUUCUCUCUUUAUUUUCUUAUAUGUUUUAAUUAUUAGCGCUUAUUAAAAUUUGCGAACAUUAAAAAGAAAUAAUAAUAAUAAUUUAUAUCUUUAGCUUCAUUAAUAUUUAUUACAUUCAUGAGUAUUUUGAAGUUCAGGGUAUUUUUAAAGUUUGCGAACAUUUUUUAAAUUUGAAACUUGUUUAAUUUGCAAAUAUUUUUAAUCCAUGAAUAUAUUUUAAACUCAUAAACAUUUUCUACAAUUCAUGGUUUUGUAAAAUUCACAUAUUUCAAAAAAUCCUUGAACAUAUUUUAAUUAAACUAACCUAUUUAUAUUUAAAAAAUAGUCCAUUUUUCUGAGUGAGCAGUGGGGCGAGCAGAAAAAAAAGCUAACCGACUGAGAGGAAUAGGGAGUUAAACAAGCGAGCGAGAGCUCGUGGGCCGAUCCAUGUGAGUAUUAUAGCAACAAUUGCAUGAUUUUAGCGUGGAUAGGACCUCUCAAGAGGCUCAAACGACCACCGUCUACUGGCACCGAGACGGACACGUGUAAAGACAUCACAACGACACAACAAAAAACUUCAUUCUCCGUUAGAAAUAUUGUCUCCAACAAAACCCGACAUGAUAUACAAAUGAAAAAACACACCUUCAUAAUGUAAUUAAAACACAAGACAACAUUGAUAAAAUCCAAACAAAACAACCGACUGUGGCUCUUUACUUAGAUAUAAAAGAAUUGGUCACACGAGUGAAGAACGGCGCGGCGAAGCGCGUUAGCCUCUAGUCAUUCCACGAUUUGAAGCGCUCUGGUGCUUCCGGGUUUGUGGGUCGUUGUGGGACCUGCAUGAAAGGUUGUCUGGUGCUUAGUUUUAUUUUUCCUUCUCUCUUUAUUUUCUUACAUGUUUUAAUUAUGAGCGCUUAUUAAAUUUUGCGAACAUUAAAAAGAAAUAAUAAUAAUAAUUUAUAUCUUUAGCUUCAUUAAUAUUUAUUACAUUCAUGAGUAUUUUGAAGUUCAUGGUAUUUUUGAAGUUUGCAAACAUUUUUUAAAUUUGAAACAUGUUUAAUUUGCAAAUAUUUUUAAUCCAUGAAUAUAUUUUAAACUCAUAAACAUUUUCUACAAUUCAUGAUUUUCUAAAAUUCACAUAUUUUCAAAAAAUCCUUGAACAUAUUUUAAUUAAACUAACCUAUUUAUAUUUAAAAAAUAGUCCAUUUUUCUGAGCGAGCAGUGGGGCGAGCAGAAAAAAAGCUAACCGACUGAGAGGAAUAGGGAGUCAAACAAGCGAGCGAGAGCUCGUGGGCCGAUCCAUGUGAGUAUUAUAGCAACAGUGGCAUGAUUUUAGCGUGGAUAGGACCUCUCAAGAGGCUCAAACGACCACCGCCUACUGGCACCGAGACGGACACCUGUAAAGACAUCACAACGACACACCAAAAAACUUCAUUCUCCUUUAGAAAAUAUUGUGUCCAACAAAACCCGACAUGAUAUACAAAUGAAAAAACACACCUUCAUAAUGUAAUUAAAACACAAGACAACAUUGAUAAAAUCCAAACAAAACAACCGACCGUGGCUCUUUACUUAGAUAUAAAAGAAUUGGUCACACGAGUGAAGAACGGCGCGGCGAAGCGCGUUAGCCUCUAGUCAUUCCACGAUUUGAAGCGCUCUGGUGCUUCGGGGUUUGUGGGUCGUUGUGGGACCUGCAUGAAAGGUUGUCUGUUGCUUAGUUUUAUUUCUCCUUCUCUCUUUAUUUUCUUACAUGUUUUAAUUAUGAGCGCUUAUUAAAUUUUGCGAACAUUAAAAAGAAAUAAUAAUAAUAAUUUAUAUCUUUAGCUUCAUUAAUAUUUAUUACAUUCAUGAGUAUUUUGAAGUUCAUGGUAUUUUUGAAGUUUGCGAACAUUUUUUAAAUUUGAAACAUGUUUAAUUUGCAAAUAUUUUUAAUCCAUGAAUAUAUUUUAAACUCAUAAACAUUUUCUACAGUUCAUAGUUUUCUAAAAUUCACAUAUUUUCAAAAAAUCCUUGAACAUAUUUUAAUUAAACUAACCUAUUUAUAUUUAAAAAAUAGUCCAUUUUUCUGAGCGAGCAGUGGGGCGAGCAGAAAAAAAGCUAACCGACUGAGAGGAAUAGGGAGUCCAACAAGCGAGCGAGAGCUCGUGGGCCGAUCCAUGUGAGUAUUAUAGCAACAAUUGCAUGAUUUUAGUGUGGAUAGGACCCCUCAAGAGGCACAAACGACCAUCGUCUACUGGCACCGAGACGGACACGUGUAAAGACAUCAGAACGACACACCAAAAAACUUCAUUCUCCUUUAGAAAUAUUGUCUCCAACAAAACCCGACAUGAUAUACAAAUGAAAAAACACACCUUCAUAAUAUAAUUAAAACACAAGACAACAUUGAUAAAAUCCAAACAAAACAACCGACCGUGGCUCUUUACUUAGAUAUAAAAGAAUUGGUCACACGAGUGAAGAACGGCGCGGCGAAGCGCGUUAGCCUCUAGUCAUUCCACGACUUGAAGCGCUCUGGUGCUUCGGGGUUUGUGGGUCGUUGUGGGACCUGCAUGAAAGGUUGUCUGGUGCUUAGUUUUAUUUCUCCUUCUCUCUUUAUUUUCUUACAUGUUUUAAUUAUGAGCGCUUAUUAAAUUUUGCGAACAUUAAAAAGAAAUAAUAAUAAUAAUUUAUAUCUUUAGCUUCAUUAAUAUUUAUAACAUUCAUCAGUAUUUUGAAGUUCAUGGUAUUUUUGAAGUUUGCGAACAUUUUUAAAUUUGAAACAUGUUUAAUUUGCAAAUAUUUUUAAUCCAUGAAUAUAUUUUAAACUCAUAAACAUUUUCUACAAUUCAUGGUUUUCUAAAAUUCACAUAUUUUCAAAAAAUCCUUGAACAUAUUUUAAUUAAACUAACCUAUUUAUAUUUAAAAAAUAGUCCAUUUUUCUGAGCGAGCAGUGGGGCGAGCAGAAAAAAAGCUAACCGACUGAGAGGAAUAGGGAGUCAAACAAGCGAGCGAGAGCUCGUGGGCCGAUCCAUGUGAGUAUUAUAGCAACAGUGGCAUGAUUUUAGCGUGGAUAGGACCUCUCAAGAGGCUCAAACGACCACCGCCUACUAGCACCGAGACGGACACGUGUAAAGACAUCACAACGACACACCAAAAAACUUCAUUCUCCUUUAGAAAAUAUUGUGUCCAACAAAACCCGACAUGAUAUGCAAAUGAAAAAGCACACCUUCAUAAUGUAAUUAAAACACAAGACAACAUUGAUAAAAUCCAAACAAAACAACCGAACGUGGCUCUCUACUUAGAUAUAAAAGAAUUGGUCACACGAGUGAAGAACGGCGCGGCGAAGCGCGUUAGCCUCUAGUCAUUCCACGAUUUGAAGCGCUCUGGUGCUUCGGGGUUUGUGGGUCGUUGUGGGACCUGCAUGAAAGGUUGUUUGUUGCUUAGUUUUAUUUCUCCUUCUCUCUUUAUUUUCUUACAUGUUUUAAUUAUGAGCGCUUAUUAAAAUUUGCGAACAUUAAAAAGAAAUAAUAAUAAUAAUUUAUAUCUUUAACUUCAUUAAUAUUUAUUACAUUCAUGACUAUUUUGAAGUCCAGGGUAUUUUUGAAGUAUGCGAACAUUUUUUAAAUUUGAAACUUGUUUAAUUUGCAAAUAUUUUUAAUCCAUGAAUAUAUUUUAAACUCAUAAACAUUUUCUACAAUUCAUGGUUUUCUAAAAUUCACAUAUUUUCAAAAAAUCCUUGAACAUAUUUUAAUUAAACUAACCUAUUUAUAUUUAAAAAAUAGUCCAUUUUUCUGAGCGAGCAGUGAGGCGAGCAGAAAAAAAGCUAACCGACUGAGAGGAAUAGGGAGUCAAACAAGCGAGCGAGAGCUCGUGGGCCGAUCCAUGUGAGUAUUAUAGCAACAGUUGCAUGAUUUUAGUGUGGAUAGGACCCCUCAAGAGGCACAAACGACCAUCGUCUACUGGCACCGAGACGGACACGUGUAAAGACAUCAGAACGACACACCAAAAAACUUCAUUCUCCUUUAGAAAUAUUGUCUCCAACAAAACCCGACAUGAUAUACAAAUGAAAAAACACACCUUCAUAAUAUAAUUAAAACACAAGACAACAUUGAUAAAAUCCAAACAAAACAACCGACCGUGGCUCUUUACUUAGAUAUAAAAGAAUUGGUCACACGAGUGAAAAACGGCGCGGCGAAGCGCGUUAGCCUCUAGUCAUUCCACGACUUGAAGCGCUCUGGUGCUUCGGGGUUUGUGGGUCGUUGUGGGACCUGCAUGAAAGGUUGUCUGGUGCUUAGUUUUAUUUCUCCUUCUCUCUUUAUUUUCUUACAUGUUUUAAUUAUGAGCGCUUAUUAAAUUUUGCGAACAUUAAAAAGAAAUAAUAAUAAUAAUUUAUAUCUUUAGCUUCAUUAAUAUUUAUAACAUUCAUCAGUAUUUUGAAGUUCAUGGUAUUUUUGAAGUUUGCGAACAUUUUUAAAUUUGAAACAUGUUUAAUUUGCAAAUAUUUUUAAUCCAUGAAUAUAUUUUAAACUCAUAAACAUUUUCUACAAUUCAUGGUUUUCUAAAAUUCACAUAUUUUCAAAAAAUCCUUGAACAUAUUUUAAUUAAACUAACCUAUUUAUAUUUAAAAAAUAGUCCAUUUUUCUGAGCGAGCAGUGGGGCGAGCAGAAAAAAAGCUAACCGACUGAGAGGAAUAGGGAGUCAAACAAGCGAGCGAGAGCUCGUGGGCCGAUCCAUGUGAGUAUUAUAGCAACAGUGGCAUGAUUUUAGCGUGGAUAGGACCUCUCAAGAGGCUCAAACGACCACCGCCUACUAGCACCGAGACGGACACGUGUAAAGACAUCACAACGACACACCAAAAAACUUCAUUCUCCUUUAGAAAAUAUUGUGUCCAACAAAACCCGACAUGAUAUGCAAAUGAAAAAGCACACCUUCAUAAUGUAAUUAAAACACAAGACAACAUUGAUAAAAUCCAAACAAAACAACCGAACGUGGCUCUCUACUUAGAUAUAAAAGAAUUGGUCACACGAGUGAAGAACGGCGCGGCGAAGCGCGUUAGCCUCUAGUCAUUCCACGAUUUGAAGCGCUCUGGUGCUUCGGGGUUUGUGGGUCGUUGUGGGACCUGCAUGAAAGGUUGUCUGUUGCUUAAUUUUAUUUCUCCUUCUCUCUUUAUUUUCUUACAUGUUUUAAUUAUGAGCGCUUAUUAAAAUUUGCGAACAUUAAAAAGAAAUAAUAAUAAUAAUCUAUACCUUUAGCUUCAUUAAUAUUUAUUACAUUCAUGAGUAUUUUGAAGUUCAGGGUAUUUUUGAAGUUUGCGAACAUUUUUUAAAUUUGAAACAUGUUUAAUUUGCAAAUAUUUUUAAUCCAUGAAUAUAUUUUAAACUCAUAAACAUUUUCUACAAUUCAUGGUUUUCUAAAAUUCACAUAUUUUCAAAAAAUCCUUGAACAUAUUUUAAUUAAACUAACCUAUUUAUAUUUAAAAAAUAGUCCAUUUUUCUGAGCGAGCAGUGGGGCGAGCAGAAAAAAGCUAACCGACUGAGAGGAAUAGGGAGUCAAACAAGCGAGCGAGAGCUCGUGGGCCGAUCCAUGUGAGUAUUAUAGCAACAGUUGCAUGAUUUUAGUGUGGAUAGGACCCCUCAAGAGGCUCAAACGACCACCGUCUACUGGCAACGAGACGAACACGUGUAAAGACAUCACAACGACACACCAAAAAACUUCAUUCUCCUUUAGAAAUAUUGUCUCCAACAAAACCCGACAUGAUAUACAAAUGAAAAAACACACCUUCAUAAUGUAAUUAAAACGCAAGACAACAUUGAUAAAAUCCAAACAAAACAACCGACCGUGGCUCUUUACUUAGAUAUAAAAGAAUUGGUCACACGAGUGAAGAACGGCGCGGCAAAGCGCGUUAGCCUCUAGUCAUUCCACGAUUUGAAGCGCUCUGGUGCUUCGGGGUUUGUGGGUCGUUGUGGGACCUGCAUGAAAGGUUGUCUGGUGCUUAGUUUUAUUUCUCCUUCUCUCUUUAUUUUCUUACAUGUUUUAAUUAUGAGCGCUUAUUAAAUUUUGCGAACAUUAAAAAGAAAUAAUAAUAAUAAUUUAUAUCUUUAGCUUCAUUAAUAUUUAUUACAUUCAUCAGUAUUUUGAAGUUCAUGGUAUUUUUGAAGUUUGCGAACAUUUUUUAAAUUUGAAACAUGUUUAAUUUGCAAAUAUUUUUAAUCCAUGAAUAUAUUUUAAACUCAUAAACAUUUUCUACAAUUCAUGGUUUUUCUAAAAUUCACAUAUUUUCAAAAAAUCCUUGAACAUAUUUUAAUUAAACUAACCUAUUUAUAUUUAAAAAAUAGUCCAUUUUUCUAAGCGAGCAGUGGGGCGAGCAGAAAAAAGCUAACCGACUGAGAGGAAUAGGGAGUCAAAGAAGCGAGCGAGAGCUCGUGGGCCGAUCCAUGUGAGUAUUAUAGCAACAGUGGCAUGAUUUUAGCGUGGAUAGGACCUCUCAAGAGGCUCAAACGACCACCGCCUACUGGCACCGAGACGGACACGUGUAAAGACAUCACAACGACACACCAAAAAACUUCAUUCUCCUUUAGAAAAUAUUGUGUCCAACAAAACCCGACAUGAUAUGCAAAUGAAAAAGCACACCUUCAUAAUGUAAUUAAAACACAAGACAACAUUGAUAAAAUCCAAACAAAACAACCGAACGUGGCUCUCUACUUAGAUAUAAAAGAAUUGGUCACACGAGUGAAGAACGGCGCGGCGAAGCGCGUUAGCCUCUAGUCAUUCCACGAUUUGAAGCGCUCUGGUGCUUCGGGGUUUGUGGGUCGUUGUGGGACCUGCAUGAAAGGUUGUCCGUUGCUUAAUUUUAUUUCUCCUUCUCUCUUUAUUUUCUUACAUGUUUUAAUUAUGAGCGCUUAUUAAAAUUUGCGAACAUUAAAAAGAAAUAAUAAUAAUAAUCUAUACCUUUAGCUUCAUUAAUAUUUAUUACAUUCAUGAGUAUUUCGAAGUUCAGGGUAUUUUUGAAGUUUGCGAACAUUUUUUAAAUUUGAAACAUGUUUAAUUUGCAAAUAUUUUUAAUCCAUGAAUAUAUUUUAAACUCAUAAACAUUUUCUACAAUUCAUGGUUUUCUAAAAUUCACAUAUUUUCAAAAAAUCCUUGAACAUAUUUUAAUUAAACUAACCUAUUUAUAUUUAAAAAAUAGUCCAUUUUUCUGAGCGAGCAAUGGGGCGAGCAUAAAAAAAGCUAACCGACUAAGAGGAAUAGGGAGUCAAACAAGCGAGCGAGAGCUCGUGGGCCGAUCCAUGUGAGUAUUAUAGCAACAAUUGCAUGAUUUUAGCGUGGAUAGGACCUCUCAAGAGGCUCAAACGACCAGAGCCUACUGGCACCGAGACGGACACGUGUAAAGACAUCACAAUGACACACCAAAAAACUUCAUUCUCCUUUAGAAAAUAUUGUGUCCAACAAAACCCGACAUGAUAUACAAAUGAAAAAACACACCUUCAUAAUGUAAUUAAAACACAAGACAACAUUGAUAAAAUCCAAACAAAACAACCGACUGUGGCUCUCUACUUAGAUAUAAAAGAAUUGGUCACACGAAUGAAGAACGACGCGGCGAAGCGUGUUAGCCUCUAGUCAUUCCACGAUUUGAAGCGCUCUGGUGCUUCGGGCUUUGUGGGUCGUUGUGGGACCUGCAUGAAAGGUUGUCUGUUGCUUAGUUUUAUUUCUCCUUCUCUCUUUAUUUUUUACAUGUUUUACUUAUGAGCGCUUAUUAAAAUUUGCGAACAUUAAAAAGAAAUAAUAAUAAUAAUUUAUAUCUUUAACUUCAUUAAUAUUUAUCACAUUCAUGAGUAUUUUGAAGUUCAGGGUAUUUUUGAAGUUUGCGAACAUUUUUUAAAUUUGAAACUUGUUUAAUUUGCAAAUUUUUUUAAUCCAUGAAUAUAUUUAAAACUCAUAAACAUUUUAUACAAUUCAUGGUUUUGUAAAAUUCACAUAUUUUCAAAAAAUCCUUGAACAUAUUUUAAUUAAACUAACCUAUUUAUAUUUAAAAAAUAGUCCAUUUUUCCUAGCGAGCAGUGGGGUGAGCAGAAAAAAAGCUAACCGACUGAGAGGAAUAGGGAGUCAGACAAGCGAGCGAGAGCUCGUGGGCCGAUCCAUGUGAGUAUUAUAGCAACAAUUGCAUGAUUUUAGCGUGGAUAGGACCCCUCAAGAGGCUCAAACGACCACCGCCUACUGGCACCGAGACGGGCACGUGUAAAGACAUCACAACAACACACCAAAAAACUUCAUUCUCAUUUAGAAAUAUUGUCUCCAACAAAACCCGACAUGAUAUACAAAUGAAAAAACACACCUUCAUAAUGUAAUUAAAACACAAGACAACAUUGAUAAAAUCCAAACAAAACAACCGACCGUGGCUCUCUACUUAGAUAUAAAAGAAUUGGUCACACGAGUGAAGAACGGCCCGGCGAAGCGCGUUAGCCUCUAGUCAUUCCACGAUUUGAAGCGCUCUGGUGCUUCGGGGUUUGUGGGUCGUUGUGGGACCUGCAUGAAAGGUUGUCUGGUGCUUAGUUUUAUUUCUCCUUCUCUCUUUAUUUUCUUACAUGUUUUAAUUAUGAGCGCUUAUUAAAUUUUGCGAACAUUAAAAAGAAAUAAUAAUAAUAAUUUAUAUCUUUAGCUUCAUUAAUAUUUAUUACAUUCAUGAGUAUUUUGAAGUUCAUGGUAUUUUUGAAGUUUGCGAACAUUUUUUAAAUUUGAAACAUGUUUAAUUUGCAAAUAUUUUUAAUCCAUGAAUAUAUUUUAAACUCAUAAACAUUUUCUACAAUUCAUGGUUUUCUAAAAUUCACAUAUUUUCAAAAAAUCCUUGAACAUAUUUUAAUUAAAUUAACCUAUUUAUAUUUAAAAAAUAGUCCAUUUUUUUGAGCGAGCAGUGGGGCGAGCAGAAAAAAAGCUAACCGACUGAGAGGAAUAGGGAGUCAAACAAGCGAGCGAGAGCUCGUGGGCCGAUCCAUGUGAGUAUUAUAGCAACAAUUGCAUGAUUUUAGCGUGGAUAGGACCUCUCAAGAGGCUCAAACGACCACCGCCUACUGGCACCAAGACGGACACGUGUAAAGACAUCACAACGACACACCAAAAAACUUCAUUCUCCUUUAGAAAAUAUUGUGUCCAACAAAACCCGACAUGAUAUGCAAAUGAAAAAACACACCUUCAUAAUGUAAUUAAAACACAAGACAACAUUGAUAAAAUCCAAACAAAACAACCGCCCGUGGCUCUCUACUUAGAUAUAAAAGAAUUGGUCACACGAGUGAAGAACAGCGCGGCGAAGCGCGUUAGCCUCUAGUCAUUCCACGAUUUGAAGCGCUCUGGUGCUUCGGGGUUGGUGGGCCGUUGUGGGACCUGCAUGAAAGGUUGUCUGUUUUAAUUAUGAGCGCUUAUUAAAUUUUGCGAACAUUAAAAAGAAAUAAUAAUAAUAAUUUAUAUCUUUAGCUUCAUUAAUAUUUAUUACAUUCAUCAGUAUUUUGAAGUUCAUGGUAUUUUUGAAGUUUGCGAACUUUUUUAAAUUUGAAACAUGUUUAAUUUGCAAAUAUUUUUAAUCCAUGAAUAUAUUUUAAACUCAUAAACAUUUUAUACAAUUCAUGGUUUUGUAAAAUUCACAUAUUUUCAAAAAAUCCUUGAACAUAUUUUAAUUGAACUAACCUAUUUAUAUUUAAAAAAUAGUCCAUUUUUCCUAGCGAGCAGUGGGGUGAGCAGAAAAAAAGCUAACCGACUGAGAGGAAUAGGGAGUCAGACAAGCGAGCGAGAGCUCGUGGGCCGAUCCAUGUGAGUAUUAUAGCAACAAUUGCAUGAUUUUAGCGUGGAUAGGACCCCUCAAGAGGCUCAAACGACCACCGCCUACUGGCACCGAGACGGGCACGUGUAAAGACAUCACAACAACACACCAAAAAACUUCAUUCUCCUUUAGAAAUUAUUGUCUCCAACAAAACCCGACAUGAUAUACAAAUGAAAAAACACACCUUCAUAAUGUAAUUAAAAUACAAGACAACAUUGAUAGAAUCCAAACAAAACAACCGACCGUGGCUCUCUACUUAGAUAUAAAAUAAUUGGUCACACGAGUGAAGAACGGCGCCGCGAAGCGCGUUAGCCUCUAUUCAUUCCAUGAUUUGAAGCGCUCUGGUGCUUCGGGGUUUGUGGGUCGUUGUGGGACCUGCAUGAAAGGUUGUCUGUUGCUUAGUUUUUUUUCUCCUUCUCUCUUUAUUUUCUUACAUGUUUUAAUUAUGAGCGCUUAUUAAAAUUUGCGAACAUUAAAAAGAAAUAAUAAUAAUAAUUUAUAUCUUUAGCUUCAUUAAUAUUUAUUACAUUCAUGAGUAUUUUGAAGUUCAGGGUAUUUUUGAUGUUUGCGAACAUUUUUUAAAUUUGAAACUUGUUUAAUUUGCAAAUAUUUUUAAUCCAUGAAUAUAUUUUAAACUCAUAAACAUUUUCUACAAUUCAUGGUUUUGUAAAAUUCACAUAUUUUCAAAAAAUCCUUGAACAUAUUUUAAUUAAACUAACCUAUUUAUAUUUAAAAAAUAGUCCAUUUUUCUGAGCGAGCAGUGGGGCGAGCAGAAAAAAAGCUAACCGACUGAGAGGAAUAGGGAGUCAAACAAGCGAGCGAGAGCUCGUGGGCCGAUCCAUGUGAGUAUUACAGCAACAAUUGCAUGAUUUUAGUGUGGAUAGGACCCCUCAAGAGGCUCAAACGACCACCGCCUACUGGCACCGAGACGGACACGUGUAAAGACAUCACAACGACACACCAAAAAACUUCAUUCUUCUUUAGAAAAUAUUGUCUCCAAUAAAACCCGACAUGAUAUACAAAUGAAAAAACACACCUUCAUAAUGUAAUUAAAACACAAGACAACAUUGAUAAAAUCCAAACAAAACAACCGACCGUGGCUCUCUACUUAGAUAUAAAAGAAUUGGUCACAUGAGUGAAGAACGGCGCGGCGAAGCGCGUUAGCCUCUAGUCAUUCCACGAUUUGAAGCGCUCUGGUGCUUCGGGGUUGGUGGGCCGUUGUGGGACCUGCAUGAAAGGUUGUCUGUUGCUUAGUUUAUUUCCCCUUCUCCUUUAUUUUCUUACAUGUUUUAAUUAUGAGCGCUUAUUAAAAUUUGCGAACAUUAAAAAGAAAUAAUAAUAAUAAUUUAUAUCUUUAGCUUCAUUCAUAUUUGUUACAUUCAUGAGUAUUUUGAAGUUUAGGGUAUUUGUAAAGUUUGUGAACAUUUUUAAAAUUUGAAACUUGUUUAAUUUGCAAAUAUUUUUAAUCCAUGAAUAUAUUUUAAACUCAUAUUUUUUUACAUUCAUGGUUUUGUAAAAUUCACAUAUUUUUGAAAAAUCCUUGAACAUAUUUUAAUUAAACUAAUCUAUUUAUAUUUUAAAAAUAGUCCAUUUUUCUGAGCGAGCAAUGGGGCGAGCGGAAAAAAAGCUAACCUUCUGAGAGGAAUAGGGAGUCAGACAAGCAAGCGAGAGCUCAUGGGCCGAUCCAUGUGAGUAUUAUAGCAACGAUUCCAUGAUUUUAGCGUGGAUGGGACCUCUCAAGAGGCUCAAACGACCACCGCCUACUGGCACCAAGACGGACACGUGUAAAGACAUCACAACGGCACACCAAAAAACUUUAUUCUCCUCUAGAAAAUAUUGUCUCCAACAAAACCCGACACGAUAUACAAAUGAAAAAUCACACCUUCAUAAUGUAAUUAAAAACACAAGACAACAUUGAUAAAAUCCAAACAAAACAACCGACUGUGGCUCUCUACUAAAUAUAAAAGAAUUAAUCCCACGAGUGAAAACGACGCGAGCGCGUUAGCCUCUAAUCAUUCCUAUUCUCGGCGAAAUCCCUGAUCUACGUCUCGAGAUCACCAAUUACACUUUGAUGAAUAGAGUGGUACCAUCCCACACGUCACGAAAACGUGUCCAGUAGUGGUAGGAAUACAAUCUCGCACUGUCCUAACACUGGAGCAUUAAAUGUUGAUCUUACCUACUAGAAAAAUCCGAAAUUAAUCAAUGCGUACGAUCUGCACCAUGCAUGUCUCCACCACCACGCGUUCCACACGCCGCAGCCACCACACACAAAUACAGGGUGAAGGCGGCUUGCCCGCCAAUCUCCACAUCGCUAUCCCGUUGAUCGCCAUAGGCAGGCACCAACCCACCUCUUCUCCCCACUUCGUGCGGCGCGCGGGCCGACUUGACUUCGGCUCCGCUGCUGCUCGGUGGCUGCGAGCCCGCCGACGGCAAGGGCGGCGAGGCCAAGCCCUGCUCGCCGGCGUGGUUGCGCCACCUGAUCGACACGGAGGAGGCGUGGGCGCAGCUGCAGUUCGCGGUGCCGAUGGUCCUCACCAACAUGUCCUACUACGGCAUCCCGCUGGUGUCCGUCAUGUUCUCCGGCCACCUCGGCGACGCCCAACUCGCCGGCGCCACGCUCGGCAACUCCUGGGCCACCGUCACCGGCUACGCCUUCGUGGUACGUACUGCAUGCUGCUAGUGCUGCCACACACUUGAUUUAAUUUGUCCAAGUUCGAUUAUUAGAUGGCGCAUUAAUCACACAGGCCCCUUCAGACGCUGUGUGAUCGCGUAUCAUUCGCCUUCGCACUGCUACGACGCGUUUGCAAUAUGCAAGUUACCUGAAAAUACAUAUCGGUCAGCCGGCUUCCAAACCUCCCAGUCCCAGGCGAGAACAGGGACGUCGCGAUGGACAGCAGCGAGGCGCGGGGUCAACCCGUGAAUGACACUGAAUUGUUUUUCCUAAAAUCUAAAAAGCGGCCGGCCACCAUCUGGUGGAAACGAGCGGCCGCGCUAGCCGACAACCCUUUGUUCCGCUCGCUCACAGCGGCUCUGGUUCCUUCUUUCCCUCCGCUCGCUCACUCUCUCCACCAAGCCGAGGCGAGGCGGCGGCCGCCGCCGCAGCGACCCCAGCGAGCCCUCCUUCUCCCCCGCUUCCCCGACAAGGGAGCCCUAGAAGCACGGGCCACAACCGCGGGCCUCGGAUCUCGCCCCGACUCGAUCGACUCCAUCCAGUUCAUCUUCGGCGAGGACGCCGGCGAUCCCUCCUUCUCCCCCGCGCCCCCGCGGCCGGCCAGCAUGCCUUGGCUUCGAGGGAGCCCUAGGUGCGUGCACUACAGCCGCGGGGAUCGAAUCUCGCUCCGUCUUGACGCCAUCUGGUCAGAUCGAGGCCUUAAACUCCCUACUCCUCAUAUCUGCAGUUCCAAACUGAUGUGUAGCCGAAACUGCACGCAUGACAUACAGCCGACAAUCAUAUCCAACGAUGCACCAGUGCUGCUGCCAUGCAUCGUACGCUGUAAUUUUAGCGUCGUCCACAAAUCAUGUGUAUAAAAUCAUGUGUAUAGCAGUGCUGUUUGCAGUUGAGUCAGUGCUAAUCUCCUUGUGCUUGGAAAACAGUGUUCGAAACUACUGUACUAGUCUGACGAACAGUUUACUGACACUUUCGCUAAAUCAUUUUCAGUUAGGACAUGGAAAUAGUCUGAACUAUUGUAGGAUUAUUAUAGAUAAUGGAAAUAGUUUUGAUAGAACACAGUUGUACUAAGUUGGUCAUGGUUGUAGUCUAAGUUGGACACGAUCAUUGCGAAAUUGCACAACACAGCCAUACUAAGUUGGCUAGAUGAUGAUUUUGCUUAAGUUUAUCUUUUUUUUGCUAGUCACAUUUUUUUGGUAUCCACAGUAGUUGUAGUUGCACACAUAGUAGUUCUCAGUUGGAUACGACCUUUAAGAAGUUGCAUAAUGUAGUGAUACUAUAUCGGCUAGAUAACGUCUCCGCCACAGGACGUCGGAGCACUAAACAUUUUUGUUACCAGACUUGCACCAAAGCAACAUAUUUUUAUUCAUACGUUCUUUUCAGUUGUGAUUGUAGUGUCUUAUUUGGAGUUGUACUAUGAACCGCCACUCCAUGCAUGUCCACCAAAAACUGGGCAGUAUCAACACGGGACAUCCUUGUCCGAUGUUGCAACGUUAGGGGUCUUAGGGUUAGUUAUUUAGAAGUUUUCGCAGAUUUUGUGUGAAUGUUUUUUUAGCCAUUUGUGCAACCGGGGCAGCUUCCCUUGUGCAACCUGUUAUAUUGAACUCGCCAACUUCAUGUUUAAAAAUAGCCAACCUAACUUUUUGUUUUUGAUGGAAUUUUUUGUUUUUGGCUGGCAGUUUUUUUUGUACAACUAGGCAGCAAAUCAUGUGCAACUUUUAUUUUAAUUCAACUAGGGUAGUCUUUCUAAGACUGCUAUUUUUUUUAGUUGCACAGUGAGGAUGCAAACGAUGUGGAUCACACGGUGAUACAAAGGCAUUUUGUAGCCUUUUUUUUUGCAACUAGGCAGGUCCCCUUAUCCAAGUUGUUUUGAUUGACUUGCCAACCAAGUAGUAUAACUGUUUCUGGGUGGCAGUUUUGUUAAUUUGACAAAUAUGUUUGUUCUUUUUCUGUUUUGCAGAGACAAAUUGGUUGGUGAAGGAGAGGUGCCUGGCAGUGAAACAAAGGUUCAUAUUUUCUUUUUCUUUUAUCCCAUGACCAUUAAUUAUGCUCUUCUCUUUUACCCUCUCAGUAGUUCAAUCUGUUUUGUUCAUUGUAGGGUUCUCCAAAUAGGACCUUUCGGCGGGACUCAAAACGGGGUGCUAAGCAGGAACCAUGUGUCACUGAUAAUGACGGGGAUGGAGAGGAUGAUGACGUGUCCCAGAGAGUAUCUAAGUGAGUUGGCAUCCUCAUACUUUUCUAGUUGCACAAGAGUACCUAAUUAGUUGGCAUCCUCAGCAUUUCUAGUUGCACAAUACCAUCCAACUAGUUGACAUCCUUAGUCUUUUUGUAGCUGCGUUGACACCCUCAGCAUUUCUUCUAGAAGCCUGAAACCUGAAUGUGCAAUUUUUGAUUGGUCAUGCAAGCGAUGAAUAUUUCUUUUCGAGUAUCUAAUUAAUUGGCAUCCUCAAUAUUUAUAGUUGCACAAUAGUAUUCAAUUAGGUGGCAUCCUCAGCAUUUCUACUUGCACAAACAUUAUCCAAGUAAUUGACAUCCUCAACCUUUCUAGUUGCACAAGAGUAACUAAUUUUUUAGUCCCAUCUUCAAAUUUUUGAGGGUUGCCCAAGAGUAUCUAAUGACUUGGCACCCUCAACCUUUCUAGUUGCACAUGAGUAUUAAUUAGUUGGCAUCCUGAGCAUUUUCUAGUUACACAAUAGCAUCUAACUAGUUAACAUCCUCAACCUUCCUAGUUGCACAAGAAUAACUAUUUUAGUUGGCAUCCUAUGCAUUUUGUAGUUGCACAACUAACAUAAUAUCAAGUUGGCAUCGUCAACCUUUUUUAUCUAGUUUUUCAGAAGAACAUAUAUUUUGUGUGCAAUGUUAACUAAUCACCUUUGGCUCCUUUUGUUUUGCAAAACCGCAUGUGCUCAAGUCGGAAUGUGAUCACCUUUGGCACCUUUUUCUCAUGACAAGAAAAAUAAUUUCAUCUUCUUUCCUAUUUACAUUUAGUAACAUCCUAUAGAACAUAUUCCCCCUAUUUGCAAUUUGUGUGAGACAAGCCUAUUUGUACGCUCAUUUUUAAUAUUGUUCUUGUGCUUUUUCUAGUCUGGUUUCUUUGCUGCACACAUUUAUAGAAAAAGUUGGGAUUUGGAUACAAGUUUAGUUGCACAAUUAUAUGUUUAUAUUUGCAGACAACAAACUCAGUCUUUUUUAGUUUCAUCUAGUAUGUGUGUUGGUUGUACACAUUUUUUGCAGGAAAAGAUGGAUUGAAUGUAGUGUCUGUGCAAAUAGAAGCCCAUAUUUGUGCCAACUAAACAUGGAUCCAAAACCAUCUUUUCCUGCAAUGUGUGCAACCAACAGCCAAAAGAUUAGAACAGAUGGUCUCCAGUCUGGGCUGUUUUGUUGUACAUUUGCAUAAAAAGGUUGGCUUGGACCCGUUCUUAGUUGCACAAAUAUGUUCAGAAACAGUACACCCAAUCCAUCUUUCUAGUCUGGGAUGUUUUUUUUGCACACAUAUUGCAGGAAAGUUGGUUAUGGACUAAUGGCUUAGUUGCACAAAUAUGUGCUUCUUUUCGCACGAACAGUACACCCAAUCCAUCUUUCUAGUCUGGGUUGUUUGUUGCACAUAUUUUGCAGGAAAGAUGUCAUCGGAUUAAUGCUUAGUGUGCAAAUAUAUUUACUCCUUUAUAGUUUUGGCUGUUGGUUGCACACAUUGUAGAAAAAGUUGGCUUGGAUCCACGAUUUAGUUGCACAAAUAUGGACUUCUAUUUGCAUAGACACUACAGCCACUCCAUGUUUCUAGUCUGGGCUGUUUGUUGCACAUUUUUUUUGCAAAACUACUCCCUUGUGUCUAUUUGCACACAUCCAGGCAGAAGUUGGUUUUGCUACUGGGUCUACUUGCACAAAGUGGUGUUUAAUUACAGAGACAUUAGAUUACUGUUGCUACUCCCUUCAAUUAGGAGAAGAUUGGUGGUAGAUCCAGAGGCAAAGGGGAAGGGGAAGUGAAGAAGGGAGGAUCUGGAGCCAAAAGGGAACUUACCUUGAUUGAUGCUGCCUAGUACGCCUCUCACCUCCCUCUACUUCCGCUCGGCCAACUGCUCAUUACGUGAAGUUGGUUCAUGUAGCACUAAAAUUGCAUCACGUUGUAUUAUAAUUGGUUGUGGUAGCACAAACGGUGGUCUAAAAAAUAGUUGCAUCUCAUAGUAUAAAAGUUGCACCAUCUAGUACAACCAGUUGGCAAUGAAAAAAGUUCAUCGAAACAUAUAUAAAUGGGGUCUAAUUUUAAAGAUCUCGUCGCGAGGGUUCCGAUGGUGGAAACGGAUUUUAAUUUUGACAUGUAAUUCGAAAGUUAUAGCUUUUUGAAUUUUUUGGAAUGCAAUUAAUUGCCUUUUUACUUUAUUACUGGCAUGGCAGAGCAUAUGAAAAAGAACUUGGGCCAGCGUGAAGGCGAGUGGAUGAUGCUUUUCGAUUUUGGUCUCUGGAAUCAGCAGACUUUCCUAAUCAAGAGAUGGGACAAAAAAUUUCCUAAUACAGCCGGCUGCCGAGGAGCGCUAGCGAGCGCACGGCUGCUCGCUAGACGCGUCCAUUGUUUUUUAGGCGGGGAGAGAGAGAGAGAGAGAGAGAGAGAGAGAGAGAGAGAGUAGUUAAACGUGGCACUAGAGCCCUAGUUGGAAUGAUCAGAUGAGAUAAGAUAUUACCAAUGGUGACCAUACGUGCAGUACCAUAUCAUUUUAGCUCCUUUGGUAUUCCAUUAGUUUCAUAUUGGCAAGCAGGUAUAAGGAUAUUAUACAAGCUAGAAUACGUUGAGUACACCAGAUAUCGAUAUAUGGAUAUACGCGUGAGAACACACAUAUGAUGCCAACGUUUUCCUUGUUUUCUUCCUGGCCGAGGAGGCGGUAUUCGCAUGAAUUGACACGUGUUGUUCUGGAAGCGCAUGCCCGAAGAGCACGACCCCAACCUUGAUCCUUGGUGUGCCGCCGUGUGACGACCUUCACCUUGACGCCGGCGCUCAACUGCAUCUACAGCGCCGGCACCACUGGGAGAAUGUCAUCCCCGUGGCCUGCCAGAUGUCAACCUAUCGGGCAUUUGAACACAAAUAGGGUUCCAGUGCUGCUGCUGUUGCCGGCCAGAGGUUCCACGCGGGAGGUGGAAAUCCGUCGUCGUCGUGCUCAGCUCCCGACCGACCACCGCGACACCCCAACGUUCACGGUGGACUCCGUGCACUGGGUCACCUUGUUCGCCGACAAGCACAACCAACACCGUCGGUUCCUGGUUGUGCUUCGAGGGUAUGCCUCGUGCACCGAGCGCGCUCCAGCACCACAGUCGGUGGUACGCGAGGAAGGUAAUCAAAAAAGAGAGAAGACGAGUUCUUCUUUCUUUUAUCACUUAGGAGCCGUGCGAGAUGAAAGUCUCAUGCACGGUUUUGCAUGAAGGAGGAUGAGGAGGAGGUCGUAGAGUCCUAUGGGGGGCCGUGGAAGCCUUCGUGCUCUAGGAGCUUGCCAGCUGGCCUGGUCUGACCUGUCACUGGCGCUAUCUGAUUUGGUCGGAGUACAAGUCGUCGGGCCCUCGCCCGGGUUCGCGCCCGAGCCAGAGCAGCAGUCGUGGCCACUGGUGGGGCAUUCGUGAUCGUGGACAUCCAUGUUCCCAUGUGGGUGCACGCAGCCGAUGCGACAGUAGAAGGAGGCGCCCGCUGCACCACUGCACACACCGACACCAGCGGUAGUACCGUGGCCGUAUCCAUGGCGGGCGUCGGUCUACAUUGACCUCAUCGACGAGGAUAAUGGUGACGGCGCGACAGCCACUAGUCGUAGACUUUAUUUAUGUUUUUCAUUAACACUUUUAUGUUUAAUUAAUGGACGAAAGGACUUCCGAUGGCACUUUAUAUAUGGCUUUUAUUUUCAAUAAAAUUCGGUCGCAAUCUGAAAUGCGUCACUAUGGGCCCACGAACACUGCGUUGGAGUUGCCCUAACUAACUCAGAUUUUUUGCGGUGGAGGGGCAGGCGCUAGCGUUUCUGUGUACCGCUUAUAAUUCGCGACCAGCAUCUGUGCGUUGGAGAUGGCCACUGUACUGUAACUUAUUACCAGAGGAACAACCUAGCAUAUAUUUCUUUCUACUCCCCCCGUUCGGGUUUAUUAGGCCUCUUAGCAUCACAAGCAUGUCCCUUUUUAUAAGGCCUCGCUUUGGAAAGAUGCAUGCAUGCAACCAUUUCAUUGGUUGCAUUAAAAGUCAUUAUUGUUGGUGCCAUGAUUGGGAAAUUAAUACACUUCAUGGUGCUUUUUUAAUGGUUGCAUGCAUGUGAGAGAGUGCAUUGGGAGUGGAAUGAAAGAAUUAAUGUGAGCAAAUUACUACGUGUCUCGGUCUAAGAGAAAUUGUCUUUAGGCCUAAUAAACCCGGAUGGAGGUAUAGUACAACUCAACCGGUACUAUACAGGAGGGGAUGACACGCUCGUGCGACACGCUUCCGUGUGACGCAUGCUUCCCGUGCGACACGCGCCUCUCACGCGAUCUGCACAUCCGCUGCGAUUACGUGCCCAACCUUGGCUUGGCGCUGCUGAUCUUCCGACCAGGAGCGAUUCGCCGGCGGGGACGGCGACUGGAGCUCGUCGACGUUGAGAGGGUGGUGGUGGAUGCGCGGAGUUGGCCGGAUGAUGACGAGAUCAGGGUGGGUCGGAUGGUGGAGUUCUCCCGCCACUUGGCAUGCUUUGCGGCGGCUGACGGGUGGGGCGCGUUGGUGGCGGUUCCCGAGGGGAGUAAUGGCGACAGGGGCGAGGGGAGGGGGGGUUAUCUGGCCGACGCAUCGGCUCUUCUCCACUCCCUCCACCACUCCCUCCCUCGCAGAUCCGAUCCGAAAUCGCCGCCGCGACGAGCAGCCCGCGGAGCUAGGGUUCGAUGACGACGCGCCAGCAGCAGAUGCGGGCGCUGGCGGCCGGCGACGAGGUGCUGAUGGGGAGGCUCCAAGAGAUCGAUCGCUGGUUCCCGACGGCGAAGGCCCUCAACGACGCAUCCGAAAAGGUGAGGGAUAUGCUCAGGGGGGAAGUGACCCUCCGCUGCUUCCCCAACUACGACCGGCAUCCGGCGAUGGGGGUGCUCCUCUGGGCGAUGCUGGAGGCGGAAUCUCUGGAUCCGGCGCAGCGAGAGAAGUGGAAGGUGUUCCGCUCCUUCCGCUAUCGUCUGAUCCAGCCAAGAGCGCCAUUGCCGAUGCAGCUGCAGGCGCCGCCGCAGGCGCCUCCGCAGGCGGUGGUGGUGGGGAUUCCGGCUCCGGGAUCCAGAUGGCUUCUGUUCGAGAUCGAAGAAGACGAGGAGGACGAGGUGGUGGUGAUGGCGACGCCAAGACGCAAGAGGACGCCAGCGACUCCAACAACACUUCCUCGCCGCUCCCCUCGCUUCCCGAGGUGCUCACCUCGCCUCCUUGCCCUUUCCCGCCGCCAUUAGGGCGCUCGCCGGCCGGGAACCGUUUCUGGUUGCUGGCCGGCGAAGGCCCCAAGGCGGAGAUGGAAGGGGCAUCCACUUUCUCCGCUGCAGGUAUGUUUCCAAAUCCCAAAUACUUGAUAUCUACUACUUCAAUUGAGGUGGGUGAUGCUAAAAUGGGAAGAAUCAAAGGGGGCAUUAGACUCCGAAAUAAAAGUAAUGAGAGAAAAGGGUUAAAAUCUCAAAGUGCAGAUGACUGCAAGGAAAAGUACGAGAAGAAUGAUGAUGGGUUUCAUAAGAAAAAUAUAAAGGGGAUCGAGAAAGAAUUGGGUGCUAAUAAUGAUAGAGAUAGUAGGUUUGAUGCACAAAUAGUGUAUGAACAUAUGAAAAAGGAUGUUAUACAUCCUAUCCCGCCAUGGUUUGAACCAGAAGGGGUUGAUUUUGGUGAUCUAGUAAUCCUUGAAAACCCAAUUGGGGCUCCUGACGCUUCAAUGGAGAAAGAAAAAGUGAUGGUUGAAAUAGAUACCCUGGGGAGACCCCUGAUUAUUUUUGGGGGCUCUGUAGGGGGAGAUUUAAAUGUGGACCUGGAGUUGGGCUUGUCUUGGUGGGGGCCCAAUGGGUUGGAGGACAGCCCAGCCCAGGAAAGGGGGUGUGGGGUGGCAGAUAUAGAGGGGGAUGAGGGAGACAGAGCAAUUCAAUCACAUUGGGUAGGUUUUCCUCCCCCUCCUGCCACACUGCCGCCAGCUAAAGAGAUGGCCGAAAACCUAGGCAGAGGAUAUGGGGGUCCUAGAUUUAAUCGUGGAGGGGAGGGAGGAUUUUCCAGAGGUAGAUUCAACUUCAACAACAGGGGAGGGGGCUGGGUUGGAGGAAGACACGCCAUGACUGACAUAUUUGGAAGCUUGGGAAGAGGCAAUGGCAGGUUUGGUGCUGGAUACGGGGGUGGCAGAGGAGAUGGAGAUGAAGAGGAAUUUGCUGCAGAGGAUGGGGGUGGAAACCUGAAGUGGCAAGCUAAGACAGAGAAGAAAGAGAUAGUGGAAGACAUGAGUGAGAGGGAAACAGAUGAGGCAGAGAGUUCGGGAAUAGAAAAGAAGAAGGAGAAUGAGGGGUUGACGCAGAAAGAGCAGAGUGAUCAACAUCAACUGUUAACUUCCCUGCUGUCCCAGUUAGUUCAAGGGCUGAGAGGGGGAGAGAAAGACACUAUUGAUAGAGCAAUUGGAAAAUCAGUGGAGAAUCAACCUGGUAGGGAGGCCAUGAGGAGAGAAGAGAAGAAGAGUGAUCCCCUGCAGAAAGCUGAUAGGAGAGGUGAUCAUGAUCCAGUUACAGAUAUGAAGAAACAGGGGGGAAGAGGUAAUUGGCAGCUCAAUUUGGAUGAGAACAGGAAGGGAGUGGAAAGAAUCAACAAGCAAGCUUGUAGUAAAUGCAAGGAUCCAAGACACUCUACCAGGGAGUGUAGAGUGGGGCACUGUUUGGUUUGUGGUAGGGAAAACCAUAUCACUAAUGAUUGUAAUCUACUGAAGCAAAUAAAACUAGUCCCAAAAUAUGUUGGAUAUGCCGCCAAAGGGCUGGGAAUCUUACUGGUCUAAAGCUACAAAGAUAUGCUUGUUGCUGAACACACCAAUCCCUUAGGAGUGGUAAUUGUUAGAGAGGGAAAGAUUAAUGAAACUGAGCUCACUAAGGCUAUGGGAGAGAUGUUUGAUUGGGGAUGGUAGUGGAGAGUUAAAGAGUAUGGACAAAAUGGUUACAUGAUGAGAUUCCCCAACAAGGCAAAACUGGUAGAACUGGCUAAAUUCAAUGACUUCAAGCUGCUUGGGACUAGGGUGGUCAUCAAGGUUCAGCCCUGGUCCCUAGAUCACCAAGCUAUGGGGAAAAUGCAUACUGUCUGGGUUAAAAUUAGUAGGGUGCCUGACUGCUUCAGACAUUUUUAGGUAUAUGUGAAGUUUCUGCUGCUGUGGGGCCUGUACUGGAAGUGGAUAUGGACACAGUCAAUAAAGAAAAAGUGAGGGUCAAAUGUGGGAUUAGAGAUGUGGAGAAAAUACCACCUCAUGUGGAAAUCACUGCCCCUGAUCUACUCAUGUUCAGGAUGGGGGUGGAAAUUGAGAAGGUGAUAGAAGUUGGCUGGUAUAAGGAGGAUAAGAGGAAAAAUGAAAACAUACAUAAUCUAGAAGAUGGAUAUGGGGAUACAUAGAAUAGGAAGAGAACCAGGGUGGAGGAGAAUGAACAUAGGAGCAUUUCAUUGGGAUGUUUGUCUCUCAAACAAAGUGAGGAGGUGGAUGGGAAAAUGAACAAAAUGAAGAAACAAAUGGAGGAGAGUAUGAUGCAAUGGCAAGAUGAAAUGCAAGCUGAGAAAAGGAAAUGGCAGAAAGAGAAUGACAUUAUGUUCAACAAGAUCAAGAUCCUGGAAGAGGAUAAAGCUAGACAUCAAGCAUUGUGGGCUAAAGCUGAGCAGAAAAUUAAAGAGCUUGGGGAAAAUCAAUACAUUAUGCAGACUAAGAUCAACCAUCAACAAGAGGAGAUCAAAAAGUUAAUCCAAGAAGCAGUUGACAGGGAACAGUAUGAAAUGGAGCUGGCUAACAUGGAUCUGGAAGCUUAUGAGAAAGAAAACCAACACAGAAAAAGUGAAACUGAAUCUGGGAAAUACAAUGAACCAACUGAUUAUAAUGCCAGUCAGGAAUCAAUAGGUACUCUGGGUGAGAAAAUGGCAGACCUACAUGGUGCUGAGGUCACUGAUAAAGAGGGGGAGGAGAAACAAGUAGAGAUAAAAAGGAGUCUUAGGAACAAAGGAAAAGAAGAUCAGAAAAUAGAAGAGAUGGCUAAAAUCAGAGCUGAAGAAAGGGAUAAUUAUGGUAAGGAUUCUAUUUCUGAAUUUGCUAACCCCUCAUUGUUAGAAAUCAGUUCUAUGGUAGGGAUUGAUUUAGGGUGCUCUAUUGAUAUGAUUGAAAAGAAUGUAGAUAUUAUCAACAAAAUGGAGAAAGCCAGAAGAGAGAUAUACUUCCAAAGUGUUAAAAGAGAAAAAUUAGAUGGGGAGGGUGGAACAAAAAAAACAAUGGAAGGGAAUAUAGACACACCAGUAUACAUAAAUACUGGAGAUGUGGAUUUAGAUGAUUUAUGUUCUGAUUUGGAACACUCUGAUGUUGAGAUUGAGGAGCAACAGUAUAAAAACCUUAAGGGGAUUUUCUCUGGGAAGAAAGGAGGCAAAAAAAGCUCACCAGCAAUGAGCUGUGUGAAGCAAUCUAUUGGGAUUGGAGUUUUGAGAAGGAAAAAAGGAAAGAAGGCUAAUUAGUCUUUAAACCUUUGAAUAUACUAGAUUUGGGUGGACAGAUAGGAGAUUCUUGAGUAGAAGAGACAUAAAAUAUAGAAAACUACUCAAAAUGAAAGGGAUUUUCUGGAAUAUAAGAGGCAUUGGGCAAGAUCACAAAAAAAGAUAUAUUAGAGAAAUGAUCAUAGAUCAUAAGUUAGACUUUCUGGGGAUUUCUGAGACAAUCAAGCAAGACUUCACAAAAAAUGAAUUACAUAAUUUGUGUGGGGAAAAAAAUUGCCAAUGGUGUUGGAAUCCCCCUAGAGGUAUGUCUGGGGGGAUCCUGGUGGGCAUUAAUAAAGAUAUGUUCGAUAUUGAGCAUAUUGAGAAAGGACAAUAUUUCCUAAGAGUUCUGGUUUUUGACAAGAAUAUUAAAAUGCAUGGGAACUUAGUCACAGUUUAUGGGGAUGCACAGAAGGAAGGGAAAGCUAGUUUCCUUGCUGAAUUAGCUAGAUUAUACCAUGACAAUCCUCUGCCCUGUUUGGUUGGGGGAGAUUUCAACAUCAUCAGAAACAAUAAAGAGAAAAACAAACCUAUGGUAAAUGAACAAUGGUCCUUUAUGUUUAAUGCUAUAAUUGAACAAGCUGGAUUAAGAGAACUUCCUUUAAAUGGAAGACAAUACACUUGGGCCAAUAACCAGGAGGAUCCUACUUAUGAGAAGCUGGACAUGGUUUUGAUGUGUCCUGCAUGGGAAGAAAAAUAUCCAUUGACUAUAUUACAAGCCUUGGCUAGGGAGAUUUCUGAUCAUACUCCCCUGUUCUUAGAUACAGGGGACACACAUAUAAUUAGAUACACUUUCAGAUAUGAAAAUGGAUGGUCUUUGAGAGAAGGCUUUAAUUAAGGAGCUGAUAUAUAAAACCUGGAAUAAAAGAUUUAGAGGAGAUGUGUUGGACAGAUGGCAGUCAAGGAUGAGAGAAUUGAGAAGAAAAGCUAAGGGGUGGAAUAAAAAUAUGGAUGCUUGGUACAAAAAAAUUAAAAUAGAAAUCAUAAAUUUUUUUGAUGAUAUUGAUAAGAGAGCAGAGAAAAAAGGCCUGAAUGCUGCAGAAAGAACUGAGCAAAAAGAGCUUAGAAUGCAAUUGAAAAGAAUCAUGACACAAGAGGAAAUGAAGUGGAUGCAGAGAUAUAAAGACAAAGAGAUAAAAGAUGGAGAUGGAAACACUAGAUACUAUCAUGCAAAAGUGAAUGGGAGAAGAAGGAAAAACAGAAUAAUCUCUUUAGAACAAGAGGAAGGGGUCAUAGAAGGGGAUAACAGACCGAUGGAGUAUAUCACUAAAUUUUAUAAAAAUCUUUUUGGACAUCCUGAGGAAUUUAACAUAUCCUUGAGGGAUAUGGAAAUGGAAAAAAUAUCUGCCCAGGACAAAGAGGAAUUAUUGUCCCCCUUUUCCUUAAAUGAAAUUCAUCAGGUAGUUUUUGUAUGAAAAGAAACAAAAGCCCAGGACCUGAUGGAUUCCCUGUUGAUUUUUAUCAGGAUUUUGGGGAUCUGGUUAAGUGGGAUUUGAAGGCUUUGGUUGAGGGAUUUUCCAGGGGGGAUAUCAAUAUUGCCAGGCUUAACUAUGGCAUUAUUACCCUGGUUCCUAAAACCAAUGAUGCCAAACAAAUGCAAAAAUUCAGGCCUAUAUGCUUGUUAAAUGUGAGUUUCAAAAUAAUUACAAAAGUUUUGAUGAAUAGGUUGACAAAAUGUGUUGCACCUGUCAUCUCCAGAACACAAACUGCAUUCAUCAAGGGAAGAUACAUUAUGGAAGGAGUUGUUAUUUUGCAUGAAGCUCUAAACACUUUUCAUAAAGAUAAAGAAGAUGCCCUUGUCUUUAAAGUGGAUUUUGAAAAAGCCUAUGAUAAAAUUAAAUGGCCCUUUGUUAUACAGAUGCUAAAACAAAAAGGCUUUUCUGAUAAAUGGUGUGACUGGGUCAUGGAAACAAUGAGAGGGGGGCAUGUAGGAGUCAGGGUCACUGAUGAGAUUAGUCCUUUCUUUAAGACUCAUAAAGGUUUAAGACAGGGAGAUGCUAUGUCACUGUUGCUGUUUGAUGUAGCUGCAGAUGCCCUAGCAAUUUUAAUGAAUAAUGCCCUGAAAAUGGAUGUGGUUAAGGGAGUCCUGGGUAGAAAUGAAAACAAGGGGGUAAAUAUGUUGCAAUAUGCUGAUGAUACCAUCUUCCUGAUCAAAGAUGAUGAAGCAAGUGUGAGAAACCUCAAAUUCAUUUUGGGGGCUUUUGAACAGAUGUCUGGGCUAAAAAUAAACUUUCAUAAGAGUGAGUUGAUGUUGUUUGGUAAGGCUAAAAGAAAACAAUUACUCUACCAAGAAAUACUAACAUGUAAAAUGGGAGAUCUACCCAUUAGGUAUUUAGGAAUGCCUGUAUCUGAUUCCAGGAUCAGGAGCACACAUUGGAGUUGUGUGACAGACAAAAUUGAGAAAAGAUGUGGAUGUUGGCAGGGGAAAUUGUUGGGAUCUAUUGCUGGCAGGAUCACCCUGGUACAAGCUUGCCUGACUAAUAUUCCUUUGUUUAUGAUGUCCUUCUAUGCUGUUCCAAAAGGAAUCAUUAAAAAAGCUAAUUUUUUCAGGGCAAGACUGGUAUGGCAAGAAGAUGAGAACAUUAGAAAAUAUCACUUAGNNNNNNNNNNNNNNNNNNNNNNNNNNNNNNNNNNNNNNNNNNNNNNNNNNNNNNNNNNNNNNNNNNNNNNNNNNNNNNNNNNNNNNNNNNNNNNNNNNNNNNNNNNNNNNNNNNNNNNNNNNNNNNNNNNNNNNNNNNNNNNNNNNNNNNNNNNNNNNNNNNNNNNNNNNNNNNNNNNNNNNNNNNNNNNNNNNNNNNNNNNNNNNNNNNNNNNNNNNNNNNNNNNNNNNNNNNNNNNNNNNNNNNNNNNNNNNNNNNNNNNNNNNNNNNNNNNNNNNNNNNNNNNNNNNNNNNNNNNNNNNNNNCUUGGGUGGAUGACAAGCCCCUAAAAGAUGCCUACCCUAGAUUAUAUGGCAUCUGCUUUGAUCAUAAAAUUACUGUGUAUGAGGCCAUCCAAAAAGGAUGGAAAAGUUUUAAAUUUAGAAGAACUUUGCAUGGAGAAACUUUAGGGUUGUGGAAUGCUUUGAAAAGUAGAUGUGAAACAAUUAAAAUGAAUGGAGGAAAUGAUAAGAUUGAAUGGACCCUCACUGCUGAUAAAAGAUUUUCUGUUAAAUCUUUAUACAAGGAAUUGAUCACAUCAGGGGUGAAAUUUCCACAGAAAUAUUUGUGGAAAAUCAAAGUUCCUGCUAAAAUAAAAGUCUUCUUGUGGCUAGUGAAUAAAAAGAGCAUUUUGACUAGGGAUGUUUUACUCAAAAAAGGAUGGAAAGGAGGGAAAGAAUGUGUGUUUUGUGGACAAGAUGAAUCAAUUGAUCAUUUGUUGUUCACAUGCUCUGCGGCCUCUCUGCUUUGGAGUUUGGUCCGAUGCGUUUGUGGUCUGAAGUCCAGUCCGUUAAGUGUCAAAGAUUGUUUUGGGGGGUGGAUUAAUAAAUUCAAUAAAGAAGACAAGAAAAUGGUGAUGAUAGGGGUUUCUGCUUUAUUAUGGGCAAUUUGGAAAUGUAGAAAUGCAAUUGUCUUUGAGAGAAAAAGGAUUAAUGAUCCUUUCCAGAUAAUCAAACUAAUGGUUCGAUGGUUGCUUGAUUGGUCCAUUUUGCAGACAAAGGAGCCACCAAAAAAAAUGCUGGAACUGGGGGCAAGAGUUCUAGAACAGGCAGCAAGUGAGGUGUACACAGCUGGGCAGGGAUGGCGAAUCAAUGUGGCGAGGCUCCCCUGGAUGAUGGCUGCAACUCCUUCAUCUUCUGCUGCUGUUCCAAGUCCUUUUGUGCCUGCUAGUCACUAGUUGUUAAGUCUAUGACUCUGUUUAGUUGUGUUGAUGGACCUUCUUCAUGCUGGGCCUGUGUUGGUCCUUUUGGCCAGUUCUCAUUCGUCUUAGAACCUGUUUCUGUUUUCUGCUACUCGUCCUUUGAACUUUGUAAGAUUGGUUUUCAGUAAUGAAAAUUGAAAGGGGAAAACCCUUCUUUGAUCAAAAAAAGUACAACUCAACCUAUUAAUUUUUUUUUUGACAACUCAAACUAGUAUCAUUGAUUUGGAACACCAACCCACCAGCAGACCACCCCUACCCCGACCGUGCUAUGCGCAGGCACCUUGAAAUCUUCCUGUACCCGCACACUAGAAAAAAUACAAAAUCAAUGUGUAGUGCGCUGCCCGAUCUUCUCCAGUUCUCCACGCCACCACCCGUUUCCCACGCCGCACAGAAAAACGGGGUCAAUCUCCACAUCGCUCGCUAUCUUCUCGAUCGCCAUCGGUGGCGGCGGUACCACACACCUCCCACAAAACUAACGCAGCUCCUUCUCCUUCCCCUCUCGUGCGGCGCGCUCGCGGGGCCGACAUGUCCUCGGCGGCGCCGCUGCUCGAGCCCGCCGGCGGCAAGGGCGGCGAGGCGAAGAGGCCCUGCGGCUGCCCGCCGGCGUGGCUGCGCCGCCUGAUCGACACGGAGGAGGCGUGGGCGCAGCUGCAGUUCGCGGUGCCCAUGGUCCUCACCAACAUGUCCUACUACGGCAUCCCGCUGGUGUCCGUCAUGUUCUCCGGCCACCUCGGCGACGUCCACCUCGCCGGCGCCACGCUCGGCAACUCCUGGGCCACCGUCACCGGCUACGCCUUCGUGGUACGUACUACUGCAUGCUGCUACCAAACGCUCUUGAUUUAAUUUGUCCAAGUUCGAUUAGAUCGAUCGCCUGCGUAGUUCUGCCCAAAUUUUGACACGGAGACUGCGACGCGUUUGCCAUAUGAAAGCUACCUGAAAAUGCAUUUCGGUCAGAGGAUUUCAAAAGCUCCGAGGCGAGAAUGGGGACACAGCAAUGGACGGCGGCGAGGCGAGGGGUGAAGCCAUGAAUGACACGGAGUUGAGACCAGUGAGGGGAAGGCCGGGGCUUAACCGUUGGGGGUGUAGGGUGGACUGCCGGCGCCAGGAAAGGAGGCCGGUGGAGGGACGAGGGAGGGGGCGAAGCACCGCCGGCCGGUGGUGGCAGCAGCAGGAGGUUUGGUGGGGGCUGCAUCGGAGAUGGGAGCGGUGGAAACGAAAGAGGGCUAGAUCAGGAGGAAGAUGACACGGAGCCGUUGGAUGAAUAUAAUUGGACGUCCACACGAAAUCAAGUUGCACUGAAUUGUUUUCUAGGCGGAGAGAGAGAAGAGCGUGGACUUGAUGAGGUGACAUCUUUAAAGAUAGAUAUAGAUAUUACUCGCAGAAAAAGAUAUAUAGAUAUUAUGUGUAUUAUUUAACGUGGCACUAGCCCUAGCCGGAGUGAUCAGAUGAGAUAUCAACGCUCGUGCUAGAUGGCGGGUUGACCUUACGUACGGUACCAUAUCAUUUUAGCUCCACGCUCUCAUUCCAUUGAUUAAUUUCAUAUUAGCAAGCUGUUAUAAGGAUAUAGUACUAGCUAGAGUACAAGUAAUGAGUACACCAAAUAUAUCCGCAUGAACAUUUAUAUCUAUACUAAUACUUAAUAUAAAAAGACUCGGCCAGAUCCAAUUAAUCUCGGUCAUCAAAUCAUGCCAAGCCAACAACCUAGACUAUUUUAAUGUCGAGCGCUCAACAUGUUUAGCGUGUAGUUAAUUUCAUGCUAAAUAUAGUGCUAAUCACACAAUAACACGCAAAUAAUAUCCUACUUAAUAUCCGCAUGUAUUCAAUAUAUUUUUAAAUUAAUGUGCAUUGCAUGUAGUUGGAAUAAUCAGUAGGGGGUUUGCUGGGGAAAUGAAACAAUUGAUCGGCCAUCAUCUCUCCAAGUCCCAAUCCACCCAACCCAAAACCAGAAAACGCACAUGAUGCCAACGUACGUUUUCUUCUUGGCCCAGGAGGCGCUAGCUAUUUGCAGAAACUGUAGCCGUCGCAUUGAAAUCGUGUAGCUCAGCUGCCAACAAGAAACUGACACGAGGAGUUACGUCGUCUGCGUGGCCCUGGCCCGCAGAGGAAGAAGAGUUAUACAGUAUUGCCUGUGGCUGCCGGGCAUCGCUGGACUGACACGAACGUCGGUACGACUGUAUUCUGUUUCUGUGGGAGUCGAUCGACGACGUGUCGUGUCUGCAUGAUUGCCGUGGCUCGGCUCGGCUGGUCCUCACGUACGCCACCCGGUCCGGGCUGCAUGAAUGCGUGCAUGGGCGACGUGUCUGCAUAUACUCCUACAUGCGUCGACUAGGGGAUCGAACGAGGUCAAAUAAAUUCCGAGAAGUGGUAAACAUAUAUACACAGGGGAGGCCAAGUCUUCAGUCUUGAGCUAGGAAGGAAGAGGUCGUCUCGAUCUGGUCCAAGCACGAAUAUCUCCGUGGGGGAUGGCAACGGAGUUGUCAAGCAAUCGGUCUACCAGUCUCACGACUCACGAGUCUCGAUCCACCCACCCUUCUUGCGCUUGAUGCGCUUAACCACUACUUUUGUCUAAUUCGAUGCCGUGCUGCAAGUAAAGUAACCGAUCAACUCCUGCUGGGUGACAUGGUCAAUGACGUAAAUUAGCCAAGUCUCUCCAUAGUCGGGAUCCAGGACUUUUCAGUACAUGUGCGGCCACGAGUCCGUCGAAUCAUUGCCGCUGCAUCUACCAAUAGUGUGUGUGUGUGUGUGUGUGUGUGUGUGUUUUGCUGUAAAUAAUGUGGUUUUAUAGACCCGCAUUUUUUUUAGUUUUCUAAACAUGUUCUCUAGAAACCGUGGAUUUUCGUUUUGAGAGGUACGUACGUACUUCCCUCUGUCCGGAUUAUAGGGCGCUUCUAAACUUUUUCUUAAAAAACGAGGGCAAAAGCUUAGUACCACUUUUGAUUGAUUAUUAAGAAGAGAGUUAUAAGAGGACACGUCCUCGCCUUCUUUUCCAAUUUUAGCAACAAUGAUAAGCAGCACCGAGAAAUGGUUGAGGAAGACAUACACAUUUCUUUUGUUCAAAUUAAAUCUCUCAUGAGAAGGGCAUGAUAAGGGUGGCCAUGGCUUUACUCUGGCCGCCCGAUGGGUGAGAGUGACUGCGAACCACCACUUUGAGACGGAGCUGUAGUUGGCCCGAUUCUCAGCAUUCAAAAAGUUGAGGCCAAGCCAAUCUCGAAACAUCUUCUCAAUGUGGAUGGAACGACGGCACAUGAACAUAAUGUGGGUGGUAGUCUCCGGCUCCCUCCUACAAAACCGACAAAAACCUACAAUUUGGCCACCCUUUUUUUUGGAGGUGAUCUGCGGUCCAAACUCGCUCCGUCCUGAUUUGUUGUGCCUGCGGGUGAAUGUGUGUCAGUAAUGUUGCUUGGGACCAUGGUUCGGCCGCACCUAUACUCGGUGCGGUACAUCAUAUUUGGGAAUUUAAGCCUAAUGUCUAUUAUAUUUUAUGGCAAGAAUCAUCAACCGCGGUUUUACAGCCCUAGUGUUGCUAAUAAACCUACUGCAUGGCAAGUGCCAUAGGAAAUAAAAUAGAAACUUUGCAUCGGUGCAUGUAUUAGAUUUCUCACUGUUCAACAUUUUGUAUUGCCUUGUUAUCCGCAACAUCAUUGUUAUUCUUUUUACAUGUCUGUACAUCAACAUGGUUAUUUGGGUCAUCUAUAUCUUUUGAGUAAUUUCUUGAAAAAUAAAAUCAUAGCAACAACAGGAUAGAGAUAGUUAUGUGAAAGCACGUGAAAUCUUUAUUUUUUUUGAGAGCACAUGAGUUUUUUCUUCCAAGAACACAAAAGUAUCCUUUUUGCAUGAAAAAAUAACAUGAACACGCAUACAAACAUCGAUGUACCAUGCGUGCACUGUAGUUAUUCUAUAAAUAAAUAUCCAAAAAUAUACUAAUUGGUUUAUUUGCACGGGACAACCAUGAGGGGAAUCAACAUUGGGGCACUGCUUGGGCCCACGUAGAUUCCGAAAAGAAAUGACAUAGCCAUGGUCCCCCAUACUGUUCUAGAAUUAGCUUAAUCUUUGAAGUUUGAGUGAUAAACUGGCUCGUAUCCCCAUGAAAAGUAUUAAUCGGACGGCACCGAGGGUGGGUGUAGGUGGACCAUGGUCCAGAAUCACACCUCUCAAUGUGUGUUGGGUUUGUGUGUGGGCGCCAGUGUGUGUACAUGCACGUGUGUUCUAGUGUGUGCACAUGCACGUGUGUUCUAGAGUGUGCCAGUGCGAGUGGGUGUACAUGCACUAUGUGUGUGUGCUAAGAGUGUGUGUGUGUGUGUGUGUGUGGCAUGUUGGUGUACAGGUGCAUGCAUCUGUAUAUGUGCUUGUGGAUGCACGCGUGAGAGUGAUAUUGAGGCAACGCCACCGACAAGACAUGCAAUUCAUCUUUGAGUGUGCCGAGAGAUGAUUAAUCUCCACAUUCUUAUUAUGUUAUUUGAACGUUGAGUACGACGUUAGAUUUAUAAAUGCAAGUUCCAUACAAUGUGUGUGCAAAUCAUAUUUUUGUUCGAAAGUUACACUACUAUAAAGUUGUUCUUCCAUAUUACGAAACAGUGCCGAGAAAGAAAAAAGGUAACCGCUGGCAUCAUACAUCUGUUUAUAAGCGAGUCACAACAUAAUUUAUCUUGCAAGUUGUGUGUUUAUUUCUACCCCUCUCCCCCGUUCUUGGACGUUCAAAUUAAUUUGUUCUACAAGCAUGCAUGGAUACUACCUAGACAAUUACUCUUUAUGCAUGCAUACUGCAAUUUCAAUCAAGUGAAUGCUCAUAUACGUUAACUAACACUAGUGAAUAAGGGAGAUCAUUCACCUACUUAAUUAACUUUUGUGGAGAAGGUAGAUACAUGCUGUACUUGACGACGAAAAACUUGUGCAACUGCAUAUGUAAAUAGAGAAAAAUAAAACUAGAGUAAAAGAUAAAAACUAGAGUAAAACAUGGUCAAAAAAGUGGCUUACAUCAAAAAGAAAUCCAUGUGUGACUUACGAAUGGAUGGACCCAAUGAGUCCAUAACUUAUUCUGCAGUUGAACAUCGUCGCAUUGCAUCCUAACUCCCAAAGUUGUUGGACAUUUCAGACCGGCAUGAGCGGCGCCCUGGAGACGCUAUGCGGGCAGGCCUACGGCGCUCGACUGUACCGCAUGCUAGGACUAUACCUGCAGUCGUCACUCAUCAUGUCGGCGGUGGUGUCCAUGGUCAUCGCCGUCCUGUGGCUGUUCACGGAGCCGCUGCUUCUAUGCCUGCGUCAAGAACCCGAGGUGUCCCGCGCCGCCGCGGUGUUCAUUCGGUACCAGAUCCCCGGUCUGUUCGCCUUUUCCUUCCUGCAGUGCCUUAUACGGUACCUGCAGACACAGUCCAUCGUCCUGCCGCUCGUCGUCUGCUCCGUGGUGCCAUUCAUGCUCCACAUCGCGCUGAACCACCUUCUGGUGAACGUUCUCGGCUUCGGCCUCGUCGGCGCGUCCGCCGCCAUCUCCAUCACCCUAUGGUUCUCCUGCAUGAUGCUGCUUGGGUACGUGAUGCGGUCCAAGGAGUUUAGCGAGACGUGGAAGGGUUUCUCCACCGACGCGUUCAACUACGUGAUGCCGACGAUCAAGCUCGCUACGCCCUCCGCCAUCAUGGUUUGGUCGGUACAUACACAGUACCUUCGUCCCAAAUUACUUAUCUUAGAGUUGUCUAGAUACGGAUGUAUUACUUCCCAUUAUUGAUUUUGAGUUUCUUGGGUGCGUGCAGCUUGGAGUACUGGGCGUUUGAGCUUCUGGUUCUUAUCGCGGGCUUGCUACCGAAUUCCACAGUGAGCACGUCGUUGAUCGCCAUGUGGUACGUUUAUUCUUGAAUACUGUCAGUCCGAUGGAGCUUCAGAAGCAUUAUAUUGUUCCAUCAUGUUGACUUCUUCAACUUGUAAAUGCAGCUCAAGCACGGAGGCGAUUGCCUACAUGAUCACCUACGGAUUCAGUGCCGCUGUGAGGUAUGUAUGAUCUUAACUUCUUUCUUUGUCGCUGUAAGCACGAUGACCUGUUAUUUCAUUGUUUGCACAUUUUGCAGCACCCGGGUGUCGAAUGAGAUCGGAGCCGGGAACGUGGAUAUGGCGAAGAAUGCGGUCGCAGUGACGCUCAAGCUGUCAAUAUUCCUCGCCUUCUCCUUCAUCCUGCUGCUGGGCUUCGGCCAUGGCCUUUGGGCGAGACUCUUCAGCGGGAGCGAGGUGAUUGUGGCAGAAUUCGCGGCCAUCACCCCGCUCCUGAUGAUCUCCAUCGUGCUCGACUCCGCGCAGGGCGUACUGUCAGGUGAGAAAGAUCCAUCCGCUACCUACUAAACCAAUCUUCAAGAAUCACUUACCUGCACCGAACACAUAGUUUCAUAUCACGGACACGAAAUCAUAGACUGGAAUGCCGCUGCUAGUGCUAAACAUUUCCACAAAUUGACAAAUAAAAUGGCUUGCAUGUAACAGGGGUGGCGAGGGGCUGCGGAUGGCAGCACCUGGCGGCGAUGACCAACCUUGUGGCGUUCUACUUCAUCGGCAUGCCGUUGGCCAUGCUCUUCGCCUUCAAGCUCAACUUCUACACCACGGUAAUUAAUUACCCUAUUAAGAGCUCUCGCCCUUGCCAUUGCGGAAUGUGGGACAGCAAGCAGCUCAAACUCCACUCUGAAAUAUAAGUAAUUAAUGAGCUGGAGCACUCAACAGACCAUGUACUUUAUUUACAGGGUUUAUGGUCGGGUCUGAUCUGCGGGCUGACUUGCCAGACCAGCACGCUGGUGGUGAUCACCGCCCGCACGAAAUGGUCCAAGAUCGUGGAUGCGAUGCAGCAAGAGAAGGCCAACUACAUCGCUUGAUCGAUAAAUAUCGUUCAUGGCUUGCACCUGUAGCUGUAUAGGGGUUUUUGUGAGAUGGCUAGGGCGUACGAUGCUUGAAGAGAAAGGUGUAGUGCCAAAAAAAAACAUUCUACAUUAUGGGACGGAUGGAGUAGCUUUUUGACCGUGUAUGUUCAGGGAAUAUAUGUCGAGAAACAGAUGGAACCUGUAAUGGCAAUUAACCAAAGAGUACAGGAGAAACCUACAUACCGGGACGUGGAUGUUCCAUCCUCCCAACCGAACCCAUGGAUGUUCAUAUUUUCAAGGGCGCAAAUAUAUCAAGGACGUCAAUGCGAAGUUGUUAGAGCAACUCUAGCAGACCCCGCAAAAGGCCCCAACCCGCCAAAUAACCGUUAAAAUGCGGGACGGCACGGAAAAUCCCGCCCGAACAGACCCCGCAAACGCGGCCAGCCCGCAAAAAGUUUUGAGGGGCGCGGCAACAACUCGGCCCCAACCCGCGUAUUCGCGGGUUUCCGCCUCGCCCAUGCGGUGCCCCAUAUCGCAGUGAAGCAUUUGGCGGGAGGGACAUUUCAGCCCGCGCCCCUUUCCCCACCUCCUUCCGCCGCCGCCCGCCACAGCUUCCGCCCGUCCGCCACCACCGAUUCCGGCCAAAUCAGCCGGCGGAAUCGCACCGGCAGGGCCUUUUGCACCCUUCACCACCGCUAGGCCUCACCGCCCGCGCGGAUCCGGCUAGAAGAGCCGCCCCUCAUCGCUGUCGCCGCCGGGGAUCGACCGCCCUCGAGAUGCACCUCGUCGCCGCCGGUUAGUGUUAUUUUGCUUCGUGUCGAUGGAAUUUGAGCCCGGUUGGUUGACGCGGCGUGUGCUCCUCGUUCAUGUAGAUGGAAUUGAUCCCGUGCGAGAAAUUUCUCCUCUCCGAUUUGUCUGAUUCGGAUGAUUUGGAUGUUGAGAUGAUGCUCUCAAACUUACGACAGCAAACAUUAAUGAUGGCUCUUGCCGUCAAGGAGCACGAAGACGAGAACCAAAAGAGGCGGCGAGGAUUGACCGUCGGGCGUCUUUGCAUCCCUCGGAAUCGCCAUCUCGGGUACGAGAUGUUGAUGCAAGACUACUUCACGAAGAAUCCAACGUAUCCACCUCACCUCUUCCGGAGAAGGUACCGAAUGCACCGAUCCCUUUUUGUUAGACUUGUUCAAGCCUCGAGGCCAAUUGUCGGUAUUUUACGCAACGAAGAAAUGCUGCGGGCUUGAAGGGAUUUAGUGCAUAUCAAAAUUCUUGGCAGCUAUGCGGGUGAUUGCGUAUGGGGUUCCGUCUGAUUAUGCCGUUGAGUAUCUUCGCAUUGGUGAAGAUACAACAAUUGAGUCGGUGCGUAGAUUUGCCAAAGUGAUCGUCCGUGUCUUUGGUCCCCAAUAUCUUCGGGCAGAGAAUGAGGAUGACACAAAGAAAUUGAUGGCAUCUAAUGAGAGGAGAGGGUGGCCUGGCAUGCUAGGUAGCAUCGAUUGUAUGCAUUGGACAUGGAAAAAUGGCCCGAAGGCAUGGCAAGGAAUGUAUUAUGGCAAGUCUCAUAAUGCCACAAUUGUGCUAAAGGCCGUAGCGUCCGAGGAUUUAUGGAUUUGGCAUUGCUUCUUUGGUAUGCAGGGCACUCUCAAUGAUAUCAACGUGUUGCAACGAUCUCAUUUGUUUGCUAGACUUGCUAGUGGUGAUGCUCCUUCUUGCAACUACACAAUCAAUGGGCAUGAAUACACUAAAGGGUACUAUCUUGCUGAUGGUAUAUACCCUCCUUGGUGCACAUUUGUCAAGAGCAUCAAAGAACCAAAAAAUAAAAAACAAUAUGAGUUUGCAAGAGUGCAAGAGGCAGCCCGAAAAGACAUUGAAAGAGCAUUCGGGGUUUUGCAAUCUAGGUUUGCCAUUGUUCGUGGUCCUGCUCGUUUUGGGGACAAGCGGACCUUGAAGAACAUCGUGACAUGUUGUGUUAUUCUUCACAACAUGAUUCUCGAAGAUGAGAGAAGCAUUAACUUGGAAUUCUUCUACGACAAUGUAGGCAGCCGUGUCAAACCAGCAAAAGACCCUAACCGCAUUAGAGUUUUUCUUCAGACAUACAAGGAGAUUGAAAAUGCAAACACCUAUUUUCAGCUUCGGGAGGAUCUCAUUGAGCACCAUUGGCAAAGGGCUGGACAAUAGCAAACUCAUUUUUCCAUUCAUUUGUACUUGUAUUUGUAUUAGGGACAAGUUUUGUAUUGCAUUAUUUGUAUUUAUAUUCGGUGAUUUGAAUAAUUAUUUGUAAUGUGGAUGAUUGUUGUAUUGUGUUGAUAUUGAUAAUUGGUGUGGUAUUCAUAUAUUUGUGGGCCGGUGGGAUGAAGGAUGUAGCGGGCUGAUACGUCCAUUUUGCAUCAUGCUUUUAUAUCGAUAUUUAUUGCAUUAUAGGCUGUUACUACACAUUAUGUCACAAUACUUAUGCCUUUUCUCUCUUAUUUUGCAAGGUUUACAUGAAGAGGGAGAAUGCCAGCAGCUGGAAUUCUGGGGUGGAAAAGGAGCAAAUAUUAGAGACCUAUUCUGCACAACUCCAAAAGUCCUGAAACUCCACGAAAGUCAGUUUUGGAAUAUAUUAAAAAUAUUGGGCGAAGAAAGCACCAGAGGGGGGGCACCCACUGUCCACGAGGGUGGAGGGCGCGCCCCCUGCCUCGUGGGCCACCUGGCAGGCCCCCGAUGCCCAUCUUAUGGUAUAUGGUGUCUUUUGCCCUGAAAAGAUCAUAAGGAAACUUUCGGGACGAAGCGCCGCCAUCUCGGGGCGGAACCUUGGCGGAACCAAUCUAGGGCUCCGGCGUAGCUGUUCUGCCGGGGAAACAUCCCUUCGGGAGGGGUAAAUCGUCGCCAUCAUCAUCGUCAUCACCAUCGAUCCUCUCAUGAAGAGGGGGUCAAUCUCCAUCAACAUCUUCACCAGCACCAUCUCCUCUCAAACCCUAGUUCAUCUCUUGUAUCCGAUCUUUGUCUCAAAACCUUAGAUUGGUACCUGUGGGUUGCUAGUAGUGUUGAUUACUCCUUGUAGUUGAUGCUAGUUGGUUUAUUCGGUGGCAGAUCAUAUGUUCAGAUCCUUUAUGCAUAUGAAUACCCCUCUGAUUAUGAACAUGAAUAUGAUUUGUGAGUAGUUACGUUUGUUCCUGAGGACAUGGGAGAAGUCUUGUUAUAAGUAGUCAUGUGAAUUUGGUAUUCGUUCGAUAUUUUGAUGAGAUGUAUGUUUUCUAUCCUCUAGUGGUGUUAUGUGAACGUCGACUACAUGACACUUCACCAUUGUUUGGGCCUAGGGGAAGGCAUUGGGAAGUAAUAAGUAGAUAAUGGGUUUCUAGAGUGACAGAAGCUUAAACCCUAGUUUAUGUGUUGCUUCGUAAGGGGCUGAUUUGGAUCCAUAUGUUUCAUGCUAUGGUUAGGUUUACCUUAAUUCUUCUUUCGUAGUUGCGGAUGCUUGCUAGAGGGGUUAAUCAUAAGUGGGAUGCUUGUCCAAGGAAGGGCAGUACCCGAGCACCGGUCCACCCACAUAUCAAAUUAUCAAAGUAACGAACACGAAUCAUAUGAGCAUGAUGAAAACUAGCUUGACGAUAAUUCCCAUGUGUCCUCGGGAGCGCUUUGCUUUAUAUAAGAGUUUGUCCAGGCUUGUCCUUUGCUACAAAAAGGAUUGGGCCACCUUGUUGCACUUUGUUACUUUUAUUACUUGUCACCCGUUACGAACUAUCUUAUCACAAAACUAUCUAUUACCGAUAAUUUCAGUGCUUGCAGAGAAUAUCUUACUGAAAACUGCUUGUCAUUUCCUUCUGCUCCUCGUUUGGUUCGACACUCUUACUUAUCGAAAUGACUAUGAUAGAUACCCUAUACUUGUGGGUCAUCAAGACUCUUUUCUGGCGCCGUUGCCAGGGAGUGAAGCGCCUUUGGUAGGUGGAAUUUGGUAAGGAAAAUUUUAUAUCGUGUGCUGAAAUUUACUGUCACUUGUUACUAUGGAAAUUAAUCCUUUGAGGGGCUUGUUCGGGCUAUCUUCUCCCCGACCAGUAGAGCAAAGAGUUUCUCCUCAACCUACUGAACCUACUAAAUUUUUUUACUUUGAAAUUCCUUCAGGUAUGAUAGAGAAAUUGUUAGCUAAUCCUUUUACAAGAGAUGGAUCAUUACAUCCCGAUAUAUAUGCACCUAAUCUAUGUUGAUGAAGUAUGUGGAUUAUUUAAGCUUGCAUGUAUGCCCGUGGUUGUUAUCAAGAAGAAGGUCUUCCCUUUAUCUUUGAAGGGAAAGUCAUUGACAUGGUUUAGGCUAUGUGAUGAUAUUGGAUCAUGGAACUACAACCGAUUGAAAUUGGAAUUUCAUCAGAAGUUUUAUCCUAUGCAUCUGGUUCAUUGUGAUCAUAAUUAUAUAUAUAAUUUUUGGCCUCGCGAAGGAGAAAGUAUCACUCAAGCUUGGGGGAGGCUUAAGUCAAUGUUAUAUUCAUGCCCCAAUCAUGAGCUCUCAAGAGAAAUUAUUAUUCAAAAAAAUUAUGCUCGGCUUUCUCUCAAUAAUCUCUCCAUGCUCGAUACUUCUUGUACUGGUUCUUUUAUGAUGAAGACUAUUGAAUUCAGAUGGGAUUUAUUGGAAAGAAUUAAACGCAACUCUGAAGAUUGGGAACUCGACGAAGGUAAGGAGUCUGGUAUACCACCUAAGUUUGAUUGUGUUAAAUCUUUUAUGGAUACCGAUGCUUUUCAUGAAUUUAGCACUAAAUGUGGACUUGACUCUGAGAUAGUAGCUUCUUUAUGUGAAUCAUUUGCUACUCGUGUUGAUCUCCUUAAGGAGAAGUGGUUUAAAUAUCAUCCUCCCAUUGAAGUAAAAGUAGUAGAAACUAUUAAAGUUGAAGAAAAGACAAUUACUUAUAAUGUCGAUCCUAUUGUUCCUACCGCUUAUAUUGAGAAACCACCUUUCCCUGUUAGAAUAAAGGAUCAUCCUAAAGCUUCAACUGUGGUUCGUAAGAGUAAUGCUAGAACACCUACACCCCCUGAGCAAAUUAAAGUUGAACCUAGUAUUGCUAUGGUUAAGGAUCUCUUGGUCGAAAAUAUUAAUGGGCAUGUUAUUUAUUUCUGUGAUGUAGCUGCUAGAAUUGCUAGACCCGAUACUAAAAAUAAACAUAGACAUGUUGUUGGCAUGCCUGUUGUUUCUGUUAAAAUAGGAGAUCAUUGUUACCAUGGCUUAUGUGAUAUGGGUGCUAGUGCGAGUGCAAUACCUCAUUCCUUAUACGAAGAAAUUAUGCAUGAUAUUCACACCCGCUGAAAUAGAAGGUAUUGAUGUUACUAUUAAACUUGCCAAUAGAGAUACUAUUUCACCAGUUGGGAUUGUUAGAGAUGUUGAAGUCUUGUGUUGGAAAAUUAAAUAUCCUACUGAUUUUCUUGUUCUUGGUUCCCCACAAGAUGACUUUUGUCCCAUUAUAUAUGGUAGACCCUUCUUGAAUACUGUUAAUGCCAAGAUAGACUGCAAAAAAGAUAUUGUUACUGUUGGUUUAGGGGAUAUGUCUCAUGAUUUUAAUUUUGCUAAUUUCCAUAGAAAACCCCAUGAUAAAGAAUUGCCUAGUAAAGAUGAAAUAAUCGAUCUUAAUUCUAUUGUCGUGCCUCCCAAUGAUCCUUUAGAACAAUAUUUGCUAGACCAUGAGAAUGAUAUGUUUAUGAAUGAAAGAAGCACUAGUGCAGAACCGGGCUUUAGCGCCGGUUCGUAAGGGCCUUUAGUGCCGGUUCUACAACCGGCACUAAAGAGUGGAGACUAAAGCCCCCCCCCUUUACUACCGGUUCGGCACGAACCAGCGCUAAAGUGCCACCACGUGGCACGAGCCAGGCCUGGGUGCUGGUAGACCAUUAGUACCGGUUGGUAACACCAACCGGUACUAAAUGUUUGGGGGGGGGGUUAUUUUUUAUUUUCCAUUAAUUUUGUGUUUUCCAUUUAAUUCUUUUUUGUUUGCUGGUAUUUUACGAUACUACAAAUUGUACACAUUAUGCAUAUAUAUAAAUAGAUUUUCUCGUACGUAGAACCGCAUAUAUAUAUAUAUAUAUAAAUAUCAUCGAAUGUCUCACAACCAACACCAUUAAUUAUUCACACAUACACAUGUAUAUACAUAUAUAAUUUCUCCUACAUGUUGCCUUGGUGCCUUCGGAGCACGAUGACAAGUGGUUCAUGGGGGUGGUAGCGGGUAAUAGUAUUCUCCUUUGGGAUCUAUGACCUAGUCGAGCAAAAAUCCCGCUAUUUCCUCUUGAAGUGCUAGUAUGUAGUCCGCUGGUAGGAGCUGCUCCCGCACCUCUCUGAACUGUUAAGAAGGAGAUCAAUAUGCAUUUGUAUUAGUUGUGUGAGUAGAUAUCGAUAAUGGUGUGAAUAGUGUUUUAACAAACGUGCCCAAUCCUGUCUUUGAGAUAUGCUCGAAUGUUCUCGCAAACAUAGAAUGCACACAGAUCAUUCCCCUACGCCUGCUUCAGGGCCUUUACGAGAAUGGAAUUGAAUCAAAUAAUGAUUAAUCAAGCAUGAUAAUUAAUUAAUGGUAUUGAAACAAGAAUUAAAGAGAUGGUAGCUAGCUAGCUAGUUAGUACUACUUAAUUACUUACCCUUGGUCGAUACCAAAACAGCUUUUUUGCCCAUUUGCCUGGAGUCACCUUGAUGAACUUUGCCCAAGCCCUGCCCGGCGGCAAAGAAAAUUAAUAAAGGGGUUAUUAAAUAGUUCAUAUCAGGAAAUGACGAACUAAAUAGGCUGAGAUAUAUUUAAUAAUGAUUGAAAUUACCUGUUGACUAUCCCCUUCACGAUGGUGUAGUCUUUUUCUUCAACUGUUCCUUUGUCAACUUUAAUGUCUAACAAGAUCCAGUGGAAACUGCAUGCGCACAUGUUUGCAUGUCUUAAUUAAGCGGGCAUGUGCAUAACACUAAUCAACUACCGUAAACCAUAUACACUUAAUUAUUAACAUCUAGCUAGCUAGUAAGCAAAAAUAGAAUUUGUAGUACAAGACAUUGUGACUCACAGGAAGUUGUAAGGAAGUAGUAUAUCUUCAUUGGUAUUGAGGCGCUUGAAGAACUCUAGCAUGCUUUCCUCUAAACUUACUCGAGAAGUUGGAAGAUUCCAUGUGUACUCAUUAAUGGUAUUUGGGUCAAUGAACCCAAUGCCAUUGCGUCCAGAUUUUUUCAUUUCAUACAUCUUCAUCCUGCAUAUAAUACCACAGAAAAGAAUAUAUAGUGAGGAUAAUUACAUGUAAUGAUUGAUCAAAAUGAUAACUACAGCUAGCUUGAGACUUAAAUUACAGAAAGAAAUCACUUACAGACAAUAACAACUUACGAUAGAUUUGCCGAGUGCGUCUUGAUUGUAUAACUGAAAUAGUUCUGAAUACUGAACGGAUAGAGCUUUCUCAUGGAAGUAAUGCUCCUCCUUGACAUUCACCAUGAGGGACUCUCGAUUGGAAAUCUUGGUAAUGUUCAUGUACCAUUGAUGCAAUUCAUACAUUCUCGUUGGGAGGUUCUUGACCUUGUCUGGCUCGACCAAAGGUUGGCCCCAGAGAUAUCUUCGUUUUAUUUCCUCCUCUCUAAGCGGAGACAUGCACUCGAUUUCGAGGAGUUGUCCAACAGUGAUCUUGAGCAUUUCAUCCUGCAUUAUAUGCUCCUCCGUUAUUACCACAUCGCCCAGCUGGGGAACGUUAAUGGUUUGCCCACAAUAAUAUUGGGNNNNNNNNNNNNNNNNNNNNNNNNNNNNNNNNNNNNNNNNNNNNNNNNNNNNNNNNNNNNNNNNNNNNNNNNNNNNNNNNNNNNNNNNNNNNNNNNNNNNNNNNNNNNNNNNNNNNNNNNNNNNNNNNNNNNNNNNNNNNNNNNNNNNNNNNNNNNNNNNNNNNNNNNNNNNNNNNNNNNNNNNNNNNNNNNNNNNNNNNNNNNNNNNNNNNNNNNNNNNNNNNNNNNNNNNNNNNNNNNNNNNNNNNNNNNNNNNNNNNNNNNNNNNNNNNNNNNNNNNNNNNNNNNNNNNNNNNNNNNNNNNNNNNNNNNNNNNNNNNNNNNNNNNNNNNNNNNNNNNNNNNNNNNNNNNNNNNNNNNNNNGGUCAAUUGCGCCGCCUGUUCUCCCAGCUGGGGAAUGGUUUUCCCGCAUUUUUUGCCAGCUGCUUGUUGGCUCAAGCUUGAGAUCGCUUCCUUCUAUAGUCGUGCUCGAUAUGACUUCCUGAUUUGGCGCUCAUAGUCCGAGUCAACAGCCUUGGGAGCUGGUGCUCUAGCCAUACGAAUGAAGUGGUCAAUCUUUUCCUCAGGCACUUUCUCCCUUGGUGGCGGUGCCGUUUUCGGUGCAAAAUGGGCGUCCACUUGGGCCUGCACUAUGGCUGCGUUCUGCUCCUCGGUCAUGUCGUAAGGCCUCUGAGGAAGAGGAGCGAGGCUUGGACCAUAUUUAUAUCGCUUGUCUCCGCCUGUACUUCCUGUACUACUUCGACUCAUACCGUUACGCACCAUAGCUGCGGCGUGUCUCUUCUGCGAUUGCUGAGACGGCGGAGAUAGCUGACGUGGCUGAGUUGGAGCAGGAGGAGUGGCCUGAUGCUGUGCCGGACUUGAAGCAGGAGGUGUGGCCUGACAUAGUGUCGGACUUAAAACCGGAGGAGUGGCCUGACGCUGUGCCGGACUUGAAGCAGGAGUCUUCUCACGCGUUCGGGGACUUGGAGGAGGUGGCGGACUUCAAGGAGGAGUUGGCUCACGCGUUCGUGGACUUGGAGGAGCGGAAGUCUGCUGACUCAGUGGCGGACUUCGAGGAGGAGUCGGCAGACGACGCGGUGUCGGUGGACUUUGAAAGAUGAUGCAAUCCUGUCUCCAUAGGAUGAUACGAUGUAUGGUCUCUCCCAGUGUGCGCUCGUCGUCACCUCCAGGAAUGUCAAGCUGUAGCCCCGAAUAUGGGUCCACCACUUCAUCAACCAAGACACGAGCAUAGCCCUCUGGAAUCGGGGUGCAAUGGAAGGUUGCUUCGGGGGUAAUUGUAAAAGCAACGCCGUCCGCCACCUUCAUGGAUAUGUUCUUCAUUUUGGAGUGUAGCUCACAGUUAGUGUUCUCUAUGAUGUCAUCCACAGGGUAUGUAUCCAGCAGUGUGUCGCCCGGGGCAGAACCAACGCUGCUUCUCGGCAUGUAUGGGACAGUGCUAUCCAAUGCUGGACGAUCAUCUGCUUGCUGCUGCCGCUGCUGAGAACCCCUUUCCUGGCUAAGUGAGUCAAUCUGCUGCUGCUCCUACUGCUGCUGGGAUUUGAGUGCCAAGUCUGCAUGCCUUGCUUCUAGGCCUUGAAGGCAUUCUGCGUCCUGCUUCCUCUGCUCCUCCUCCAGCUUACUCUUCUUCUCCUCCUCCAUCUUCUUUCUUGCGCGGGACCUGUACUCGUCAUUUCAUUCCGAAAAGCUCUCAUACCAGGGAAUAACGCCCUUGCCUUGUGUUCUUCUCGGGUGUUCAGGAUUUCCCAGGGCGCACGUAAGCUCGUCAUUCUCUCUGUUUGGCAUGAACACCCCCGUUUGAGCUUCUUCUAUUGCGUCAAGUAUCUUUUGUUCGGCUCCUUUUAGACUUGCCUUCUGCAAAACCAGGCCUGUCUUCGGGUCCAACGCCCCCCAUGUGCAUAGAACCAAGUUCUGCACCUGGGGGGCUAGCUCCUAGUAACCGGAGUGACCCCUGCAUCCUCCAUCUCUUGCUCAGACUUAUCCCACUUAGGCAUUCCCACCGCAUAGCCACCUAGACCCAGCCUAUGGAACUGUGUCUUUUUUGCGGCAUUGGCCUUGUUUUUUAUCAAUCGUUCCUUAGAUAAUUCUGAUUCCUUGAAUUUCACGAAAUCGGCCUAGUGUUCUCUUUGCUUCUCAAGUGUUCCCGUGAAUUCUGGAGUCUUCCUUGCUGCAGCGAGGUAGUUGGCCCAUACAAUUUUCUUGUGGGUGUUGAAUGCAAUUGCCAUCUUCUUAAGAGCAGCGCCCUUGACUUUCUGCACAUCUGCUUCAGUGAAAUAAUCUGGUAGGGUGAAAUGUUCCAUCAGGGAUUCCCAAAGGUUUUUUUGCUCUGUCGUCGACCCAAGUAACACCUGGACGUUUAGUUUUUGGGUCUUUCCAUUCUUGAAUGGAGAUCGGGAGUUGGUCCUUCACAAGAACUCCGCACUGACGAGUCCACUUGUUCGCAAUGUUCUUAGGCGUGAGGGGUUCGCCACUAGGUUUGAUGGAGUUGAUGUUGUACUUUACACCCUCCUUCAACUUUUUGCCCGGGCCUCGCUUUGUCCUGCUGUCUGUAGAAGCAGAUUUGCUCGAUCCGGAGGGCUGAAAGAAGAAAUAUCGAUUUGUUAAUAUAUCUUCAAAUAAAAACAACAUGUGAUGAUCACCAUGAUGCCUGCUUAUAUAAAUAUACCUUGCCGGUAGUCUUUGUUAUUUGAAGAUCGGCAUUGUCUGUGUCAUCAUAAAUAUUGUCUGUGUCAUCAUAAUCAUAAUCGUAGUUCAUGACUUCAUCAGCUCGGUCGUCGAGAUCGAAUAUCUUUUCAUCACCCUCUCCGGUAUUGUUCAGAUAUUGGGAGCUGUCAUCUGCUUCAUUCAGAUCAUCUAGCCUGCGAGGGCUGCGUAUGAUGUCGAACAAUUCCUCUUCUCUCUCUCUGCCGGUAUUGUCCGCCAUAGCUUUUACUUAACUAAUAGAGAAGAAAUAUAAAACAAUUUAGUAUUCAAAUUACAAUGCAUGGAUGCAAUCAAUAAGGAAAAACUGAAUCAUAUAGUACAUAAUAUGCAUCGUCUCGAUUAAUAUAUAAUCUCGAAUACAUCAUCGUCUCGAAUAAUAUAUAUAAUCUCGAAUACAUCAUCUCGAAUAUUAUAUAUCGAAUACAUCACUGGCUAGGUACCUAUUAAAGAUCGAGUACUACAGAGGAAUCUAGGCCACUCGCGGUUCCUGGGGCGCGGGCGGUGGACACCCAAAGAGAAGGAACCAUCACAGGAUCAUAUCUCCGGUCAUCUGCCCAAAGAACCUGCCAAGUAUUGGAGAACCUGACGUCCAUAGCAGCCAUGUAGCGAUGGACGUGCUCGUCCUCCUGCCUGACAUGGCGGUGCACCACCUCCGGCGGGGUCGGCUCCCUCUGCACCGAAUGUGGCCCAUGCGAACGCCACCAAAGGAGAUCAGGGUCGACGACGGGACCCGAGGCCAGGUUCCUCACCAAGCGGCGCGCCCCUCUAGGUAGCACCUCCCAGUGCCAGCCUGGCGGAGCCCAGUCCCGGACAUGGGUCCUCUGAAGCAGGACGUCGUCGCGAACAGGUCGAUGGAGAGGAUGCGGGCUGGGCAUAUUGUCGAGAACAAAUACUACAUGCCCGCAAAAAGUAACAUUUUUUAAAUGAUUCGAUUGUGAUAACUAAAAUUCUAUAUGCAAAUUCUAACAAUUUGACAUUAAUCUAAUUCAUCUAACUAAAACUAAUUCUAAAAUUUCUAACAUUUCUAUAUAUAUAACUAACAUUUCUAUAACAUUUCCAAUAUUUCUAUAACUAAAAACAGAAAAAUUGCUAAUAUUUCUAUAACUAAAAAACAGAAAAAAUUUAUAACAUUUCUAUAUUACUAACAUUUCUAUAACAUUUCUAAUAAUUCUAUAACUAAAAAACAGAAAAAAUUUCUAUAACUAAAAUUUAUAACUAAAAAACUAAUGUGUGUGUGUGUGUGUGUGUGGACAUGGCGGCCGGGGCAUGAGCUCAUCGGCGAGGCGUGGCGAUGGGGGGUGACGAUGGGGACGGAGACGGGUGGUGAUGACGGGGAUGGGGACAGGGCGGUGACGACGGGGACGGGGAUGGGCCGGGCGGGGACGACGGGACGGGGCGGGGUGCGGCGACGGGGACGACGGGGACGGGGACGGCCAGGGCAGCGACGACGACGGGGAAGGGGACGAGGGGCGGGGACAGCCGGGGCGGCGAUAGCGACACCGACGGAGACGGGGGCGGCAACGAGGGGCGGCGGCGACGGGGCAGAGGAGAAGAAGCAGAGGAAGAGAUGAGAAACUGAAUUUUUUGAAGCAGUUUCUUAUAUACAACACCCCUUUAGUACCGCUUGGAGCCACCAACCGGUAUUAAAGGUCUGUUUUGGUCAGGCCAAGCGGCGGGAAGCGCCCCCCCCUUUAGUACCGGGUUGUGGCACCAACCGGUACUAAAGACCUCCUCUUUAGUACCGGUUGCAGCCACCACCCAGUACUAAAGGGGUGCGCUGGCGCAGGUGCGGUGCGGCAAGUUUAGUCCCACCUCGCUUGACGAGGGGCGUCCGCACUGGUUUAUAAGCCCCAGUGUGGUAGCUCUCUCGAGCUCCUCUCCAAAGCAGGCCUACUGGGCCUACCUGUUCUUUGCUGCCCUAUGGGCCUACUGGGCCUUUGCGGGCCUGCAUCCUGGCCCAACAAAACAUUGUGUUUCUAGUCGUAUGCAGGCCGCUCUGGCCCAGUAGGCGGGCUUUUUUAUUUUCUUAAUUUUUUUGCUUUAUUUAUUUUUGUUUUAUUUAUUUUUGAGUUGUUUUUUGCUAUAUUUAGAGUUUCUCUGUGAAUAUUUUUGCUUUAGGUACAAAAAAUUACAAACUUUCUCUUAGUGCCGGUAGUUUUCAAAUUUGAAUAGUUUAAAUUUUGAAUUAUUUGGAAUUUGUGUGAAUCACUAGUUUGUGAAUAACUUGAUUUUGAAAAUAGAUUUUUCAGUGAUUCUUUUUCCUUAUGUUUAAUAUUAGUGUGUUUUAUCAUUAUAUUCAAUUUGGUAAUUCUUAGGUUAUUUAAAAAAUGAAAUGCCUUUGUAAUAGAUGAGUUUUCGUCCGAAACCCUGAUACUUCGAAAGAGAUUGUCCAUUUUGUACACGAAGAGCAUCCAGUUUUUGCCGUAACCCUCUCUACUUUUUUGCACAUGCUAUGUGGAUGAAAUUAUGAUACUAUGCCAACUUUAAACCUUUUCUGAGUUCAUUUGAAAUGCUUUUCAAUUUCAGGGUCAUUUAGCUGAAAAAAUUAGUAAAUGCAUGAAAGAAUUUGUUUGCACAUAAAAUUUCUUCGCGUUUCAAAUGCCAAAACACAUAAAUACCCUAACUAUUACAGAGAUUCCCUCAUGGGUGUGAAAGACAGAAGAAAUUGAUGAUAGUGAAGCCGAUCACAUCCCAGAUCUUUGGGUGUGAAACUUUUUCUUCGCGUGUGUCCCUUUGCGCCGUAGCCAUGGAAAAUCUUCAUCAUUUAACUGGAUGCUUGGGUCAAUAUUCACUGUGAAUGGAGCAAUUUCAUCAAACUUUUCAUAAUCUUCUGACAUGUCUGUCUUGUCAUCCACUCCCAUGAUGUUUCUUUUCCCUGAAAGAACUACGUGGCGCUUUGGCUCAUCGUAUGAUCCAUUCGCUUCCUUAUCUUUUCUGUUUCUCGGCCUGGUAGACAUGUCUUUCACAUAAAAAACCUGCACCACAUAAUUGGCUAGGACGAAUGGUUCGUCUGCAUACGCAAGAUUGUUGAGAUCCACUGUUGUCAUUCCGUACUACGGGUCUUCCGUUACCCCGCUUCGUGUCAUAUUGACCCAUUUGCACCAAAACAAAGGGACCUUCAAACCACCUCCAUAGUUAAGUUCCCAUAUGUCCUCUAUGUAACCAUAAUAUGUUUCCUUUCCCGUGUUGGUUGUUGCAUCAAAGCGGACACCACUGUUUUGGUUGGUGCUCUUCAUAUCUUGGGCGAUCGUGUAAAAUGUAUUCCCAUUUAUCUGGUACCCUUUGAAAGUCAUUGUAUUCGAAGAUGGGAACUCGAACAAUGAGUACAUGUCAUCUUCAAUAUCGCCAUCAUGCAUGGCACAUUUCUGCAACCAACCGGCAAAAGUCCUCGUUUGUUCAUGUGUAAUCCAGUCGUGAGACUUCUCCGGGUGUUUGGAGUGUAGAAAAUUCUUGUGUUCCUCCAUAUAUAUACGGAGCCACCAAGGCAGAAUUCUGUAGAACUGUGUAGUAUGCUUCAGUGAGAGAAUGCCCAUCCAUACAUAUUAUUUGAUCCCCUCCUAGUGUGCCUUUUCCAUCCAGUCUGCCCUUAUGUCGCGAUUCAGGAACACCAAUCGGCUUAAGGUCAGGAAUAAAGUCAAUACAAAACUCAAUGACCUCCUCAUUUUCAUGGCCCUUCGAGAUGCUUCCUUGUGGCCUAGCACGGUUAUGAACAUAUUUCUUCAAGACUCCCAUGAACCUCUCAAAGGGGAACAUAUUGUGUAGAAAUACAGGACCCAAAAUGUUAAUCUCUUCGCAAAGGUGAACUAGGACGUGCGUCAUGAUGUUAAAGAAGGAUGGUGGGAACACCAACUCGAAACUGACAAGACAUUGCACCAAAUCAUUCUGUAACCUUGGUAUGAUUUCUGGAUUGAUUACCUUCUGAGAGAUUGCAUUAAGGAAUGCACAUAGCUUCACAAUGGCUAAUCGAACAUUUUCCGGUAGAAGCCCCCUCAAUGCAACCGGAAGCAGUUGCGUCAUAAUCACGUGACAGUCAUGAGACAUUAGAUUCUGGAACUUUUUCUGUGCCAUAUUUAUUAUUCCCUUUAUAUUCGACAAGAAGCCAUACGGUACCUUCAUGCUGAGCAGACAUUCAAAGAAGAUUUCCUUCUCUUCUUCGGUAAGAGCGUAGCUGGCCUGACCCUGAUGUAUGCUGUCUUUUCCGUGCAUACGUUGCUGGUCCUCCCGUGCCUCUGGUGUAUCUUUUGUCUUCCCAUACACGCCCAAGAAGCCAAGCAGGGUCAUGCAAAGAUUCUUCGUCACGUGCAUCACGUCAAUUGUGCAGCGGACCUCUAGCUCUUUCCAAUAUGGUAGGUCCCAAAAUAUAGAUUUCUUCUUCCACAUGGGUGCGCGUUCGUCAGCGUCCUUCGGAACAGGUUGUCCGCCAGGACCCUGAUACGUCCAUUUUGCAUCAUGCUUUUAUUUCAAUAUUUAUUACAUAAUGGGCUAUUAUUACACAUUAUAUGUCAAUACUUAUGGCUAUUCUCUCUUAUUUUACAAGGUUUACCAUGAAGAGGGGGAAUGCCGGCAGCUGGAAUUCUGGCUGGAAAAGGAGCAAACAUUGGAAACCUAUUCUGUACUACUCCAAAAGUCCUGAAACUCGACAAAACUUAUUUUUGGAAUUAAUAAGAAUUAUUGAGCGGAAGAAACACAUCAGGGGGCCCACACCCUGGCCAGGAAGGGGGGGGGGGCGCCCACCCCUACUGGGCACGCCCCCUGUCUCCUAGGCCCCCUGGUGGUCCCCCGGUGUCCAUCUUCUGCUAUAUGAAGUCUUUUACCCUGGAAAAAAUCGUGGGCAAGCUUACGGGACGAAACUCUGCCGCCACGAGGUGGAACCUUGGCGGAACCAAUCUAGGGCUCCGGCGGAGCUGUUCUGCCGGGGAAACUUCCCUCCGGGAGGGGGAAAUCAUCACCAUCAUCAUUACCAAUGAUCCUCCCAUCGGGAGAGGGUCAAUCUCCAUCAACAUCUUCACCAGCACGAUCUCCUCUCAAAACCCUAGUUCAUCUCUUGUAUCCAAACCACAAAUUGGUACCCGUGGGUUGCUAGUAGUGUUGAUUACUCCUUGUAGUUGAUGCUAAUUGGUUUACUUGGUGGAAUAUCAUAUGUUCAGAUCCUUAAUGCAUAUUAUUACUCCUCUGAUUAUGAACAUGGAUAUGCUCUGUGAGUACUUACGUUUGUUCCUGAGGACAUGGGUGAAGUCUUGCUAUUAGUAGUCAUGUGAAUUUGGUAUUCGUUCGAUAGUUUGAUGAGAUGUAUGUUGUCUUUUCUCUAGUGGUGUUAUGUGAACGUCGACUACAUGACACUUCACCAUUAUUUGGGCCUACAGGAAGGCAUUGUGAAGUAAUAAGUAGAUGAUGGGUUGCUAGAGUGACAGAAGCUUAAACCCUAGUUUAUGCGUUUCUUCAUUAGGGGCUGAUUUGGAUCCAUAUGUCUAAUGCUGUGGUUAGGUUUACCUUAUUACUUAUUUUGUAGUUGCGGAUGCUUGCAAUAGGGGUUAAUAAUAAGUUGGAUGCUUGUCCAAGUAAGGGCAGUACCCAAGCACCGGUCCACCCACAUAUCAAAUUAUUAAAGUACCGAACGCGAAUCAUAUGAGCGUGAUAAAAACUAGCUUGACGAUAAUUCCCAUGUGUCCUCGGGAUCUCUUUUCUCAUUAUAAUAAAUUGUCCAGGCUUAUCCUUUGCUACAAAAAGGAUUGGGCCACCUUUCUGCACUUUAUUUACUUUCAUUGCUUGUUACUCGUUACAAUUUAUCUUAUCACAGAACUAUCUGUUACCUACAAUUUCAGUAUUUGCAGAGAAAACCUUACUGAAAACCGCUUAUCAUUUUCUUCUGCUCCUCAUUGGGUUCGACACUCUUACUUAUCGAAAGGACUACGAUAGAUCCCCUACACUUGUGGGUCAUCAAGACUCUUUUCUGGCGCCUUUGUCGGGGAGUGUAGCAAUUUUGGUGAGUGGAACUUGGUAAGGAAACAUUUAUAUAGUGUGCUGAAAUUUUCUGUUACUUGUUACUAUGGAAACUAAUCCUUUGAGGGGCUUGUUCGGGGUAUCUUCACCCCGAUGAGAAGAGCAAAUAGUUUCUCCUCAACCUACUGAACCUACUGAAAAUAUUUACUUUGAGAUUCCUUCGGGUAUAAUAGAGAAACUGCUAGCUAAUCCAUUUGCAGGAGAUGGAACAUUACAUCCCGAUUUACACCUUAUCUUUGUGGAUGAAGUUUGUGGAUUAUUUAAGCUUGCAGGUAUUCCCGAUGAUGUCGUCAAAAGGAAGGUCUUUCCUGUAUCUUUGAAGGGAGAUGCAUUGACAUGGUAUAGGUUAUGUGAUGAUACAAGAUGUUGGAAUUAUAAACGAUUGAAGUUGGAAUUUUACCAGAAGUUCUAUCCUAUGCAUCUUGUUCACCAUGAUCGUAAUUACAUAUAUAAUUUCUGGCCUCGCGAAGGAGAAAGCAUCGCUCAAGUUUGGGGGAGGCGUAAGUCAAUGUUAUAUUCAUGCCCCAAUCAUGAGCUUUCCAGAGAAAUGAUUAUUCAAAAUUUUAUGCUCGGCUUUCUCUCAAUGACCGCAACAUGCUUCAUACUUCCUGUGCUGGUUCUUAUAUGCUGAAGACUAUUGAAUUCAAAUGGAACUUAUUGGAAAGAAUGAAACACAACUCUGAAGAUUGGGGUUCCGACGAUGGUAAGGAGUCAGGUAUGACACCCAAGUUUGAUUGUGUUAAAUCUUUUAUGGAUACCAAUGCUUUUCGUGGAUUUAGCGCUAAAUAUGGACUUGACUCUGAGAUAGUAGCUUCUUUCUGUGAAUCUUUUGCAACUCACAUUGAUCUCCCUAAGGAGAAGUGGUUUAAAUAUAAUCCUCCCGUUGAAGUAAAAGUAGUUGCACAUAUUACAGUUGAAGAAAAGACUGUCACUUAUAGUGAUCCUAUUGUUCCUACUACUUAUGUUGAGAAACCUCCUUUUCCUGUUAGGAUAAAGGAUCAUUCUAAAACUUCAACUAUUGUUCGUAAGAGUAAUACUAGGACUUAUACACCUCCUGAGCAAAUCAAAGUUGAACCUAGUAUUGCUAUGGUUAAAGAUCUCUUGGAUGAUGAUUUAGAUGGGCAUGUUAUUUAUUUCUGUGGUGAAACUGCAAAUAUUGCUAGACCCGAUACUAAGAUACAUAGACCCGUUGUAGGCAUGCCUGUUAUUUCUGUUAAAAUAGGAUAUCAUUGUUAUCAUGGCUUAUGUGAUAUGGGUGCUAGUGCUAGUGCAAUACCCUAUGAUUUAUAUAAAGAAAUUAUGCACGACAUUACAUCCAUUGAAUUAGAAGAUAUUUGUGUUACCAUUAAGCUUGCUAAUAGGGACACUAUUAAACCAGUUGGAAUUGUUAGAGAUGUCGAAGUCUUGUGUGGGAAGGUCAAAUAUCCUGCUGAUUUUCUUGUUCUUGGUUCCCCACAAGAUGAUUUUUGUCCCAUUAUUUUUGGUAGACCCUUCUUGAGUACUCUUCGUGCUAAGAUUGAUUGCGAAAAGGAUGUUGUUGAAAUUGGCUUAGGGGAUAUGAAACAUGAGUUUAAUUUUUCUAAGUUUCGUAGACAACCUCGUGAUAGAGAAUCACCUAGCAAGGAUGAGAUUAUUGGUCUUGCUUCUAUUGCCGUGCCUCCUACUGAUCCGUUAGAACAAUAUUUGCUUGACCAUGAAAAUGAUAUGUUUAUGAAGGAAAGAAGGGAAAUAGAUGAAGUGUUCCUUAAACAGGAGCCUAUGCUGAAACAUAACCUUCUCAUUGAAAUUCUUGGGGACCCCCCUCCAUCCAAGGGUGAUCCCGUGUUUGAAAUCAAACCAUUACCUGGUAAUCUUAAGUAUGCUUAUCUUGAUGAAAAGAAAAUAUACCAUGUUAUUAUUAGUGCUAACCUUUCAGAACAAGAAGAAGAAACAUUAUUGAAAACUCUGAAGAAGCACCGUGCUGCUAUUGGAUACACUCUGGAUGAUCUUAAUGGCAUUAGUCCCACUCUAUGCCAACACAAAAUAAAUGUGGAGAAAGAUGCCAAACCAGUUAGAGAUCCUCAAUGACGACUGAAUCCCAAAAUGAAAGAAGUGGUAAGAAAGGAGAUACAAAAGCUCCUUGAGGCAGGUAUAAUUUAUCCCGUUACUGAUAGUGAUUGGGUAAGCCCUGUCCAUUGUGUUCCUAAAAAAGGGGGUAUUACUAUCGUUCCUAAUGAUAAAGAUGAAUUGAUCCCGCAAAGAAUUAUUACAGGUUAUAGGAUGGUAAUUGAUUUCUAUAAAUUAAAUAAAGCUACUAAGAAAGAUCAUUACCCUUUACCUUUUAUUGAUCAAAUGCAAGAAAGACUAUCCAAACACACACAUUUCUACUUUCUAGAUGGUUAUUCUGGUUUCUCUCAAAUACCUGUGUCAGCGGAGGACCAAUCAAAAACUACUUUUACUUGCCCUUUUGGUACUUUCGCUUAUAGAUGUAUGCCUUUUGGUUUAUGUAAUGCACCUGCUACCUUUCAAAGAUGCAUGAUGGCUAUAUUCUUUGACUUUUGUGAAAAGAUUUGUGAGGUAUUCAUGGAUGAUUUCUUUGUUUAUUGAUCCUCUUUUGAUGAUUGCUUGAGCAACCAUGAUCGAGUUUUGUAGAGAUGUGAAGACACUAGCCUCGUGUUGAAUUGGGAAAAGUGCCACUUUAUGGUUAAUGAAGGCAUUGUCUUAGGGCAUAAGAUUUCCGAGACAUGUAUUGAAGUUGAUAAGGUUAAAGUUGAUGCUAUUGAAAAGAUGCCAUGUCCCAAGGACAUAAAAGGUAUAAGAAGUUUCCUUGUUCAUGCCGGUUUUUAUAGGAGGUUCAUUAAGGACUUUUCUAAAAUCUCUAGGCCUCUGACUAAUUUAUUGCAAAAAGAUAUCCCUUUUGUCUUUGAUGAUGAUUGUAUAGAAGAAUUUGAAAUACUCAAGAAAGCUUUGAUCACUACACCUAUUGUUCAGCCACCUGAUUGGAAUUUACCUUUUGAAAUUAUGUGUGAUGCUAGUGAUUAUGCUGUAGGUGCUGUUCUAGGGCAAAGAGUUGAUAAGAAAUUGAAUGUUAUCCAGUAUGCUAGUAAGACUCUUGAUACUGCCCAGAGAAAUUAUGCUACUACUGAAAAAGAAUUCUUAGCAGUUGUGUUCGCAUGUGAUAAAUUUAGACCUUAUAUUGUUGAUUGCAAAGUUACUAUUCACACUGAUCAUGCUGCUAUUAAAUAUCUUAUGGAAAAGAAAUAUGCUAAGCCUAGACUCAUUAGAUGGGUCCUCUUGCUCCAAGAAUUUGAUUUGCAUAUUAUUGAUGGAAAGGGAGCUGAGAACCCCAUUGCAGACAACUUGUCUAGGUUAGAGAAUAUUCUUGAUGACCCACUGCCUAUUGAUGAUAGCUUUCCUGAUGAACAAUUAGCGGUCGUUAAUGCUUCUCAUACUGUGCCUUGGUAUCCUGAUUACGCUAAUUACAUUGUUGCUAAAUUUAUACCACCUAGUUUCACAUACCAGCAAAAGAAAAAGUUCUUUUAUGAUUUAAGACAUUACUUCUGGGAUGACCCACACCUUUAUAAAGAAGGAGUGGAUGGUGUUAUUAGACGUUGUGUACCUGGGCAUGAACAGGAGUAGAUCCUACACAAGUGUCACUCUGAAUCCUAUGGAGGACACCACGCCUGAGAUAGAACUGCACAUAAGGUACUGCAAUCUGGUUUUUAUUGGCCUACUCUCUUCAAAGAUGCCCGUAAGUUUGUUUUAUCUUGUGAUGAAUGUCAAAGAAUUAGUAAUGUUAGUAGACGUCAAGAAAUGCCUAUGAAUUAUUCUCUUGUUAUUGAACCGUUUGAUGUUUGGGGCAUUGACUAUAUGGGACCUUUUCCUGCCUCUAAUGGUUACACACAUAUUUUAGUUGCUAUUGAUUACGUUACUAAGUGGGUAGAAGCUAUUCCAACUAGUAGUGGUGAUCAUAAAACUUCUAUUAAAAUGCUUGAAGAAGUUAUUUUUCCAAGGUUUGGAGUUCCUAGAUAUCUUAUGACUGAUGGUGGUUCACAUUUUAUUCAUGGUGCUUUCCGUAAGAUGCUUGCUAAGUAUGAUGUUAAUCAUAGAAUUGCAUCUCCUUAUCAUCCGCAGUCUAGUGGUCAAGUAGAGUUGAGCAAUAGAGAGCUCAAAUUAAUUUUGCAAAAGACUGUCAAUAGAUCUAGAAAGAAUUGGUCCAAGAAACUUGAUGAUGCAUUAUGGGCCUAUAGAACUGCUUACAAAAAUCCUAUGGGCAUGUCUCCAUAUAAGAUGGUUUAUGGAAAAGCUUGUCAUUUACCUCUAGAACUUGAACAUAAAGCAUAUUGGGCUAUUAAAGAGCUCAACUAUGACUUCAAACUUGCCGGUGAAAAGAGGUUAUUUGAUAUUAGCUCACUUGAUGAAUGGAGAACCCAAGCCUAUGAGAAUGCCAAGCUAUUCAAAGAAAAAGUCAAACGCUGGCAUGACAAAAGGAUACAAAAGCAUGAGUUUAAUGUAGGUGAUUAUGUCUUAUUAUUCAACUCUCGUUUAAGAUUUUUUGCAGGAAAACUUCUUUCUAAAUGGGAAGGUCCUUACGUUAUCGAGAAGGUCUACCGUUCUGGUGCCAUAAAAAUCAACAACUUCGAAGGCACAAGUCCAAGGGUGGUGAACGGUCAAAGAAUCAAACAUUAUAUCUCACGUAAUCCUAUCAAUGUUGAAACUAAUAUUAUUGAAAUCGUAACCCCGGAGGAAUACAUAAGGGACACUUUCCAGAACGUUCCAGACUCCAAAAAGGAAUAUGUAUGUGGUACGGAAAGUAAAUCGAUUCCAAAACAAUUCUAAUGGCACUUUUUAUCAGUUUCAGAAUAUUUAAGAAUUUUAGGAAGAAAGAAGUAGACCGGGAAGGACACGAGGCCUCCAUGAGGGUGGAGGGCGCGCCCACCCUUACUGGGCGCGUCCCUGUCUCAUGGCCACCUUGUGUGCCUCCCGGACUCCGUUUUCUUGCAUGUUACGUAUUUUGGUCGGUAAAAAUUCAUUAUAUAAACUCCCGAAGGUUUUAACCAAUGUAUCACGCAAAUAUCCUCUGUUUUCGUUUCGAGUUGUUUCUGUUUCAGAUCUAGAGCACUAUGGCGUCACCCUCCUUCAACAAUAAAGACAAGGAUGCUUGGCUAUUAAAGAUAGAGCUGAAAAGAGAAGAACCGGAAGAGAUCAACAAGGAGGAAGGGAUCAAGAAGGCCAUGGAGGUUCAAGCUUCAGCGAUGAAAGAAGAAGACAUACCUCAACCCUUACCUAACCUCUUUACUCCAACCGAGAUUGAAGCUUUCAAGAUGAUUGAGUUAGCUUGCAUAUAGAAUAAGUAUCUCACAUAGGAGAAUAUUUUGCUGAAGGAUCAUAUCACCGGACUCAAGGGCAUUAUCCGCAAGUUGGAGGAGCUUUUACGCUCGAUGUGCGAUUAUCCACCAUCAUCAUCACCACCUCCAUCACCUCCAAGGACAUAAUCACAUGGGUAUGGGCACUACCCUUGGCAACUGCCAAGCUUUGGGGAGGUGCCCCUGUAUCAUAUCACCAUCACACUCCUAUCUUUACCUUUUUAUUUAGUUCGAUCUUUUUAGUAGUAUCUUGAUCUAGUAGAUUGAAGUUUUGAUAUCAAGUAGUUUUGAGUUUUUCUUUGAGAUCUCUUUAUGUAAUUGAGUCCGUGAGCUAUCUAUAAUAAAGAUUAGUGUUGAGUCAAGGGCUUUGCUAUCUUGCUAUGAUCUUGGGAAAGUAGAAAGAAUAAAAGGGUUCAUAUUGAUCUUAUGGCUAGUGAUGACUUCACACAUAGAAAGUAUGAGGCAUAAAAGUUGUUGAGAGUUGAUAAACGUAGUUUUGGUCAUCGUUGAAAUUAAUAGGAAGUAAUAAGGAAAGAGAGGUUCACAUGCAAAUAUAUUAUCAUGAACAUCUUUUAUGAUUGUGAAGCACUCAUUAAGUAUGACAUGCUAAAAGAGUUGAUGUUGGACAAGGAAUACAACAUGAUGGUUUAUGUUUUCUCACAUCUUAGUUAAAGUAUAUUGUCAUUGAUCUUCCCAACAUGUUGAGCUUGCCUUUCCCCCUCAUGCUAGCCAAAUUCUCUGCGCCAAGUAGAGAUACUACUUGUGCUUCCAAAUAUCCUUAAACCCAGUUUUGCCAUGAGAGUCCACUAUACCUACCUAUGGAUUGAGUAAGAUCCUUCAAGUAAGUUGUCAUGUUGCAGGCAAUAAAAAUUGCUAUCUAAAUAUGUAUGACUUAUUGUUGCAGAGAAAAUAAGCUUUAUACGAUCUUGUUAUGGAAGCAAUAAAAGCGACAGACUGCAUAAUAAAGGUCCAUAUACAAGUGGCAAUAUAAAGUGACGUUCUUUUGCAUUAAGAUUUCAUGCAUUCAACCCUAAACGCACAUGACAACCUCUUCUUCCCUCUGCGAAGGGCCUAUCUUUUACUUUAGGUUUUUACUUUAUGCUUGAGUCAAGGUGAUCUUCACCUUUCCCUUUUUCAUUUUAUCCUUUGGCAAGCUCCUCGUGUUUGAAAGGUCAUGAUACAUAUAUCCAAUUGAGUGUAAGUUAGCAUGUAUUAUUAUUGUUGACAUCACCUAAAGGUGAAUACAUUGGGAGGCAACACAAUAAGCCCCUAUCUUUCUCAAUGUCCGGCUAAAACUCCAUAACCACAAGUAUUGCGUGAAUGUUAGCAAUUGUAGAAGACUACAUGAUAGUUGAGUUUGCGGACUUGCUGCAAAGCUCUAUUCUUGACUCUUUCUGACGUUAUGAUAAAUUGCAAUUGCUUCAAUGACUGAGAUUAUAGUCUGUUAGCUUCCAAUGAAGUUUCUGAAUCAUGCUUGACAUUGUGAAUUGAUCGUUACUUGAGCAUAAGAAUUCAUAUGAUAAAAUCUAUAUAUGUUGUUGUUAUAAGAAUGAGAUGCCCUCAUGUCCGUAUUUUAUUUUUAUCGACACCUCUAUCUCUAAACAUGUGGACAUAUUUUUUGAUUUCGGCUUCCGCUUGAGGACAAGCGAGGUCUAAGCUUGGGGGAGUUGAUACGUCCAUUUUGCAUCAUGCUUUUAUAUCAAUAUUUAUUACACAAUGGGCUGUUAUUACACAUUAUAUCUCAAUACUUAUGGCUAUUCUCUCUUAUUUUACAAGGUUUACCAUGAAGAGGGGGAAUGCCGGCAGUUGGAAUUCUGGCUGGAAAAGGAGCAAACAUUGGAAACCUAUUCUGCACUGCUCCAAAAGUCCUGAAACUCCAUGAAACUUAUUUUUGGAAUUAAUAAGAAUUAUUGAGCGGAAGAAACACCUCAGGGGGCCCACACCUGGCCAAGAGGGUGGGGGCGCGCCGACCCCUACUGGGCGCGCCCCCUGUCUCCUGGGCCCCCUGGUGGCCCCCCUGUGUCCAUCUUCUGCUAUAUGAAGGCUUUUACCCUGGAAAAAAAAUCAUGGGCAAGCUUACAGGACGAAACUCCGCCUCACGAGGCGAAACCUUGGCGGAACCAAUGUAGGGCUCCGGCAGAGCUGUUCUGCCGGGGAAACUUCCCUCCGGGAGGGGGAAAUCAUCACCAUCGUCAUCACCAACAAUCCUCCCAUUGGGAGAGGGUCAAUCUCCAUCAACAUCUUCACCAGCACCAUCUCCUCUCAAAACCCUUGUUCAUAUCUUGUAUCCAAUCUUGUAUCCAAACCACAAAUUGGUACCUGUGGGUUGCUAGUAGUGUUGAUUACUGCUUGUAGUUGAUGCUAAUUGGUUUACUUGGUGGAAGAUCAUAUGUUCAGAUCCUUAAUGCAUAUUAUUACUCCUCUGAUCAUGAACAUGGAUAUGCUUUGUGAGUAGUUACAUUUGUUCCUGAGGACAUGGGUGAAGUCUUGCUAUUAGUAGUCAUGUGAAUUUGGUAUCUGUUCGAUAUUUUGAUGAGAUGUAUGUUUUCUUUCCUCUAGUGGUGUUAUGUGAACGUCGACUACAUGACACUUCACCAUUAUUUGGGCCUAGAGGAAGGAAUUGGGAAGUAAUAAGUAGAUGAUGGGUUGCUAGAGUGAAAGAAGCUUAAACCCUAGUUUAUGUGUUGCUUCGUUAGGGGCUGAUUUGGAUCCAUAUGUCUAAUGCUGUGGUUAGGUUUACCUUAAUACUUCUUUUGUAGUUGAGGAUGCUUGCAAUAGGGGUUAAUCAUAAGUGGGAUGCUUGUCCAAGUAAGGGCAGUACCCAAGCACCGGUCCACCCACAUAUCAAAUUAUUAAAGUACCGAACGCGAAUCAUAUGAGCGUGAUGAAAACUAGCUUGUCAAUAAUUGCCAUGUGUCCUCGGGAGCUCUUUUCUCAUUAUAAUAAAUUGUCCAGGCUUAUCCUUUGGUACAAAAAGGAUUGGGCCACCUUGCUGCACUUUAUUUAAUUUCAUUGCUUGUUACUUGUUACAAUUUAUCCUAUCACAAAACUAUCUGUUACCUACAAUUUCAGUACUUGCAGAGAAAACCUUACUGAAAACCGCUUAUCAUUUCUGUCUGCUCCUCGUUGGGUUCGACACUCGUACUUAUCGAAAGGACUAUGAUAGAUCCCCUACACUUGAGGGUCAUCAGACCCUUUCCAAAGAUUACCUUCAAAUCCUUGACCAUAUCAUGUACAUCAGCACCAGUAGGGUGGCGAGGCUUUGUCCGGUGAUCCGCCUCACCUUUGAUGCUUGCCUUUCUUUCUUACGGGAUGCCUGCUCGGAAGAAAUCGACGAUGUCCCAGGUACACAAUCUUCCUACAACUAUCCAAAUAUAUACUGUCGGUAUCAUCCAAACAGUGCGUGCAUCCGUGGUAUCCCUUGUUUGUCUGUCCUGAAAGUUUACUGAGAGCAGGCCAAUCAUUGAUGGGCACGAACAACAACGCCUUUAGGUCAAAUUCUUCUUGUCUGUGCUCAUCCCACGCACGUACACCUGUUCCAUUCCACAGCUGUAAUAGUUCUUCAACUAAUGGCCUUAGGUACACAUCAAUGUCGUUGCCGGGUUGCUUAGGUCCUUGGAUGAGCACUGGCAUCAUAAUGAACUUCCGCUUCAUGCACAACCAAGGAGGAAGGUUAUACAAACAUAGAGUCACAGGCCAGGUGCUAUGGUUGCUACUCUGCUCCCCAAGAGGAUUAAUGCCAUCUGUGCUUAGACCAAACCAUACGUUCCUUGGGUCACCUGCAAACUCCUCACUGUACUUUCUCUCGAUUUUUCUCCACUGCGAACCGUCAACGGGUACUCUCAACUUUCUGUCUUUCUUACGGUCUUCUCUGUGCCACCGCAUCGCCUUCGCAUGCUCUUUGUUUUGGAACAAACGUUUCAACUGUGGUAUUAUAGGAGCAUUCCACAUCACCUUGGCAGGAAUCUUCUUCCUGGGGCGCUCGCCCUCGACAUCACCAGGGUCAUCGCGACUGAUCUUAUAACGCAAUGCACCACAUACCGGGCAAGCGUUCAAAUCCUCGUACUCACCGCGGUAGAGGAUGCAGUCAUUAGGGCAUGCAUGUAUCUUCUGCACCUCUAACCCUAGAGGGCAGACAAACUUCUUUGCUUCAUACGUACUCUCGGGGAAUUCAUUGUCCUUUGGAAGCAUAUUCUUUAUCAUUACCAGCAACUUUCCAAAUCCCUUGUCAGAUACACCAUUCUUUGCCUUCCAUUGCAGCAAUUCUAGUGUGGUGCCCAACUUUUUUUUGUCAGCUUCGCAAUUCGGGUACAACAAUUUCUUGUGAUCCUCUAACAUGCGUUGUAACUUCUUCUUCUCCAAAUCACUUGCGCAGUUUCUCUUUGCAUCGGCAAUGGCCCGACCUAGAUCAUCAACGGGCUCAUCUGAUGCCUCUUCUUCAGCUUCUUCCCGCAUUGCCGGCUCAGCUUCUUCCCCCAUUGUUGUAUCAUCAUAUUCAGGGAAACCAUGGCCAGGAUAGCUGUCGUCGUCCUCUUCUUCUUCAUUGUCUUCCAUCAUAACCCUCUUUCUCCGUGCUUGGUCCAAAAAUUAUAGUGGGGCAUUAAACCGGACUCAAAUAGGUGGACGUGAAUGGUUCUUGACGUAGAGUAAUUGUGACCAUUCUUAUAGCCAGCACAUGGACAAGGCAUAAAACCAUCCGCCCGCUUGUUUUCCUGAGCGGCAAGCAGAAAAGUAUGCACGCCAUUAAUGAAUUCGGGAGAGCAUUGGUCAUCAUACAUCCAUUGUCAGCUCAUCUUCAUUACACAACACCGAAUAGACAAAAGUAAUACAAGUUCAUACAUAAAGUUCAUAUACAACACUUAAUUAAAUGCAACAUACAAAUAACUCUCUAGUUAAAGAAUUUAAAUGCAACAACAAAUGCGAUCAAGAUCGCAACGAAGGUAACAAUUGAUCCAACAACAUAAUGAUACCAAGCCACACUAUCAAUGGCAUAUUUUCUAAUCUUUCUAAUCUUCAAUUUUCUCCAUCUUGAUCUUGUGAUCAUCGACGACAUCGGCAACAUGCAACUCCAAUUCCAUCUUCUCCCCCUCAAUUCUUUUCAAUUUUUCUUUCAAAUACUCGUUUUCUCUUUCAACUAAAUUUAACCUCUCGACAAUAGGGUUGGUUGGAAUUUCUGGUUCACAUACCUCCUAGAUAAAAAUAUCUAUGUCAAUUUGAUGGGCAUAAUUUGUCAUAAACACGAAAUGCAACAACUAGUUUUAAAAUAAAAUAUACCACAUCCGAAUCAUAACAAGGACGAGGGCCGACAGGGACGGAUAUCAAAACCAUGGCACUAUGUAUAACAAACAACGUACGGGUAAGAUAAUUAUACGAGUAACUAUAUAUCCAAAUCACACAAACAUCAAUUUGGUAAUGUAAAACAUUCAUGAACAAGAGCCUCACCACAAGGUGGUGCCGGCGACGGGACGGUGCGGGCGAUCGACAGUGGUUACGACGGAGAUUUAGAAGGCACUAAGUAAACCACACCUACCUAUGCAAACUAAGUGUUAUUUUUGACCUCAAAUUGCAUAUAAAUCAAAUACUAGCACAUAUAAUUCCUCCCAAAUUAAAACUCACAGAUUAAUCACUAUACAAAGCAUUGCAAGAGCUAAUCUAGCAAUGAGAGAUGAAAGGACAAAGUUGCUAACCUUUGUGAUCAUUUGAAUGGAUGGGGGCCUUCAAAUCUUGACAAAUUUUGAGCAAAAUGUGUAAUGAGAUCGAGGAAGAGAGGAGAAGAACAAAGGGGGAGAGGGGAAAGGGGAAGAACAAAGAGAGCUCAGGUGGACCAAGGGUUUAUGUACGACGACCUCUUUCGUGCCACGAACUGGUACUAAAGGUGCUGGAGGAGCCCCAGACUGACAACAUCCUGCCACCACUCUCUUUAGUACCGGUUCGUGGCACGAACCGGUGCUAAAGGUUCGCCACAAACCGGUACUAAUGACAGCGGCCGUCUAGCCGUUGGAACCGGCACUAAUGGACACAUUAGUGCCGGCUCAAAAUCAAACCAGCACUAAUGUGCUUCACAUUUGACCCUUUUUCUACUAGUGAAGGGAAAUAGAUGAAGUAUUCUUUAAACAAGGACCUAUUUUUAAACACAACUUGCCUGUUGAAAUCCUAGGGGAUCCUCCUCCACCCAAGGGUGAUCUCGUGUUUGAGCUUAAACCAUUACCCGAUACUCUUAAAUAUGCUUAUCUUGAUGAAAAGAAGAUAUAUCCUGUUAUUAUUAGUGCUAACCUUUCAGAGCAUGAAGAAGAGAAAUUAUUGAAAACUCUGAAGAAGCACCGUGCUGCUAUUGGAUAUACUCUUGAUGAUCUUAAGGGCAUUAGUUCCACUCUAUGCUAGCACAAAAUAAAGCUGGAGAAAGAUGCUAAACCAGUUGUUGAUCACCAACGAUGGUUAAAUCCUAAGAUGAAAGAAGUGGUAAGAAAUGAAAUACUAAAGCUUUUGGAGGCAGGUAUAAUGUUUCCUGUUGCUGAUAGUCACUUGGUAUGUCCUGUCCGUUGUGUCCCUAAGAAAGGAGGUAUUACUAUUGUUCCUAAUGAUAAGGAUGAAUUGAUCCCACAAAGAAUUGUUACAGGUUAUAGAAUGGUAAUUGAUUUCCGUAAAUUAAAUAAAGCUACUAGAAAAGAUCAUUACCCUCUACCUUUUAUUGAUCAAAUGCUAGAAAUACUAUCCAAACACACACAUUUUUUUCUUUCUAGAUGGUUAUUCAGGUUUCUCUCAAAUACUUGUGUCAAAAGAGGAUCAGGAUAAGACCACUUUUACUUGCCCUUUCGGUACCUUUGCUUAUAGAUGUAUGCCUUUUGGUUUAUGUAAUGCACCUGCUACCUUUCAAAGAUGUAUGACUGCUAUAUUCUCUGACUUUAGUGAAAAGAUUGUUGAGGUUUUCAUGGAUGAUUUCUCCGUGUAUGGAACUUCCUUUGAUGAUUGCUUAAGCAACCUUGGUUGAUUCUUGCAGAGAUGUGAAGAAACUAAUCUUGUCUUGAACUGGGAGAAGUGCCACUUUAUGGUUAAUGAAGGUAUUGUCUUGGGGCAUAAAAUUUCUAAAAGAGGUAUUGAAGUUGAUAAAUCUAAAGUUGAUGCUAUUGAAAAGAUGCCGUGUCCUAAGGACAUCAAAGGUAUAUCCUUGCUCAUGCCGGUUUUUAUAGGAGGUUCAUUAAAGACUUCUCAAAAAUUUCUAGACCUCUCACUAAUCUCUUACAAAAAGAUGUUCCUUUUGUCUUUGAUGAUGAUUGUGCAGAAGCAUUUGAAAUACUUAAGAAAGCCUUGAUUUCUGCACCUAUUGUUCAGCCACCUGAUUGGAAUUUACCCUUUGAAAUCAUGUGCGAUGCUAGCGAUUAUGCUGUAGGUGCUGUUCUAGGACAAAGAGUUGACAAGAAAUUAAAUGUUAUCCAAUAUGCUAGUAAAACCCUAGACAGUGCCUAGAGAAAUUAUGCUACUACUGAGAUAGAAUUUUUAGCGGUUGUAUUUGCUUGUGAUAAGUUCAGAACUUAUAUUUUUGAUUCCAAAGUAACUGUUCAGACUUAUCAUGUUGUUAUUAAAUAGCUUAUGGAAAAGAAAGAUGCUAAACCUAGACUUAUUAGAUGAGUUCUCUUGCUACAAGAAUUUGAUUUGCAUAUUAUUGAUAGAAAGGGAGCUGAGAACCCCAUUGCAGACAACUUGUCUAGGUUACAGAGUAUUCUUGAUGACCCACUACCUAUUGAUGGUAGCUUUCCUCAUGAAAAAUUAGUUGUCAUAAAUGCUUCUCACACUGCUCCAUGGUAUGCUGGUUAUGCUAAUUACAUUGUUGCUAAAUUUAUACCACCUAGUUUCACAUACCAACAGAAGAAAAAGUUUUUCUAUGAUUUAAGACAUUACUUUUGGGAUGACCCACACCUUUAUAAAGAAGGAGUAGAUGGUGUUAUUAGAUGUUGUGCACCUGGGCAUGAAAAGGAACAAAUCCUACGCAAGUGUCCACUACUAGGGAAAAGCCUAGCAGUUGCGCUGGUUUUUGGCCUAUCUGUAGCGCGUGUAAGCGCGCUACUGAUACGAUGCUACAGCUAAAGUUUAGAAGUAGCGCCUACUGGCACUCGCUACUGCUAUAUCUACUUAGUAGUAGCGCUUUCCAAAACAAUUGCUACUACUAAUUACUGGUAGCGCUUUCGAAAACAACCACUACUACUAUUAUUUUGUAUUCUAUUUCUUUUGAAUUUUAGGUCGUAUUUAUACACCUCUUUAUACAAUUUUUCAUACAAUAGCAAUUUAGAGAUUGUUUUUACAUUAUAAUGAGUUAUUAAAUCACUAGGUGAAAGUACCUUGGAUUAGUUUCAAGUGCAUGGAUCCAAAGUAACCAAUGGUCACUUUGGAUCCAUCCGUUUGAAACUAAUCUGCGGUUCUUUCACCCAAUGACAUAAUAAUUUAUCAUCAUCAUCAUCAUCAUCAUCAUAAUAUCAUUAACAACUUAUCAUCAUAAUAUAUCAUUGUCAUAUAACUCCUCAUAAUCAUCAUUUUCGUCCAUGAGACAUCAUAUAACAACUUGGUCACCAGUUAUAAUAACAACUCCUCCUCCUCAUCAUCAUAGUACUCAUAAUCACUACUCCUACUCAGCAUCACCACCAAGUCUAAGACAUUGUAGUCAUAUAUAAUCAACACUAACUAAUUAUUUUAAUACUUAGGACCCACUCCUCUCUCCUAGCUAAAAUACCAUAAAACAGAUAAACCGGUCCUUCACCAUAAUGGAGAAUGGACAUAAACCUAUCUCCAACUUGUGGCUUGUGCACAUUCAUUUUGUCUCCAAUUAUUUGCAUGCGUGCAUUCAUCACUUUGCUCCAUUCUUUGAUUUUGAGCCUUCCAUCAUUUGAAGAAAUCAAGUAUGCAGUAUGGUAAGCCUUCGAAGGAGUUGGUCGUAAGCUAACCAUAUGCAUAUCACCUUUGGCAAAUAGCAUGUCAGGCACAACCUGCUUCGGGAGCCUCUGUUCAAAAACGUAAUAGUAACAUAUAUAGUUAGCAAUGUAGUUUAUUUAAGAACAAUGUAUGCAAUGAAGUUACCAUCAUUAACAAAAUCUUACCAAGUUUUUGGCAAUGAAGUUACCGUCAAGCAAUUUAUGGACUAGUGGCACGUAUCAAGUAUAAUUUGGUCUGAUAGAGUGACUUGUUUUGAAGGCCUCAACAUCUUCUAUGAGCGAGACAUGAUAACUUUUCUCCUCACAAUUAAACUUGGAGUCAUAGAUGUAGUAUGUGUUGUCUACUACCUUUCGAGUAUUUCUUGAAGAGAAGAAAUAAGCUGAAAAUUAUAAAUAAAUAAGUUUAGUACGGACGAACACCAAAUAUUUUUAAAUUAACAACAUAAAUUACUGAACUUAACAAAUUAGUUUGACAAACUCACAUCUAGGCAAAACUGGAGGCAUAUCCACAUCCACCCAGAUGUCGAUAUCAUCAUCAUCAUCAUCAUCUUCGGGACGAAUAUCAAAUCUUAUUCGCAUUCCCUCCUCAAAUACAUAUGCCUUGCAGAGAGCUUCCCAAUUAGAGCAACCGAAAUGGGAGCUUAACUAGAAACUCAUAACCAUGUUUAGUUCUUAAGUGAGCCCUCCUCGUCUCCACAUUCUCAAACUCAUCUAAACCAAAACCAAGCUUCUCCACUACAUAUGGUCUAGCAUGGCACGGGGUGUACUAAUCAAAUUGAAAAAAAUCCAUAAAUUACACGUUGAACAAAAGAAGCACAGGUGAUGAUAUUAAUUAUGAUAAAAUGCUUAUCGUUGCAUAUCGUACAAACAUCAAAGGUCUCUUCCAGCUUCACGGUGAAAAACCUAUCAUUUUGCAGGUGAGGCAACCUAUCGCACACACCCCGGUCAUCGUAGCAGUACCCGCACUCCGGGAUCCCAUCGUCAUUAGACAUCUCCUGUGUUCAAAAUUCAAAGAUUAUAACUCGACAGCAAAACCCAAAAAAUCCAGCAUGACCUUUGCUAAAAAAGGACAUAUUGAGCACCUGAAAUUUGCCGGAACGGAAAUUAAUCAACACUUCGGCAAAACAUAGGCCACUUAUCGAUGGUCAUUGCAUUUCAAUGGUUGAAAAUAUGAGCAAAAACAUUUGAAAAUAUCUUAUAUAUAAUCCUAACACUAAAUAAACUAGUUUAUUAAAUACUUACUAAAUAAACUAGUUUUAUUAAAUACUUACUAAAUAAACUAGUUCUAUUAAGCACUUACUAUCAGUAAACUAGCUCUAUUAAGCAAUUACUAAAUAAACUAGUUCUAUUAAGCACUUAAUAUAAAUAAACUAGUUAUAUUAAUCACUUACUAAAUAAACUAUUCCUAUUAAACACUUGCUAAAAAUUCUACUACCCUAGUUCUACCCUAAAUUUUCUUACUUCUUUUUUAUUCAAAACACCAAAAAUAGUCAAAAAAAUUAUCUAUUAAAAAACCUACAGUCUAUGAUGUCUACAUUCUAAAAUCUACAUUUAAAUUACCUACAAUUUGCAGGAACAGAGACAAGGGAGNNNNNNNNNNNNNNNNNNNNNNNNNNNNNNNNNNNNNNNNNNNNNNNNNNNNNNNNNNNNNNNNNNNNNNNNNNNNNNNNNNNNNNNNNNNNNNNNNNNNNNNNNNNNNNNNNNNNNNNNNNNNNNNNNNNNNNNNNNNNNNNNNNNNNNNNNNNNNNNNNNNNNNNNNNNNNNNNNNNNNNNNNNNNNNNNNNNNNNNNNNNNNNNNNNNNNNNNNNNNNNNNNNNNNNNNNNNNNNNNNNNNNNNNNNNNNNNNNNNNNNNNNNNNNNNNNNNNNNNNNNNNNNNNNNNNNNNNNNNNNNNNNNNNNNNNNNNNNNNNNNNNNGGGGCGGGGGGAGGAGGAUGAGGGAGGGGCGAUGGGAGGAGGUCUGCCGGCAAAGGAGGGAGGAGGGGAUGGCCGGAGGAGGAGGGAGGAGGGCGCGGUAGGAGGAGGAGGGAGGAGGGCACGGUGGGAGGAGGAGGAGGUAGGGAAGGAGGGAGUACCUUGGUGGCGGACGAACGACGGCGGCGGCGCCGACGGACGAUGGGUAUCGGCACGGGCGAGAGUGACUGAGAGGGAGAGUGACUGAGAGAGGGUCUGAUACGUCUCCAACGUAUCUAUAUUGUUUUUAUUGUUCCAUGCUAUUAUAUUACCCGUUUUGGAUCUUUAUGGGCUUUACUUUACACAUUUAUAUCAUUUUUGGGACUAACCUAAUAACCGGAGGCCCAGCCCGUAUUGCUGUUUUUUGGCCUAUUUCUGUGUUUCUAAGAAAAGGAAUACCAAACGGAGUCCAAACGGAAUGAAACCUUCGGGAGCGUGAUUUUUGGAACAAACGUGAUCCAGAGGACUUGGAGUGCAAGUCAAGAAGCAAUCGAGGAAGCCACGAGGGUGGAGGGCACGCCCCACCCCCAACUAGAGGAGGCCCCUAUCUCAUGGGCCCCUUGGGUGUCCACCGACCUACUUCUUCCUCCUAUAUAUACCCACGUACCCCGAGAACAUCAAAGGCGACCACGAAAAACUAUUUCCACCACCGUAACCUUCUGUAUCCGCGAGAUCCCAUCUUGGAGCCUUCGCCGGUGCUCCGCCGGAGGGGGAGUCAACCACAGAGGGCUUCUACAUCAACACCAUAGCCUCUCCGAUGAGUUGUGAGUAGUUUACCAUAGACCUUCGGGUCCAUAGUUAUUAGCUAGGUGGCUUCUUCUCUCUCUUUGAAUCUCAAUACCAUGGUCUCCUCGAUCUUCUUGGAGAUCUAUUCGAUGUAACUCUUUUUGCGGUGUGUUUGUCGAGAUCCGAUGAAUUGUGGGUUUAUGAUCAAGUUUAUCUAUGAGAAAUAUUUGAAUCUCCUCUGAAUUAUUUUAUGUGUGAUUAAGUUAUCUUUGCAAGUCUCUUCAAAUUAUUAGUUUGGUUUGGCCUACUAGAUUGAUCUUUCUUGCAAUGGGAGAAGUGCUUAGCUUUGGGUUCAAUCUUGCGUGUCCUUUCCCAGUGAUAGCAAGGGCAGUAAGGCACGUAUUGUAUUGUUGCCAUCGAGGAUAGAAAGAUGGGGUUUAUAUCAUAUUGCAUGAGUUUAUCCCUCUACAUCAUGUCAUCUUUCUUAAUGCGUUACUCUGUUCUUAUGAACCUAAUACUCUAGAUGCAUGGUGGAUAGCGGCCGAUGUGUGGAGUAAUAGUAGUAGAUGCAGGCAGGAGUCGGUCUACUUGUCACGGACGUGAUGCCUAUAUACAUGAUCAUGCCUAGAUAAUCUCAUAAUUAUUCGCUUUUCUAUCAAUUGCUCGAUAGUAAUUUGUUCACCCACUAUAAUACUUAUGCUAUCUUGAGAGAAGCCACUAGUGAAACCUAUGGCCCCUGGGUCUAUCUUUUAUCAUAUAAGCUUUCAAUCUAAUUUUAUUUGCAUAUUUACUUUUCCAAUCUAUAUCAUAAAAAUACCAAAAAUAUAUUUAUCUUAUCAUUUUAUCUCUACCAGAUCUCACUUUCGCAAGUGGCCUUGAAGGGAUUGACAACCCCUUUAUUGCGUUGGUUGCGAGUUCUUGUUUGUUUGUGUAGGUGCGUGGGACUUUUUAGAAGCCUCCUACUGGAUUGAUACCUUGGUUCUCAAAAAUUGAGGGAAAUACUUAUGCUACUAUUGUUGCAUCACCCUUUCCUCUUCAAGGAAAACCAAUGCAAGCUCAAGACGUAGCAAGGUCGGCCGCGUGGGGGGGGGGGGGAUAAGGUAGGGUGAGUAGUCGCGCGGGUCCGAUAAAAGCGCUAUAGCUAAGGAGAAUAGCAGUAGCGCUGUGCAAGGUUACACGCUAUUGCUAAGUUGGGCUAGCCAUGUGCGCCCAGUUCAGACAUAGCAGCAAUGCUUUUUGCUAGUACGCGCUACUGCUAAAGUUAUAGCAGUAGCGCGGUUUGUUUAUACGCGCUGCUACUAAGUAGCAGUAGCGCAUGAUUUUGUCCAGCGCUACUGUUAAGAUGUUGUGUAUAAGGUUUUCCCUAGUAGUGGUCACUCAGGGGCAUAUGGAGGACAUCACGCGGGAGAUAGAACUGCACAUAUGGUAUUGCAAUCCGGUUUUUAUUGGCCUACUCUCUUCAAAGAUCCCCAUAAGUUUGUCUUGUCUUGCGAUGGAUGUCAAAGAAUUGGUAAUAUUAGUAGAUGUCAAGAAAUGCCUAUGAACUAUUCACUUGUUAUUGAAAUGUUUGGGGCUUCGAUUAUAUGGGACCUUUUUCCUUCCUCCAAUGGGUAUACACAUAUUUUAGUUGUUGUUUAUUGCAUUACUAAGUGGGUAGAAGCUAUUGCAACUAGUAGUGCUGAUCAUAACACUUCUAUUAUGAUGCUUAAAGAAGUUAUUUUUCCGAGGUUUGGAGUCCCUAGAUAUUUAAUGACUGAUGGUGGUUCACAUUUUAUUCAUGGUGCUUUUCAUAAAAUGCUUGCUAAGUAUGAUGUUAAUCAUAUAAUUGCAUCUCCAUACCAUCCACAAUCUAGUGGUCAAGUAGAACUGAGUAAUAGAGAGAUUAAAUUAAUUUUGCAAAAGACUGUUAAUAGAUCUAGAAAGAAUUGGUCCAAGAAACUUGAUGAUGCAUUAUGGGCCUAUAGAACCGCAUAUAAAAAUCCUAUGGGUAUGUCUCCGUAUAAAAUGGUUUAUGGAAAAGCAUGUCACUUACCUGUCAAACUAGAACAUAAGGUAUAUUGGGCCAUUAAAGAGCUCAAUUAUGAUUUCAAACUUGCCGGUGAGAAGAGACUAUUUGACAUUAGCUCACUUGAUGAAUGGAGAACCCAGGCCUAUGAGAACGCCAAACUAUUUAAAGAAAAAGUUAAAAGAUGGCAUGGCAAAAGGAUACAAAAGCAUGAGUUUAUUGUAGGUGAUUAUGUUUUGCUAUACAACACUCGUUUAAAAUUUUUUGCAGGAAAACUUCUCUCCAAAUGGGAAGGUCCUUACAUUAUCGAGGAGGUCUAUUGUUCCGGUGCCAUAAAAAUUAACAAUACCGAAGGCACAAAUCCGAAGGUGGUGAACGGUCAAAGAAUCAAACAUUAUAUCUCAGGUAAUCCCAUAAAUGUUGAAACCAAUGUUAUUGACACCGUAACCCCACAGGAGUACAUAAGGGACACUUUCCAGAAUGUUUCAGACUCCAAAAAGGAAUAGGUAUGUGGUACGGUAAGUAAACCGACUCCAAAACAGUUCUAAUAGCAACUUUUCUCCGUUUUGAAAUAUUUUAAAAAAUAGGAAAAUAAGAAGUAGUCCGAAAGGGACAUGAAACAUCCACAAGGGUGGAGGGCACACCCUACCCCCUGGGCACGCCCCUGCCUCGUGGACACAUGUGCCCUCCGGACUCCAUUUUCUUGCAUGAUACUUCUUGUUAGGGAUAUAACUAUUUGUGUAAGCCGCCCAGGAGGGGCCGGGUUACGCAAAGAGACUCUCCAGAAAGAAGCCCAAGACCAAAGCAUGAAGAUGGCGGUUCAAUAGAGGGCUUAAGGCCCACAGGCGACUUAAGGCCCGUUGUAGUAAACCGCCACAGUAGCAUGACUUGUAUCAUAAGGUAGACUUAACUAGUCACCGAGCCGGACACUAUUUAUAAGCCGACCGGGACUCUGUAAGCCGCAGGGCAUCAACCCGUGUAUAUAAGGGGACGACCUAUUGGCGGCUUAGGGCCAGAAACAACUCAUCGAGAGCCGGGCAUAGCGUAUCUCGCUCCCUGGUCAUCGAAACAUCAAUACCAACCCAACUAGACGUAGGCUUUACCUUCACCGUAAGGGGCCGAACUAGUAUAAAACCUCUCGUGUCCUUUGUCCUGAUUAACCCCUUCAAGCUUCCUAGUUGCGGUGGCUCCACAACGAAGUCCUUUCACGAGGACAUCUGACGUGACAAUUCCAUGACAGUUGGCGCCCACCAUGGGGCCAGCGCAUGGUGGAUUUGAGUUCUUGAAGGGCAACUUCGAAGGGCUCAAGGGAUACGUAAUGGGUCGGAUGACCAAGAGUCGUCGCGGCAAGAUCUACAUCGAUGACGAAGGCUGGGGCCCCGACGCCGACUCAAUUGAGUACGGGUACCGGGUCCCCUUCGGCGGAAUCCACGUCUUCAUCGACCGGGUCAGAGAGCUGGGACCUGAGCCGGACAGCGGCACCGACUUCAUCGAGACGGCUCAGCGUGCGAGGAAGACCCGAGCUCAACCCAUCAUGAAGUGUGCUUUCGUGGGUUGCAUCCACGGAGAGGAACUUUCUAAAGGAUCUGAAGAUGAUGGUGAGACGGCUGUCCUCUCAGAUGGUGAUUCGUCCGCUGGUUCAACAGAUUUGUUGUAUCAGGUGCAAGACGGCGUGCUCGGGGGCUGUUCCCAUGGCAUCAGUAUUCCGGACCCCUAUGAGCCGCCAAGAUGGGCAGGAAUCUUCAUGGCUGGAAGUCAGCCCGGCUCUAACUCUACGGCUGCUGCAGCAAUAACAUCCGGAAUAGGGACAGCCGGGGCAGGUGGCCCUGUGCGCCCGCCGGCUCAGGUGCUGAUAGACCUCAUGGACAAGCUUACGACCCUGUUAACCACCACGGUAAUCCCUGCGAACAAAGAUGAGCAUGACGCGGAGGUGGCACGGGUGCGGGAGGAGAUAGCUCAGGCCAAGGAGGCCUUGGCAGCUGAGGAUACUAGACUAGCUACAGAGCGGGUGGCUCUCGACGCCCGGGCACAUCAGUUGUAGUCAGAAGCUUACCAUCUCACGAUGAGCUUAAACGCGUCCAAUGAGGUAAUGAGAAGGAGACACCAGAAAACCCAAUCCCGUUUGCCUCCGAAUUACGACUCUCGGGUUCUUUUCGCUACACCCGGAGCCGGCCCAAGUAAACCGCCAGAUACCAAUCAGUUUAUGACAGCCGGAGGAGGAGGACCGGCUCAGCCUCGAGAGAUGCCACCUCCUCAUGUGAGCAUGGCACCACCGCGUUAUGUGCCGAUACCGGAGGGUCACUUUUCCAACCCCAUGGAGAACUUAAUCGCGGCUUCGGCGCGCUUGGCGGCUCUGCCCAUGGACGGUGAUGACCCGACAGCGGUGGAGACCUGGAGGGUCAGAGAGCUUCUCCAGACGGCCCUGGCUCAGCAAGAUACCUAUUCUUACAACAGGGACAUGAUUCAUUCAACUCCUACGCCUUGGUUAGCACCGCCUCGUCAAAACCGGAGCCCGAGUUACAGCAGGCACAUUGUCGGUGUCAAAACCGGCGGAUCUCGGGUAGGGGGUCCCGAACUGUGCGUCUAGGCGGAUGGUAACAGGAGACAAGGGACACGAUGUUUUACCCUGGUUCGGGCCCUCUUGAUGGAGGUAAAACCCUACGUUCUACUUGAUUGAUAUUGAUAUUAUGGAUGUUUACAAGAGUGGAUCUACCACGAGAUCAAGGAGGCUAAACCCUAGAAGCUAGCCUAUGGUAUGAUUGUAAGGGUUGUUGUUGUUGUUCUAUGGACUAGAGCCAUCCGGUUUAUAUAGACACCGGAGAGGGCUAGGGUUACAUAGAGUCGGUUACAAUGGUAGGAGAUCUACGUAUCUGUAUCGCCAAGAUUGCCUUCCACGCCAAGGAAAGUCCCAUCCGGACACGGGACGAAGUCUUCAAUCUUGUAUCUUCAUAGUCUUGGAGUCCGGUCGAUGAUGAUAGUCCGGCCGAUGAUAGUUCGGCUGAUGAUGGUAGUCCGGCUAUCCGGACACCCCCUAAUCCAGGACUCCCUCAGUAGCCCCUGAACCAGGCUUCAAUGAUGAUAAGUCCGGCGCGUAUAUUGCUUGGCAUUGCAAGGCGGGUUCCUCCUCCGAAUGAUAGAAGAUUGUGAACACCAGGAUAGUGUCUGGCUCUGCAAAAUAAAUUCCACAUUCCAUCGUAGAGAGAAUAAUAUAUACACAAGUUCAAUCUGCUGACGUUUUUUGCGGCAUGUCGUCACGCCACUACCAAGCCAUUACUUGAAUCGUUUUUUACUCCACCACGUCAGCGCAUUUAGCGAAGCGGUUUCCUUGGCACAUCUCGUCGAAGCAGAGAUCGUGUUCCCCCUUAAUCCGGGAUUCUCAUCAAUACGGACGUGGGUAACCCAACCGCGCCAUUGAUGGUGACGCUUGGGGGAUAAGCGAGUUUUACCAGGCCGGUGGGGGACGUGUAGACUUCGCCCGCCCAUAUAAGGGAUAAGGAUUCACCUUUUCACCUAUGCCUUCUUCCUCCUUUGCUUAUCCAUCUCCGCACACUCGAGCUCCAGCGCCCAAGCCCGCACAUCCCGUCUCAACCUUCCCUAGUUAUGUCCGGAGCGGGAGGCAAGUGGAUGACCUCCUCCGUUACGGAGGAGCACAUCGAAAGACUGCGCAGCGCCGGCUACCUGUCCGGCGACAUUGCGCACCGGCUGCCCGACGAGGAGCAGCUCAUCCCCACCCCCAGGCCCCAUGAGAGGGUCGUUUUUCUUCCCCACUUCCUCCGCGGACUGGGUUUUCCACUUCAGCCCUUUGUCUGGGGGCUCAUGUUCUACUACGGCCUGGAUUUCCAUGAUCUGGCGCCGAACUUCAUCCUCAACACCUCGGCGUUUAUCGUCGUGUGCGAGGCCUUCCUCUGCAUCCAGCCCCACUUCGGCUUGUGGCUCAAGACCUUCAAUGUCAAGCCGAAGGUAGUGAAGGGCACUCAAGCGGAGUGCGGAGGCGCCAUGUUGGGCAAGAUGCCCAAUGUCCUUUGGUUUGAAGGGGCCUUCGUGGAAUCCGUCAAGGGGUGGCAAUCGGGGUGGUUCUAUAUCACCGAGCCGCGUGACCCUAAGUGGGCGGCGGCCCCCGAGUUUAGAUUUGGUAUCCCCAUGCAGCUCACCUCCUGGAAAGAGAAGGGCUUGCUAUGGGGUAGUUCGGAGGAGGUGACGGGACUCCAAGCCUGUAUCCAGAAGCUGGUGAAGAAGCUCAGGCUGGUUAACAUGGUCCAAGUCAUGCUCGUCCGCCGGAUUCUCCCAUGCCAAGAGCGGGCAUUCAAUCUGUGGGAGUUCAAUCCGGAACAGCACCAGGCGCUGAGCGGGCUCUUCGACACGACGUACGAAGGCGCCUGGAGGGUGCUGUUUAAGGGCGCCGAAGCCCCCGCAUCCACGACUGAAGAUCGCGAAUUUCGCUCGCAGCGCCAAGCCAACGAGGUAACUGAUUCUACCCCUUUACGGGACACUUGAUUUUCAUAGUUUGAUUCUAUGCGGGUUUUAAUUUCCCCUUUUCCUUUGACAGGACUGGAUGAGGAAGGCGGAGCAGAUUAUCUGCCCGGCUCCUAUGCCAGAAAACCCAGUAGACGCCCAUCUAGCGAGGCUGCUGGUUCCGGCACCGCACGUGGUGCCGGAGAAGAAGGCCAAGAAGGAGGCCACGGGUGCUCGAAAGAGUUCCUGUUUUCAGGUGUCCGACGACUCCGGGGCGGACUCCUCCCCCGAAAACGAGGAGGAGAAAGAGGACUCUCUCCCAGAGGAGGGAGAGAGGAAGAGGAAGGCUUCCCCAACAGGGGAGGCCGAAGGGUCCAAGAGGGGAAGGACUAUUCCCCCGGACAGCUCUGCCCACAUCAACGUUGGCGAGGAAGAAUGGCCUUCAAGGGCCAGGCCUCCGGCGAGAUCGUAAGUAUCCGGAUUCCUGAAUGAUUUAUAAUUUAUUUUUCUGCGUCACAUAGUGUCAUUCUGAUGCCGCAUGUUGCCUGUAGUCCGGCCAAUGAUGAUCUCCCCGCUUCAUCGAGCGGGUCGUUGGCUCCGUCGGAUGUAGACUCCAUCCUGACCGCCUUCACCCCUCGCGACACCGAGGAAGCCGAGGUGGGAUCCCAAGAAGGGACCCAUCAGGGGGAGGCUCCGGAGGCGCCACAAGGCAGCCUCCCGGACUUUGCGCCGGACUCCACAUCAGAACUCGCAGUGGUUCCGGAGUCCGGCCGGCGGCCCCUUCGCACGAAGGGAAAGACCGUGAUGCCGGCGGCUUCCGUCGAACCGGAGGCGCCGGACAAUUUGUUGGAGGCGCUCCAGAGCGCUUCCAUCGAGGAAGAACACCGCACUAUUAUGAGUGCGGUGAUUCAGAAGGUACAGCUUGCCAAGAGCGGGCUGACCGAAGCCUGCAGCAGCCUUCUAUCAGGCUUUGAGGUAAGAAGAUUAAAAUAUGCAAUGUAAUACCGCAUAGACAGUAGCCCCUGAUGCUCGGUUCGGUGUUCAAAAAGAAAAGCCGGACUGAGGAUCUGAAAAAAAAGAAGAUAUACGCAGGGUUGCUAAAAAAUUAUGUCAAUAUGGGUUGCAGGUUGCGCUGCUGACCUCUGCCGCACUGACUACGGAGGUCGGUGCUUUGAAGCAGGAGCUCGAGCGGUCCGAGCAAGACCUCGGCUGCGCCAAGAAGCAGAUCCAGGACAAAGAAGGUGAGUAACACCACUUUGAACUUGUACCUUACAGAAAAGGAUUUAGGUUGCAACAAAAAAUAACAAGGAUAACAUGGGUACUGCAGGGGCCACGAACGAGGUGGCGACCCUGAAGGAGGCCGUGUCUGCGGACGAACGCAAUGCGGCCGCGGAACGGGCAGAGCGAGAAAAGCAAGAGGCGCAGGUGGCGGUGGUUCAGCAAGAGCUCCAGGCUCUCAUGGAAAAGCAUGAGAGUUUGGAGCGUGACUCAAAGACUCGAGAGUCCGAGCUUGCCUCGGCUCUCGAAAGUGCCAAGACUGCCAAGGCCGAUGCCCAUAAGUCCCUUCAGGAGAUUGAGUUGGUGAGGAAGAUAGCGGCAGGUAAGGCAUUUUUCAUGCAAAGCAAGCAUGUGAAUGUAAAUUACGUGUUACUUACCCGAAUUCGGAGCUCUCCAGGGGCGUUUGCAGAUCUGCCUCGCAGCGUGUCUGAUGCCGCCGCAUUCUACCGAGCCGAGGAGGGGAGCUGAACGGAGAAGGUCUUCUGGUCUCAGUAUGCUGAGGCCGGCCAUCCGGUGGCCCCUAGCGACCAGCUGAAGCAGCUGGUCGAGCUCCACAAGGCGGCCGAGCAGGCCAUGAAGGGCCUCAUAGUCCGGCUGUGGCCUGGAGAGGCCAUGCCUGGGAGCUACUUUGGCCUCGUGCGACGGUUGUUGGAUGCGUGCCCCUGGGUGGAGGUUAUCAAGCGCUCCGCCUGUAUUAAAGGUGCUCGUCGGGCCCUUGCCCGCGCAAAGGUGCAUUGGGGCAAGAUGGAUGCGGAGAAGCUAAUCACUGACGCACCACCAGUGGGCAAGGAAUAUCGUACGCCCGAGAUGUACUAUAAGACUAUUCUGAAGGGUGCCCGCAAGAUUGCGGAUGAGUGCCCCAGGGAUGUAAUUAUUGAGUAAAUUCGCAAUGUGUUAUCCUGUGCGCUGAAAACUUUGUUCAUAUGCGCUAAGCAACGCUUGUUAAUUUAAAAUAUUACCUUCUGUGCGGCCGUUUAUUAAAUCUGAGAGAUAGCAAGUCGUCGGCUUCAGCCCCCAUGCCACGAGUGCUGGGGUGUUCGGGAUAAACUUGAGCACUCUUGUUCCCAUUUUUGGGUCCAUCUAGGGAGGCGCUCAACACAACGAACAAGGCAAUCGGACUUAUAGUGCUUGAACACUCUCACUUAUCCAUAGAAUUCUAUAAUUUUAAAUUUCGGCGAAGCCCCUAGUAUUCGGAAGACCGAAUUCGGGGCGCUAUCCACGCCUUCGUCGGACAUUAUCCGGAACUUUGCUCGAAGCGGCGUAGGUCUUUAAGGACCCGAAAAGACCUCUCGAACAGCGACCAGUCUCUCGCCUUAUCAUGACGGUUAGUUUUAGCUUUCUCCACUGAGGCGUUAACCCGGCUCAACCGGGGCGCAAUCGCAGUGGUUCUCCCAGUGCUACCUUAGCCGAUAGAACGGAACGUAAGGUGCCAAACUUGGGAGCCGGGCAAACCCAACUAUUGACCCAAGACAUGAUUCGGAGCCGAUUCAUAUAAUGCUAUAAGUUCGGGGUGCCGCACUUGUGAAAGUGUGCGGACUUUAUCACACCAUAAUGCGGGGAACAUAAGCCCCUGGUGUAUUUGGCCGUACCAAAAUGUACGGAUGCAACAUGUCGUAAAUGAACAUAUAUAUAUAAGGUAAUGCAAUUAUGGGCAAAAAGUGUUGAGUGUUCGUCGCGGCCUUUGUCCCUCCCUGGCUGUUGCAUCAUGAGUUCGGCAGGUUCGCCGCCGGACAGAGUUCUGUAUAAAAAAGAGAGACUUAAAAGAUAAAAAAGAGCGACACACUUGGGAGCCCCUGGUGUGGUCGAACCGCACUCUGGUUCUGUUGUGGUUGUGCCUCUCCCCCUAUGCCCAUGGUAUCUCCAGGGCGUAAUUAUGUACGCGGAGAGUUUGUCUUACAAUUGUGCGAGGGCUGGGGUUGAGGCCGCAUUGCUACGCGUGCUCGGAACGUGCCAGCUGGUCUUGGUUGAUGUUGCUCCGGGCGCGUUUGGCCGUGUCCGGUCGUUUAACGGCCGGACUCAAAAAUUGCCUUAAAAGGCUGCUCUGUACUUCUGCCGCGAGAGCCGCUGUAUGUUCCUCCGUUCGGAGGGAGCGUUCCGUGUUUCCAUUGACCGUGAUGACUCCACGAGGGCCUGGCAUCUUGAGCUUAAGGUAUGCAUAAUGCGGCACCGCGUUGAAUUUUGCGAACGCUGUUCGUCCGAGCAGAGCGUGAUAGCCACUGCAGAACGGGACUAUGUCGAAGAUUAACUCCUCGCUUCGGAAAUUAUCCGGGGAUCCGAAGACCACUUCCAGUGUGACUGAGCCUGUACAACUGGCCUCGACACCUGGUAUGAUGCCUUUGAAGGUUGUCUUUGUAGGUUUAAUCCUUGAAGGGUCUAUGCCCAUCUUGCGCACUGUAUCCUGAUAAAGCAGGUUCAGGCUACUGCCGCCGUCUAUCAGGACUCUUGUGAGGUGAAAUCCAUCGACGAUUGGGUCUAAAACCAAUGCGGCGAAUCCGCCAUGGUGGAUACUGGUCGGAUGGUCUCUUUGAUCGAAAGUGAUCGGGCAAGAGGACCAUGGGUUCAAUUUUGGGGCGACUGGCUCCAUCGCGUAAACGUCCCUUAGUGUACGCUUCCGCUCCCUCUUGGGUAUAUGCGUUGCGUAUAUCAUGUUUACCGUCUGAACUUGAGGGGGGAAUCCCUUUUGUCCUCUGUUGUUCGGCGGCCGAGUCUCUUCCUCGUCAUCACUGUGUAGCCCCUUGUCAUUGUAUUCGGCGAUUAAUUUGCCUGCCUGCUUGAAUACCCAACAAUCUCUAUUGGUGUGGUUAGCUGGCUUUUAGGGGGUUCCAUGUAUUUGAUAGGAGCGGUCGAGUAUUCGGUCCAAAUUGGACGGGCCCGGAGUGGUUCUUUUGAAUGGCUUCUUCCGUUGACCGAGCUUGGAGCCUCGGAAUCCGGCGUUGACUGCCGUAUCCUCAUUGUUGUCGUCGUUAAUGCGGUGUUUGUUUUUGUUUCGGCGCAACCUGCCGUUGCGGUCCUUGGUAUCCGGACUGCCAGUGUUUUUGCUGAGGUUGUUGCUGCGAGCUAGCCAGCUAUCCUCUCCCGCACAGAAGCGGGUCAUGAGUGAUGUGAGGGCUGCCAUGGAUUUCGGCAUUUCCAGUCCUAGGUGCCGGGCCAGCCACUCGUCGUGGAUGUUAUGUUUGAAGGCAGCGAGGGCCUCUGCAUCCGGACAGUCGACGAUUUGAUUUUUCUUUGUUAAGAACCGUGUCCAGAAUUGCCUGGCCGAUUUGUCUGGCUGCUGGAUAUGUGGCUUAGGUCAUCUGCGUCCGGUGGUCGCACAUACGUGCCCUGGAAGUUGUCGAGGAAUGCGGCUUCCAGGUCUUCCCAGCAUCCAAUUGACUCUGCGGGCAGGCUGUUAAGCCAAUGCCGAGCUGGUCCUUUAAGCUUGAGCAGGAGAUAUUUGAUGGCGUGAAGAUCGUCGCCGCGGGCCAUAUGUAUAUGGAGGAGAUAAUCCUCAAUCCAAACCGCGGGGUCUGUUGUGCCAUCGUAGGAUUCGAUAUUAAUGGGUUUAAACACUUCAGGGAUUUGAUGAUCCAUUACUUCAUCAGUGAAGCAUAGUGGGUGUGCGACGCCUCUGUAUUGAGCAAUAUCGCGACGUAGCUCGAGAGAGCGUUGUCUGCUGUGUUCGGCCCGGCCGGAGUAGUUGUAUCCGGCGCGACGGUAUUCGUCGUGGGUCUUGGGGCACCCACGUGAUCCAUAGAUAGAUUUGUAUUGUCUUGCCUUGUCCUCCAAUAUAUCCCGCAAGUCCGGCGCAUUCCCCCAUGGCUUCAUGCUUUUUGAGCGAUGCCGGGGUAUGGUUUUGGUGGAGGGCUUGCACGCCUCUUUGUCGCGGCCACGAGGUGGUCGGUCUACCGUAUUGUGCGCUGGUGAUGCAAGUUUGUAUGCUUCCUCCUCUAGUCGGGGGAGCAACUUGCGUCUUGGGUAACUUUUGGAGGGGCGUUCGAGUUCAUACUCUUCGGCCGCGAGGACCUCGGUCCAUCUGUCGGCCAGUAGGUCUUGAUCAGCUUGAAGCUGUUGCUGCUUUUUCUUUAGUCUGUUUGUCGUGGCCAUUAGCCUGCGUCUGAAACGCUCUUGCUCGACGGGAUCCUCGGGCACGACGAAUUCGUCAUCGUCGAGGCUUGCCUCGUCUCCGGAGGGAGGUAAGUAAUUAUCAUCCUCGACCUCUUCGUCUGCCGCCCUCUCGUGAGGGCUUGCUUCUGCUUCCUCCUCCACUUGAUCGUGCUGGAGGGGGUUGUCUUCGGCACUUUCUGGGGUGUUAUUGUCUCCUGUUGCGGAAUCUCUAUUCUUGCUGUGGCGGGAUUUAGAGCAGCGCCGCUGAUGCCGACGCUUGGGCUGUUUCUUUAAGGAAUCAGCCUCCGUUGCUUCUUCGCCGUCCCCAUCUUUUGGGUUGUCCACCAUAUAUAUGUCGUAUGACGAGGUGGUCUUCCAGUGUCCUGUAGGCAGUGGUUCUUGAUAGUCUCCGGCAUCGUCGUCCAUACCGUCGAUGUCUUCGGAGUCGUAGUCGAGUACGUCGGUUAGAUCGUCGACGGUGGCUACGAAGUGGGUGGUGGGUGGUGGGUGGGCCCUAAAUUUCUUUGUCGUCCGCAUCCCAACCAUCCUGGCCGUAGUUCGUCCAGGGCUCUCCGGAUAGCGAGAGAUGCUUCAGCGAAUUUAAGAUAUCGCCGAAGGGUGAGUGCUGAAAGAUGUCCGCAGCGGUGAAUUCCAUGAUCGCGCCCAGUCGGAUUCGACCGGCAGGGGCGCCGGAGGUUCGGAGUCCGGCAGAGAGUCCGGCACCUCGGAGUCAUGAGCUUUCUGCGGGACAAGGUAAGUGUUCGGCUCCAUCGCCGUAGAAGUUGCAGCUCCCGAGGCGGUGUCCAGCCAUCCGUCCUCGAUCUGAGCGAUCGGCUCCGGACUAUGGGUCGGAGCGGAUUCGUGUGCGGCCUCCAAGGUGCUGUCCGGCGGCAGAGUUAGGUCGUGCCCAUCAUGACAGUGCGGCACGCUCGGCUGUGGCUCAGAUCCAUCGAAGAUCAAGUCCCCGCGGAUAUCGGCCGUGAAGUUUAGGCUUCCAAACCUGACCUGACGGCCAGGGGCGUAGCUUUCGAUCUGCUCCAGAUGGCCAAGUGAGUUGGCCCGCAGUGCGAAGCCGCCGAAUACGAAGAUCUGUCCGGGGAGAAAAGUCUCACCCAAGACUACGUCGUUGUCGAUUGAAGAGGCCAUCAAGCCUAUCGGUGACGACACAGAGGAACUCUCAAUGAAAGCACCAAUGUCGGUGUCAAAACCGGCGGAUCUCGGGUAGGGGGUCCCGAACUUUGCAUCUAGGCGGAUGGUAACAGGAGACAAGGGACACGAUGUUUUACCCAGGUUCGGGCCCUCUUGAUGGAGGUAAAACCCUACGUCCUGCUUGAUUGAUAUUGAUAUUGUGGAUGUUUACAAGAGUGGAUCUACCACAAGAUCAAGGAGGCUAAACCCUAGAAGCUAGCCUAUGGUAUGAUUGUAAGGGUUGUUGUUGUUGUUCUACGGACUAGAGCCAUCCGGUUUAUAUAGACACUGGAGAGGGCUAGGGUUACAUAGAGUUGGUUACAAUGGUAGGAGAUCUACGUAUCCAUAUCGCCAAGCUUGCCUUCCACGCCAAGGAAAGUCCCAUCCGGACACGGGACGAAGUCUUCAAUCUUGUAUCUUCAUAGUCUUGGAGUCCGGUCGAUGAUGAUAGUCCGGCCGAUGAUAGUUCAGCUGAUGAUGGUAGUCCGGCUAUCCGGACACCCCCUAAUCCAGGACUCCCUCACACAAGUAGUCCGAAGCUUUGUCAAGCAACGCCCAAUGCCGCAACCAACAUGGUGGCUAUAACCCGGUGCAAGACCGAAUACGUCAGGAGAACGAGCGGGCAGCUCAGCUGGCGGCUCAACAGGCGGCUCAUCAGGAUAUCCCAGAGUAUCCAACGACUUCUGUUGAGGCGGGAGUAGCCACUUGAACCGGUGGUAUUCCUUGUUUGGUACCGGCCUUGCGCAACGUGCGCCUGCCCAAGGACUUCAAGGGACCUUGAAAGGUGCCGAAUUACACGGCCGACUUAUAGCUCGGAGCAUGGAUCGAGAGUUAUGAGAUGGCCAUGGAGCUGUUGGAAGUCAGUGACGCGACAAUGGCUAAAUAUUUCACCAUGAUGCUAGAUGGAACGGCCCGGUCUUGGUUAAAAGGUUUGCCACCCAAUUCCAUUGGUUCAUGGGAAGAGUUAAAAACUCGUUUCAUCCAGAACUUCAAGGACACCUGUAAGCAAUCUAUGUCGAUCGUGGACUUGACGAAUUCUAAGAAGGAGGAGGGUGAAUCCACCACCCAUUGGGUACGCCGGGUCAAGGAGAUAAUUCAUUCAUCUGACAAGAUGGAUGCCGGAUCUGCAGUCCUUAUGUUGGAGAAGAAUUUCAGCUUUGAGCCGCUGAGGCAGAAACUGGGGCGCCUUAAACGUGACUGCAAGGAUAUGAGUAUGUUGAUGGAGGCUUUAAUCAAAUAUGCCGAUUCUGAUAGUACCAAGGAUCUCGUGUCUGACGAUGAGAAGACAGGGAAGGGAAAAAGGAACGGCAAUGGAAAGGGUCAACAGCAUAACCUGGGGAACCAAAGCGGCAAUAAGCGUAAGUCGGACGGUAACCCAGAGUUUGUGGCCAAUGCCAAUGCGCAAGGUAACAAUAAGAGAUAUAAGGGUAAGCCUCCUCGAUCCGGCGGGUCAGGCCCAUCUCUUGAGCAGCUACUCAAUGAGCCCUGCCCGAAACACGGCACCCGGGAGCACCCCGCCACACACCUAUGGAAGGAUUGCGCGAUCAUGAAGGCAUUUAAAAAUUCCAACACCUUUGAUGGUAGUCAUGGAUCUGGCGGCGGCUCAGGGGCUGGCGGUUUUCAUGGCCCGGGCGGUGGUUCAAAUUCCGGCUUUCAGGGGCAUCUGGGUGGUAAUAAUCAGCAGCAGUCUGGUCAAGGAGGGCAGCAGCAGCAGCAGUCGGGUUAUCAAAGCCAUCCGAAACAGUUGAGUGGUGGGCAGUGUCACAUGUUUACCACUAGUUUAUGCAAACGUGACCAGAAGGUUCAUAAGAGGGCCGUGAAUUCUGUUGAGCCGGCAAUUCCUCGUUAUUUGAGGUGGUCAGAACAGCCCAUUAUAUGGAGCAGAGAGGAUCACCCUCCAUGGGUCGAUAAUCCGGGUCAGUUAGCCUUGGUGGUAGCACCCCAGGUUGGUGGAUAUAAAUUCACUAAGGUACUCAUGGACGGCGGUAGCAGCAUCAAUAUCCUCUACUAGAGACCUUUCAGCGCAUGGGGUUGACUGAGAAGAAUUUGAGAACAUCCAACACUAUUUUCCAUGGGGUGGUUCUGGGUAAGUCGGCUUACCCAGUUGGUAAGAUUGAAUUGGAGGUGGCCUUUGGAGAUGAGUACGACUCCAGGGCUGAGAAAUUGACGUUUGAAGUGGUUAAAAUCAGGAGUCCAUAUCACGCUCUGUUUGGGCGACCGGCUUAUGCUAAAUUCAUGGCACAACCAUGUUACGCUUAGUUACAGCUCAAGAUGCCAGGUUACAAGGGCACCAUCACUGUGCAUGGGAGUCGAAAGGUGGCCUUGGAAUGUGAAGAGGGCGACGCGUCUUACGCUGAGUCUGCCUGUGCUACGGAGGAGCUCAAAUUUUAUCAAGACAAUGUUGACCCAGCGGAUAUGACCUCCCUCAAGAAACCAACUACUGCGCAUGACCCGGUGUUGAAGUUUAAAUCGGCUGCUGAGACAAAGCUUGUUGACUUUACCCCAGGAGAUGCCUCUAAGCAGUUCAGUAUCAGUGCCAAUUUGGAUCCUAAAUAGGAAAGCGCGCUCAUCGAGUUCAUCCGUGAGAACCGGGACAUCUUUGCAUGGAAACCUUCUGACAUGCCGGGUGUACCAAGGGAACUCGCUGAGCACACUCUCAAUAUUGAUCCAAAGUAUAAGCCGGUCAGGCAGUUUCUCCGACGAUUCAACGAAGAGAGGCGGAAGGCUAUUGGGGAAGAGGUCGCCCGACUCUUAGCGGCCGAGUUUAUUGUUGAAGUUUUUCACCCGGAGUGGUUGGCUAACCCGGUGUUAGUGCUCAAGAAGAACGACACUUGGCGGAUGUGUGUGGAUUACACAGACUUAAGCAAGGCUUGUCCGGCUGAUCCCUUUGCUCUCCCCCGUAUUGAUCAAAUCAUUGAUGCUACGGCGGGUUGUGAAUGUUUGAGCUUCUUGGAUGCUUACUCUGGUUAUCAUCAGAUCAAGAUGGUAGUUAAGGACCAGGAGAAGACAGCUUUCAUCACUCCGUUUGGAGCCUUCUGAUAUGUAUCUAUGCCAUUUGGACUCAAAAGUGCCCAGGCGACUUAUCAGCGGUGUGUGCAGAACUGUUUGCACGAUCAAAUUGGGCGUAAUGUUCAUGCUUACAUAGAUGACAUUGUGGUGAAGUCCAGAGAAAAGGAAACCUUGAUAUUUGACUUGGAAGAGACCUUUGAUAAUCUUCGGGUUUACAAGAUGAUGCUUAACCCGGCCAAGUGUGUGUUCGGUGUACCUGCGAGCAAGCUCCUAGGUUUUCUGGUAUCAAACAGAGGCAUUGAAGCUAAUCCGGAGAAGAUUAAGGCGAUUACCUCUCUGGCUAAGCCGGCGUGUAUCAAUGAUGUUCAGCGACUGGCGGGUCGUGUUGCCGCUUUAAGCCGAUUUAUAAGCCGGUUAGGUGAGAAGGCCCUUCCAUUAUAUCAGAUGAUGAAGAAAACUGACACCUUUGUCUGGAGUGAUGCUGCAGAUGCUGCCUUUGAAGACUUGAAGAGGCAAUUGUCUGAACCACAGGUUCUUGCGGCUCCCAUUGACAGAGAGCCGUUGUUGUUGUAUGUGGCUGCUAAUUCACGAGCGGUGAGUGUUGCCAUCGUGGUGGAGUGUAAGGAAGCUGACAAGGAGCAUCCGGUUCAACGACCGGUUUACUAUAUCAGUGAGGUGCUCAUUGAGUCUAAACAAAGAUAUCCACAUUGGUAGAAACUCGUUUACGGAGUGUUUAUGGCCAACCGAAAGUUGAAGCAGUACUUUCAAAGUCAUCCUAUAACUGUGGUAAGUUCUGCCCCUUUGGGCGACAUCAUCCAGAAUAGGGAGGCCACAGGACGAGUCACCAAGUGGGCUAUCGAGCUUGGGCCUCAUGGUUUGAAGUACAUGCCACGUACUGCUAUUAAGUCUCAGGCCUUGGUGGACUUUAUCAAUGAUUGGACAGAGUUGCAGGCACCUGAGGAGAAGCCAGAUAACACAUAUUGGACUAUUCACUUUGACGGGUCCAGACAGCUAGAAGGCUCGGGGGCUGGAAUUGUUUUAACUUCCCCUCGAGGUGAAAAAAUUCGUUAUGUACUCCGGCUUAUGUUCCCAUGUACUAACAAUGCAGCUGAGUACGAGGCCUUACUCCAUGGUCUCCGGAUGGCCAAGGAGAUGAAAUUAAGCCGGGUAAGGUGUCUGGGCGACUCAGAUCUCGUGGCUCAAUAGGUGUCAGGCAAGUGGGAUUCCAAGGAUCCUCUCAUGGCGGCUUAUUGACGUGAAGUAGAUGCUAUGGCUGGACAUUUCAAGGGUUAUCAAGUGGAGCACAUUGAUCGAAGGAAGAAUGAGGCGACUGAUGCUUUAAGCCGGCUGGGAUCUCAAUGUAAGCCGGUGCCACCCAACACCUUUCUUGAUGUUUUGCAUAACCCUUCUGUCAAGGUGCCUACCGAGGAAGAACUAGCGGUGCCAGAUCUGGAGGCGCAACUGGUGGCGGCUCUUCACGUCAUCCCGGAUUGGACAGUGGCCUAUUUGGCUUACAUGACCCGGGGUGAGUUACCUGAGGAUGAGACCUUGGCAAGACAAAUUGUCAGGUGCUCCAAAUCUAUGACGAUUGUUAACGGCGAGUUACAUCACCUAAGUGUCACUGGGGCAUUUCAAUGUUGUGUGUCCCCUACGGAAGGCCAAGAAAUACUCUGUGAGAUCCAUGAAGGGGAUUGUGGCCAUCAUGCCGAGUCAAAAUCUCUUGUGGCCAAGGCCUUCCAUCAUGGUUUCUACUGGCUCACGGCUCAUGCUGAUGCGGAGGAUCUGGUCAGUAAAUGUGACAGUUGUCAGAAGUUCUCACGAUGUGCUCAUGUGCCGGCUCAAGAAAUAAGGAUGAUCCCAAUUACUUGGCCGUUUGCAGUCUGGGGGCUUGACAUGGUUGGACCUUUAAAAAGGUCUAAGGAUAAAAAGACACAUCUCCUGGUGGCAGUGGAUAAAUUUACAAAGUGGGUUGAGGCGGAGCCAAUCAGUAAGUGUGAUGCGGCCACAGCGGUUCAGUUCAUGAAAAAGGUGAUCUUUCGUUUUGGUUUCCCACACAGCAUUAUAACUGAUAAUGGCACAAAUCUCUUCAAGGGAACCAUGGAAGAGUUCUGUCAACGAGAACAUAUCCGGCUUGAUGCUUCGGCUGUUGCUCAUCCUCAAUCCAAUGGUCAAGCGGAAAGAGCUAAUCAAGAGAUCCUGAAGGGUAUCAAGCCCCGGCUCUUUGUCCCCUUAAAACGGACUCCGGGUUGUUGGGUGGAGGAGUUACCCUAUGUACUAUGGAGCAUCAACACUACGCCUAACAGAUCUACGGGUUACACACCUUUCUUCAUGGUCUAUGGAGCAGAGGCAGUUCUGCCAAGUGACAUCCGACACGACUCACCCCGUGUGGUGGCUUAUGUUGAGGCAGAUAACGAGAAGGCUCGUUAGGAUGCACUUGACUUGUUGGAUGAGGAGCGAGACUUGGCAAUGGCCCGCUCGGUGAUUUACCAGCAAGACCUGCACCGCUAUCACAGCCGCCGGGUUAAGAGCAGAACCUUUCAGGAAGGUGAUUUGGUACUCCGGCUCAUCCAAGAUCAAUAUGACAUGCACAAGCUAUCUCCGCCUUGGGAAGGACCCUUUGUGGUCAGCAAGAAUCUGAACAAUGGGUCAUAUUACCUCAUUGAUGUUCGAGAGCACAAAGACUCACAUAAGUCGGAGGAGGAGACCCGCCGGCCGUGGAAUAUUGCCCAUCUUCGGCCUUACUAUACUUGAGCCACCGGAUCUUAGGAUGUAUAUAUUUUUGAUGAUGUACAUAUUAUAUAAAGCAAUAAAGCAGGACCUCUGUCCUUUUUUCCUCAAAGAAUGUUUUUAUGUCUUCUUUAUCAGGUGGCGGAAACUACCAACAGGGAGCGGAUCAUAUCUGAAUCCGGCUUUCCCUUUGGUCCGGCUUAUGAUCAUAUCUGAAUCUAGCCAUGAUCACUUGGGGGCUUCCUGUUCAAACAUAGGUCGUAUUUGAACCAAAGAGAACAUAGCUGUCGAUACCCGCUUGAUCGGCAUACUGCCAAACCCACUUGGGGGCUCUUGAUCAUAUUUGAAUCACAGCUUAACUCCUUUGGGUCUGAGGUGGAUCGUAUUCGAAUCAACGUCAUUAAACAACUCUUAUGGUCACUUGGGUGCUUCUUGUUCAAACAUAGGUCGUAUUCGAACCAAAGAGAACAUAGCUAUCGAUACCCGCUUGAUCGGCAUACUGCCAAACCCACUUGGGGGCUUCUUGAUCAUAUUUGAAUCACAGCUUAACUCCUUUGGGUCUGAUGUGGAUCGUAUUCGAAUCAGCGUCAUUAAACAACUCUUAUGGUCACUUGGGGGCUUCCUAUUCAAACAUGGGUCAUAUUCGAACAAAGAGAACAUAGCUGUCGAUACCCACUUGAUCGGCAUCGCCAAAGCCACUGGGGUCUAUAUGAUUGUAUCCGAAUCUUAGCUUAACCCCUUUGGAACGGUUUACUGAUCGUAUUCGAAUCAGAAGCCUCUGAACAUUAUUUAUUAUAUGUCAUAAGCAUAAUUGCUUGAUUAUCUUGAGACCUUUUUUGAAAGCACUAUGAGAUGGCUUUUGAUUCUUCCGGCUUAAUAUUAAUUAUCCCAGGUUGUUAAGUGCUAGGUGAGCAUUAUAUGUUCCGACUUUUAGGAGUUGAAACCAUCCACAUGGUGAAGGUCACAUAAACAGGUGGGAUUACCAAAGGGAUUGCAGGAUGAGGCAAGCAAAUUUAACAUCAAGGAGACAAACGAUCAACAUGAGCUAGAAAUAUAUAACAAUGGCGGCUUACGAAAGUAUUAAGCGCCAUAAACAUGCGCGAAGGCAUGACAAACAUUGAGAAGUUUUUUAUAUCCUAUUACAAGACUCCCCGAGUCUGAAUAAGUGGAGCAUUGUUUUUGCGAAGUUAUAAAACGCCUGGCGGUUCAUUCCUUCGGCGGGCUUGAAGACUCCGGGUUAUCCUUCUCCGCCUAUCCGUCGAUUGCUUUGUCCUGGAAGGUGGACGAGGCCCAGUCAAUGCCACUCAAGGCAUCAAACUCCACUUCAUCAUCUAUUAAACCGGCCGGGUCCACUUCAGGGGAAAAGGUAUGCUUACGCGUUGGAGGGAUCAGGCUGACUUGGUCAUAGGGAUGUUUGGAAUUCUCCGGUUCUCGCUAUCAUAGCCCGGCGAAUACUUUGUAAGAUCAGUAUCAUUCCCAAUAAGGGUAGCCAAGGGACGUACGACUUUGACACAGGCAGUGAAAUCUUGAUCAUCAAAUGCAGAACCGUCCUCCUUAAGGCGCGGAUAUCCAAGAGAGAGAUCAGCUAAGUCAAGCUCUGGCGUCCAUGCCUUUGCCCGUCUCAGUGCGGCCACGGCUCCGGCUCUUGCGGAUGCCCGCCUUAAAUCUUGAAUUCGUUGAGGUAGCACAGCGAGAUGCUUCAGCACGUCUUCCAAAAGGCGGGGAGGGGUGUUUAAUAAGGCUACAACGGCCAAGGCACGUUGUGACCCGGAGUACAGCUGUUCCACUAAGGUGUAAACUGCUUUAAGUUUGAUCAGCAUGUUUUGCUUCAGGUUGGUACUCCCGGGGCCUGUGUGUGCACAAACAUAACAGUCAACCGGAGGUAACCAUUACAAUAGUCAUUGGAAGAUUACAAUGUUUGAGGUUUUGCAUAGUAACUUACCGAAGAUGGCUGAGACCAUUUGAGAUAUCUGCCGUUUUAAGUCGGAUAGCUCAGUUGUUGCCUCUGCAAGAGAUAUUUUUGCUGUCUCGGCCCGAGUCACCAGUGCAGCCUUCUCAUCAGCCCAAGCUUUCUUCUCUGACUCAAAAUUUUUCUUCAACUUCUCAUUUUCAGAGACACUGAAUUCAAAUUUGGAGUUGGCCUUCUGAGUUUCAAGUUCUUGAGUUUCCAGACGACUCUUCAGGACAGCAAGCUUCGAUUCAAAUUAACUUAUGGUGGCCUGUAUUGACACCAGCGUAUGGUAAGGAUCACGGUAAGGUAACAUUCAAAGUCCCAAGCAUUUUAAAAGUAAAGAUACUUGGCACUUGGGGGCUAAUGUAUGCUGAAGAAUUUUAAACCUACCAUACCGGGUCACACAUAUUAAGUCUCAAGCACUUUACAAGUAAAGAUACUUGACCCUUGGGGGCUAAUGUGUAUUGCAAAUUUAAAACUAUCAUGUUAUAACCGGGUUAAAUAUAUUCUCUUUGAACUAGACAAACAAACAGUAAACAGAUUUCUAAGUCUACAGCAUAUUAUUUCAUAAGCAAUAGACUUGGGGGCUGGUACAGUAAGUAAGAUUCAAGAGAAUAGCAUAAGUUAUACCUCAGAUUUGUGAUGUAUUUGUUUCACCAUAUCAAUUUCCAGGUCACGCCUAUUAUGCACUUGGUUCAGAUAGCCCGAGACUAUAUCACCAAUGCUUAAGUGAGUAUAGUCAGUGAUGUCCUGUUUGGCUUUUCGACGUUCGGCAAAUUCUUCCUUGGCAAUACAUUGGGCAAGAAUAGUAGGCUGCCCCGGUUCAACAAAUUGCUUUUCAGAUAUACAACUUCUGGGUCAGUCGUCUUGGCCGGUCUAGGAACUUUCGGAUUAUCAGAGUUGUGGAUAACAUCUUCUGCAGGCGGGUCAGAGGUUGGCACCGGAAUGUCAGAAGCCGGUUCAGGCGGUGGCUGAUGGGUGAGCUAGCAGGGGCGGACGAGUCAAGCACCAGUUUAGUGACAACCAGGUCUUGGGACGACUUAUUUUUCCUCGCCUUCUUGUUGGGCUUCACUUGCAGGCUGUCAAUAAAGGAAGAAGGAUGAGUAUUAAAGCAUAAAGUAUGAUAAAACUUAAAGUAAGAAAGGUUACAUUACCCGGGAGCCGUUUUGAAAGCCGGCAUGUUUGAUUGCAUAGACUCGUCAGAAGAAGGAGAGGUAUUCUGAUAAUUGGAGUCAGAUGAAUUGAGAGGUUGACGAAUCAAACCCGCCAAAGGUAAAAUAGAACGUAAAUCAGAGAUAACCUCGGUCUGGCGCUUCCUAGUUACAUUGGGUAAGCCAGAGGAGAGUUCUGCAUCUUGAUUGGCCUGAGUCUGCCUCCAGUUCUCAAGCUGUUGUUGCUUCAAAAGAAAUUGAGGAUCUUGAGAAGCUAGAGGAUGUGAAAAUCUUAGUUUCCGGGUCACCCUUCGGGUUUUUUGUUUUGGCAAAGGCUCUGAGUCGGAGGAGAUUAUAGUUACCUCUUCUUCAACUGCUUGACUGUUCCCUGUAUCCUCCUGAAAGGACAGAAUGUCAGUAAAAUAGCAACAAGGGAGUUAAGAAAGUUAAAGGAUUACCUCUUCAUCAUCCGAAGAAGUAUCAUCCAAUUUGAAUAACUCAGAGGCGCUGGGUUUCUUCUUUUUUGAGGUUCCCAUCUUGGCGGCUUUCCUUUCGGUUUUCUUAGCUUCCCUGGCUUGUUUGGCAGCGUCAUGAUCAUAUUUGACCUUCCAGAAGUUAUCAUCGGCCUGUGGAAAGGAUAAAGAAUUAUGAGCUCAAAUAAGGUAUAACGAAGCAGAGAGUAUUUAUUAAGAUUGAUAACUCACUGCAGGGGCCGGGUUCUUCUUGCAGAAGGGAAGUAAGCCAAAGGUAUUACUGGUUACAGUGCCCUCCUUCAGCAGUGACUGGGUUGUGGCAUCUACCACAUCAUCUGGUAAGUCCUCAGGACUAUGGCGCAUUGGAUCGUCCUUUUCGCCUGUGUAAGUACACAUUAAGCUGGGGCAGCGGCUUAAUGGAAGUAUUCGCCAAGUGACCCAGACUCGGACUAGAUCGAUGCCAUUUAAACCAUUUCCAAAAGAGCUUUAAUCUUCUUGAUGGUGGGAUUAAGAGGCAGACAUUCAACAGUGGUCAGGUUAUCCGCCAGCGGAUGGUUGGACUCAAGGCGCAGGGCGCGAAAGCCGGGCAGAGGCUUCUCAUCAGCCGGAGAAGUGUCCUGACAGUAGAACCACGUCUGGUUCCAAUCUUUUGGGUGACUCGGUAGCUCAGCUUAAGGAAAAAGGCAGUCUCUCCAUCGCUGGAUCGAGAUGCCGCCAAGCUCAAGACUAGGCCCGUUGGCACGUUCAUUCUGCCGGUUCAAGUAAAAAAGUUCUCUGAACAAAAGCAGACUUAGCUCCUCUCCCAGAUAUACCUCACAAAAGACUUGAAAAUUGCAAAGGUUUGACACGGAAUUGGGUCCAAUGUCUUGAGGUCUAAGAUCAAAGAAAUUCAAAACCUCCCUGAAGAAUUUUGAGCUGGGAGGGGCAAAUCCCCGGUUCAUGUGAUCCGUGAAAACUACCACCUCCCCUUCUUUGGGUUGAGGCCAUUCUGCAGACGGGUCAGGAGCACGAUAAGACAUGACCUCCUCUUUUGGCAGGUGGCCAGACUUCACGAACUCAGCAAGUUUACUCGUAGUAACUAUGGAUGGGACCCAAUUGCAGGUUACAGGGGCCUUGGCCGCCUUAGGUACCAUGACGACAGUUGGCCUAUUACAAAAUAAGAAGUUCCGGUUCAAAUUUUAAACCGGGAGAAAUAUCCAAAUUAUUUAAGGUAGCGGCUUACGAAGGGGCCUAAUGAUAUAAGGAUGACUGUGCAACAAUAUUUAAGCUGCUACAAGUAUCAAGAGUAGUUCAAAAUUCUUGAGUUCAUGAGAAGCAAGCAAGGCUCACAGAUCAGUGUCAUUUAUUUAAGCCGGACACCUGGACAGUUGUGUUUAAAGGGCAUCUAUCAGAAGAAGUUUUCCGGGUGAUAAAAACAGGUUUCAUAAUCUGCUGCUAAUAUUUGAGAUCAAAGAUCUGUUCUGAUAAGAAAAUUUUCUAGACCUAAAAACAGGGCAGAGAAGUUCAUACACUCGAAGAGGGUUUCCAAACAAGUAAAAUGAGAUCUGUUUCUAUGCAAGAUAAACACAAACAAUUACCGCAGCAGUUCUAUGUAGUUUUUACAAUCUAAACAGGGCAUUGGAGGUGAAAACUAGCAAGGGUUUGCAUCGGGCGGUGAUGAACACCGAUGAACUCAACAAAGUUCCAAUGUAGAUCUAAGAAAGGGAAGGAGAGGAACUCACGGAUGUGGACGAGCUGCAGAGGUUCGCCGUCGUUUUCUGGUUAGAGUCAGGUUGAUGCAGCGGCCUGAGUCGGUGAAGACGAGGGGUUCGACGGCGGCGGCGGCGGAGCUCAAGAGGAAGCAAGAGGAAGAAGAUGACUGAAAGAGGGAAGAAGGAAAUACCUAGGUCACCCUAUUUAUAAAGGAAGACUUGCCGAGAUGGCGCGAGAAACGAGGAGACCAAAACAUCAUUAUCCAGCGGCCCCGACGCCUCAAUUCUCGGGAUGGUCAGUAAAGGCAAAGAUCCGUUGGAGGAUAUGAUGGAAUAAAAUAUGAGUUUUAUUGAAGAUGACGUCAUGGUGAUUUGACCCGGAUCCAGAUGAUGAUGUCACGACGGGUUAAAGUUUUUGCGCAAGACAAAAGAUUGAAGGCCAGUUCCAUAAGGUAUUUUAAGAUUGACAUGAACAGGUUCAAAUCAAUCUGGGGCCUAAUGUUGGGGAUAUAACUAUUUGUGUAAGCCGCCCAGGAGGGGCCGGGUUACGCAAAGAGACUCACCAGAAAGAAGCCCAAGACCAAAGCAUGAAGAUGGCGGUUCAAUAGAGGGAUUAAGGCCCACAGGCGACUUAAGGCCCGUUGUAGUAAACCGCCACAGUAGCAUGACUUGUAUCAUAAGGUAGACUUAACUAGUCACCGAGCCGGACACUGUUUAUAAGCCGGCCGGGACUCUGUAAGCCGCAGGGCAUCAACCUGUGUAUAUAAGGGGACGACCUGCUGGCGGCUUAGGGCAAGAAACAACUCAUCGAGAGCCGGGCAUAGCGUAUCUCGCUCCCUGGUCAUCGAAACAUCAAUACGAACCCAACUAGACGUAGGCUUUACCUUCACCGUAAGGGGCCGAUCUAGUAUAAAACCUCUCGUGUCCUUUGUCCCGAUUAACCCCUUCAAGCUUCCUAGUUGCAAUGGCUCCACAACUAAGUCCUUCCACGAGGACAUCUGACGUGACAAUUCCAUGACACUUCUUGUGGUCGGUAAAAAUUCAUUAUAUAAUCUCCUAAAGGUUUUGACCACCGUACCACGACAAAAUCCUCUGCUUUUGUUUCGAGCUGUUUUUCUGACAGAUCUAGAUCACCAUGACGUCUUCAAGCGCCCCAAGGACAAGUUUUUCGAGAAGGUCAUCAACCUUUACCUCGCGGAGGUGCUGCAACACCCUCAAACCAUUGAGAUGCGCGAGGGGGUGCUGCACAUCUGUGAUGUUGAGGGACCAAGGAGGACCGUAAGCGUGGAGACAAGACUCGAAGCAAUGGAGCAACAAGUUUUCAAGUGCCAAGGGAUGGUGGAACGCAGACUCAACACCAACCACAUGAUGAUCGCGGAGUUCACCAACAACCACAAGCUGGAUGCCAAGAACAUUGGGGAGACCAUCUUCAAGCUUCACGAGAAAAUCGAACACCUCCAAGCCCAGAUCUAUGACCUGCAAAACCAAAACUGUGAGUAUGAAUAUAGAUUCAAGAGGAUGAGUUUGGCUGCAGAUUUGAGGAUCCCGGAGACUCGAUCAUCCUUUUAUGAUGGUGAGCCUAUCCCUUGGAAGAUGAACGACAAGCCUACAUCAUCAACAACUCCACCAUCACCACCUCCAAAGAAAGAGACAUAAACACAUGGGUAUGGGCACUCCCCUUGGCAACUGCCAAGCUUGGGGGAGGUGCCCCGGUAUCGUAUCACCGUCACACUUCUAUCUUUACCAUUUUUCUUAGUUCGAUCCUUUUGGUUAUAUCUUGAUCUAGUAGAAUAAAGUUUACUAUGAUCGAGCUUUGAGUUUUGUGUUGAUCCCUAUCUAUGUAGUCGAGUACGUAAGCUAUAUAUAAUAAAGAUUAGUUUUGAGUCGAGGGCUUGGCUAUCUUGCUAUGAUCUUGAGGGAAUAAAAGAAAGAAUAAAAAGAAAUAAAAAGAUCAUAUUGAUCUUAUGGAGAGUAAUGACUUCACAUAUAAAGAGUAUGAUGAAUAAAAGUUGUUGAGAGUUGACAAACAUAGUUUUGGUCAUCGUUGCAAUUAAUAGGAAGUAAUAAAGAAAGAGAAGUUUUCACAUAUAAAUAUACUAUCUUGGACAUUUUUUAUGAUUGUGAGCACUCAUUAAAAUAUGACAUGCUAAAAAGUUGAUGUUGGACAAGGAAGACAACGUAAUGGGUUAUGUUUUCUUAUAUCCGAAAUAAAUUAUGAUGUCAUGGAUCAUCCAACAUGUUGAGCUUGCUUUUCUCCAUCAUGCUAGCCAAAUUCUUUGCACCAAGUAGAGAUACUACAUGUGCUUCCAAACAUCCUUAAACCCAAUUUUUCCAUGAGAGUCCACCAUACCUACCUAUGGAUUGAGUAAGAUCCUUCAAGUAAGUUGUCAUUGUUGCAAGCAAUAAAAAUUGCUCUCUAAAUAUGUAUGAUCUAUUAGUGUGGAGAAAAUAAGCUUUAUACAAGCUUGUGAUAUGGAAGAAAUAAAAGCAACGGACUACAUAAUAAAGGUCCCUAUCACAAGUGGCAAUAUAAAGUGACAUUCUUUUGCAUUCAGAUUUUGUGCAUCCAACCAUAAAAUCACAUGACAACCUCUGCUUCCCUCUGCGAAGGGCCUAUCUUUUAUUUUUGUCUUCUACCUUAUACAAGAGUCAUGGUGAUCUUCACCUUUCGUUUUUACACUUUAUCCUUUGGCAAGCACUAUGUGUUGGAAAGAUCCUGAUAUAUAUACCCAAUUGGAUGUAGGUUUUCAUAAAGCAUUAUUGUUGACAUUAUCCUUGAGGUAAAAGGUUGGGAGGCAAAACUAUAAGCCCCUAUCUUUCUUUGUGUCCGAUUGAAACUUCAUACCCAUAAGUAUCGCGUGAGUGUUAGAAAUUGUGAAAGAUUAAAGGAUAGUUGAGUAUGUGGACUUGUUGAAAAGCUCUUAUAUUAACUAUUUCCGAUGUUAUGAUAAAUUGCAAUUGCUUCAAUGACUGAGAUUAUAGUUUGCUAGUUUUCAAUGAAGUUCCUGAUUCAUACUUUACAUUGUGAAUAGAUUGCUACUUUAGCAUAAGAAAUCAUAUGAUAUAUAUAGGGUAGGUCUAUUAUGAUAACACCCUUAAGAGUCUUAUUAUGAUAACACCGAAGCUUAUUCUGAUAACACCCCGACCCACCUGUAGCUACAAACUAACCAUGACCGGACUGCAGACGCAAAGAAAAAAAACACCCCGCCUUAUCCUCUCCUCCACCCCUCGCUCUCCCCGUGCUCCACACCCGCACGACCACCUUCCACCGUGUCGCCACCGCCCUGUGCCGUCGGAGCACCUUCCCCACGCUGCCGCACCACCUUCCUACCCUGCGCCACCUAGCCGCCAUCUUCGCCUGCGCCACCGCCCCACCUCCUUCCCCCGCACCGCCGCGACGCCAUCCCGACGACCUCCUACUAUGUCAUCGCGCGGUGGCUCCUGCCAUCGGAUCUGGGACCUGCCAUCACCUUCGUCCUACCCCACGUCGGCCCCUCCCUGCGACGCCGCCGGCCAUGUGCCCAUGCCGCCACCAGCGCCCUGGUCCCGCCCAAUCCCGCCACUACUUCCUCCUCGAAAUGGCCAGAUCCCAUCCUCUUCCCCAGAUCUAGCAAAAGAAGGGGCGACACUGGUGUUCACGGUGGCCGCUGGCCCCAGAAGCUCGAGAUGGAUCGAGCAGCACCCUCUCGCCCAGUUGCUGGCCUCGGUCAACCAUAGAGCCUUGCACGCCGAAUCUAGCGGAUUUGGUUCUUCCACGCGCCGCCACUUGGUCCCUGAGCGCCCACAGGAGAUGACUCCGGCGCUCCGCCAACUAACAAGAGAGGAGGGCGACGACACGAGCUCCUCCUCCGGCGAGGAUCCCAGCAACUACCCAGCCGCCCCAUGGAACUUGUCCUGGCAAGGAUGAGGGUCGAGGACGCCUAGAUGUGGGCUGCUGCUAGCAUCCUAGUUCCCUGGUGCAGUCCAGCAUCCCCGAUGAGCUCCCUUCACCAACGCCCCCUCUCUGCAGUUCGGAUCGAGCACAGGUGCAUCUUCUUAUCGUCAUUACGGUCCCCUCUGGCCUCACCCACAGUUUUGAUUGGAGCUUGUUGAGGUUCUAUCAGCAAAAAGUAUAGAUAAAGCAAAAAAAACUAAUGGUGUAUUUGGGCGAAUGCAGUUCUUUCAAUUAUUUGAGAAAAAAUGUGCAGUACGGUUGAAUGCCACGUUGCAAUUUCUGUUCUUGAUUGAGGUUCAGUUUGCUUACUUUUGCAGGAAGAAAAUUGUGUAGUUUGGCUGGAUGUCGUGUUGCAUUUUUUGCAGGUCCUAGUCGUGGAGUUCAGACAUGGAGCCUCCCUCCCUGUAGUUCUUUUCGAUUAGUUCAGACGUGCUUGCUAAAAAAUCAUUUGUAAAAGAAAAUUAUGAGGUUCACUUUUAUCUGCAGUUCAUUUAGUUUUGGUCGUUGCUUUUAUCUGCAGUGAGAUCCUGGUAGAUCAAUUCAAAGUAGCUUUGGGUUUUGUUGAUGUAGUGCGGCGUGCCUAUUUGCAUAGUUCGACUCCUUUCAUGGGGAUGUUCUUCUAGCGAAACUCUUUUUUCCCUAAAAAAUAAGGGUUAAUUAUCCUUUUGCCCUCAGUGGUGUCUCUGUGCUCAGUUUUGCCCUAAGAUGCAAAUUGUGCUUAGUUUCGCCCCUAGUCCAUGCACAGCUACUAUGACGAGGCCAAACGGCCAUAUUUGAGUCCAUUCCGUCCGCCAGCAUUAAGUUGUGGGUCCAGAGCUUACACGUGGGACCGCGUGGCGUGGGUCCGGAGCUGACAUGUAGGCCCGUGCAACUAAAUCCCCAAAUCAUUCGUAGCUCACUCUGCCCAUCCGCUUCCCGGCCAGCCGGCUGACCUGCGCCGCCGCCAGCACUUGCGCCACGGCCAGGACCUGCCCUGCCACCAGCUACAUGCCUACUCCAUCGCUACCUUUCUACGCCUACGCUCCAUGGCUGCCUGCAACGCCCGCCACCUUCCUGCGACGCUCGCCACCUUUCUACGACGCCACGGGUGGGGCGCCCGCCACCUGCUCGACCCACGGCGCGGCCUCCUUCCGUGCGCCCGGCUGGAGCGCUCAAAGGUGGGGGGCUGCUGGAGCUAUUUGAACUAGGAGGAAGAACCCUAGGGCAAAAUGGAGAGCAGCAGCGACCCCGGAGUAUUUGGCGAGGCAGGCAUCGGGCCGGAGAUCCGCCACGUCCACGACUGGGUUCCCGAGGGGUAAGUCUCGCCUCCUGUUUAGAUUGAGCUUAGUUGUGCAUUUAAACACUCGAUUCGAGUAGGAUUGCCCAAUUAGUGUGCUGAUUGCGUCUCUGUUUUUUGCCUGUUAGGAUGGAGUUGCGGUUUGCUUUCUUGAUGCACAUUAGAAGGGACUGGUACACGUUCAAUGCAAAGGAUCAUAAGAAAUACCAAGGAGGUUUUUAUUAUCGGUUGCUAAUGGCUAGUAAUUGGAGUUUCAGACAAUUUGGGGAGGUAAUUUGUAGCCAAUAUCCUUGGGGUUUGCUUGAUGAAGUGGUAUACAAAUACUAUGAUGGGGAAAAGAAAUGGGUGACAUUUAGUAAUGAUGAAGAGCUAGCUACCAUGUUUGUUAGGCAUAAAGAGAAAGAUAAUUUUCAUGUGAGGCUGCAAGUUGAUGUGCUUGAGCAGGCAUUUGGACCUAGGAUGACAGGUGCAACAUCUCGGGGAGAACCAAGUCGUCGUAAUGGCAUCUCUAGCCAGAACAGUUCAGUUGGUGCACAACGACGUGGUGGCUCAACAAGUGUGGGCAACAGCAGUAGGGUCCCCCUUGAAGUGGAGCAUGAUGACUACAAUUCUGGGGUUGAUGAAGAGAAGCUAUAUUCUGAUGUUAUUCGAAAUUUACGACGGGCACCUCGGGCUGAUAACCAAGAUGAGGCUCACAAUGCAGUCCGUGUGGAUGAUGACGCGGUGGGUGAGGACGAAGACCUUGCAGCUUUUGAAUGGGACCCUUUGAACCCUAAUUUGGAAGAAGGUACAGUUUUUGCAUCCAUGAAUAAGUGUAGAAAUGUAGUUGUGACAUACUGCAUCAAGGUAGAACGUACUUUCAAAGUUGACAAGAGCGAUGAAGUACGUUACAGAGUGCAUUGUCCGACUGAGGGUUGUCCAUGGAGGCUGCUCGCAUCUAAAAUGCGUAAUAGCACUAAUGUUCAGGUCAAAGUGAACCCUUUUAAGCACACAUGCCAGGAAUCAACCCUUAGGAAGGAUACAAUCAGUAGAGCCAAGUCAAGAUGGGUGGCAGAAGAAGUAAAGAAGUGGGUGAAAGAAAACCAGCAAGUGGGUCCAAAGGAAUUGUAGAAGAACAUCAAAGAUAAAUUCAAGAUAGAUUUACCAUACAUGAGGUUGUUCAAUGGUAAACAACAUGCUAUGGAUUCUAUUUAUGGUAACUGGCAGAAAAGUUUUCAAUUGUUGUAUUCAUUCAAAGGUGAAGUGGAGAGGACAAGCCCAGGUAGUAUUGUAGAUAUUGAUCACCACACCGUGGAGUACACAUUCAGGGGAGUGACAAAGACCAAGGAAUGCUUUAGGAGGGUUUUUGUCUGCUUUGAGGCUUGUUGCCGGGGUUUUUUGGCAGGUUGCAGGCCUUAUUUGGCUAUUGAUGCCACUUUUCUCACAGGGAGGUUUAAAGGACAGUUAGUAGCUACUUGUGCAGUUGAUGCACACAGUUUUGUAUUUCCAGUUGCCUACGGUGUGCUGGAGAUAGAGUAUGAGGAGAGCUGGACUUGGUUUUUGCAUAAUCUGCACCGGGCUAUUGCACAUCCCAAUGGGUUGGUCAUUCAUACAGAUGCCUAAAAAGGUUUAGAAGUGGUCGUGGACAAUGUGUUCCCUGGAGUAGAGCAUAGGGAAUGCAUGCGUCACCUUGCUACAAAUUUCAUGAAGAAAUUCAAAGGAAAGGUGUAUACCGACAAUUUAUGGCCAGCAUCUUUGACUUGCAGUGUGAAGAAGCACAACUACCACUUGAGGCAGUUAUACAUGAAUCCCAAAGUGAAAGAAUACUUGGAAACACACCACUCCAAGUUAUGGGCCAGAAGCCAAUUCAGUGAACUGAGCAAAGUUGACUAUGUGCACAAUAAUCUAGUAGAGUCUUUCUACUCAACAAUCCGAAAACUAAAGGGUCAUUAUGUGGUGGAUUUGCUGGACAGGAUAAGGAUAGAAUACAUGCAUAAAUUUCAUUAUCGUGCAGGAAUAGCCGAGGCAAAAUUCAUGGGCCACAUUAUCAUCCCUGCCGUGAUGAAUGAACUGAUGCAGAAAACAACAGGCUUGGAAAUGAACAUGACUCUUUGCUCGGGUACCACAGCAGAGAUAUCAUAUUUGGAUAAAGAGAAGAGGGAAUGGAGAUAUCCAGUGGAUUUAGAAGCUAGAACUUGCAGUUGUAGGCAAUGGUAGAUAACUGGGUUGCCAUGCAUUCAUGCCUUGUUUUUCAUCACUUCUCUCCCUGGUCCAGCAGGGAACAUUCAGCAGUAUGUGCAUGAUUACUACUCUGUUGCAAGGUUCAAAGCCACAUAUGCUUAUGCCUUGCCUGCUAUGUAGGGAAAACAACAAUGGGACAUGGUGGACCCUGGAUUCAAGCUUUGCGCUCCAGUUCUAAAGAGAGUAGUAGGUAGACCAAGGAAGAUUCGAAUCAACCUCGCAGCAAAGGAGUUGGACUUGGAGUGAGGAAGCGUAACUACACAAGAUGUGGUGGGUCCGGUCAUUUCGGUAAGUAUUGUGAUAACACAGUAGAUCCAGCGUUCGGAGAGAGUUUCGAUGAAGGCUUCGAUGAAAAUGAUGGACAGCAGCCGGUUGCAUCAGAUGAGGAUUUUGACGAGGUUCGAAAUGAUGAUGGUCAACAGCCGCAUGAUUUUGACGAUGAUCCAAGUGAGGCUCCAAAUAGUGAUCAUGGUGAUCCAAGUGAGGCUCCAAAUAGUGAUCAUGGUGAUCCAAGUGAGGCUCCAAAUGAUGAUCAUGGUGAUCCAAGUGAGACUCCAAAUGAUGAUCUUGGUGAUCCAAGUGAGGCUCCAAAUGAUGAUCAUGAUGAUCCAAGUGAGGCUCUAAAUGGUGACCAACCUUCUAUUGUUGUGAGUUCUGCUAGGUAUGUAAAUUUUGCAAGGGUCAAAUACUACUGUACCUUUAUGGGUCACUUAACAUGUUCUCAUUACCCUUUAUGUUUUGCACAGCUCUAUGAUAGGUUUGAAGAAGACGCACAAGGUACCGACAACCAAGAGGAGAAGAGAAGAAGCAAUGAGCACAAGGUGCACGAGGAGCAAAGUGAUGGCAAGAAGCUCAAGGAACAGACAAAAGCCCGAACUCUAUAUGUGAAUAAUUAUGAAACAUUAUGAAUAAUGUUGUAUUUCUGUUGGAUGAUGUUAGAACUAUGUUUGACAUGAUGUUUAAAUCUGUUGGAUGAUGUUUGAAUGAGCACAUGGUUUUUCCUUUUUUUGAUUUUUUUAAUUUUGUUUUGCUCAUUUGAAUUCUGGUCAAACUUAACUUUGACCAAGAUUUAAAUAAGUGUAAAACAUCAAAAUGAAAAACUAAGCCUGGAUCCUUCUUAGUCAAUCCAAAAUGAAGUUGUGGUGAGGUUUUUGAAAUUUUCACGAAAAAUGUGCUAAAAUGAGGGUCCAAAGGUAGGGUAAACGGCCUCAUCUCUAAGCAAGGUUUUUUUGACCUUGUCUAAAUCAGCCAAAUAACUUUCCUAAACAUAUAUUUUAUAUAUUCUAUAUAUACGGACUAUGUGCGCUGGUUUUUCCAUUUUUUGAUUUUUCUAAAUUUGUUUUGCUCAUUUGAAUUCUGGUCAAACUUAACUUUGACUAAGAUUUAAAUAAGUGUAAAACAUCAAAAUGGAAAACUAAGCCUGGAUCCUUCUUAGUCACUCUAAAAUGAAGUUGUGGUGAGUUUUUUGAAAUUUUCAUGUUUAUUUCCCCAAAACACUUCUCUUCACUUCAUACAAAAGAGUUUGAGAUACUCGAGAUAUCAUACAAUACACAUGAACUUAUCGUUUAAAUGUAUGUAAACCUUGUUUAUCAACUUAAAUCGUUAGUAUAUGACAUAAGAAGACUAUGUGCAUAGGUUUUUUAUUUUUCUGAUUUUUAUGUAUUUUAUUAUGCUCAUUUGAAAUCUGGUCAAACAUAGAUUUGACUGCUCCAAACCCCUCCCAAACCCCGCUAACCCUAGCGCUGAACCAGGACCGUUCAUCUAACCCUAGCGCUGAACAAGGGUCGUCGAUCUAACCCUUCUAGAAGGAAUCUGUGGGGAGGAGAGGGGCGAUCCGCGAGAUGCAAUCUGAUUGGCUGGGAGAUUCGUUUUUUUAAAACAAAUAUCGGGCGCGCUGGAUGGACCGUUGGGCCGUCUUGUUGUCUGGGCCUGAGACCGCUGACACCGCAGUAAAUAGCCCGUCUUAGCCUUUCCAGGCCUUACAUGCAUGCAUGGGAGGCGGCAACGUGCAUAGGCUGCGACGUGGGUUUGCAUGCGCGGGAGGCUGCGACGUGCAUGCAUGCGAGCGAGGCGAGUGAGGUGUGCUAGGCGCGCUAGGCUAGCGAGUCCAGCUAGGUGGUUCAACGAGUCAGAUGCACUAUCCGAUCAAAGAGCUAUGCAGUGAUUCAAAUGCACGCACGCACCCCAUGCAUGCAUCAUUUUUGUGCAAAAAUUUAAGAGUGCAAAGUGUAACGGAUACACACACGCGUUCGGAUUCACACACGCACCAUUCUCACCCUUUAUCUCUUCCUCUCCCACCCAUAGGCCUAUAAAUGGGGUGCCUAUCUUCCUCUCCCACCCAUAAGCCAGAUCAAAUCCAUUCUCUCCAACUUCAAACACCCAAUCGACCGAGUCUUCCCCAAGCGAGACCAUGCAGUUCAAUGUGCCGACCUUCAGCCGUCCGCCUGUCAUGCCGGAGCGGCGCUACCCACCGGGCGUGCUCGUGGAGAGGGAGCUCCGCCUGUGGGCUUUUUCAAGGUGGAGGGGUUCCGUCGAACUCACCCGCGCCUUCCUCAGAGCCGGCUAUGCCCACCUCCCACGGGGCUCCCCGAGGAUGUUCAUCGUCAACGAGGUUCGUGACCGCGGUGGCAUCGUCCUACUGCUCACGGCCAAGUCUUUUGGUGCGGCUGCGAGGCCAUCUUCUUCACCGUCUACAACAUCUACACCAACUACGAGAACAUCUUCCCCACUCCAUCCGGGAUGCACUCCCUUCCCUACGACGACGAGGAGGAGGUGUGAAGAUGAAGACGGUGUUGAAGGGGCGCGCGCGGCCAAAGUGGAAGGACGAGAUCAAGAUGAAGGUUGUUUCGUUUUUUAUUUGUUGCUUUUCUAUGCCAUGUCGUGUCGUGUCAUGUUUCGUCAUGUGUCCGUGAACUGUCCGUGAACUUAUUAUUGUAAUGGUACUUGUGUUGCAUCUUAUCUAAGUUAUUUAUUAGGGUUUAUUAUGUGUGUUAAAAAAUGUCCGUGCCCAAGCAUAUAAUUUCUUCCCUAAACCAAGUCAUGAAGCUCGAGAACUUGUGGUUGUCAUUCAAAAGAGGGGGUGAGAAGCCCUCCGUUUUAUUCAAAAAAAAUAAGUCAUGAACUAACAUGCAAAUUUAUUUUGUUUAAAUCCUAAACCAAGUGCCACUCUAACACUAAACCAAGUGCCACUCUAACCAAAACCACGUGGCAGUGCAAACAUACGUUUUCAACCUUCCAACCCUCCAAAAUUUCAGUGCAAAACAAAGGAAAACCACUCUCACGCGUGUGCAAACAUUCACGGUCUCACAUUUUUCUUUACAAAUUUCACAGUCUCACUAUGUAUACAUUCCUUCCCUACCCAUGUCAAACUCUUGCCAUCUGUCCUAGCGGUUACCAGCGCAGCCCUAAACACCACAGACCCACGCGGUCUUGGGUUCGAGUCCCCAGCUGCACCAAUUUUUUGUGCAUUUUCCACCCUUCAUUUUUUUGACAAAUUUCACAGUCUCACUAUGUAUACAUUGCUUCCCUACCCAUGUCAAACUCUUGCCAUCUGUCCUAGCGGUUACCAGCGCAGCCCUCAACACCACUAACCCACGCGGUCUUGGGUUCGAGUCCCCAGCCACACCAAUUUUUUGUGCAUUUUCCACCCUUCAUUUUUUGGACAAAUUAGUUUCUACUCAAUGUAAUGCCCUUAAAAAAUGUUCAUUAAUUUUGGCACUAGGUGUAAACAUCUACCAGAGCUGAGGCACAUUUUCCAUGACAUUUUGGUCUUUGAUUUAAAUCACGGUGUAUUUGAAUUGUAUUACUUAAAUGGCUAUUAAAUAUUUAACAGAUCCAAAUAAUUUCUAACCUUAAUUGUUUGGCUCUGGAAUAAUUCAUUAGCUGCAUUUCAUUGAUCAAAAGUUUCUGAAUUCCUCAUUUCUUCUCCUUUUUUUCAACAUGGUCACUUCUUCUCUCUUUUUUUCAACAUUUAAACAACUUUGACCAACAUUUAAACUAGGUGAAUUUCUCAUACAAUUUCAAGAUUACAAAUUCCUCCAUAAUUCAUGUCUUUCCAUACAUUUUCAACAUUACAACCAGUGCGAUUACCAUACCUACAAAUGCCCAAAAGUAUUUGCAAAUGGGUAUUGGUAGUGCUUGAUCUUCAAGCUUCCUAACCUUCUUCUUCAACAUCCUAAGCUCAACAGCUAGCUCUCUGUCAGUGCGUGCUUCGCCCUCCAUCUCUUCUUCCGGAGCUCGUGCUACGGCCACUGCGGUUUGGGGCAGCAUGCGCAACCAUUCGUCAUUCUCUUCUUGCAGUUCAUUUAUCAGAGUCUUGGCCAGAGCAUCAACCCAAAGAAAGAAGCAUGCCACCUGCAUGAACACGGAACAGAUCAACCGAUUGCUCAAAGAUCUCGACCACAAAAAUGGUGCAAUUGCCCCGAUUCUUACCCCAUUCUCGCUGCACACGUAGAACGGACGAUUGUGGUUCCUCGGUGUGUGAGAAACCCUCCGAUCAACGCUCGCCCGGCACCGUGGACAAACGAAGACAGGCAUCUCCACACGCGCCCGGCUCUGCAUCCGCGAGGUGGCGCGGGAGCUUGCGGAAGACAUGGAGCUCGGAGCUAAACAUGAUCUCAAUGCCGUCGCGCCCUCCACAUCUAGCUUCCCACUGCCGUCGUGCUCUCGCUCUCUCGCCGUGGUCAGCGUCGUGCUCUCUAUCACCGUGGUCACUGCCGCUGUCGCCCGCUAAUAUAGCACACACCCGCAAUGGCUCUAUGCUCAACGGCUCUCUGCUGGGUCCCGCAAGCCACGCGUGCAACAGUCUGAAUAAAAUUGGCCGCCUCUGCCGCCUGGUCCCACCUGUAAGGGCCGAGUCAAAACGUUGACCUGACGGAGACGCCAAAGUUCACAGAACGAGCCGGUGCGCACGGACUAGGGGCAAAACUGAGCACAAUUUGCAUCUGAGGGCAAAACUGAGCAGAUGGACACCACUAAGGGCAAAAGGAUAAUUAACCCAAAAAAUAAUGCAGUAAAUUAGCCUCGACCAUUCGGUACAGACACGUUUGUAAUAAAAAAAUUCAGUAAACGACAAAAGUAGUUCACUCCAUUUGUGUAGCAGCUCAUUACCCAGUUGUAUGAAGUGCAAUUUGUUUCGCUUGUUUAGAAAAAUAAAAAACCAGUCGAUUAAAUCAAAACACAUGCAGUGCGUCUGGUCCUCCGAUGUGGUGAGAGUGAUGUUGUUCACUUGUGCAAAGCGUGGAAGUGUGAAAAAAAUUAGCGGAAAAAAUAGUAAUGCUGUUCACUUCCAUGUAAGUCGAGGUCCAUUUGUACUCGUCUCUACGGUCCACUCUCGUUCAUAAAAAUUGUUGCAAAAAAGAAAACAAAAACUCGUUCGAUAAAAUUUACGUCCCACAAAAAAGAAAUCAUGCAGUGCACUUGUCCAUCCAAUGAAGUGCGGUUUUCAUUCUAAAGCAGUGCGGUCAGCCGUGUGAUGUUCAUCCCAUAAGUGCAAAAAUUUUGUUACAGAAGCGAAAAAAGUAAUCGGUUCACUUCUUGAUAGUGUUGUGAUUCAUUUACACCCAAUGUGAAGUGCACUCUACUUUCUCGUCUUUGAAAAAAUUACGUUUGAAUAAAAGAAACCAUGCAGUUCUCUUACCCGUCUGAUGCAGUGCAGUUUUUCGUCCAAUGCAGUGCGGUUUUCAGUCAGAUGAAGUAUCCAUGUCGAUUUGGGUGUCGCAAAAAAUAGUGUCCGUAUUUCGGUAAAUAAUUAGAGAGAUUUUCUACAUGAAAAAGUUGUGCCUCGUCAAUAUCUUUCCAAUGGCGUAUCGUUUGAAUCGUUUCGACCAGCGGUUUGUAAAAAUUUCACGAAAAACGGCCGCUCCCACUCGUCGUCCACGCACGAUUUUCAAAAUUAACUUAAAAUCGUAAGGAAUCUCAAAAACAUUUCAACAUAUGAAAGUUGCGCCUCGUCCAUAGUUUUCAAUGAUAUAUCACAUGCCUCGUUUGAACAAACGGUUAAAAAACUGGAGCGAAAACAGUACAAAAAAUUUGAAUUUUUUUUUGAAAAAAAGAAUUCCGCGAUUUAGUAAAUUUGAAACUGCUCUUAAACCAUAACGAAUUAGAGAAAAAUUUACCUAUGAAAAAGAUGCGCCUUGGUGAUAUCUGUCCAACGGUUUAUCAUUUGCUUCAUUCUGAUGAGCGGUUUAGAAAAAAGCGAAAAAACGUUCGCUGCCACUCGUUGUGGGCCGCACCAUUUUUAAAACUGCUCUAAAACCGUGAGAAAUCUCGAAAAGUGUUCAACAUGGCAAAGUUGUGCCUAGUCCAUAGCUUUUGAAUGGUAUAUUACACGCCUUGUUCCGACAAACGGUUAAAAAACUAGUGCAAAAAGGUACCAAAUAAACACAGUGUGCAGUUUUUUGUGACGGGAAGUUCACUCGCGUGAGUACUGCAGCACACUUGGUUCAAACAAUGACGUGCACUUGCAUUGAUCGUGCAGUGUGGAAGUGUUAUCAGAAUAGUUAUUCUUCUAAUAUUAGCAGAAUAUAUGUAUGUUGUUGUUCUAAGAAUGAUCAUGAUGCCCUCAUGUUCAUAUUUUAUUUUAUCGACACCUCUAUCUCUAACAUGUGGACAUAUUUUUCGAUAUGGGCUUCCGCUUGAGGAUAAAGGAGGUCUAAGCUUGGGGGAGUUGAUACAUCCAUUUUGGGUUGUUACUACACAUUAUGUCACAAUACUUAUGCCUUUUCUCUCUUAUUUUGCAAGGUUUACAUGAAGAGGGAGAAUGCCGGCAGCUAGAAUUCUAGGCUGGAAAAGGAGCAAAUAUUAGAGACCUAUUCUACAUAACUCCAAAAGUCCUGAAACUCCACGAAAGUCAGUUUUGGAAUAUAUUAAAAUAUUGGGCGAAGAAAUCACCAGAGGGGGCCACCCACUGUCCACGAGGGUGGAGGGCGCGCCCUACCACCCUGCGCGCGCCCCCUACCUCGUGGGCCACCUGGCAGGCCCCCGAUGCUCAUCUUCUGGUAUAUGGUGUCUUUUGCCCUGGAAAAAAUCAUAAGGAAGCUUUGGGGAUGAACCGCCGCCGUCUCGAGGCGGAACCAAUCUAGGGCUCCGGUGGAGCUGUUCUGCCGGGGAAACAUCCCUCCGGGAGGGGAAAUCGUCGCCAUCGUCCUCACCAUCGAUCCUAUCAUCGAGAGGGGGUCAAUCUCCAUCAACAUCUUCACCGGCACCAUCUCCUCUCAAACCCUAGUUCAUCUCUUGUAUCUUACCGUUGUCUCAAAACCUCAGAUUGGUACCUGUGGGUUGCUACUAGUAUUGAUUACUCGUUUUAGUUGAUGCUAGUUGGUUUAUUCGGUGGAAGAUCAUAUGUUCAGAUCCUUUAUGCAUAUUAAUACCCCUCAAAUUAUGAACAAAAAUAUGAUUUGUGAGUAGUUACGUUUGUUCCUGAGGACAUGGGAGAAGUCUUGUUAUAAGUAGUCAUGUGAAUUUGGUAUUCAUUCAAUAUUUUGAUAAGAUGUAUGUUGUCUCUCCUCUAGUGGUGUUAUGUGAACGUCGACUACAUGACACUUCACCAUUGUUUGAGCCUAGGGGAAGGCAUUGGGAAGUAAUAAGUAGAUGAUGGGUUGCUAGAGUGAUAGAAGCUUAAAUCCUAGUUUAUGCGUUGCUUCAUAAGGGGCUGAUUUGGAUCCAUAUGUUUCAUGCUAUGGUUAGUGAGGGAGUCCUGGAUUAAGGGGUCCUCGGACAGCCGGACUAUAUACUUUGGCCGGACUGUUGGACUAUGAACACACAAGAUUGAGGACUUCGUCCCAUGUCCGGAUGGGACUCUCCUUUGCGCGGAAGGCAAGCUUGGCAAUUCGGAUACGUAGAUCUCCUUCUCUGUAACCGACUGUGUAUAACCCUAGCCCCCUUCAGUGUCUAUAUAAACCGGAGGGUUUAGUCCAUAGGAUAACAACAAUCAUAAUCAUAGGCUAGCUUCUAGGAUUUAGCCUCUACGAUCUCGUGGUAGAUCAACUCUUGUAAUACUCAUAUCAUCAAGAUCAAUCAAGCAGGAAGUAGGGUAUUACCUCCAUCGAGAGGGCCCAAACCUGGGUAAAACAUCGUGUCCCCUGCCUCAUGUUAUACCAUUAGCCUUUGACGCACAGUUCGGGACCCCCUACCCGAGAUCCGCCGGUUUUGACACCGACAUUGGUGCUUUCAUUGAGAGUUCCACUGUGCUGUCACGAUAAGGCUUGAUGGCUCCUUCAAUCAUAUUCAACGACGCGGUCUAGGGGGAGGUUUUCCUUCCCGGACAAAUCUUCAUAUUCGGUAGCUUCGUACUAUGGGCAAACUCACUUGGCCAUCUGGAGCAGAUCGAUAGCUACGCCCCUGGCCAUCAGGUCAGGUUUGGAAGCUUGAACUAUACUGCUGACAUCCGCGGAGAUUUGAUCUUCGACAGAUUCGAGCCCAUGUCAGGUGCGCCGAACGGUCACGACGAGCAUGACUUAGAUCUGCCAUCGGUCAGUGUUCGGGAGAUCGCGCCUGCGGCGGCGUCGGAAAUCAAUCCGGAGGAGAUCGUGCUUUCCGAGGACGGGUGGAUGGACCCCGCCACGGAGGCCGCACAUUCAUCAGCGCUCGAGCCGAACACUCAUCCCACCUCCUGUGAAGGUGGUGUCAUCGGACCCUCGGACUCAUCUCCGGCUACAGGAUCCGAACCGCGUGCGUCCGUGCCUAUCGAAUCUGAUUGGCCACCGGUCAUGAGUUCACCGCCGCGGAUAUUUUUUUAGCACUCGCCCUUGGGUGAUGGGCUAAACUCAUUAAGGUCUCUUUCUUUGUCGGGAGAUUCGUGGCCGAACUAUGUCCGGCUCGAGUGGGAAGCGGACGACGAAGAAAUUCGUUCCCCACUCACCACCCACUUAAUAGCCACUGUCGACGACUUAACUGACAUGCUUGACAUCAACUCCAAAGACAUCGAUGGUAUGGAGGACGAUGCAAGAGAAGAACAGGAACCGCCGCCUAUAGGGCACUGGACAACCACCUCAUCAUAUGAUAUAUAUAUGGUGGACAACCCCAAAGAAAGCAAUGGCGAUGAGGCAAUGGAAGAUAACUCCUUGGAGAAGCAAUCUAUGCACCGGCAUCAUAGGCGCCGCUCCAAGCCCCGCCAUGGCAAAAAUAGCGAUACCGGCACAAAGAUAACAAUCCGCAUGGUGCCGAAGACGAAAACAAUCCUGCCCAGCCAGGCUUCGAGCAGGCCGAGCAAGAGGAUGGGCACGCUAGACCUAUGGAACAGGUGACAGAUGGAGAAUCAGAGGACGAUAAUUACACGCCUUUCUCCGAAGACGAAGAGAGCCUUGGCGACGAAGAAUUCAUCGUGCCUGAGGAUCCCGUCGAGAAGGAGCGCUUCAAGCGCCGGCUUAUAGCCACUGCAAAAAGCCUAAAGAAAAAGCAGCAACAACUUCAAGCCGAUCAAGAUCUGCUAACUGAUAGAUGGACCGAGGUCCUGGCUGCCGAGGAAUACGAACUCGAGCGCCCUAGCAAAAGCUACCCAAAGCGCAGGUUGCUACCUCAACUCAAGGAGGAGGCCUUAAAGCCCACGCUACCAGCGCAUGAUGCAGUUGACUGGCCACCUUGUGGCCGCGACAAAGCGGCGUACCGGCACGAAGUCUAGACUGCACCCCGGGGCUACACGAAGGACCUGCGAGAUGUAUUGGAAAACAAAGGAGGACAGUCAAGAUCGAUCUACGGAUCACGGGGGCGCACCACAAGACGUGAUGAUGACCGUCACACCGGAUACAAUAAACCAAAGUCCGGCCGGGCCGAAUACAACAGACUAGAUUCAUUUGAACUACGUCGGGAUGUACCCCGGCAUAGAGGCGCCGCACACCCCCUAUGCUUCACUGAUGAAGUUAUGGAUCACGAAUUCCCAGAAGGGUUUAAACCCGUAAACAUUGAAUCAUAUGAUGGCACAACAGACCCCGCGGUAUGGAUUGAAGAUUUUCUCCUCCACAUUCACAUGGCCCGCGGCCAUGACUUACAUGCCAUAAAGUACCUACCACUUAAGGUCAAAGGACCGGCUCGGCAUUGGCUGAAUAGCCUUCCAGCAAGCUCCAUGGGCAGUUGGGAGGACUUGGAAGACGCAUUCCUCGACAACUUCCAAGGAACUUAUGUGCGACCAUCGGAUGCUGAUGACUUAAGUCACAUAACCCAACAGCCCGGAGAGUCAGCCAGGAAAUUCUGGACUCGGUUCCUAACUAAAAAGAACCAAAUUGUCGACUGUCCGGAUGCCGAAGCCUUAGCAGCCUUCAAGCAUAACAUCCAUGACGAAUGGCUCGCCCGACACCUUGGACAAGAGAAGCCAAAGUCCAUGGCAUCCCUCACGACACUCAUGACCCGCUUUUGCGCGGGCGAGGAUAGCUGGCUGGCUCGUAGCAACAUCACACCCCAAAACUCAGGCGAUUCAAACGCCAGGGAUAGCAACGGUAAACCAUGACGAAAUAGACACAAGCAACGCAACAAUGGCGACAACGCCAAAGACACGGCAGUCAAUGCCGGAUUCAGAGGCUUCAAAUCCGGACAGCGGAAAAAUCCAUUCAAAAGAAAUAGUCCGGGCUCGUCCAGUUUGGACCGCAUACUCGAUCGCUCAUGUCAAAUUCACGGCACCCCAGAUAAACCAGCCAACCACACCAACAGGGAAUGCUGGGUGUUUAAACAGGCUGGCAAGGUGAAUGCCGAAAACAAGGAAAAGGGGCUGCAUAGCAAUGACGACGAGGAGCCCCGGCCGCCAAACACAGGAGGACAGAAGAAAUUCCCUCCCUAGGUGAAAACAGUGAAUAUGAUAUACGCAACCCAUAUUCCCAAGCGGGAACAGAAGCGUGCACUAAGGGACGUCUAUGCAAUGGAGCCAGUCGCCCCAAAGUUCAACCCAUGGUCCUCUUGUCCGAUCACUUUCAAUCGCAGGGACCAUCCUACCAGUAUCCGUCAUGGCGGCUCGGCCGCAUUGGUCCUUGACCCCAUCAUCGACGGAUUCCAUCUCACACGAGUCCUCAUGGACGGUGGCAGCAGCCUGAACCUGCUCUAUCAGGAUACAGUGCGCAAAAUGGGCAUCGACCCCUCAAGGAUCAAGCCCACAAAAACCACCUUCAAGGGUGUCAUACCCGGCAUGGAGGCCUGUUGUACGGGAUCAAUCACACUGGAAGUGGUCUUCGGAUCUCCGGACAAUUUCCGAAGCGAGGAGUUAAUCUUCGACAUCGUCCCCUUCCGUAGUGGCUAUCAUGCAUUGCUCGGACGAACCGCAUUCGCCAAGUUCAAUGCGGUACCGCAUUAUGCAUACCUCAAGCUCAAAAUGCCAGGACCUCGUGGGGUUAUUACAGUUAAUGGAAACACAGAGCGCUCACUCCGCACGGAGGAGCACACUGCGGCCCUCGCGACAGAAGUACAAAAUAGCCUUCUUAGGCAAACAGCCAAUUCGGCGAUAAAAAACCCGGACACCGUCAAGUGAGUCUAAAGUACUCCACGACAGGAUUAUCCGGCACGGUCAGAGCUUGACUAGCAAUCCGGCCUCCGUCCUCGUCCCAGUCAAGCGGCAAAAUUUGUGCCGCGUGUACACAACUACGCACUUAAAAUACCUGGGGCACAGGCGGAGGCACGGCCAUAACACGGUCCACAAUGCGGUUCUACCGCCCCAGGACCCACGCAUCUUUGCACUCCCUUUCCCUUUUUCUUUUAGGUCCUCAUCUUCGGGAGGCCCCUCCGAUAGACAGACUAUCAGACACAUAGCAGGACGGACACACCAGGAGGAUAAGAAGCUUUGGCAUACAAGGGAAUCCUUAGGUGGUCUCUGAUAAUGAUCGUUAUACCUGUUUUACUUACCAGCAUACAGCCCACCCCUGGUCAUGAUGUGUCAAACAGUCCCAUCUUGCUUAUCGCACUACUUGUAUACGUACGCUUUGACAUAUCAUUUGAAUAACAAGGGAAAAUAGUGUACAGCGCCAGCAUGCUAUUACAUUUGUUUACCCCUUCCCUUUACUGCUUAUUUGUUAUACCCGUGCAUUUUGGCACGACCAGUUUGCCAGGGGCUUCAGUGUACCCCAUAACCUGGCAAGAAAAAUUCCGAAUACUUUUGAUAGUGCGGCACCCCGAACUUGUAGCACUAUAUGCAUCAGCUCCGAAUCAUGUCCUGGGUCAAUAGUUGGGUUUAACCGGCUCCUAUGUUUUGGUACCUUACGUUCCGCUAUAUCGGCUAAGGUAGCGCAGGGAGAACUACUGCGAUUGUGUCCCGGUUCUUCCGGAUGAGCACCUCAGUAGAGAAAGCCGAAAACUAACUGUCAUGAUAAAGCGAGAGCCGGUCGCUGUUCAAGAGGUCUCAAAUCCUUAAAGAUUUUUACCGCUUCAGGCGAGGAUUUGGCCUUGUCCUAUUUAGGCGUGUAUAGUGCCCCGAGUCCGGCCUUCCGGAUACUAGGGGCUUCGCCAAAAUUUAAAAUUUUAUACUUCUAUGGCUAAGUGAGAGCGAUAAAGUUGUAUAGUCUAAUUGCCUCGUUUCGCGGCGCUAAACACCUCCUUAAAAGGACCAAAAAUUUGGAUAAAAAGUGUUUAUAUUUAUCCCGAACACCCCAGUACUAGUUGCAUGGGGGCAGAAGCCAACGACUGGCCAACUCUCAAGAUUUUAUAAAUGGCCGCACAGAAGGUAAUAUUUUAAAUUAAUAAGCGCCAUAUAGCACACAUGAACUGGUUUUCAUAUUACAUGAUGACACGAGUACAUUCAUUCAAACAUUACAUCCUUAGUACAUUCAUCCGCUACAAGGCGGGCACCCUUAAUGACAUUGUCAUAAUACUGCUCGGGGUGGCGAUGCUCCUUGCCCUUCGACGGCCCCUCUGUCACCAGCUUCUCGGCGUCCAUCUUUGUCACGCCCAAUAUGCGACCCUAUUCAAAAGGAACUCGAAGGUCCCACCAAGGAUAGACCCGCAUAUUGAAACGCUUUUGCAAGGUGGAUAUCAUUACAUCAACAUUACAUAAUAGAUGGGGAUACAUACAAGAGGCAUACAAUGCCACAUGAAUACAACAUCAUAAUACAUAAAAGCAUCAUCCGACUACGGAUGAAAUACAAACAGAAACUCAAACGACAUCCACCCUGCUAGCCCAGGCUGCCGACCUGGAACCUAUCCCCUGAUCGAAGAAGCAGAAGAAUAACUCAACACAAGCAAGCAUUGCUCUCGCGUCAUGAUCAUCGCAUAAACCUGUACCUGCAACUGUUGUUGUAGUAAUCUGUGAGCCACGAGGACUCAGCAAUCCCAUUACCAUGGGUAUCAAGACUAGCAAAGCUUAAAGGGAAAGGAAGGGGUAAAGUGGUGAGGUUGCAGCAGUGACUAAGCAUAUAUGGUGGCUAACAUACGCAAAUAAGAGCGAGAAGAGAGAAAGCGGAACGGUCGUGAAGCUAGCAAUGAUCAAGAAGUGAUCAUGAACUCCUACUUACGUCAAACAUAACCCAAAGACCGUGUUCACUUCCCGGACUCCGCCGAGAAGAGACCAUCACGGCUACACACACGGUUGAUGUGUUUUAAUUCGGAUCUGGUGUCAAGUUAUCUACAACCGGACAUUAACAAAUUCCCAUCUGCCAAUAACCACAGGCACGGCUUUCGAAAGAUUAUACCCUGCAGGGGUGUCCCAACUUAGCCCAUGACAAGCUCUCGCGAUCAACGAAGGAAUAGACCUUCUCCCAAGAAGACCCGAUCAGACUCGGAAUCCUGGUUUACAAGACAUUUCGACAAUGGUAAAACAAGACCAGCAAGACCGCCCGAUGCGCCGACAAUCCCGAUAGGAGCUGCACAUAUCUCGUUCUCAGGGCAACACCGGAUAAGCUAAGCGUACAGGUACCGACGUAACCCAAGUUGCCAAGGGAUGGUCCCGCACGGUGCUCUAAUUUGGACCAACACUUAGACAGGCACUGGCCCAGGGGGGCUGUAAUAAAGAUGACCCUUGGGUUAAUUACUCCCAAGGGAAAUAUAGGUGGUGGUGAGGCAAAUGGUAAAACCAAGGUUGGGCCUUGCUGGAGGAGUUUUAUUCAAAGCGAACUGUCAAGGGGGUCCCAUAAAUCACCCGACCGCGUAAGGAACGCAAAAUUCAGGAACAUAACACCGUUAAUGACGGAAACUAGGGCGGCAAGAGUGGAACAAAACACCAGGCAUAAGGCCGAGCCUUCCACCCUUUACCAAAUAUAUAGAUGCAUUAAUAAUAUAAGAGAUAUUGUGAUAUCCCAACCAAAAUCCUGUCCACCAUGGAGCAAUCUUCAACUUCACCUGCAACUAGCAACGCUAUAAGAGGGCUGAGCAAAGCGGUAACAUAGCCAAGCAACGGUUUGCUAGGAAGGGUGUCAAAGGUUAGAGGUUCAUGGCAACAUGGGAUGGCUCGACAAACAGAUGAUAGGUAGCGCAGCAAAGCGAUAGAACGAAGCAACUAGCAUAGCAAUGAUAGUAGUGAGAUCCAGGGUAGCGGUCAUCUUGCCUGCAAUCCCGCUAGGAAGAAGAACGAGUCCAUGAAGAAGACAAGCGGAAGUAGUCGAACGAAUCCUCACAAUCGCAACAUUACCGGAACUAAGAAGCAACACCGGAAAGAAACAAACAACACGGUAAAUGCACAAGCAUAAACAUGGCAUGAUGCACAAACAAGUAUGUUGCAUGUCCGGUUUAAAGAGGCAUGACAUGGCAAAGUGCAACAAACAAUACUACAAGUUAAGUGGAGAUCAAUAUGCAAUGAGUUGCAUAUUGACGAAACACCACAUCUGAGUUAUUUAGCUCGCUCUCGUUUAGGUACACAACCAUGUUAAAUGUUGUUAAACAUGGCAAGGGGUGAAACAUAAUGAAACUACCUAUCUAGGCAAGUUUAAAUGAGGCCAGAAACAACAAACAACAAUUCCAGUAAUCCCCACAUGUCAUUUAGCAAUUUUAAAGCAAACAACAAUUUAAGCAUUUUAAUUAUUGUUAUCAUGAUGCGGAUGACAUGUGCAAGUUUUAUGCAAUUUUAUGAAAAUGUUGACAUGAGCAUGUUUUGAAGCAUUUGUCAUCGUGGUGGAACGAAAGAGGUGCCACGGCAACGACAACGAAAAUGGUGCCAUGGCAACAUUCCGAUGAUCCGGUAACUCAUUGAGAUAUCGGUGCAAAAGAGCCAGUGUGCGGAUGUGCGGAACAUGCAAAAGAUGGUGGGGUGAUCCCAGCUACCGGGUUCCCACGGGUCGACGGCAUGGCAAACGAGGAGGAGCGUGCAAGGAUCAAUUGGACAUGGUGUAAACAUACGGUUCAUCUCAUACAACACACAAGCAUUCAUUCACGGGUGGUCAUCUCGGGGUUAUACCUUUGAAGCGUGCAUUUCGGGGCGGUUCAAAAACAUCGAGGGAAGUAGUUGUUCAUGGGUCGUAGGGGAAGUAGUCGUUCACGGGUCGUAGGGGAAGUAGUCGUACACGUUUCGUAGUUGUACACACUCCAUAGAUGUUCGGGGUCACGUCAAGGAACUUGACGUCCACGGGGUCUUCAAGGUCGACGGUAGUGGAAGUAGUGGUACACGGUGACGGUAGUCGUACACGAGUUGUAGUCGAACUUGACGGAGCCAACGUCCUCGAGGGUAGUCGUGGUACUUGGGGUCUUCGGACUUGCCGGUCUCGGUCUUGGCCAUGGUACAGUGGCUCCAUGAACACAAUAGGGCCAGAUGGAUGCAAGGUAAUGGCAGCAACGGGUCAGAAAGCUUGACCGUAACCGAAGUCAACAGUGCUCGAGGGCAGGGGCGCUCGGGGCAGUGGUGUGCAGGACGCUGGGGCGGCUGGUCAGCAGGGCAAGGACGACAGCAUGCUAGGUCGCUGGAGCGGUUGGGCAGGAGGCACGAAGAGCAGCAGGCGCGUGCAAGGCGAAACAGGAGAGGUCGCCGGCAGGGUAGGAGAGCAAGGGGAACACGGGCUCCUGGUGGAGCUCAUCGGCGACGGCUGUCACCGGCACAGCGCGGCAAGGUGCGGGUGGCGAUGGAACUUGAUGGCGAGGCGAAGGACGAACACGAGCCGUGGGUGAUCGUGGCUGAUGGAGGCCGACGAGGCAGGGGCGACGGGAGCCGGCGGGGACGCGGGGUCGCGCACUCGAUGCGGGAGGUUGUUGGCGCGCGGACGAAGCAGCAGCGGGCAACGGCGGGCAUGGGAGGCGCCAUUGUGUGCGCCCGUGGCAUCGAGCACGGGAGGAGAGGCGGACGGGGUCCUGCGACGUGCGGCUCUGGCCGCUCGAUGUAGGGGCGCAGCAGGGGCCGAUGCAGGUCGUGAGGUCCGGGGUGGGCGGCGGAGCCGCGGGGCUCGGCGCGGGUCCUCGAGGCGCCGGCGGCAGGAGCGGCGACGGGGUCACGAGGCGGAUGGCGAGCUCGUCAGGACGGCGGCGCGCGGGACAUGGCAGCAGGGUGGCGGGAUCGGACAAAGGAGCACGACCAGGAGGGGAUCGGGAGGGCUCGCGGCGGAGGAGCUCUCGCUCCCUGCACUGGCUGUGUGCGAGAGGCGGCGGUGCGAGAGAAUGAGGACGAUGGAUCGAUGGAGGGGUCGGCCUAGGGUUAGAUAGGGGGCUGCUGGGCCUAGGGGAGGUUGGGCCGAUCUGGGUUGGCUGCUGGGCUCUCUCCCUCUUAAUUCUCUUCCUUUUCUCAAUUUCCUCAAACAGAAAAUAAGAGAGAAAAGCUCAGAGAUAAAGGGAAGGCAUGAGAGAGAUAUGAGAAAAUAUCUGGAGUCCAGAAUUUGUGCAGAAUUUUUAUAAAUUGCUUUGGGCAUUUUUAAGUAUAGAAAAAUAAUUCAAGUUUGAAUUAAAUUCAAACUUGAGCCAUUUUUGAACCCAACCAAAACAACUCCAAAAAGGAUGAUAUUUGACAGAGAGGUAUAAGGCAUGGAGUAAGAUCAACAGGGAAUAAAUGAACAUUAAAGGAGAAGGGAGAAAUGGCACUAGCAAAAAUAAAGGAAUAAGAAGGAAGAAGGAGGUGAUGAUACAUGGGCAUGGCUUGAGAGAAGAGACAACAAGGACUGAUGCACACACAACAAUACACCAAUAUGAAGAAUGCAACCCACAUGAUGAUCAUGAUGCAAUAAAUGACAAGAGGCAUAAUGCAACAUAACAAGUGAAAUGAGCAUGGUGCAAGAAGCAAACACACGACAAGGCACUCAACAUGAUCAUGGCAUAAACAUGUAGAAUAAAAUAUGCAAAACAAUUAUGAUAAAGCAACAAACAAGAAUAAACACACGGCAACAACUAAGAUAAAUGGAAGGCAACUGGAGCAUCGGUCUCGGGGCGUUACAAUCUUCCCCCGGUGCACUUUCGCAUGGGCCAAGGCCCUGCGUGCACUCUCAAUGCAGGCGGACCGCUUAACGACUUCAAGCCGCGGACAGGCAUUUACCAUCCACUUGACAAGGCUGAAGUAGCUACUGGGCAGGGGCUCGCUAGGCCACAGCCGGACUAUGAAGUCCUUCAUGGCCAGUUCGGCCGCCUUGUGAAGUUCGACCAGUUGCUUCAGCUGGUCGCUCAAGGGCAUCGAUUGUUCGGCCCCAAUAUACUGGGACCAAAACAUCUUAUUCAUCAAGCUCCCCUCCUCAGCCUGGUAGAACUCUGCGACAUCAGAGAUGCGGCGCGAUAGAUCUGCGAAUGCUCCUGGAGAGCUCCGAACUCAGGUAAGUAAAAGGAAAGUGUCCUUCAGAUGCUUACUUUGCAUAAUGAAAGCCUUACCCGCAGCUAUCUUCUUGGCCGCCUCAAUUUCCUGGAGGGCCUUCUGGGCUUUGGCCUUGGGGUCUAGCGCGCCCUAACAGGCCUUUGCAAGCUCCGACUCUUGCGUUUUGGAGUCACGUUCCAAGGACUCGAAUUUUUUGACGAAGUCCUGGAGCUCUUGCUGGACCUCAUCAACUCGAGCCGCUUGUUUUUCGCGCUCGGUGCGCUCCCUGGCCGCUUUGCCUUCGGCCUCGGACAGCGCCUUCUUAAGGGCCACCACUUCGGCCUGGGCCCCUAUUAAAAUUCAUCGUGCUUACAUCAGCAUCAGCGAUUUUUUCCUUUAUAUAACAUUCACACGGGGUAUUACUUACCUUUGUUCUCCUCGAGCUGCCUCUUCACGAGGCCGAGCUCUUCUUCGGCCCGCCCCAGGUUCUGCCUUAGUCUGGAGACCUCCGCAGUAGCGGCAGCGGCGGCCAGCAGCGACGCCUGCUCAUUGACAUAGACAUAAUAUGAUUAGACUCCUGGGAAUAAAAUUUGAUCCUCUGUUUGGCCUUUCUUUCCGAACACCAAACAGAGGAUCAGGGGCUACUGUCUGUACUGUGAUACUUUCUCACAAUUUGAAUUACUCACCUCAAAGCCUGUCAGGAGACUGACGCAGGCUUCGGUCAAUCCGCUUUUGGUGGACUGAACCUUCACAAUCACCGUACUCAUAAGAGUAUGGUGUCCUUCAUCAAGGGAAGCGCUCUGAAGCGCUUCCACCAAGUUACCCGAUGCCUCUGGAUGGACAGAGGUCAUCGGCACAGGCGACUCGCCCCCCUUGGCGAGGGGCUGCCUACCUAAAUCCGGAACCACUGGAGGUUCCAGCGUAGUAUUCGUCUGGGGGCCAAGCUUGCUGCGACCCCCCUCAUCAGAUUCCAUGGGGAUCUCUCCCCCCCCCCCAUGAGCCCGGCAUCGAUGGUAUCGCCUUGAGGCACCUCCAGAACUAUCUCUCACUAGCCCAGUAUCCUCUGAGAUAACACCUCGGUAUCAUCCGCGGCCUGGGGAGUGGAGGCCGUCGGGAGCGAAAAGUUGUUCAUCUCCGAUGAAUUCAAGGACCCGUCCGAGGAGGAUAAGUCGAUGUGGGAUUUGGACGGACUGCACAAAUAUAUUUUGAUAUGAUAAAGAAGCCAUAAAGCUAAACAUGCCAGAACUAUUCUGGUAUCCGGAUAUUUACGACUUCACCAGGGGCUUGGCCCUUGGUAGCCACUCCUCGUCGCUGUAGGCGGCUGUGGUGGAGUGGUCCGGAGGGAGGGUCCUUCCUUUCUUGGACCCUUCGGCCUCCCGGAAGGGGCCGCCUUCCUUUUCUUCUCCCCCUCGGUUUGGGGGAGAGGGUUUUCCUCUUCCUCCUCCUCAUUGUCGUUGGAGGAGUGCGCCUCGGUGUCUUCAGACGAUGAGUCCGACACCACCUUGCACCGGAGACUUCUCCUGGUCCCCGUGGCUUUCUUCUUGGCCUUCUUCUCCGGCACCUCAUAGGGCGCCGGAAACAGCAUCUCCGUCAGGAGAUUAGUUGCUGGAUCUUCAGGCAACGGAGCCAAACAGUCGAUCCGCUCCGCCGUCGCCGCAUAGUCCUGUUAAAUCAGUAUGAUGGCUUAGGUUCCUCCCACGAAUAUACCAAGGAAAGGCACAUCUUGCGAAAUAUAGAAUGCUUACCAAAUUGGCGUGGCGCUUGGCGCUGAGUCCGCGGUCCUCGAUGGUGGGAGGAGGAACUUCACUGGCCUUGAACAACACCUUCCGGACGUCUUUGUGUGUCAUGUCGAAGAGCUGUCGCAAUUUCUGGUGUUGGGACGCAUCGAACUCCCACAGGUUGAAUGCCUGUCUUUCACAUGGGAGGAUCCGGUGAAAGAGCAUGACCUGGACCACGUUGACAAGCUUGAUCUUCUUGCUUAUUAUAUUUUUAACGCAGUUCUGGAGUCUGGUCAGCUCCGCGGGCGCGCCCCAGGCUAAACCCUUCUUCUUCCAGGAGGUGAGCCGCAUGGGGAUGCCGGAUCGGAAUUCGGGGGCCGCCACCCAGUUGGUGUCACGCGGCUCGCUGAUGUAGAACCACCCCGAUUGCCACCCCUUCACGGUCUCCACAAAGGAGCCUUCGAGCCAGGUGACGCUGGGCAUCUUGCCCACUAUGGCGCCUCCAUACUCCGCCUGCUGGCCGACCACUAUCUUUGGCUUCACGUUGAAGAUCUUUAGCCACAGGCCGAAGUGGGGCCUGAUGCGGAGAAAAGCCUCACACACGAUGAUAAACGCCGAGAUGUUGAGGAUGAAAUUAGGGGCCAGAUCAUGAAAAUCCAGCCCCUAAUAAAACAUGAGCCCGCGGACAAAUGGGUGGAGAGGGGAUCCCAGUCCGCGGACGAAGUGGGCAAGGAACACAACCCUCUCAUGGGGUCCCAGAGUCGGAAUGAUCUGCCCUGCGUCCGGGAGCUGGUGCGCAAUGUCUGCCGCCAAGUAUCCGGCCGCCCGGAGCUUCAUAAUGUCCUCCUCCGUGACGGAGGAGGCCAUCCACUUGCCUCCCGCUCUGGACAUGUUUGGUUGUACGGAGAAGGUGAGAACUGGGGCGCUGGAGCUCGAGCGUGCGAGAAUGGAGGAGCGAAGAAGGAAGAAGGCGUGGGUGAAAGAGGAGAAUCCCUAUCUCUUUAUAAAGGCGGUAGAAACUGUGCGCCUCGCCACUUGCCCGUUAAAAUCUCUUAUUUCCCAAGCGCCACGAUUGAUGGCGUGGUUGGGUUACCCAUACACGUAUUGAUGAGAAUCCCGCAAUAAGGCGACACGAUCUCUGCUUCGACAAGACGUGUCAAGGAAACCGCUUCGCUUUACGUGCAGUAGCUGGUUGUGAAAAACGGUUCGAAUAAUGACUGGACAGUGGCGUAAUGUCAUGCUACGAAAAGCUGUCAGAAGAUUAGAUUUGUGGAAUAUUGUACUCUCUACGGUGGUAUGUGGAAUUUGUUUUGCAGAGCCAGACACAAUUCUCGUGUUCAAAAUCUUCUAUGGAGUAUUUGGAGGAGGAACCCGACUUGCAAUGUCGAAGACAAUCUGCGCGCCGGACUCAUCGUCAUUGAAGCCUGGUUCAGCGGCUGCUGAGGGAGUCCUGGAUUAAGGGGUCCUCGGACAGCCGGACUAUAUACUUUGGUCAGACUGCUGGACUAUGAAGAUACAAGAUUGAACACUUCCUCCCGUGUCCGGAUGGGACUCUCCUUUGCGUGGAAGGCAAGCUUGGCAAUUCAGAUACGUAGAUCUCCUUCUCUGUAACCGACUCUGUGUAACCCUAGCCCCCUCCGGUGUCUAUAUAAACCGGAGGGUUUAGUCCGUAGGACAACAACAAUCAUAAUCAUAGGCUAGCUUCUAGGGUUUAGCCUCUACAAUCUCGUGGUAGAUCAACUCUUGUAAUACUCAUAUCAUCAAGAUCAAUCAAGCAGGAAGUAGGGUAUUACCUCCGUCGAGAGGGCCCGAACCUGGGUAAAACAUCAUGUCCCCUGCCUCCUGUUACCAUUAGCCUUAGACGCACAGUUUGGGACCCCCGCUACCCGAGAUCCACCAGUUUUGUCACCGACAGUUAGGUUUACCUUAAUUCUUCUUCGCAGUUGCGGAUGCUUGCGAGAGGGGUUAAUCAUAAGUGGGAUGCUUGUCCAAGGAAGGACAGUACCCAAGCACCGGUCCACGCACAUAUCGAAUUAUCAAAGUAACGAACACGAAUCAUAUGAGCUUGAUGAAAACUAUCUUGACGAUAAUUCUCAUGUGUCCUCGGGAGCGCUUCGCUUUAUAUAAGAGUUUGUCCAGGCUUGUCCUUUGAUACAAAAAGGAUUGGGCCAUCUUGCUGCACUUUGUUACUUCUAUUACUUGUCACCCAUUAUGAACUAUCUUAUCACAAAACUAUUUGUUCGAUAAUUUCAGUGCUUGCACAGAAUACCUUACUGAAAACAGCUUGUCAUUUCCUUUUGCUCCUCGUUGGGUUCGACACUCUUCCUUAUCGAAAGGACUACGAUAUAUCCUUAUACUUGUGGGUCAUCACGGGCGCAAGAGCAGACCCCGCAAAGCCGACCUGUGAAAAAGUAUAUUCCGCGAAUAUCCUUUUUUACGGGUCCGUUUGGGGGGUCUGCCUUUGCGGCCGUCCGCGCCGGCCCGCAAAGACGUUUUUCCGCGAACUGCAAACGCGUUUUGCGGGCCGGCGGGAUGCGGGGUCUGCUAGAGUUGCUCUUAGCGUUGCGGCCCUACGCGCUAAGUAUCGAGCGUGAAACCGCACAUGCCACUUCUCACCUACAGGGCGGUGCUACUGGGCCAACCCAAUAGUGUAGCUGCACGCCAGUUUUUUCCUGUGGUUCCUUAUUAGUUUUUUCGUUGUUUUGCAUCGGCGUUCUUUGGGUUUUCUUCAGUUUCUCUUUAGUUUUCUUUGGAUUUUUCUUUUUUUUUCUCCAGUUUUAUUCUACUUUUUUUAGUUCUAUUUUUUCUAACACAUGUGUAAUUUAUUUGAAUACAUUGUAAAUUUGUCAUGUAUAUCAGAAACAUUUUUUAAACAUGUUCAAAACAAAUUCUAAUAGAUGAUUAACAUUUUUUAUAUGUGUUAACUCUUUUCAAAUAAAUGUUGAAACUUUUUUUAAUGAUACAAAACAUUUUUAGGCUAUGCAAACGUUUCUUUACAUUGUAUAAACUUUUUUAAUGUCACAAACAUAUUUUUGAAAUGCAUGAAUUUAUUAAAAUGCAACGUACAUUUUUUUGAAUGGUACUAAAAAAUAUUUUGAAUUGUAUGAAUAUAUUUUUAAAUGUCACUUUCAUUUUUUUCAACGGUACAAAUAUUUUCUAGAAGUUGAGCGAACAUUGUUUUACGCUACAUGGAUAUUUUUUUAAUGUGCAAUGAACAUUUUUAAAAAGUAACUAUUUUUCAUAAUAUAAGAAUUUAUUAUUUUUGUAAAUAUAAACCAAGGCAAAAAAACGACAUGUUCAGUCAACAUGACGAAACCAUAUGGCUAUUGGGUUGCCACUUUCGGUUCCUGUAGGUGAGCUCGGCUUCUGUCUCGCUAAAGGAGACUUCUUUGUUGAAUGGAAUUAUUUUAUUCUUUUAGCUGGAGUUGGUAGAACCCUAGGUGGUUCUCGGAAGAGGUAUCAAUUUUUUUCUAAAGUCGGAACUUAAAGGAACGCAUAAGCCAAUGCUUCCAUAGAUAUGAUCGUGAUUUAUUCACAAUUAUAACUUCCACACCUAUUCAUUUGUCAAUUUGGGAUAAUUUCCCAUAUAAAGAAAUAAAAAGACUCGAAGAAAUUAUGGGGGAUGUUUCCCAUGUCAAAUAGAAAAAAGAGGUGAAUGAUACCAUAACAAUGUGUAUCAGACUGGUGGUUUCCUUGUAGUUGGACAUAUAUACUUGCUCGCGGAUAGCACCCCACGUAGCUAGGGAAGUGGGCCCGUGCAUCAUCAUUGGCUCUCACGCUAGUAGGAUGUUUCUCCUUCCAAUUUCUUGCUUUCCCCAAAAAAAAUUUUUUUGCGGGAUAAUACUUGUAUUACUCAAAGUUAAAAAUUACAAUCAUGACUGGCAAUGCCUAAAAGUUCGUCCGGACCCGACCCAAGCCACACAACAGUUCGGCAUUGUGAUCGUCCAUAGCUUGCCAGGAAAUGACUAGCAUUGUUUUUGCUACGCACAAUAUGAGUAAUACAAGAAUUACGCUCGAUCAAACUAUCUUUGAUCUCUUUAAUAAGAAAAGCGUGUUUAGACUUAUUUGUAUCUCCACUCUGAAUAAUCUUCACUGCUUCUAAAUUGCCCGAUUCAACAUCAACAGGUAGACUACUCCAUUGCAAGGCAAGUAGCAAACCCUCCCGAAUUCCCAGAAUUUCAGAUUCGAGCACGUCAUCACAAGCAAAGAGAUGUCUACAUGAACUGAAGAUGAUGCUGCCACUAUGGUCUCUAAGAAUCAUACCUGUUCCCGCCACACCAUUAAGAACUGAACCAUCCGUGUUCAACUUCACUCGCCCAUCCACUCGAGGAGUCCAUGGGCUAUGUUGUUGGCUCUUUGUACGGUGUGUCGUUCCCAUGAGAGGAAAACACACCUGAACAGGGUACUUUCCCUUAGUGUGGUUAGCUUCCGGAUGUGCAGCAAUGGAAUUCAACGAAGAAACAUAGCUUGAUAGAAAACGACAGGAGACAUCGACCGGCGGGGCAGGUUUGUAAUGGACUAUCUCGUUCCAGUCAUACCAUAUCCGCCAAAGGAGCAUCAUAAAUUGAAGUCGUCUUGGUUCAGUCAAGUCAGCAAAUGCUUGGACAAACCAUUCUUUCUCCGUUGGUAGAAUUUUUGUAACAUCUGGAAGGUCCCAUUCUGAAGCCAUUGCUCUCCAUAAGCGCUUAGCAUUGAUGCAGGAGCAGAAAGUAUGGAACGAGUCCUCCUCUUCGCAGCAACAAAUCGGACAGUUAGCAUUUAUCUCCAAAUUCCGUUUCUGUUUGUUUUUCCAAGUAGCAAGGGAGUCUGUUGCUAACCUCCAAGCAAAGUUAAGAACUUUCGGUGGAGCAGGAGUAGACCAGAUGCAAGUCCAACCUGCACGAGCUCCAUCUGAGUGAUAACUCGAAGUUGCAACAUAACUAUCUUGCUUUCCCAAUUAACAUAAUGUAAAAAAAAGGUUACUACAAUUAUACCAUGGCAAAACAAUAAUCCAAAUUAGCUGCUUAAAGAAAGAACUUCCUAUUCCUCUAGAAUGCCAAAGUUUCACUUAUGCUAUGAAUGUGUCCAUGAAAACGCGGCAAAUGUCUGCGGAGGAAUGACGUUUGCGUUAGCUUAUUAAGAUGAAGCUGCUAGGUUUGGCGCCCCACGAGAGGACUAUUGUGAGGAAGCAUUCGAGUGUGUUGGGGAUUUAAGGAGAGUCUUUGAAGCACAUGUUUAUUACACGCUAGUCACCUGAGAAAGAAAGUCUUCAUCUCUUCUCUCAAGAUUAAUGGCUCACUUACAUCCGAUCAUGACGAGAAGGCUACAACAAUGUAUUCCUUCAUCUUUGAUAUGUUGGGUUCAUCACCAAAUUACCUCCAAGUCCCCAUUUUUGACCUACACCAUCUUUUGGUGGGUUUGUCAUAGGAGGAGGUGUGUAAUGUGGUUAAAAGUUAAAUCACAAAAGAUGGACAAGGUGAUGGGACAUGAUGGUUUCUCGGCGAGGUUCACAUGUUGGCAUCUCAUCCGAGAGGAUGUAGACACAAAUUUCUAAAUGUAAGGUGCACAGAAUUAGAAUCGGAGUGUUCAGUGAAGACACAUAGAUUUUAAUACCCCAGUUUAAAUUAUUGGCACAUUGUGCAUAUGGAUAGGAGAGGUCGAGCCACAACUCUGAUGUCGGGUGGUUGGUGCGACAUAUGCCAAGGGAUGGCUAACCAUCGUGGGAGCUAGUAAGACGCCGCCGGUGUCUAGAAACGGGAUGAGGCGAAGACAUGCACGCCGGUAAAUCUUACCCAGGUUCGGGGCUCUCCUAGGAUAUAACACCCUUAGUCCUGCUCUACGGGAUCUCCGCAUGAUCACUAAGUCAACAAGUAGCUACAAGUUGCUCCUUGAGCUGUUCGGCUAGAGGAGGAAGAAGGGCAAGGCUAGCUCUACUGCUCUCCCCAUGUGUGUGUGGGAAAUUCUAAGAGAUCAACCCUUUGCAUGGGUGCCCUGGUGGGUUUAUAUAGGCUUACCCCCCAAGGGUACAAUGGUAAUCCAGCCGGGUGUAGGCCCAGGCCGUCAGUGUCUGUGGUCGCCGGCUUCUCCGCCGGCCACUUGGGCCCGCCGACUGGUGGAUCCCGCCGGUUGCCGGGCUCUAGGCCGACAGGUUGGCCCCAUCGCCUGUGGGCCCUGUCGGCUGCUCAUCACUGUGGCCUCGCCCCUGAUGAUGGUGGCUUGGUCGGGGCGAGAGUGGCUACAGUACCGCCGCCUGGUGGGUGUUCACUGUAGCCACACCCCGUCUCAUCCGGUUAAUGGCGCACAAACUUCGUGGGGAGGGGAGGCUCGACUGUCGGAAGCCGGCCUCCCCCUCCGUCGACUAGUCUAGGCAUGCCGCAUUCUGGUAUCUCGCUGGUAGGUAGGGUCCGCCACCUGCCGGCCGUACCGGCAGCCCGUCGUGGGACUAUGGUAGCUCUGCCAUGGAUGAUGUCAUAGUCAACGUGGCAACAGUGCUGUGCCGGGCCAGGGAUGGCCGCCUGGUACGGUGCACUGUGGACACGCCCGCUCCGGGAUUCGGGGGUGGCAGUCUGCACUGUAGCCAUGCCCGUCUCGUCGCCGUUAUGUGGGUGCAAACUUUGAGUGUGCAUGGGAGGUAGAUAAGACUACCCGUGGUCAUUUACUUCGAGAGUAGUCCCCAAAGCUGGUAGGGCAUCGCUACUGAAAAGGCGAGAGGCCUCAGCAGCUUUCUAAUCUGAAGAGCCGACAACUAGGAGUCGGCAACGACCAGGCACGCUGUCUUGAUGAUUUCAAAACAUGAAGGCGGGAGCCAAGUGGCGCGCGCACCGGGCGUCGAGCCGGCCGCCCGUUGUCCGUGUGCCAUGCGGCGCCGGCCGGCUGGACCAGCCUACCAGCCCACGCGCGCGACGGGACGUUGCCGCAGGCUAGGGCCCGCCAGGAUCUACUGUGGCCGAGGCAGACGGUUGGCAUUCCGUGCGUGGUUAAUGCAUGCCAUUAUGGCAUGAUAAACACAGAGUCGUGGGGACGUGGGCGCAGUUAAUCCCACGACCCCCACCUCCCGCCCCCUCGACUUUGCCGCUUGGGGCUAUAAGUAUGGGAGGAGGGGAGCGGCAGACGCAAGCGCGCCCUCCUCCUCCUUCGCCAUCUUCUUCCUCCUUUCUCCCUCUGCUGCUGCUAUUCGCCGCCGCACCGAGCCUCCGGCCACCCUACAGCGCUGCUGCUCCACCGCGGGUCUAUGCACUCAUUGCCGCACCGCCCCUCCAUCAAGCUUCACGCGCUCAUGGCGCGCUCCGAAGCAUGGGACGGCUCCAAUGUCCAUGAGGACCACAUCGACUUCCUCCGCCGGACGCAACAGUUGCCCGGCGCGGAUUACGUGAAGGUUCGCCUGGCGCCCGAAAGGGAGAUCUCACCGGCGCCGAAGGAAGGCGAGCGCGUCAUCUUCCGGUCGCACUGCCUACACGGCUUCGGCCUGCCGGCAAGCGUCUUUCUGCGCUCCUUCCUCUAGUUCUACGGCCUCCAGCCGCACCACCUCACGCCAAACAUGGUGGUGGUGCUGUCCGUCUUCGUCACCCUCUGCGAAGGCUACCUCAGCGUCCUCCCCACCCUCAAGCUCUAGGGAGAGUUCUUCGACACGAAGCUCGGCACUAUCACCAAGGGGGUAGCGGCGCAGUGCGGUGCCUUCAUCGCGGUGCGGAGGCCGGCUGCUGAGAACCCCUUCCUAUCCAUCACGUUGACACAGUCGGUCAAGCUAUGCUAACAAUCCUACUUCUAUGUCAAGAAUGUCCACCCGGAGGCCAACUUCGUCAGCCUGCCGGCCUAUGCAGUCGGCCCGCCGACUGGAUCCUGCUCCAACUGGUCAUACCGACCAAAAACACUGUCGCCCGACUCCGCCGCCGUCGUCGAGCGGCUCAAGGCGAUGACGAGGAUGGAAGGCCUCACGGGGGCGGACUUGCUGACCACCUUCGUGGCACGCUAGGUGCUCCCCCUUCAAGGUCGGCCGCACAUGAUCUGCCAGAUGAGUGGGAACCGGGACCCGUGCCGAAUGAGCACCAAGGAGAUUCCACACGCGGAGGUGGCUCACUUGGUGAACCACAUCUUGAACUGCAAGCUCCCGGCAGAGGAGUGGCAGUUCGGCAAGGAACCGUAUUCGCGCGUGCACCCGUCGCCUGCGGUAAGUCUUCAUUCCUUCUCUUUACUUUUUAGUUGUCGGGUUCUCAUCUACCGGCUGACCGGUCGGACAUGAACUCGAUCAUCCAGUCGGCAACUGGCGUAGCAGGGCAGGCCCACGAGUAUCUCCCCGACCGAGCGGUGAGUGAUGUGGAUGACCCUGAAUUGGGGGUGACCGCCCUGGAGGACGAUGAUGCCACGGGCGGUGGCGGUGGAGCAGGCGGCUCCGGAGGUAGAGGCGGGCUCGACGACUGGCCGGACAACGACGAUGAAGAGAACACGCCGCACCACUAGCUAGCCACCGACCGGGCAGGCGCGAGGUCAUCAGCUGCGUCGGCUCCACCAGGCGCGCAGAGAAACACCAGGGCACGCCGUCGAAGUACAGAAGCUAGCCAAAGAAGCCCAGGGGCUCGAUGGUGGCGACCAAGCGGGAGGAGGCGGCCGCGAAGGCGAACCGCUUUCGGAAGGUUGCGAAGGAGCCCCCAACGGUGUCUGCGUAAGUGUUGACUCUUUAUUGUGUCCCUUCUUCUUUUUUCUUGCAAACACCCUUCUAAACUUUUUUCUGCUUACUCAAUCAUGGCCUUGCUCUCUCUCGAGAGGUCGGGCGCCGCCCCCGUGGUUGGGACGGCGGAGGGAUCUGCCAACUCUCGCCGUGUGGACCCGCGCGCCGAGCUCCUGGCGGCGUCGAAGAGGAACGCGCAGGAGGCGCACGAGGAGCUGGAGGCGGAGCGGAAGAAGGCGGUGGCAGCCAGGUCGGCGCAGGAGGAGGCGGACGAGGCCACGAAGACAUAAGUCGACACCGUCGCCAAGGCCGAGGAAGAUGCCGUGGCCAAGGCACAGGCGGAAGAGGCCGCACGCAGCCAACCCCCACAACUCGUCGUCCCCCUCCGCGUCGUGCCACCCGCACUCAAAGACUCAGCGGCGCCGCCUGAAGGAGCCGGCGGCGACCAUCCGGCCAUGGAGAGGGAGGGGCGACGGUGUCGCCAUGGGGGUGAACGUUCCUCCGUCGGUGCCGACCAUCGAGGACCAAGGUGGCCAGCCCAGUCCACCACCGGCGCCACCUGUUGGCGGCGGACCGGUGGCAGGGCGGACCCCGUGGUCCGCUCUCCGGCACGCCGGCGCGCGGAGAAGGCGGCCUCGGUGCCACAGCCGUAGAAGGCCGGGGGCGCAAGCUCGUCGGCCCUGGAGCUGGAGACCGCCAGCAUCAGCUCGCUGGAGUGGACACCUGGGGGCGGGACGGCUGUGCUGAACGCGGUUGCACAGGACGUCCGGGCCCGGCUCCAGGCUCAGGCCACCGCCCUCCACAACUACCACCAGGAGUUUCUGGCAUCGCGGACGGCCAUCCGGGAUAUGUUCCUUGCUUCUGGCUUCUUAUUCUUGUAUUAUUUUAUGGGGGUGCGUCAGCGCACCCACUAGGCAUAGUCCCCGAGUUCUGGGCCGGCUGCUGAGCAGGCGGCCUGGAACUCUCAAGUAGGUUCGGGUGCUGAGUUGCUUUCUCUUGUCUGUUGUCCUUAUUGCAGGAAUAUCAUAAUCUCCACGCGGCCGCCUUCAACUCCCAUGUCCGGGAGCUGGCCCUACAGACCGCCGACUUGUCCGAAAGCAGGAGUAAGCAUUCCGCCUUCUUUCUCUUUUGGGGGCGUGUCAGCGCACCCGCUGGGUGUAGUCCCCGAGAUUCGGGCCGACUGCUGAGCAGUCGGGCCAGAUCUCUUCUAGCAACUUCUCGUUUUCUUUCUUGCUUGCUGAUCAUUCUUCUUUGAUGUCUUUGGAGAGGCCAACGCCGCCUUGCAGCAAUAGAUGGGCGAGGCCCAAACCACGCUGCGCGCCAAGGAGGAAGAGUGUAGCAAGGUGGCCCAGGAGCACGACAGCUUGGCCAAGAAGCUAGCUGGCCAGAAGGAGCUUCGUAAGGCGGCCCUUCAGGCGAUGAAGGACGGCAAGACCGCCCUCCAGGCCGAGUACGAGACCCAGGCAUCAAACUGGGCCGAUGUGGAGCGGGCGCUGAAUGACGGCUACAGCCGGGUCGAAGACAUGGUCGACAGUGAGUUGCUUUCCUCUUCUUUCCUUCGUGUUCCUUUUUUAUUCUUUGCGCAGAGUACUUUCCUGGCUACACCGUCGCCGCCAGUCAAGCCAUCGAAGCCAACCGCGAAGAGCGGAGGCAGGAUAGUGCGAAGAUUGCACCGAACGCCCGUCGGACGCUUGACGAGCAGCUCCUGGCCAUCCAGGCCCGUCUCUAAACGGCUCACCAGAUGCUCCGACGGCUGUAGCGUGUCGGAGACCAGGUGAUUUCCGCCCUCUGGCCCGACAUCCUAGCUCCACGCACCCCCAGUCGGACUGCCGACUGGCUGGAAGUGGCAGUCGGCUGCUUCGAGGCGUGGAAGGCCUCCUCGGCCCGGGCAGGCACCAGGCGGGCCUUGGAGUUUAUCAGGGCAUGGUACCCUGGGCUAGAUCUAGCCCAGUUGGCCACGUUCUGGCGGGAGGCCAACGAGGAGUUGGUGGCGGUCAGGCCCGCUCUAAAUCAUCCCGCCGCAGCGAUCGCCGACUACACUGAUACCAGCAUCUUCGUCCCCGAGCUGAACGAGGACGGUGUUGAGGUGUCGGCGGACCUGUUUGGGCAGAACCCGGAGGACGGCGAGGACUCGGCGGAGGAGAUCGACUCCAGCGACGAGGGAGAGGACGAGGAGGACAGGGAUGGCGAAGACGCUGCGCCAGACGAUGGAGCGGACGGCUAGCCUCAACUCGAUCACGCCUCCUAUAACAAGCCGCGUGCGAGCAUGCCGACUGCUGUCGGGGAUGACCAAGCUGAGACUUGCCAGCCGGCCACUCCACCAGCCGGCACCGCCGACUCUGCCAACCUGCCGGACUCGCCUGCUGCGCCCUUGGCCUAGGCGGCCAAGUUUAUCUUUAAUUUUUCCUGCCUAGAAGUCUUUUGAACAACACAUGUUAGAUUCCUAUAGUUGCAUCCACUGGGGGUAUAUUCAAACUAUGUUGAAUUCUGGCUUUCUUGAUGUAAAUAUUAUUUCUCUUGUGCUAUGCUUAUGUUGCAUUCUGGAUUUGCUUGCUUUUGGGUCCUUUUCGGCUUUUUCCUUUGCUGCCCUCCCUUGGCUGCCGGCUUGCCAGCCGGACAGCCGCUCUGUAGACUGCGGCUGGGACAAGUGCUUAGCCGUUUUGGGAGGACAAGUACUUCGGCUUUUUAGGACGUAGCAAGGGAAGUGAGAAGCCGGUCGGCCGACUACUCAGCAGCUGGUCGGCAAGGCGGGGAGUCGGCUAAGGUUAUGUAAGUGUGUUGGUCCUUAGCCAUUUUUCAUAUGGGCAACGUUUCCUGCCUUUGAGUCUUGCCAACCGGACAGCCGCUCUACGAGCUGCAACUUUGCGGCAAGAGAAGGCUUAGAUGCCGGCACACUACUUGUCCGACUGCAGGUAGCACUUAACAUAAUACAAGGCGGCAAGCCCUCGGGCCGACUGGUCAAACCCGGUGCAAGGCGAAAAAAAUGUAGUAACACAUUCAUAGGCAUAAAACUUAUAAUAUAGAUAAAAGAGCAGUCCCCGAGUGCGCCUCGGGGACCCGAUGUCUUGUACUUAAUACAAAAGAUAGCGUGGUAAGUGUAUCAACUGUAAAAUCUUUGAAGGAGAUUUGUGUUCCAUGGGUGCUCUGAUUCCUUGUCGGAGUCAUCCCUCUUGCGUACCCUGGGCUUCUAUGCAUCGAUUAGGUAGUAGGAGUCGUUGCCCAAGGCCUUGCUGAUGACGAAGGGGCCUUCCCAAGGGGCUGAGAGCUUAUGCUGGCCGACUAUUCGCUAGAUCAGCCGGAGCACAAGGUCUCCCUCUUGGAAGGCCUUUGGCUUAACCUUCCGACUAUGGUAGCGGUGCAGGCUCUGCUGGUAGAUGGCAGACUGGCUGAGUGCCAACAAUCGGCCCUCUUUCAGCAGAUCGAUGUCGUCUUCUCGUGCUUCCUUCGCCUUCGCCUCCGUGUACAUGGUGACGCAAGGUGAGUCAAACUCGAUGUCAGUUGGGAUGAUGGCCUCGGCACCAUACACAAGGAAGAAGGGAGUGAAGCCGGUUGACUUGUUUGGAGUGGUGCGCAGGCUCCAGAGGACGACCGGCAGCUUGUCGAUCCAGCAGCCGGCCGAGCGCUCCAGUGGCUCGACCAGUCGGGGCUUGAUGCCGGAGAGGAUGAGGCCGUUUGCUCGCUCGACUUGGCCGUUUGACUGCGGAUGGGCAAUGGACACUAAGUCCAAUCGGAUGCCCUGCGUCAUGCAGAAACGUGCCAAUGCUCCUUUGGCAAAAUUUGUGCCAUUGCUGAUGAUGAUGCUGUGUGGUAUGCCAUACCGGACGGUGAUAUCUGCGAUGAAGGUCACAUCAGUCGGCACAUUGAGCUUCUUGAUUGGCUUUGCUUCAAUCCACUUGGUGAAUUUGUCAACGGCGACAAGCAGAUGAGUCAUGCCGCCGGGUGUCGUCUUGAAUGGGCCCACCAUGUCCAGCCCCCAGACGGCAAAGGGCCAAGUGAGGGGUAAGGUCUUGAGUGCAGAAGCUGGCAGGUGUUGCUUGGAACUGAACAUUUGGCACCCUUGCAGUGUUUGACCAAAUCGUUGGCGUCUUCCAAAGCAGUCGGCCAGAAGAAACCGUGGUAGAAAGCUUUGGCAACAAGUGAUCUUGAGGCCGCAUGGUGGCCGCAUUUGCCUUGGUGGAUAUCUUUGAGGAUCGACAUGCCCUUCUCUGGCUCUACGCAACGCUGGAAGACUCUAGUCAUGUUGCGUCUCACGAGCUCUCUGUUUACUAUUUUGUAGGCUCCUGCUCAGCGCUGAACUUGCCGGCCGAGAUCUGAUCAGCUGACAGCUCCCUGUUCACCAAAAAAAUUGAGGAUGGGCUGGGCCCAUGAUGGAGCUGCGACUUCUUCUAUUGUCAACACGGCUACUGCAACUAGGGCGGUUGGACUGUGAGGUGGUGGGUUGGAGUUGACCACCGCCUGUUGUGUCGUUGAAGUCCCCGAGCCAACUGCAGCAGUCCUCGGGCUGGGCUCUAAAGUCCCCGGGCCAGGUGCGGCUACUGCAAUCCCCGAGCCACCUGCCAAAGUCCUCGGUCCGCCUGUCAAAUUCCCCGAGUCAGAUCCGAAUGCUUCGGAGUCGGCCGGCACGAAGAUGGAAUCAGAUUCUGGUGAAGGCUUGACAGAUGGCUCGAGGAGGCGCUGAAGGGAGAUGCUGGUUGGUAUAGCUUGCCGAGUGGAGACGAUUCGUGCCAGGGCAUCUGCUUGCUCGUUGUCGGCCCGUGGCACGUGAAGGAACUCGCACCCCUCGAAAUGUCCGCUGAGUUGCUGGACGAGGAAGCGGUAGCUUGCCAUGUUUGCAUCUUUGGCGUCCCAGUUGUCGGACGACUGUUGGACCACCAAAUCCGAGUUGCCAUAACACAGGAUCCGGCGGAUGUCAAGUUCUUUGGCCAGCCGCAGCCCAUGUAUGAGCGUCUCAUACUCGGCCACAUUGUUGGAGGCGGCGAAGUAGAUUUGCAACAUGUAUCCGAGCUUGUUGCCUUUGGGAGAGGUGAGGACGAUGCCAGCUCUCAAACCGGUGCGCAUCUUGGAUCUGUCAAUGUGCAUCCGCCAAUGGCUGGAGUCCGGUGCUGGCAGCAGGUACUGGGUCUCGGCCCAGUCGACGAGGAAGUCGGCCAGCACUUGGGACUUGAUGGCGGUGCGAGGCUGGUAGAAUAUGGUGUAAGGAGCCAGCUUGAUGGCCUACUUGGCCACCCGACCUGAUGCAUCCCGGUUGCCCAUGAUCUCGGCAAGCAGGGCAGUACAAACGACCGUGAUGGGCUGCUCUUGAAAGUAGGGCUUGAGCUUCUUGGCGGCAAAAUACAUGCCAUAGCACAUCUUCUGGUAGUGGGGUAGUUCUGCUUUGAGGCUGACAGUACUUCGCUCAAAUAAUACACAGGCCUCUGGACCUGCUGGGCCUUGCCAUCUUCUGGGCGCUGGAUCAUGAUGACUGUGCUGACCACCCGGCUGGUUGCGGAAAUGUAAAGGAGUAUGGGCUCUUUGUCAGUCGGAGCCGCCAGGACAGGCAGUGUGGUCAACAUCUUCUUCAGCUGGUGAAGGGCUUCGUUUGUCUGGUCGUUCCACUCGAAGUGAGUGGUUUUCUUCAUGGGCUGGUAUAGGGGAAGAGCCUUCUCUCCCAGCCGGCUGAUGAAGCGUCUAAGGGAAGCCAAGCACCCGGUGAACUUCUGGACGUCUCACAGUCGGGUGGGAAUCUCCAUCCUCUCUAUGGCCUUGAUCUUCACAAGGUUGCACUCAAUGCCGCGUUCGGAGACCAGGAAACCAAGGAGCUAGCCGGCUAGUACUCCGAAGACGCAUAUCUCAGGGUUGAGCUUGAUUUGAAAGCGGCAUCGAUUGUCAAAUGUUUCCUUGAGAUCUUCCACUAGGGUGCUAUGCUUCUCCGUCUUCACCACAAUAUUGUCUACAUAGACGUGGGCAUUUCUGCCGAGCCAUUUGAGGAGGCACUUCUGCAUGCAACGCUGAAAAGUGGCACCAGUAUUUCUCAAGCCGAAUGUCAUAGUCAGGUAGCAGAAGGCUCCAAAUGGUUUGAUGAAGGUGGUCUUCAGGCGGUCGGCUGGGUCUAACUUGAUCUGGUGGUACCCUGAGUAGGCAUCCAAGAAACUCAACAGCUCGAUCUGGCUGUGGAGUCUAUCACUUGAUCAAUCCGAGGCAAGCCAAACAGAUCUUUGGGGCAGGCUUUGUUGAGGCUGCUAUAAUCAAUACACAUGCGCCACUUGUUGUUCUUCUUUAGUACAAGGACUGGGUUGGCAAGCCACUCUGGAAAGAACACUUCCAUAAUGAAGUCGGCUGCUAGAAGCCGGGCUAUCUCUUCACCAACAAUUCUUAUUUCUCCUCCAACAAUCGGCGGAGGGGUUGCUCGACUGGUUUUGCGUCUGCUCUGACGUGUAGCUUGUUCUCGGCGAAAUCCAUCGGAACACCUGGCAUGUCCUUGGGGGACCAUGCAAAGAUAUCUCGAUUCUCAUGGAGGAAAUCGAAGAGCUCACUUUCCUAUUUGCUGUCAAGGUUGGUUCCUACAAGAGCGAACAUCUUCGGGUGGUCCGAGUCCAAAGGUAUCUUCUUGGUUUCCUUGGCCGGCUGGAAGGAGCCCUGAGCCUCCAAGUCCUUGGGGCAACAGGUCCGGCUGCUUACUGGCCAUGGCCACAACCCAGUCAAGGAUCUUCUUUUCUGCAGCUAUCACGAGGGACUCGGCCAGUUGGCUGCUCGCCGCAGCACAGGCGAACGACUUCUUGUAGUCUCCGACUAUGGUGAUGAUGCCCUUGGUGCUUGGCAUCUUCAUCUUGAGAUAGGCAUAGUGAGGCACUGCCAUGAAUUUGGCCAAAGCAGGUCGGCCAAGCAAUGCAUGAUAAGGGCUCUCCAGGUCCACUACUUCAAACCAAACUGCUUCGCGGCGGAAGUGAUCCCUAUAUCCGAAGAGGACAUCUAUCUUGAUCUUGCCGAUUGGUGAGCAGGAGAGGCCGGGUACAAUGCCAUGGAAGACGGUUCGACUGGGCAAGAGUUGCUUCGUCUUGAUGUCCAGCUUCUCCAUGGUAUCGCGGUAAAGGUUGUUGAUGCUGCUACCGCCAUCUAUUAGGACUCGGGAGAAACGAGCAGCUUGCCUCUCUAUUGCAAAGGUGGCAUCCAACACCAUGGCAUAGGAACCCGGAGAAGGCAUCACCUCCAUGUGGUCAGCUCGGCUCCAACUGAUGGGCUUCUUAGACUAGUGCAUGAACUCUGGAACUUUGGAGGUGACAAUAUUGACCUCUUGGUGCUGCCGGCGCCGGCUGCGCCUGUCAUCAGCCUGGCCUGUGAAGACAACAUAGGCUCCAUGCUCUUCGGGGAACUCGUCUUGGAUGGCGCUGACUGCUGGGCAAGACGCCGGCUGCUGAGGAGCCGGAGGCGGCUGGCCAGCAGGCGGAGGAGGCAGCAGCCCCUCGCCUUUGGAAAUUCGGGUGAGCCAGUGGCACUUCUGGGUUGUGUGAUUGGAUGGCUUCGCGCCGCUGUGGAACUUGUAGGGUGCAUCAAGGGUUUUCUCAUAGGAGAAAGCGGGCUGCCAAGCCGGCUUGCCGCCUUUCUAACGCUUGGGUAUGGGCUGCCCUUCCGGCUGCUGAUCUUCGACUGUUGCCACCUGUCGGCUGGUGGACACCGGCAUCGGGGCCUUGCGCUUGUUAUCGUUCUGCUGUGAGCGCCGACUGGUGUCGCCAGCCAGCGUUCUGGGAGCCGGAGGGAGCACCUUCCCAGAGGCGUCCACCCGAAGCUCCGACUUCAUUGAGGAGUCGGUAGUGGCGUACUUGUGUGCUAUAAUCAGCAGCUCGUCGAGUGUAGCCGGCUCGUCGCAGAGGAGUCGGUGCUUGAGGAGGGUGCCUUCUCAACACCCGGCAGUGAAGUACUCUAUAUCUUUCACCUCGUGCACCCCUUCGCAGGAGUUGCAGAGUUCGGCCCACCGCGCCAGGUAGUCGUGACUGGACUCGAUUGGGCCUUGGACGCACAGAGAGAGCUGGCGAGGCUUGGGCGCCCGCUUGGACGUGUUGGUGAAGUUGCGGAUGAAGAUUUUAGUUAAAUCCACCCAACUAUUAACGUUGUAGGGCUUGAGGCUGUUCAGCCAGGUGCGUGCCGUGGCUUGAAGCAUGAGGGGGUCGUACUUCACGGCAACACGCCUGUUGCCGUUUGCUAUGCUGACUGCGGUGGAGUAGUCGAUCAAGCAGUCUUCCGGCUUCACCAAGCCGUUGUACUUGGGUGUGUCUCUUGGCAGCGAGAACCCUUUGGGGAAGGGCUCGUCGCGAAUGCGGGGGCCAAAACAAGGCGGGCCAACCGCAUCCUCUUCUUCUAGCGCCAGGUAUCGUGCCAGGCGGUCGAUCCGAUGGCGGGCAUCGUUUGCUUCGAUUCCUUCCUGGUGGCCCAGCCGGCUGCUGAGCAUCGGGUGUUCAACAGGCUGCGGGGAAGGAUAUCUCUCCUUGCGAGGUGGAGGAAGAGGCGGACAAUCGGUUCACCGCUCCACGGCUCAUGGGCGUCCGUCUUUGUUGCGCUCAAUGCCGAGGUGUGUCCGACUGCGGCUAGCAGCCGGCUCUCUGUCUUUUCGCUCGCGGGCGCCACCUGCAGUCAGCGUCUGGGAGGUCGCGUCGUGCUCUCAGCGGAGGGGAGGAUUCUCGGUGCAGGCGCCGGCUUCAUGCCGCUCGACAGCCGUGUCGAUGAGCUGCUGGAUGCGCUCUGUCAUGUAGCAUCGUUCGUCACCGUCCAGGUUCUCUAGCUCGUCUGCUGCCGCCUGGGCAGGACACAGGUUCUCGAUGGGUGUGGCGUAGACUAGGCGGUCGGCCCCCAGCAUGCUGGCGAUAGCGGCACCACGCUGUUUGAUAGUGCCCAGGCGGCUAGGCCCGCCAGCGGCAUGAUCAACCUCGCGCUGAUAGGCCUCGGUGAGGCGUCUCAUGGAGGCUAGCUUCUUGCCGCUCUCAAUGAGCGCAAGGCAGUGGGCCUCCAGUGUAUUGGCAUCGGCGUCGCCUGCGAUGGGUGCAGACAGGUCGGGUAUUGUCGCCUGCAGCGCGUCGGGGGCGUCCGCACCGGAUGCUGCGCUGUGGCUAAUGACGAGCACCUCGGUGACGGUGCUGCCGCCGCUGUCGACAUGAGGGAGGGGGUCGUCGAUGACCACUACGUUGGUGGGGAAGGCGUCAAGGGAUGCCAUGUCAGAGUCGACAAGCAUCGGGUCGGUGGAGCCAAUCUACUCCAAGUCGGAGGUGGGCUCGCUGGCGAUGUCAAGCUUGCCAAGGAGGUCGAUGAGGCAGCUCUCGGAGCUGGCUGCGCCGUGCCCGGUGCGGGCUCGUCGGAGAGGAGGAUCUCGCCGAGGAGAUCGGUGAGGCAGCCUGCUGCAUAGGCGGCUUCGAUGCCAUGCAGCGCGUCAAUGUAAGCGCCAUCGGGCGUGCUGGGCUGGCUAUGCUCGGUGGGAAGGAACAGGGUUCCCGUCCAGAGCAGGUCUCCGGACGACGGUGCACCUAGCCCCACGGUGGGCGCCAAAUGUUAGGUGGUUGGUGCGACAUAUGCCAAGGGAUGACUAAUCAUUGUGGGGGCUAGUAAGACGUCACCAAUGCCUGGAAACGGGAUGAGGCGAAGACAUGCACGCCGACGGGUUCGGGGCUCUCCUAGGAGAUAACACCCCUAGUCCUGCUCUGCGGGGUCUCCACAUGAUCACUAAGUCAACAAGUAGCUACAAGUUGCUCCUUGAGCUGUUCGGCUAGAGGAGGAAGAUGGGCAAGGCUAGCUCUACUCCUCUCUCUAUGUGUGUAUGGGAAACUCUAAGAGAUCAACCCUUUGCAUGGGUGCUCUGGGGGGUUUAUAUAGGCUUACCCCCCAGGGGUACAAUGGUAAUCCGGUCGGGUGUAGGCCCAGGCCGUCGGUGUCUUUGGUCGCCGGGUUCUCCGCCGGCCACUGGGGCCCGCCGACUGGUGGGUCCUGCCGGUUGCCAGGCUCUAGGCCAACAGGUUGGCCCCAUCGCCUGUGGGCCCUGUCGGCUGCUCAUCACUGUGCCCUCGCCCCUGAUGACGGUGGCUUGGUCGGGCCGAGCGUGGCCACAGUACCGCCGCCUGGUGGGCGUUCACUGUAGCCACACCCCGUCUUAUCUGGUUAAUGGCCCACAAACUUCGAGGGGAGAGGAGGGCCGGCUGUUCGGAGCCGGCCUCCUCCUCCGCCGACUGGUCUAGGCAUGUCGCCUUCUAGUAUCUCACUGGUAGGUAGGGUCCGCCACCUGCGGGCCAUACCGACAACCCGUCGUGGGAGUAUGGCAGCUCUGCCAUGGAUGAUGUCAUAGUCAACGUGGCAAUAAUGCCGCGUCGGGCUAGGGAUGGCCGCCCGGUACGGCGCACUGUGAUCACGCCCGCUCCGGGAUUCAGGGGUGACAGUCUACACUGUAGCCACGCCCCGUCUCGUCGCCGUUAUGUGGGUGCAAACUUUAAGAGAGCAUGGGUGGGCCGCCUGUUAGGAGUCGGCCAUUCUGGUGGCCGUCUGCUAGGAGUCGGCCCACUUUGGGACCGCUCAUUGAGCCUUGCCACCUUCCUGCAGCCACGGAAAGGCGGCUCUUCGUCUUGGAUGCUUGAGGGGCGCAGCCAACCCCUAUGUCUUGAAACGCCAUGAGAGGCAGAUAAGACUAUCCGUGGUCAUUUACUCCGACAUCUGAGGACACAAAAGUCUCUGCCUUCUUAUCCUUGAGAUAAGUUCCUUGAAACUCACCCAAUUACUCGGGUAGAUCUUGCGAUGAUCUUCGGGCCGUAAAAAGAAUCAUUCUUUGGCCAUUGCACACUGGAAGCUGAGUGACUCCUAACCGGCUGGAAAAUGCAUAGUCUUCAAGAGUAACAAAUCUCAGUAGACUUUGAUCAAUUUCUUUGUGGCGCUUUAGGAAUUGGUUGGUUUUUCUCACUUACAAUAUCUUGAAAUUAGUGCGUGCAGUGAUGCUCUCUGUGUAACACUAGGCAGGAAUUUUUCUCGAGCAACCACCUGCUAUCUGCGAGGUUAGAUUUCUAUUGAUAGUUGCAUCCCAUGGUUGGCUAGCGAUAUGUCUGUUAGACAUGGGCACCUAGCAAUGUGUUGUUGCUAACCGUGAUAUAUCUAUAUCUAUAUCUAUAUCUAUAUCUAUACCAAUAUAAAAAGGCCCAAAGGGACAGAUCCAAUUAAUCUUGGUCAUCAAAACAUGUCAAUCCAACGACCUAAACUGCUUCAAUGUCGAGCGCUCAACAUGUUUAGCGUGCAAUUAAUUUCAUGUCAAAUAUAGUGCUAAUCACAUGAUAACACGGAAAUAAUAGAUCCUAAAAAAACACAAAUAAUAUCCUACUUAAUAUGCGCAUGCAUUUAAUAUACUUCCGAAUUAACGUGCAUUGCAUGUACAUAUUGACUAGUAAUAGUAAAAAAAUUGAACUCUCAAAUUCACCUGUUCCUCAAAACUUAGGACAACCUCAAUGGCCACUUUCCUAACUCCUUAGCGAAGAAGUCGAACUCAGGUGUUUCAGAAAAUCACCUUCACCACAAGAGCUCGAAGACUUUUCCUGAAAAGAGAUUUUCAAGUCUUCACUCAUUAGCAUAGAUAGGUUUGUUUGAUCACACUCAAAUACUUUCUAUCUUGCUUCACUUUGACCCCCUUAACAGUACGGUUUUUUCCACGACUCAAAAAAGAAUAAAAGAAACUAACAGAUAAUCCCUAUUCUUCAAACUUCAAUUCUUUAGAGGGCACUAUGAGUUGUUAAAUGUUAUCACAACAUUUUUAGGGGUCAUAACCCAUUAUUUUAACCAAAUCAUCGGGGACUUCAUCUGUGUGUACUCACAAAUGCAUUAGUUUUUUAAUAAUUUUAUCAUUAAUCAUCCAAAACCCACAAAGGGCACUAAAUGCACUUACACUUUCAGCUUUUCUGUGGAGACCAAAUCAUUUGGAUCAACAUUUUUACUACUUUUGGGUGGUCUUUUCUCACUUCUUUUGUUUUGACUCGGUAGCAUCCAUCUAAUGUGAAUUUUCAACCCGCGUUCAAAUACUGCAGCUAUCUAGCCUAGCAAAUCAAGUUCUCCUGAUGCUGAAAUUCCAAUGACAUAGCUCUAUGCUAUUGUCUUCUCGAAUUGCCCACUUCAUAAUUGUCCACGAAAAGCAUAUUGUCCAUAUGCGAUGUGUUUAAUAAAUAUUUCAUAACAUUACAUAUCUAGCGAGUUAAAUUGAUGAUCCAGAAGUACGCGGAUGCCUUAUGCACCGGAAGGAGUGGUUACUUUCGUUCGUGGUACACGCCGACUGAGAGUUUCGAGCUGUCAUUUGCUCGAAGCAAAGAAGUCGACCUUUGCGAGCCGAAAGAAGUAUCCGACGAGUUUCCCAGAUUGUCUUCUUCCCGGACGAAAGAUAGCUCUCAUCUUCUCACCUGUGUGUCAUCACUUACUGCUUCGAGAACGAGCUGAGACGUGGCAACCCGGACGCGCCCAGCGCCUGCACACGUCCGCCCUCUCUUUAUGGGCAAGCCACCAGUCACCGCCCCCCAGCCCCACGACCCACCCGCGCGAGCACACGUACCACCCUACCGUGGCACUCGAUCCGUCCGACCCGUCCGGCUAUCUUUAUCCCCUCGCCACAAACUGCUUUAUAAAUAGUGCCUCGUGCUGCACCUGCUUACACAACAAAGUGUACCGACAAAAAGAAGUACAAACAGCAGCAUACUAGAUUUUGAUUCCCCCUGUGACAAGCUCAGCUCAGCGCAGCGCAAGAUGGAGUACCAGGGACAGCAGCAGCGUGGCCGCGUCGACGAGUACGGCAACCCGGUGGCCGGACAUGGCGUCGGCACCGGCAUGGAGACGCACGGCGGCGUCGGCACCGGCGCGGCCGCCGGUGGGCAUUUCCAGCCCAUGAGGGACGAGCACCAGACCGGCCGUGGGAUCCUGCACCGCUCCGGCAGCUCCAGCUCCAGCUCGGUGCGUAUAUACGGUGCUUCUUUUGCUGAUACUACUAGCAUACAUGGUUUGUGUUUUGUAUACUGAUUUUUCUCGUUGGUCGUCAUAGUCUGAGGAUGAUGGCAUGGGCGGGAGGAGGAAGAAGGGCAUCAAGGAGAAGAUCAAGGAGAAGCUCCCCGGUGGCCACGGUGACCAGCAGCACACCGGUGGCACCUACAGACAGCAGGGUACUGGCAUGGUCGGCACCGGCGGCACCUACGGGCAGAAGGGUCACACUGGGAUGACCGGCACCGGCGGCACCUACGGGCAGCAGGGUCACACUGGGAUGACCGGCACCGGCGGCACCUACGGGCAGCAGGGCCACACUGGGAUGACCGGCACCGGCGGCACCUACGGACAGCAAGGCCACACCGGGAUGGCCGGCACCGGGGCGCAUGGCACCACGGCCACUGGUGGCACCUACGGGCAGCCGGGCCACACCGGGAUGACAGGCACGGGGGCGCACGGCACCGGAGGCACCUACGGGCAGCACGGCACUGACACCGGCGAGAAGAAGGGCAUCAUGGACAAGAUCAAGGAGAAGCUCCCAGGCCAGCACUGAGCGCUGAGGAGAGCCCGCG
This 223463-nucleotide long non-coding RNA is filed under the name Triticum aestivum (bread wheat). Lineage: Eukaryota; Viridiplantae; Streptophyta; Magnoliopsida; Poales; Poaceae. The record is from RNAcentral.